This 201442-nucleotide long non-coding RNA is filed under the name Populus trichocarpa (black cottonwood). Its description in RNAcentral is "long non-coding RNA (PTRI_LNC000457)". The stretch from base 181263 to 181418 matches the Rfam family "MIR2912 microRNA precursor family". Lineage: Eukaryota; Viridiplantae; Streptophyta; Magnoliopsida; Malpighiales; Salicaceae. The record is from RNAcentral.
UUUGGACAUUGAUGGACCUUCAACUUCUCCAAACGAGGGAAUAAGAAAUAAUCACACCAUCCGAAACUAAAACAGACAAUACUUGAUAAUUGUUCUAGCGACAACUCCUUUAGAUUAGGAAGCACUAUCUCCUUCUCAACGUUGAUAGGUGAAGCUUGACCAUCCUGCUCAGGAGACUCUGGAAUUAUUUCCCUUUCACCAUCCUCUUCUCUGAUAAUAUGCUUCAAUUGACCGCAUUUACUUAUGUAAAGUCUUUGUAGCUUUGGCAGACUUCGAGCGAGGGACGGUGUGAAGAUAAAUGUCAGUUUGUUGAGAGACUCCAAAUUCAGACGAUUAAGACUUUGGAGGCUGACAUGUCUAGAUUGUUGUAUUAAACUCAAUCCAUCCAGAAGGUCAAGGAAGGCAGCCACCAGCUGUCACCGCCCAGCCACCAACCGGCCAGCCGCCAGCCACCAGCUGUUUGCCGCCACAGCCGCCAGCCGCCUUCACACUUGAAGGUUGAAUUUUCUUGUUUUGAAUUCGUGUAUAAAUAGCAAGCUAAGCUUAUGUUAUUCUGUGUGGAGAGAGUAGAGAGAAACACUAGAGAGAAAGAGAGAGGGCGUGUAUUGUGUUAAGCUUUUGUGUUAAGUAAUUGUAAGCUUUUGUUCUUGAAAUAAAACAGUGUGUUUUAUCCCCUCCGAGUGUUUCAAAGCCACCACCAGUGGUUUCUCCCACCAACAAUUGGUAUCAGAGCCCCGUUCGUCAGAAAACAGAAGUGUUUUGGGAGAUAUCCGAAUUUUCAAAGUUGUCAAAAACAAGUUUUGAUCAUUCCAUUGUAUAGAGCUCAUCCAUACGAACUCACUGCCGCAAAAAUCAGCUCAAUCGGACACCGGGGUGAGCCACACGCGCCGCCUGAAGAUCCGGUGACUGUAGCCCAGUCUCACCCACGCGCGCCAGAGGAAGAAGACGAGUGACGUCCACGCGCGCCAUAUUUGAGCCGUUAAGCCGAGCCGAGCCGAGCUGCAAGCCAAGCCUCCAGCCGCGCCGAAGAAUAUUCCCAAGAAUAUUCCCUUUUCAAGCCGAGCCGCUAUUAGCCGAAGCCGAGCCGAUAGAAUAUUCCACAGAAUAUUCCCGGUUCAACCCAGCAAACCGCCCGACGCCCAGAAUUGGUUUUUUGACCGGUUCACCCAUUUUCUGACCUGAUUUCUACAAAGUCAAACCGGUUCCCGACUAUUUCGACCAUUCCGGAUCGAUCUACAAUGUCGGUUUUGCCAAAUUCAACUCCCAGAAGGAGAUAUAGUCAUUAAAAGAGCAAAAUGACUACAGAAAGUACACAAACACUCAUCCCGAAGCUGACCAAAGACAACUAUGAUAGUUGGUGCAUAAGAUUAAAGGCAUUUCUUGGUUCACAAGAGUGUUUGGAGAUUGUACACUAUGGUUAUGAUGAACCAGAGUCUAAAGAAGAAGAAGAUGCUUUACAAGAGGCACAGAAGCAAGCCCUGAAAGUCAACAGAAAGAAGGACAACAAAGCAAAGACCAUCAUCUACCAAGGUCUUGAUGAAGAUACAUUCGAGAUCAUAGCUUCCGCUGAAACAUCAAAAGACAUAUGGGAGGCUCUCCAACAAAAAUACAAAGGUGCUGACAGAAUCAAGAAGAUUCGUCUUCAAUCUUUGCGAGGUGAAUUUGAGUUAUUGCAAAUGAAGUCCUCAGAAUCUAUUUCUGAUUAUCACACAAGGAUUAUGGUGAUAGUCAAUCAGAUGAGGAGAAAUGGAGAAGCCAUCAUAGAUUCUCGAAUUACUGAGAAAAUUUUGAGAUCCCUAGAUCCAAAAUUUGAUUUUGUUGUUGUCGCUAUUGAAGAGUCCAAGGAAGUGGACAAGUUGACAGUUGAUGAGCUUAUGAGUUCUUUGCAAGCUCAUGAGCAGAAGAUUGUAAAGCGAAAUGGAGAUAAGGCCAUCGAGCAUGCCUUACAAGCAAAGAUGUCUCUCAAGGACAGAUAUGAGCAAGGGGAGACUUCAACAAGUGGAUAUACCACUCAAGCAGGAAGUCAACAAUCCAGAGGAGGAUUCCAGAGAUUCCAAGGAAGAGGUUCUUGGAAUACAAGCUUUAGAGGAAGAGGUGGUAGAAACACCACCAGAGGAGGUAGAGGACAGCAAGCAUUCACUCCUAGAGGAAGAGGAGGCGGUUACAAUAACCGUGACAAGAGGAAUAUCCAAUGUUAUAGUUGCAAUCAAUUUGGGCACUAUAGCACUGAAUGCAGAAGGAAAGCUCCGUUGGAGAUACGUGAGCAAGCCAACUAUGCAGAGAAGGAUGACAUAGAAGCUGCAUUUCUUGUCCAACAAGAACUUGGCGAGAAACAGGAAAAUAUAUGGUAUCUAGAUACUGGAGCCAGCAAUCACAUGUGUGGCUACCGAGAGUUAUUUAGUGAUCUAGAUGAGACCAAGCAAGGUCUAGUUACUUUUGGAGAUACCUCAAAGGUUCCAUUCAAAGGUAAAGGCAGCAUCCCAAUCAAGUUGAAGAACGGCGAUUCCAGCUACAUCGCCAAUGUUUAUUAUGUCCCAGCCAUAAAGCAGAACCUGAUCAGCUUAGGUCAACUUUUGGAGAGAGGAUAUACUUUUUACUCGAAGAAUUGCCAUCUGACAAUUAGAGACAACAAUUGGAGAUUAAUGGCCUAUGUGAAAAUGUCCAAGAAUAGGAUGUUUCCUUUGAACAUCCAGUAUGAUGCAGCAAGGUGUUUGAGUGCCAUCACCAACAGUGAAGAAUGGCUCUGGCACCUGAGGCUUGGACAUCUGAAUUUCACGAGCUUGAAGAUGCUAGCAAGCAAGAAGAUGGUCAAAGGUAUGCCUCACAUUGAUCAUCCAGAUGAAGUCUGUGAGAGUUGUGUCCUCAGCAAACAUCACAGAUCCAGUUUUGCCAAAGAAGUCAACUGGAAAGCAAAGAGGCCACUGGAGUUAGUACACACAGAUGUGUGUGGCCCAAUAACGCCUAUGUCGACUGGACAGAAUAGGUACUUCCUCACUUUUAUUGAUGAUUUUAGUAGAAAGACGUGGAUAUACUUUCUGAAGAGGAAGUCAGAAGUAUUCAAUUGUUUUAAAGAUUUUAAAGCAAUUGUGGAGAAGCAAAGUGGUUACAUGAUCAGAACAGUGAGAUCUGAUCAAGGUGGAGAAUAUACAGCAAAUGACUUUGAAGCCUUCUGUACACAACAAGGCAUCAGACAUCAAACAACGCCUGCUUAUACACCACAGCUGAAUGGUGUAGCUGAAAGGAAGAAUCGCACGAUUCUUGACAUGGCAAGAAGUCUGCUCAAAGCAAAGAAGUUGCCCAAGCAAUACUGGGCUGAAGCUGUAUCAUGUGCAGUGUAUCUACUGAAUCGCUGCCCAAACAGAAGUUUGCAAGGUGUCACUCCAGAAGAAGCUUGGAGUGGUCACAAACCAAGUGUUACUCAUCUACGAGUCUUUGGUUGUGUGGCAUAUGCAAAGAUCCCAGAUGCAAGAAGGAGAAAACUCGAUGAUAAAAGCGAGAGAUGCAUCUUUGUGGGAUAUGGUGAAAGAAGGAUGGGAUACAAGCUGUAUAAUCCCAUCACGAAGAAGGUGAUUAUGAGUAGAGAUGUUAUCUUUGAAGAAGAUAAAUCUUGGGAAUGGACUGAUAAUAAAGAAGCAGUUAGAUGGAUCAACAUUGAUUUGAUCCUUGAAGGUGAAGAAGUACCAACAGUACUUGUCGAAGAACCGAUUGUGCCAGCAGCUGAACCACAAAGUCCGGUGAUUAUACCAGCAGCUGAACCACAAAGUCCAGUACACAGAUUCCCUGUAUUCAACAGGAGGAACACACCAGGAGCAUCAUCAUCAACACCAGCAGCAGCAUCCUCGUCAGAAGGACCAAGAAGGAUGAGAAAUCUUGACGAGUUGUACGAUGCCACGCAAGUCAUCGAAGAUACAACUCUAUUUUGUUUCUUUGCAGACAAUGACCCACUUAGCUUCAACAAAGCUAUCACAGAAGAGAAGAUAGAAGCAAUGGAUAAAGAAAUGCAUGCCAUUGAGAAGAAUGAUAUCUGGAAGCUGACUUAUCCACCAGAAAGCAAGAAAGCAAUAGGUGUCAAAUGGGUCUAUAAGAAAAAGAAGAAUGCAAAAGAAGAAGCGCAAAAAUACAAAGCCAUUGAAGAGGGAAACAUUUAUCAGAAUGAAGUUCAUGCUUGGCAUGACAUCCCUCGAUUGAGUUUAAAGGGGAGAUUUGUUGUAUUAAACUCAAUCCAUCCAGAAGGUCAAGGAAGGCAGCCACCAGCUGUCACCGCCCAGCCACCAACCGGCCAGCCGCCAGCCACCAGCUGUUUGCCGCCACAGCCGCCAGCCGCCUUCACACUUGAAGGUUGAAUUUUCUUGUUUUGAAUUCGUGUAUAAAUAGCAAGCUAAGCUUAUGUUAUUCUGUGUGGAGAGAGUAGAGAGAAACACUAGAGAGAAAGAGAGAGGGCGUGUAUUGUGUUAAGCUUUUGUGUUAAGUAAUUGUAAGCUUUUGUUCUUGAAAUAAAACAGUGUGUUUUAUCCCCUCCGAGUGUUUCAAAGCCACCACCAGUGGUUUCUCCCACCAACAUAGAUGGCCCCUUCCAUAUACAUUUGAGCUCAGGUAAACAUGACAGCCGUAACUCUGUUAAAGAUGACAGAAGCGGUAGCUCCUUCUCCUCACUACUUCCUUCAUCAGGCUCACCUAAUUCAAAUACCUCUUCCAAUGAUUUACAGCUGUCAACAAUCACCUCCUCUAGAUUGUUCAAAGCUCGGAGCAAUUUUGCUGGAAACGGAGUGCGAACAUCCCCACAAUCGUCCACUCGUACAAAUUCUAAUCUUUGUAAGAAGCCGUUUUGCUGCCCAUGGACGACCAUCUUAUCAGAGAACAAUAUUAUAUUUUUUCACUCAUAAAAACAAUUUAUAUGAUGAGAGAAAAAAAAAAAAACAGGAUUACAUACUUUUUAGAGAUUACAUAUUAUUGUUUCAGUUUUUUUCUUAAUUAGAGAUAAGUUAAAUAAUAAUUAGAUUUUUGCGAAAAAAGGUUACUACAACUCCUAAUAAUUAGUUUCAUGUAAAAAAUAAAAAUAAAAAUAGUAACUAAUAUUUUUAUUUUAGUUAUAAAGUUAAUAAAUUUUUAAAGAUAUUUUAAUUGAAUUAAAUAUUUGAACACAAAAUAAGCUAAUAUGAUUUCUAUGAUUAAUUGUUGGUAUUAAGUUUCUUAUAUUUAUAUAUGUUUAGAUAAAACAAAAAAAUAAGCAGUGACGAAGAAAGAAUAAAUCUAACAGAUAAUAUAAAUUACGUAAAUCAUGAGGCAGUUAAAUCUAACAGAUAAUAUAUUUCAAAUGAGGCAGUCAAAUCUAACAGAUAAUAUAUUUCAAAUGAGGCAGUCAAAUCUAACAGAUAAUAUGUUCUUCCAUAUGAUUAAUUUUUAAUAACGCAGACAACAAUGAGGCAGUUAAGUUUUUUAUAUUUAUAUAUGUUUACAUAAAAAAAUAAAUCAUAAAAAAAUAAAAAUAAGCAUUUAUCAAUUACUUUACUUUUAGAAAUUGGGAGGAAGAAAGAAUAAAUUAUCGCAAUUGACAAUUUAAUUUAGUGGAGAAAUAUAAAUUACGUACUUGUAGCUGUGCCAACCAAUUACCCACUUCUUCGUGGCCUUCAAUGGUUAAUCUUUGCAAGGGCAAUUGAGCAUCAAAAUUCCUUGGACCUAAAAAGCUGUAAUUAGAUUGGAGCCAAAGAGAAAAUUCUCUUAGCCGAGGGAACUUGAUGAUGCCAUCUCUGGUAAGUGCAUCUCCUUCUCCACCGUAAAAUAUUUGCUUUAAAUUGUCAGCACGAGCAAUCCUCAUCUGUUCCAGGUUCGUAAGACUUGGAGACAUGGAGACAGGGAAGACAUAUUCCAGUGAAAAACAGAAAGAUAUGUUGAUUUUUUUUAAUUUUGGGAAGCGAGGAGACUCUGGAAUUAUUUCCCUUUCACCAUCCUCUUCUCUGAUAAUAUGCUUUAAUUCACCGCAUUCAUUUAUGCGAAGGCUUUCUAGCUUUGGCAGAUUUCGAGCGAGGGACGGUGUGAAGAUAAAUGUCAGUUUUUUGAGAUCUGAAACUUUCAGAUGAACAAGAUUUUGGAGGCUGACAUGUCUGGUGGGCCCCUUCCAUAUGCAUUUGAGCUCAGGUAACUCUUGCAGCUUUAACAGUGUUAAAGAUGACAGCAGCUCCUUCUCCUCACUGCUUCCUUCAUCAGCCUCACCCAAUUCAAAUACCUCUUCCAAUGAUUUACAGCUGUGAACAAUCACCUCCUUUAGAUUUUUUAAACCUUGCCGCAAUUUUGCUGGAAACAGAGUGAAAACAUCCUCACAAUCCCUCACUUUUACAAAUUCUAAUUUAUGUAAAAACAAUUGCUCAAAUGUCUUCGCAUUGAAGGAUGUACCAGCCAAAAUUAAUCUUGUCGAGGUUGGGUAUCGUCCUGCAUCAAACCGAUUCCCAAAUAUUAUAUCAUAUUUGCGCAAGCUAACUGGAAAAACAAAAUCUCUGGGAAUGCAUUCAACCUUCGGUAUCCACAAUGAUAAUACGGCUAACUGAGACAACGAAUUUAGUUCUGUUAGGCUUGCAUUCAUUCCUCCUGUGCUGUCACAUCCAACAGCAUCCCAUCCCUGAAAGCUGCGAUCCCCGAUCAACAGCUCUUCUAACUUCUUCAACCUUCCAAUCAAAUUCACAGGGAUCCUUCUUAGCCUUUCACAACCUGUCACAUCCAACAACCUUAACUCCUUGAGCUCUCCUAUUUCAUCAGGUAAUUCUUCAAUGGAUAAGCACCGUCUAAGACCAAGAAUCUUAAGUCUCUGCAGCUUUCUCAACCCAAUGAGGUCCUUGCAUCCACACCUGAUCAACACCAACGAUUGAAGUUUCGUUGAGAGUUCAAGUGAUUGCAAUGACAAGCACCCUCCCUUCAGAGACAAAACUUCAAUUUCUGUCAUCCCUUCAAAAAACCUCUGAGGAACAUUCAAACCAGAAUCCACUUCCAAUAAUAGAACUUUGAGCUGUGGGCAUACCAAUCCUUCAGGAAGUUCUGCUAGUUUAUUGCCCAUUAACGAAAUUGUUGUACAACCUUCAAAGCUUUUACCCGUCCAUUGCCAAUUCUCUAACCCUAAGCCAGCCUUGACCAUGAAUCCAUAUUCUUUUGAUGCUAUCUGAAUAGCAACAUCACGAACAAGGUCAUGCAUUUUCACAUGUUCUUCAGUUUCAGAGCCCAACAGCAUGCAACAAUCUUUGAGGUUUUCGAUUGCCACAGAAACUCGUUUCCUUGCAUCUUCAAUGGGCUCCGCAUCUUGAUGUAACCCAUAGCCAACUGCAUAUCUCGUCAAGUCCUCGAUUGGAAUGUCAUAAUCUUCUGGAAAUAAACAGCAUAGCACGAAACAUGACUUGGUUUCCUCGUACUUCAAAUAAUCAUAGCUCAACUUAAGACAUGUGUAAGCAUUAUUUUGUUCAUCAAUUUGUUCCAUGCGCACAAAUUGAGAUUCUUUGAGCUGUUUAGACGCUACUUCCCACUGAACUCGUGAUUUACCUCUUAGAGCCCUUCCCACUGUCACAAGUGCUAUAGGCAAGCCUUGGCAUUCUCUCGCAACCUCCCUUGCCACUGUGUUCAAGGUAGAGUCCCCAUCACGUAAACCUGCAUUGAUACUGAAUAAAUCCCACGCUUCAUCUUCAGGUAAGACUCUUAAAUGCACUUUUUGCUGGCACUCCAUAGAAAAACAUAUGCCUUGAACACGUGUUGUUAGAAGAAUUUUACAACCCCUGUGAUCAUCACCAAAUGGGAUCCCUAUCUCUUUCAAGUCAAUAUGUUUCCAAACAUCAUCCAGGGUUAUAAGCAUCUUCUCCACUUUCUUCAGUCUCUGCCGUAAUCGAUCUGCUCUCCCUUCUUUACUGUUUUCUUCAAUUUUCAAACCUAACAUAUCUGCCAUUCGGUUCUGAAUGUCUAUGACAUUUGGAUUCUGCGACACCGUAGCCAUCAAAACUUCAUCAAAAAGCUGCGACUCUCUGGCUAUCGUGCCUACUCUUUUCACCAGGGUGGUUUUACCCACCCCUCCCAUGCCGUACAGUCCGAUCAUAUUGGCGUUGUCAUCUUUGCGAGCUUUCAUAAUCUGUUCCAAAGCUUCUUUUGAAGAUUCUGAGGGCGUGAAUUCCUUUGAUGGAAGAAAUUCUAUGGGCUGAGGAGGAAAUUUGUGGGCCACUUUUGUAAACUUUGUUUCUGAAAGUCUCCGACUCCUUGGCCAGUGCCUUGCUUAACUUGAAUUGUCGAAUGCAGUUUGGACACCAAGUGAAGCAUUUGCCAUUUUUUCCUAUUUCUUUUUCCAAGGGCUUCGCACCUUCAAUUUUGCUGUUUGCAUCUUCCAUCCACUUUUUGACACCUUUCUUAAUUUCUUCAGCAUUCCUUUCAGCAGCUUCGACUUCUUUUUGCAGACCAUCUAGUGCUAAAGCAAGGUUCUCCUUUUGUUCUUUGAAUUCUUCAACAAAAUUGUUGAAACAGAACAUGUAACGGAACUGCCUUCCUACUGGUUCCACCAUGAGUUCUGCUAUCUUAGAUAUAAUGGAUCCACCCACACUUUCGAGAGCCAUUUUCCACCAGUCUGAAAAUCAGAGAAAUGAGGAUACAGGACGUGAGAGUGAGUCACUACAAGUAAAACAGGCGCAGAGAGAAUGGGAAUAGGAAUUCCAUUACCGUAAUUUGGGAAAAUAUGCGCGGAAAGCACUGGUACUGAGAGCUCAAUGAAAUAGCGGGAGGAAGAAAAGGAGAAGGCCUUUAGCUCUGUAUGGAAUCCAGCUUCAAAAGCAACAAGGCAAGGUAUAAGGAUUCUAACUGACACUUGUGAGUUAAAGCAGUAAUUCCCAUUAAAAAUGCAUUUUGAUGACAUAAUUAAGAUCAUAUUGAGACAGUGGCAAACAAAAAAUAAAUGUAUAAAAGUACUCACCUAGCAAAGAAAGAAACGAAUGAAAGGUUCAGGAUAAUCACUUAGCUCGCUUCCAACAACAAAUAUAAUUAAUUAAUCUAAGCUAUGAUCGGUCAAAGUUUUUUUUAGUUUUAUUCUUUUUUUAAAAAAAAAAAAACAGGAAAAAACUUGCAAAGAAAUAGAAUUACUGGAAUGAACACAAUAAAAGAUGAAACUCAAGCAAUUAAAAAUAAAUUAUCUAUGAUGAUCAUGUCUGUGUCACACUCAAUGAGGUAAUCACUAUUACAAUAUUAAAUAAAUAAAUAAAAGCUAAAAGAACUAGGUUUUUGGUGGCAUCCAGAGUGCGGUUACUUUCUUCAUCCUUCUUUUGUGGUUUUAUUUUAUUUCAGUCCUUCAAAUCUUUUUCUUUUGCUAUUUCAUCGAGUUGCUUUGCUCUUGAGUUGAUGUGCUUGCCCUAGAAUAUGCAUUAUGCUAGGGAUUACAAUUACAUUACAUAAGAAAUUAUACUUACAGAUUAUAAUUAAAAUUUUCAGUUUUUUUUAAACAAAUUUAUGAGAAAGUACCAAUAUUACAACGUGAGUAAAUGAUAGGAGAAUUUUAAAUCUUUUUGUGACAUGGUGACCAGCUGAUCCAAGUAACCAAUAGAUUAUCGCCACUUGUUCAACCUGAUCUGCACUUUAAGAUAGGGGUAGUCAUAACUAUUCCUCGUUUUGUUUGAGGAAAAAUAAUUUUUUUAAAAAUAAAUUUUAAAUUUUUCUAUAUUUAUUUGCUAUUAAAAAAAUUAAUCAAUAAAAAAUAUUUUUUAGUAAAAAAAAUUAGUUUUAUUUUUUAAAAAGUAUUUUUCUUUUAUUUUAGGCGGAAAAUACUUUCCAGAAAUUGUGAAAAAUUUAGAAAUAUCAUAUUAUUUGUUGAUUAUAACAAAUUGGAUCCUCAAACUUUUAAUUGCUAUAUAUUUUGUUUUGAAUAUUUUUGUUUUCAAUUUCAUCUGUUAUAAUUUGAUUUUAUAUUAAAUUUGAUCCUUAUUUUUAUGAUUGUUAUUUGUUUUUCUCUUUUUAUUUUUUUAAUUGAAAUUUUUUAUUUAUCAAAUUUGAUCAUCAUUCUUUUGAUUGUUAUUUAUUCUAUUUGAAAUAAUUUAUGAAUAGAGGGAGAGGUUGUUGGAGGCAGAAAAGGAAAGACUACGAUACUAUUUUUCUCUAUAUUUUGAGUUUUAGUUGUUAACAGCCAUGCUCGUUUGAUUUUAUUUUAUUUUUAUUUAUUUUUUUCAUGCUCUUGCAGAUAAGGCAGGAAAGGAGGACCUGAAAUCACGACAGCGAAUAAGGAGAGAAAUAGCGUGUUUGUUUUUUAUUUUUGAAAUUAUUUUUUUAUAAAAUUAUUUUUUUAUUCUAAAUUAAUUUUUUGUAUUUUUAAAUUGAUAUUAAAAAUAAUUUAAAAAAUAAAAAAAUAUAUUAUUUUAAUAUAUUUUUAAAAUAAAAAAUAUUUUUAAAAACAACUACUUAUUCAAUCACUUAAAAUAAAAACCUUAAAAUCACGGCAUGAUAAAAGGAGGAAGAAAGGAAUGGGACAAAGGAGGAAGAAAAUAAGGUCACGUAUAAAAUAGAAGAUGAAAAUUAGUAUGAAAAAGAGGCUAUUUGUUUUUUUAAUGUGUCAGAGUGGUUUUUAUAAUUAUAUUUAAUUUAUAAAAAUAUUAAAUUAAUAUAUUUUUAAAUAUUUCUUGUUAUUAUUAUAUAUAUAUAUAUAAUAUUCUAAUAUUUUUUUAAAUAAAAAAUUAUUUUAAAAAAAUAUGUGUCACAAUACUAAAUUAUAGUACAAAUUAAAAUAUAAAAGAGUUUUCUAUUACUAUUUACCAAGACUUAUUUUGUUGUGGAUGUGGAUAUUAAUAGUGAAUUUUUUUAAAAUUUUCAAUUUGAUAUUUGAAUUUUUUUUUUUCAUAAUCGAAUCUCUUUAUGCCCAAAUUAAAACUCAAUUGCAUUUUGUUUUUUAAGUAUAAGAGUUGAAUUCAAAGAUAGAUGACUGAAAUGAAAAACUUGGUAAAAAUAUGCGGCGACAUUGUAAUUGUUUGCAAAGUUCAUUUUAGUCCCUUAUCUUUUUGAGCUACUAAGUAACAUGUCCCUAUAAUUUCUCAACAUUACAUUUUAUCCAGAAUCUCAGAUUAUGCUCUACGGACUAAACUAAAUUUUUCAUAAAUUGAGAGACCAAACUGAAAUUUAUCAUUUUCAAUCUUAAACCUAGAAUUUUCACAUAUCACCUACUGAUAUAACAAGAUUUCUAACUCAAAUUCACCAUUUAAACAAACCAUAACUCAAAAUCAUCAUUUUUACUUAAAGUCUUUCAAAAUCAACUAAAUAACUCAUUAUUCAUAACAAUCAACACAUAAUAUUCAAAUCAAUUCAUCAAUCAAACCCAAAACACAAUCUUCAAAACUCUAAUAUUCAACAAAACAGAAAAUUAAAGCUAAGAAAAACACAUUUAUACACAUCAAAGCGUAAAUAUUCUUACAUUUUAAUUUAUUUUCUCUAACUCUCUUAUCCUUUUGUUUAUCUUUUUCUCUUUUCUCUUUUUCUUCUUUCACUCUCACGGUUUUUUCUCUAAGAAUUCAAAUCUUUCUCUUUUUUAUUCUAUUUAUAUUUAUGAACUCUUUGUUCAAUUACUACAAUAUCGUUCAUUCAUUUAUACCUACUUUUAAGCCUCCAAGAGUUUUGUUGUUUUUUUCUAUUCUCUUUUAUUUCCAAAUCAUCACAAUAAAAUUGUUUUCUUUUUAUUAAGCUGCUAAUUUAUGCAGCUUUAGCUCUUGUUCUCUCUUCUUGUCUUGCUAUUCUGAUUUUAUCUUUUUCUUUACAUGAUAUAAGAGCAGGUUCUUACCUCUUGAAGUCUGCUGGAUAAACCUAUCAGCAGAAGAUCCUGAAGCGAUCCCAAAUCACAGCUUCAAUCCCCACCACAACCAAUCUCCUCUUUCCCGUAGUCUGUCGUCCUCAAUUGGGAAAUGAUCUCAAAAAAUCACUUGAUGCAACAAGUAGGGUAGAGAAAUAUAAGACUUCAACAAAGAAUCAAACUCAAAAAAAUAAAAGUAAUUGUCUAUGAGAAGCAUUUCUGUGUCACACACUCAAGUAAUAUGAUUGACCUAUUACAUUAUACAAAUUAACAAUAAUAAUAAUAAUAAUAAUAAUAAUAAUAAUAAAAGAACUAGGUUUUUGAUGGCAUCCAGAGUGCUGUUACUUUCAAACAAAGAGGCUUGUGCAUGCGGUGUUAUGCUGUUCGUGUAGGCUAAGAUCUCCUAUGAAUACAUUUGUAAAAUCAUACAAUUGUAUUCUUUUUAUUAAGCUGCUAAUUUAUGCAGCUUUAGCUCAUAUUCUCUCUUCUUGUUUAGCAAUUCUGAUCUGAUCCUUUUCUUUGCAUGAUAUAAGAGCAGGUUCUUACCUCAUGAAGUCUGCUGGAUGAACCUAUCAGCAGAAAAUCCUGAAUCAAUCCCAAAUCACAGCUUCAAUCCCCACCACAAUUACCAAUCUCCUCUUUCCUGUAGUCUUUCGUCCUCAAUUGGAAAAUGAUCCAAAAUCAACAACCAGUUCGGAGAUAGUCUGUGUGAAAAUAAACGGCUGAGAGAUGAAAUGUGAAGGUUAUGGUGAGAAAUUAGAUGACAAACUUACUUUGUCCUACUAAUGCUUUUGCUUUCAUUGUUUCAACAAGUAAAAGAGACAUAAGCAUAAUCAUAAGAAUCCUGUUUUUUCUAUUUUUUUCACCUAUUUAUACAUCAAAAAAUGGCAGUUUUUCUUGUCCUUUCUUUUUAAAAUCUUAUGCCUUGGGUGAGGAAAUUAGUGGAGCAUAAGACGUUUUAAAAGACAACAAAAAGAAGCAAUGUCUCAUCUUUUGAUAUGGUGGUCUUCCAUGAUCAGUUUGUUGAUGAAGAUAUCGAAAGAUUCGAGUCUCCGUUCUAGCUCAGGUUGGAAGCUAGGCCGAAGGCUAAGCUUCUUUUAAUUAUGAAUUGUUUAUGCAAAGGAAACCCAGAAGCUUGAACAAACAGAAAUGCCUUGUUGAUUUCUCUGCUACUACUCAUUAUUUCCAAUAUUAUUCCAUUAUCUUACCCGAAAGCAAUUAUACAAGAAAUUUCAUUAUCCUGCCCCAAAGGCAAUUUAUUACAAGGACUUCCUUUAACCUCCUUGAAGGCAAUUUAUUUGAUGAAAAUUCCUUUAAUCCACCUCAAAGACAAUUUAUCUUAGGGAAUUCCAACGACCCAGGCAAUUUAUUUGCUGAAAUUCCUUUAACCUCCUUGAAGGCAAUCAAGAUUUUAAAUUAAAAACCAUCUAGGUGGUGGCCCAGUGGUAAGAACCUGGGACCAAGAGGUUUGCUCAUCUGCAUAAUUAAAUAGUACUGUUACUGUAAACUACUAGGAAAUUCAUGCGUAGAGCCAAAAUGUUAACAAUAGCACAACGACCCAGGCAAUUUAUUUGCUGAAAUUCCUUUAACCUCCUUGAAGGCAAUCAAGAUUUUAAAUUAAAAAGCCAAAAAUGAACGCAUCUACUCUUGCAAGAAUGGACUCAAAAGGUCAGCUAAUCCGCAUAAUUAAAUAGUACUGUUACUGUAAACUACUAGGAAAUUCAUGCGUAGAGCCAAAAUGUUAACAAUAGCAUUGAUUCGGUCAGGGGCUCUGGUGUAUAGAGAGGACCUUGCCGUUAGAAACUAUGAACCCACUAUUUAUUAAUCCAUUUCUAUUUAGUACUAUUUACUAUUUAUUUAUUUUUAUUUACUAUAUUUCUGUAUGUGAUACCUAAGUACCAAUAAAAUUUGAGAUUCCUUCAAUUUUUUAGGUGCAUGUACAAAAUCAAUUCAAGAGUGUGUAUCCUUAACUAUAUAUCAGGCUAACCUUUACAGGCUGAGCUAGCAAUCGAUAAUUAAUUUUUAAUGAAUUCAUUUUUUAUUUAAAAUAAGGAAAAGGACAUUGUUACACCUUAACUAUUAUAAUUGUUACACCUUACCAAAGGGUUAAUUUAGAAAAAAAUUAUCAACUUACAGGUCACUGGCCGAGGUCAACUUAUGAUUAAGUAGAUCAAUUUAAAUUAAUUAUUUUUAUUAAAAUGAUAAUGUUUUGUUUUUUUUUUUCUUGAUAUUAAUUUGGCUAAUUUUUAUCAAAUCAAAUCACUAAAAACUUAAUCAAAUUAAAUUUCAUCAAAUCAAUAAUAUUUGAUGUAGUUGAAUUUUAUAUAUAUAUAUAAAUAUUUGAAAAUAAUUUAAAAAUGAUGUUUUCAUUAAUACCCAUUCUCAAUGUUUUUUUUGCCUUAUUUAGCUUUUUUUUCAAUUAGUUUUAAUUUUAUUAGCUUGGUUUAGUUUUUUAAGAGGUUAAUAUGAUUUAUUUGUAAUUUGUUUUAUAUAUUUCAGAUAUAUUAAGUAUUUUUUUUAUGUGUGUGUCAAUUUCUUUUAUAUAUUUAUUUUAGUAAAUAAAUUUAUUAAAUAUAACCAGAGAAAUGACUUUUUUAAUCUAUAUUUGUUUCUUAAUUUCUUAAUUUUUCCACCUGCUUUUUUAACUAUUGAUAAUGACUUUUUAUUAUUAUUAUUAUUCACACAAUAUAGUGCUGACACCCGCAGGUUGAGACUUGAGUAAACGAAAAUGAAAUAUUUUGGGUGUCUAUCUCCUAGUUAUGGUAUUAUUAAUAUUUGAGGGUUUUGAUUUGGAAUAAUUAGUGAAGAUUUAAUUAGAACUUAGCCAUGUACUUUAUUAAAAUUAAUUAUUUAGUCCUUAAAGUGUCAUGGAUAAUUAAAAAGUCUAUUAACUAGUGUUGACCACCCUCCAUUUACUAUGUUUUUCUCUAAAAAAUGCCUUCCUUCCUAAUGAAAUUUCCGCAACUGCAUCAGAUGUUUAUUCCCGUUCAAAUGCUCGCAACAGGGAAAGCAUAUGAUAAAGAGAAUGGAACAAGAUUCUUGUCUAUGGAGGGAAUCAAUGCUUCAACUUGCCUUGUGAUUUGCUUUAAUAAGAUUUUUUUUUAUAUAAAAAACAACUUUUAAAUUAUAAUUAAAAGUAAAAUAUCAUAAAUUUAUUUUAUAUUAAAAACCGAAUUCAUUAAACAUAACCAGGGUUGUUUAUUUUUUGUAAUGACUUUGUUUUUUAUUUAUUUAUAUAAUAAUUCAUGAUUUAUUUAAUUCGAUGCGUGCAUAAGUUUUUUAAUUUAUAUUUAGAAUUUUUCUUAAUGUAAAAAAAACAUGUUCAUAAAUUUUUAUUUUUAUGAUUUCAGUUUGAUUCUUAUUUUUAUGAUUUUUUAUGUUUUUUCCUUAUCCUUUUAUAAAAGUUUUUUUGUUUAUAAUUUCACCCUUCAAUUCAAUAUGAUGGAGUAAUUUUUUUUUUCAUUUUUUGCUUUAUAUUGUUGCCUCUCUCCUUUUGGGAAUAUUGUUGCCUCUCUCCUUUUUUUUUUUUUUUUUUCAUUUUAUCAGCUUUUGCAUGUGGAAUAUUGAGUCUUCUAUUUUUUAUCCACAGAAUUGAAUCCUUUAUAUAUUCUUAAAACUAGAUUUGAAUUCUAAUGAAGGAAUAAUAAAGAUUGUUGCAUGUACAAAUUCUCCUUCAAAAAAAUAUAAUAAAGUAUCAUGGAUUUAAGUAUAACUUAGCCCUGUAAUUUAUUAAAAUUAAUUAUUUAGUACGUCCUUAAAGUAUCAUGGAUAAUUAAAAAGUCUAUUAACUAGUGUUGACCACCCUCCAUUAAUUAUAUUUUUCUCUAAAAAAUGCCUUCCUUCCUAAUGAAAUUUCUCCAACUGCGUACUUUUCUUUUCCUUAUUCUAAUUUUUAAGAAAGAAGAAAAAACAUAUUAAUUGGAAAAGAACUAAACAAUAUGUAACUUUAAAAAUAUAAGAAUUAAACAUAUAGUUAUUGAAACUAUGGGAUUAAUUAAUUAUUGUUAUCAAAUUAUAGAGAAUAAAUUAUAAUUGAAUAAGUGUUUGUGUGGAGGAGUGUUUGCAAAUACCAUGGGAGAUGCGAUUUGUAUUAUUAAUUUAGUUGUUGGUAUAAUAGUCCAAAUAUUGUGACGACCAUUUUAUAGAAAUGAGCACAAUGUUUUUAGAAUAUUUAUAAAAAUUGACUUAAACCAAUCAAAAAAAUGAUUUUUGAGUUUGUUAAACAAUUUUAAUAAAAAUAAUAAAAAUAUAAAAUAGAAUUGAAUUGGUUGGAUAUGACCCAAACUAAAUUAAAUAAAAAAACUUAACCAAGCUAUAUUUCAAUGAUCUUGGUAUGGAUUUGUUUUUAUAAAAAAAACAUGUUCAUCCUUUUUUAAACUUCUUGUGGCCUGUUCAUUCAUACUUUAUUAAUAUUUAAAUUAUUUUUUUAUAUUUUUUAAAUUUGUUUUAAUGUUAUGAUAUUUUUUAAUUUUGUUUUGAUUGAUACAUAAAAAUAUUGUUUUUAUUGAUUAAAUUUUAUUUGGAAUUAUUGUUGAUAUUACAAAGACUUAUUUAUUCCUAUUCAGUUGAUAAUGACUACUUAGAUUUUGUAAAAAGAGUUACUUUCUUUAAUAGCCAAUUGAAUGAUUUUUUAUGAGAAAAAUAAAACAUCUUUUGAUGUGAAAAAAAGACACCAUGCACCGUCGUGUGAUACGAUGCUUUUUUUCUUGUGGCAUGUUUUUGAUGCUUUUGAUACGAUGUUCUUCCAGGAAUUUUUUAUCUUUUUAUUAGGCGGUCUAAGAUGCACAGUCGUGUGUGUGUCUAUAUAUAUAUAUAUAUAUAUAUAUAUAUAUGUAUGUAUAUAUAUAUAUAAGUCAUCGAUGCAUGUUUUUAUUUGGUAUUCAAUUCAAUUUCAUAAACAUUACUUUACUCUCUAAUUAAAUUGCUGCAACUAUAUAUAUUAUACCCUUAACCAGACUAUUAGUUUACCAUUCCUGACUAGCUAUCGUAUCCUUUUGGCAAGAAUCAUUGCCAAUUACUUUAUUCGUAGUAUGUAAGAGUCAUUAUCCAACCAUUUUCAAUUCCAUUUCAAAUCACUUUCUUUGAUAAAUUAGUUUAUAAAAUAUUUUUACAAAAACUCCAUACCAUACAUCUAAACAUCACAUAUGUUCAAAUUAAUUUGAACAUAGCAAGUGUUAUAUCUUCUUUUAAAGAUUGUAAAGGACAAAUAUACAAUUACAUUUUCCUUUUUGGGUCUCAAUUACAUUUGCAUUUACAUAUUGUUCACCUAGUAAUUUCUUUUAUAAAAUUUAUAAUAAACUCAAAAAAAUAAAUAGUACGAGAAACAAAGUUGAUAGACCCAACCGAGAACAUGCUCACGAGUUUAAAUAUCUUAAUUUUAGUUUGUAGAACAUAAAGAGAAAUAGAAUUGAUCCAUUAUUUUGUUUGCAGAACAUAAAUGAGAAAGCAACGUCAAUAUAUAAACUUAAUUAAUAAAUAUAUAGUUGGUUUUGUUUUACAAUAAAGAAUUAUUUUGUUCUAUAAAAGAGUAAUUGAAUUUUAUAAAUAAAAACACGAAAUUAUUUAUUUCCAUGCAAGAUGAAGUCAAGAUUCACCACUUAUUUGUGUGAGGCAAAAUAAUAAUAAUAAUAAUAUUAUUAUUAUUAUUAUUGUUAUUGUUAUUGAAUAAGAUGAAGUCAAGAUUCACCACUUAUUUCCAUGCAAGAUGAAGUCAAAUUUCAAAGUUCCCUUUACAAAUCGGUUGGAUAUGGCCCAAACUAUAUUAUACCCUUAACCAGACUAUUAGUUUACCAUUCCUGACUAGCUAUUGUAUCCUUUUGGCAAGAAUCAUUGCCAAUUACUUUAUUCGUAGUAUGUAAGAGUCAUUAUCCAACCAUUUGGUAUUCAAUUUCACGUUCUUUGAUAAAUUAGUUUAUAAAAUAUUUUUACAAAAACUCCAUACCAUACAUCUAAACAUCACAUAUGUUCAAAUUAAUUUGAACAUAGAUAGCAAGUGUUAUAUCUUCUUUUAAAGAUUGUAAAUGACAAAUAUACAAUUACAUUUUCCUUUUUGGGUCUCAAUUACAUUUGCAUUUUCAUAUUGUUCACCUAGUAAUUUAUUUUAUAAAAUUUAUAAUAAACUCAAAAAAAUAAAUAGUACGAGAAACAAAAACAAGAAACAAAAUUGAUAGACACAACCGAGAACAUGCUCACAAGUUUAAAUAUCUUAAUUUUAGUUUGCAGAACAUAAAGAGAAAUAGAAUUGAAUAUGAUGAUGAUGAUUUCUUUUUUCAUUUUCAGGAGACCUAUAAUAGCCGGUUGAGGGAGAGAUAUGGGGACGAUCCUUUGACCCUCCGGAUUUCGAUCCGGAUUUGUGGAUGGAGGUCGGAUCGUUCGGUGGACUCGAUAAAAAUCGGCUGUACGGGCUCUCCAACACUACGACCGAGAACUUGCGGUCGGCCCGUAGUGUCUCAACUGUUGGGAGCUCCAAAUCAGUAUCGAGCACCCAAUCUGAGGAUAUCAUGACCUUGAAACAACACACAGCUAAUCUCACCGAGAAAUACGAGCAACUCUUGGCAAAUUAUGAUCAACUCCGCCAAAUUGUCAUGAACAUGACUUCACAGAGUGGUGCUACAUGUCCGCCCCCUUUUUGGCCGUAUAACAACCAGCCUCCUCCUCCUCCUCCUCCAACUCCGCCAUUGUGCUAAUUUAAUAUUUUUUUGAAACACAUUCAAUUUGUAAUGAAUAUUAUUUAACACUAUUUUUUUGUUCUUAAUGUUUAAUAAAAUUUUAUUUGCAUAAUUGGUUUUUUUACUAUUAAUUUAUAUAAUUUUAUGUUAUUUAUUCUAAAUCAUUUUUAAUUUUUUUAAAAUACCCACCGAGGGAUUUACCGACGGAAUGUAUCACCGACGAAUUUACAGACGGAUAACGUUCGUCGGCCUUUCACCGAUAGCUAAAAAAUAUUUACUAUAUAUGCCACUAUCACCGACGGAAUAAAUUCGUUGGUAAGGUUCCAGCGGGAAGUUUUUUUUUUGGCGUGCAAUUUCCGUUUGUAAAACCAUCGAUAAUAUUUUUUUUACCGACAACCUUAGCGACGGAAUGCGGUAUUACCGACAAACAUUAUGCCGACGGACGUUUUUCGUUGGCGAUUUAGUCGGUAAAAAAAUUACUGACAAACUCUGAAUCUCAUACCGACGGAAUAUGUCCGUCGGUAAAACUGUGAAAUCUUGUAGUGAUUUAGAUUUGGGUUGGUUUUUUAUUUUUAAAUCAAUUAAAUGUUUAUUUAAGAUCAUGAAUGGACUUAUUGAGGUACCUUUUACCUAUAGCUCACUUUGAUACCCCCUCCGAUAUAUCUAACUCUUCAAUAAAGGAGCAAUUUUUCAUUACAUUCAGCACAAUAUUUAUUUCUCUAACAUGUAUGAAGAUGGCACGAGUUAAAAUGAUUGUGUAAAUUAAUUUACAAUAACGAGGCCUUCGUAUAUAGUAAUUUAUCCCAGACAAGAUGACUAAAGUACUCAAAAGAUUCAAGUAGACGUUGUUUUAACACCUUGAAGGAUUCUGAAAUUCUGCCUUGCUCGAACGCGCACAAAAUUUGCCUUUUCUUUUAUUCCUAAUCGGAUUCGUAUGCAUGCAAAAUUAAAUCACCUUGAAAACUCUUAAUCUCUAUCUCGGCUUUUAAAUAUAUAAUUUAUAGCCAUUGUAAAUUCACAAAAAAAUAUUGAUUUUUUUUUUAAUCUCUUGGGUUAUAAUAACCAUAUCUAUCCGGUGUUGUUUAUUGAAAUAUUUUUCAGUUAUUUUGGAUGAGUAUAAAAUGAAUUCAUAGUUUUUGAACUACAAAACCUAAGUUUUAUCUUGCAAACACCCCCAAAAACUUUUAGUAUUCUCAAAAACUCAAUUUUCAAUCAUAAAAUACCUUCUAAUUAGCCUAAAUGUGAAAAUCAAACCUAAUAAAAAAAAUUAUGGGUCUAAUAUACUUUUUCUAGCACGGUUAAAUGACAAGAUCAUUUUAAUCGAACUUCUUUUUUCAAGAUGAAUCUAUUAAUAUUAAAAUCGGAUUUUUUAGAUCAAAAUAUAAUCAGUCAAAUCCUUUUUUUUCUCCAUUUUCUGACCACAUUCUCUCCCUCCUCUCAAUAUUCAAUAACUUAAAAUAUAAUAAAAAUGAAUUUUUAAGAUUGAAUCAUAAAAAUUUAAAGCUAUAGAAUUAAAUAAAUCUGAAAAACAAAAACUUCAAGAACCAUAUUAAAUUUUUCUGCAACUUCUAAAAGGAUUGCAUUAUAGGAGAAUAGUUUAAUGCAUGAUAACUUGAGUCUUGCUACACAAUAAAAUUUGUUACAGUAAGAAUAACAAAUGUUUUAAUUUAGAAUAUAACUAGUUAGGUGCUCACACUACAUCGCGGGUUCACAUUUUAUUUUCAUAAAAAAUAUCAUAAAAAUUUAUAAUACAAAUAAUAAUAUUUUUUCAAUAUUAAUAAUCAUAUUUUUUCAAAUUUAUUAAUAAUAUUUAUAACACAAAUAAUAAUUUUUUUAUUAUAAUUGUAUUAAUUAUAAUAAAAAUAAAAUAUUUAUAACAUAAAUGAUAAUAUUUUUAAUAGUAAUACUAUUAAUUAUAAUAAAAAUAAUAAUAUUUAUAGCACAAAUGACACUAUUUUUAAUAUUAAUACUUUAAAUUAUAAAAAAUAUAUAUAUUUAAAAUACAAAUAAUUAUAUUUAGAAACCUAAAACCUAAGAACCUUGGGUUUUGAUAAAGGAUCCAAUAGAAUUAGGUUCUGACGCAAGACCCUUUAAGCUUGGGUCUUGAUACGGGACUCAAGACAAUCGGGUCCUGACACAGGACCCGAUUCGAAAGGUAAAAAUAUAAAUUAUUGUUCUUAUUAUCAUUAUUAUCAAUAAUAAAUUUGACAUAAAAUAUUAUUACCACCAAAGAAAAACUAUAUAGUUGAUUUGAAGGAUAAAAUUAAUAUUAAUAAUAAUAAUAAUAAUAAUAAUUAUUAUUAUUAUUAUUAUUAUUAUUAUUAUUAUUAUUAUAUGUGCUAUAGAUAUUAUUAUUUUUAUUAUAAUUGAAGGUAUUAAUAUUAAAAAUAAUAUUAUUUGUGUUAUAAGUAUUAAUAUUUCUAUUAUAGUUCAAAGUAUUAUUAUUUAUGGUAAAAAUAUUAUUAUUUUUAUUAUCAUUGAAGGUAUUAAUAUUAAAAACAGUAUUAUUUAUGGUAUAAAUAUUAUUAUUUAACUUGUCUGCCUAAAUGUUUAUAUUUUUGAGUCUUUAAAAAACAAUUGUGGUUUUUCUUCGAUAGUAAUAAUAGUUUUUUUUAAUUUAUUGAUGAUGAUGAUGAUGAUAAUUUUUAAUUUUACCUUUCAAAAUAAAAUUUAUGGUUGUUUUUCAAUAUUACUAAUAUUUGUUUUUCAAAUUUAUUUAUUAUUUUAUUAAUAAUAUUAAUUAUAAUUAAAAUAAUAAUAUUUAUAAGACAAAUAAUAAUAUUUUUAUUAUAAUAAAAAUAAUAAUAUUUAUAACACAAAUGAUAAUAUUUGUAAAUUCACAAAACAAUAUUGAUUUUUUUUUAAUCUCUAGGGUUAUAAUAACAAUAUCUAUCCGGUGUUGUUUAUUGAAAUAUUUUUCAGUUAUUUUGGAUGAGUAUAAAAUCAAGUCAUAGUUUUUGAACUACAAAACCUAAGUUUUAUCUUGCCCCAAAAACUUUUAGUAUUCUCAAAAACUCAAUUUUCAAUCAUAAAACACAUUCUAAUUAGUCUGAAAGGUGAAAAUCAAACUUAAUAAAAAAAAUUAUAAGUCUAAUAUACUUUUUUUAGCAUGGUUAAAUGACAAGAUUAUUUUCAUCGAACUUCUAUUUUCAAGACGAAUAUUAAUAUUAAAAUCAGUUUUUUUAGAAGGGAAUAUGAUUAGUCAAAUCCUUUUUUUUUCUUCAUUUUCUGACCACAUUCUCUCUCUCCUCUCAAUAUUCAAUAACUAAAAAUAUAAUAAAAAUAAAGUUUUAAGAUUGAAUCAUAAAAAUUUAUAGGAUUAAAUAAAUCUGAAAAACAAAAACUUCAAGGACCAUAUUAAAUUUUUCUGCAUCUUCUUAAAGGAUUGCAUUAUAGGAGAAAAGUUUAAUGCAUGAUAACUUGAGUCUUGCUACACAAUAAAAUUUGUUACAGUAAGAAUAACAAAUGUUUUAAUUUAGAAUAUAAAUAGUGGGUUCACUUUUUUAUAUAUAUAUAAAACAUAUCAUACAAAUAAUAAUAUUUUUUCAAUAUUAAUAAUAAUAUUUUUUCAAUAUUAAUAAUAAUAUUUUUUCAAAUUUAGUAAUUAUUUUAUUAAUAAUAUUUAUAACACAAUUGAUAAUAUUUUUAAUAUUACUACUAUUAAUUAUAAUAAAAAUAAUUAUAUUUAUAGCACAAAUGACACUAUUUUUAAUAUUAAUACUUUAAAUUAUAAUAAAAAUAAUUAUAUUUAAAAUACAAAUAAUUAUAUUUAGAAACCUAAAACCCAAGAACCUUGGGUCUUGAUGAAGGACCCAAUAGAAUUGGGUUCUGACGCAAGACCCUUUAAGCUUGGGUCCUGAUACUAGACUUAAGACAAUCGGGUCCUGACGCAGGAACCAAUUCAAAAACGGAUAAUUCCAACUCUGGCGUUGGUAACUAUUACGUAGCUAUAAAAUAAAUUUAGAUCAAUAUUUUUUUAUUCCUAACUUUAAAGCUAUUGAAUAAAAAAAUAAACUAAAUUCAUCUUAUUACGCAUUCACAUAUUUUUUAUUUCUUAUGUAGUUAAAUAAAAAAACAAAAAAAACAAUUAAAUCAGUGUUUUUAUUCAUGACUCUAGCGUCAGUGAAUAAACAAAAAAAAUAUUAUUUUUUCAUACAUGCACAUAUUUUUUUUUGCUAAAUAAAAUAAAAUAUAACGAAUAAAAAUAAUAUAAAUUUAAACCAGUAUUUUAUUCCCGACUCUGGCGUUGGUAAAUAAAUCAGUAAAUUUAUAUUAUUUUUAUUCAUGAAUACACAUAUUUUUUUAUUUUUUUAUUUUUUAUUUUUUUGGGGCUGGGCCCAGCUCAGCCCACAUGGGCUGGGCUAGCCCAGCCGGCCCAGCCCGGUCACUGGCCCAAGCCAGUGACCCGGCUGGGUCACAGCACGCAUGAACUAGUUUCAUGCGUGCAUGGCGCUGCGCGAAGGUAAUUAAUUACCUUCGCACACUGCUAAAUGCACUGAACUUUCGAAAGUUAAAAAACGAAGAAAACAGAGGAAGCUUACCUUGUUGCAGGUUGCUUCGCCGGAGUGUCAGCGUGUCGGGCGACGAUCAGUGGUGGCGUCCGUCAACAGUAAGCUAUAAUUCCUCCUUCGACCUCUGCCUUACUGCCCUCUGUUUCCUCUGCCCUCGUCUGAAAAAUUAUUCAUGUGCUCUGUUUUUCAAAUUCUCUCUACUCUCUCUCGGUUUGUUUCUGUUUUCGUUGUUUUAAGGCCGGUAUUGGUGAGGGAAAGGUUCACUUCUGGUAUGGGGUUCUAAAAAAAACUUAAAAAUUCGGCUGGUAUCUUUGUGUUUCUCUCUUGGGGUUUCGUUCGUCCCUCUCUCUCUCUAGCCAACCCCUGUUCUUCGGUGCUCCUCGGUUUAUAUAGAGCUCGGGCGGUAGGCUGAGGGUCGACCACCAUUAAGGCGCCCCUAACUGAAGCCAACGGACGACGAUUACUGCUGCAACGUUCUCCCUCCUUUACUGUAGAAAACGGUCACUGGCUUAAAGGAGAAGAAGAUGAACAGCGUCUUCAAAACGACGCCGUUUGGGAUAUGAGAUGGCCAUUUGCGUUUUGACCCGUGAAGUUUCGCAACUUUUAUAAUUAAGCCCCUGGUUUAAACUGUAAUUUCUCCUGCAUUUCGGCGCCUUUUACAAGUUAGUCCUUGGACUUUAAUCUGUUGCAAUCGUGCCCUAAUUAACCCCAAACUUUGCUAUUUCUUCAAUUAAGUCCCUAAGUUCAUUAAUUUAAUUCAAUCCAAGUCCAAUUAAGUCUCAAAACUUAUCAAUUAUCCAAUUAAGCCCCUGAUUGGAUUAAUUAAAUUAAUUCCAAGAUUAAAUAAGUCUCAAAACGUAUCAAUUUUCCAAUUAAACCCUUGAUUGGAUGAAUUAAAUUAAUUUCAAGCUUACUUAAGUCUCAAAACUUAUCAAUUCUUCAAUUAAAUCCUUGAUUGGAUUUAAUUAAAUUAAUUCCAAGUUUAAUUAAGUCUUAAAACUUAUCAAUUCUCUAAUUAAACCCUUGAUUUGAUUAAUUAAACAAGUAAAAAAUUUAAUUUAAAUCUUUAAACUUCCAAUCAUGUUACCCUUAACCCAAAUUUUAAUUCAUUCUUCAUUUAUUUCAUUUUUAUUAUUUAUUUUUCAUCAUCAUUAUUAUAUUUUUUUUCAUUAUUUUUCUUUUUAUCAUUUUCCAGUAAAUAAAAUAAUAAUAAUAAUUAAAAUAAAAUGGUCAAAAAUUGGGUUAUGACAACAUCUAUGGAAAUUCAAUCAUUUAAAAAAAUUCGGCAGCACCUCCCCUGUACUGAAGACUACCCACAAUUUAUAAACCUGCAAUCUUUACAAUAACCACAAUCCAAUUGACUCCAGCAACAUAAUAUAUACAACCUAACAUCUAUGAAAAUUCAAUCAUUUAAAAAAAUUCGACAGCACCUCCUAUAUAUUAGAGACUAUCUACAGUUUUCAUACCUACAAAUAUUAAUAAUUACACAAAUAUUGCAAAAUCAACUCUAUACAACCUAACAUAUAUAUACAACCUAACAUCUAUAGAAAUUCAACAUCUAUAUUUUUUCAACUAACAUCAAUAGAAAUUCAUAAAUAACAAUUAAAAUUAAUCAAAAUAAUAAACAACAUAACAAACAAUAAUAUCCUAAAAUUAAGAUAAACUAAUUAAACUUAAUUCUAUAUUUCAAUUAACAUUUUAAAUAUAAAUUCAACAACAAUAAUUAUUGCAAAACAAACAAUAAUAUCCUAAAAUUAAGAUAAACUAAUUAAAUUUAAUUCUAUAUUUCAAUUAAUAUUUUAAACAUAAAUUCAAUAACAACAAUUAUUGCAAAACAAACAAUAAUAUCCUAAAAUUAAGAUAAACUAAUUAAAUUUAAUUCUAUAUUUCAAUUAACAUUUUAAACAUAAAUUCUUAAAAUCUAUUGUUUUUUUUCAAUAUUAAUAAUAUUUUUUUUUCAAAUUUAUUUAUUAUUUUAUUAAUAAUAUUAAUUAUAAUUAAAAUAAUAAUAUUUAUAAGACAAAUAAUAAUAUUUUUAUUAUAAUAAAAAUAAUAAUAUUUAUAACACAAAUUAUAAUAUUUUUAAUAUUAAUACCUACAAUAAUAAUAAAAUAAUAAUAUUUAUAAGACAAAUUAUAUUAUUUUUCAUAUUAAUACUUUUAAUUAUAAUAAAAAUAAUAAUAUUUAAAAUACAAAUAAUUAUAUUUAGAAAGCUAAGACCCAAGAAGGAUCCAAUAGAAUUGGGUCCUGACGCAAGACCUAUUAAGUUUGGGUCCUGACGCCGGACCUAAGACAAUCGGGUUCUGAUGCUGGAUUCAAGAGAAUUUGGUCCUGACGCAUGACCCAUUACCCUUAGGUCCUAACACAGGACCCAAGCGAAUUGGGUCCUGACGCAGGACCCAUUAGAGUUGGGGUCCUAGGGCAGGAUUUAAGAGCAUUGAGUUCUAACGCAAACCAAUUACCAUUGGAUCCUAGUGCACGACCCAAGUGAAUUGUGUCCUGAGACAGGACCUAUUAGACUUGGACCCUUAGGCAGGAGCCAAGAGCAUUGGGUCCUGGCGCAUUUGAAAUAAAAUAUUAUUACCACCAAAGAAAAACCAUAUAGUUGAUUUGAAGGAUAAAAUUAAAAAUUAAAAUAGUAUUAUUUGUGUUAUAAAUAUUAAUAUUUUUAUUAUAGUUCAAAGUAUUAAUAUAAAAAAUAUUAUUAUUUGUGUUACGAAGAUUAUUAUUUUUAUUAUCAUUGAAAGUAUUAAUAUUAAAAAUAAUAUUAUUUGUGGUAUGAAUAUUAUUAUUUGCGGUACAAAUAUUUUUAUUUUUAUUAUAAUUGAAAGUAUUAAUAUUCAAAAUAGUAUUAUUUGUGUUCUAAAUAUUAUUAUUUUUAUUAUAAUUCAAAGUAUUAAUAUAAAAAAUGCUCUUAUUUGGGGUAUAAAUAUUAUUAUUUUUAUUAUAAUUGAACUAAUAAUAUUUAGAAUAUAAAUUAUAAUAUGUUUGAUAUUAAUACUUUCAACUAUAAUAAAAAUAAUAAUAUUUAUACCCCAAAUAAUUAUAUUUAGAAACUUAAGACCCAAUAACCUAGGGUCUUGAUGCAGAACCCAUCAGCCUUGGAUCCCGACGCCGGACCACAGAGCAUUGGUCCUGUUGCAGGAUCUAAGAGUACUGGGUCUGGACGCAGGACCCAAGAGAACUGGUCCUGAUGCAGGACCCAUGAGCCUUAGGUCCCGACGCCGGACCACAGAGCACUGGUCCUGUUGCAGGAUCCAAGAGUACUGGGUCCGGACGCAGGACCCAAGAGAACUGGUCCUGAUGCAGGACCCAUGAGCCUUGGGUCUUGACGGGGACCCAAGAGAAUUGGAUCCUGACGCUGGACCCAUGAGCUUUGGGUCUCACUAGGGUUCGCGCUGACCCAGCACACAAGCAGGGAAGCCCGAGCGUAAGGUGUCCCCAUGUGGCGCGCGGGUCUGGCUCAGCGCCUAGGGCUUGCCAGCCCUAGCGCCAGGUGUUCGCAUCCCAAGGCUUGUAGCCCCACCAAAACUGGAACUGACCAUUUUCUCCCCAACCAUCCCUUCAAUGCCAAAUAUAUCCCAGUGAGAAGACAACCCCACCCCUCCCCUGCUGUCCUUGCAAAUCUAUGUGGCAAGGGCAACUUUGUCAUUACACUACUUUAAUCCACAAUAUUUUGUAUCUAGAUAAAUAGUAACAAGGGCACUGAACCUUUUUAGUAUAACAAGGAGAUUUCAAGAAGUAGUUAAAUUUAGGUUAUAUUAGAUACGACUUUUGUAAAUUGAUUUAAUUUAUUUUUUACUUUUGAUUUUAAUUUAUUUUGAAGUAUGUUAGUUAGAAUAGCUACCAGAUUAGGCAUGUAACUUAUGAAAGGGUUUGCAAGCAGAAAACAAUUAGAAAUCAGAGGAAGAUUUAGAGGAUAUAAUAUUUAGGAUCUCUAGCAAAAGCCAGCAAGGUAUCUGCUCGAAAAAACCAUUCAACAUGAGAUUGCUCUGCUAGGAAAACAUGAUAUCAGUAUCAAACUUUUGAACAAUUAGUACAGCAUCAAGUCUCAGUCAUCUUGAAAUAUAUCGACAUCAGCAUACAAAAACAUUUAUUCUGCAUUGCCAGGCCCAUUUCCAAAACCACAUAAGCAUAUGCAAUAGAAACAGAGCAUCAAACUGACAGAGAAAACAUAGUGAUGCAGCAAAUACCCAAGUCGUAGAGCCAUUAAUUUGAGCAGAAAGGAGAAUGAAAGUCCACACAUUCUUCUUCUUUCCACCCAUUAUCUCGGGUCCACUCUCUAUUAGUGCUUGAAUCCUCAGCUACUUCAGAUACCUGUAAACCAAUUCAAGCAUGGCAUACAUAUUUUAACUUCUAAAUCUUAUUAUUGAGCGAAACAAGAAACAAACACACAAAAAGAGAAGCAACAAAUCAAGACAACUCAGCAGCACCUCUGAUUGAGCUCUUAUUGAACCAUUUGGUGUAGUAGCAAAUUUUGUGAUCAGCUUUGGGCAUUCAAACACCUUCAACUUCUCUAAAUGAGGGAAUAAGAAAUCAUAACAUCCGAGACUGAAGCAUACAAUACUUGAUAAUUGUUCUAGCAACAGCACCUGCAGAUUCGGGAGCUCCAUCACCUUCUCAACAUUGACAGGUAAAGCAUUCUCUUCCUGUCCAAAUACUCCCAAUAAUUGAGAAGCUUCUCUUACUUUCAGUAUUUGGAGAUUUGGGAGACCUGAAGCCAUGCCUACUGGGAAGAGACAUUUCAACUUGUUGCAUUUUCUGACAUCAAUUUCACAUAAAUUGGGGAAGCAUAAAGAUUGAAGAUGAUCUCCUGGCACUAUCUGAUCCUUUCCAUCAUCAUUAUCCCUAGCAAUGAUUUGCUCUAAUUCCUCACAACUUUCUAUGUUUAGAAAAUUCAGUUGAACUAGACUAGCAAUCAUGCUGUCUGAGAAUACAUGUGUUAGUCUCUUACACUCAUACACCACCAAAGUAGUCAAAUUGCUCAGCACGAGACCCUUCCACAAACACCUCAUGUCAGGCACAAGCAGGGAGCCCAAGCGCAAUGUUUUCAAACUUGUUAACUCCUACAUCAAAAGACAACAAUGGCACUAAUUUGUUAGAUAUAAUUCCUAGUAUGUUUUGGUAAAUAGAUGAAUCAGUUAUCAACAAAAGGAUACAAGUAGACAUGGCAAAAGGGCAUUGGAAUAUGAAAUCAUAAGUUGCAAGACUGAAAUAGACAACUCAAUAUUAGCAAAUGGAGGUUUAUCGUCCUAUCCAAAUACUUUCAUUAAUUGGGGGAAGAGCCUCAAUUUCACUCAAACUGGGAAAGCAUAAAUCAAGGUAGGAUUUCAUUACAAUAAUUAAUUUCUUACUUCUUAAGCCCUGCGUCAAGAGACAGGGAAUGAUACAGUUAGACAACUCCUUUUAAAUUUAGUGGAUGGCUAAAGGAUUUAUCUCCACUUAUAAAUUACUUCAGUUUUAGAAAUUUGGAGGAAGAAACACAGUGUAUUGAAGUUGACAAUUUAAAAUAAAAAGCAAAAAAAUUAUUGGAGAAAUAUAAAGGACGCACUUGAAGCUUUGCCAACAAAUUACCCAAUUCUUCAUGGCCAUCAAUGAUUAGACAUUGCAAAGAAGGCAAUUGGGCAGCAAAAUUCUUAGGGCCAAAAAAGCUGAAAUUUGAUCUGGAAGAAAGAGACAAUUUUCUUAGUCGAGGGAACUUGAUGAUGCCAUCUGUGGUGAGUGCAUCUCCUUCUCCACUGUAAAAUAUUUGCUUUAAAUUAUGAGCAUAAAAAAUCCCCAUCUCUUCCAGGUUCAGAAGACUCGGAGACACAGAGACAGGGAAGACAUAUUCCAGUUUACCACACUCUUCUAUGAAGAUAGUUUUUAAUCUUGGGAAGCGAAGAGACUCUGAAAUUAUUUCCCUUUCAUCAUCCUUUUCUCUGAUAAUAUGCUUCAAUUCACCGCAAUAUCAUAUGUCAAGGGUUGCUAGCUUUGGCAGACUUUGAGCCAGGGAUGGUGUGAAGAUAAAUGUCAGUUUGUCGAGAGAAUUCAAAUUCAGAUGAACAAGAUUUUGGAGGCUGACAUGCCUAGUAGCCCCUUCCAUAUACAUCUGAGCUCAGGUAAGUCGAUCAGCAGUAACGUUGUUAAAGAUGACAGUAGCGACAGCUCCUUCUCCUCAUUGCUUUCUUCAUCCACCUCACCCAAUUCAAAUACCUCUUCCAAUGAUUUACAGCUCUCAAUAUCCACACUACUUAGAUUUUUCAAAGCUUGCAGCAAUUUUGCUGGAAAAGGAGUGCGAACAUCCCCACAAUCGUUCACUUCUACAAAUCUUAAUCUUUGUAAGAAGCCCUUUUGCUGUAUAAAUAUUAUAUUUUUUAAACCCUUCACUCUCAUAAAAACAAUUUAUAUGAUGCAUAAAUAGGAAAAAAAUUUUAUAAAGUACGUACUUGUAGCUGUGCCAACCAAUUACCCAAUUCUUUGCGGCCAUGAAUGGUUAGUUUUUGCAAAGAAGGCAAUUGGACAGCAAAAUUCCGUGGACCUAAAAAGCUGUAAUUUGAUCCGAGCCGAAGAGACAAUUCUUUUAGUUGAGGGAACUUGAUGAUGUCAUCUCUGGUAAGUGCAUCUCCUUCUCCACCGUAAAAUAUUUGCUUUAAAUUGUCAGCAUAAUAAAUCGUCAUCUGUUCCAGGUUCGGAAGACUUGGAGACACAGAGACUGGGAAGACAUAUUCCAGUUUACCACAUCCUGAUACAAGGAGAGUUUUUAAUUUUGGGAAGCCUGGAGACUCUGGAAUUAUCUCCCUUUCACCAUCCUGUUCUCUGAUAAUAUGCUUCAAUUCACCGCAUUUUUCUAUCUCAAGUGUUUCUAGCUGUGGUAGACUUUGAGCGAGGGACGGUGUGAAGAUAAAUGUCAGUUUGUCGAGAGACCAAACCUUCAGAUGAGCAAGACUUUGGAGGCUGACAUGUCUGGUGGCCCCCUUCCAUAUGCAUUUGAGCUCAGGUAACCCUUGCAGCUCUAACAUUGUUAAAGAUGAUAGCAGCGGCAUCUCUUUCUCCUCAUUGCUUUCUUCAUCAACCUCACCCAAUUCAAAUACCUCUUCCAAUGAUUUGCAGCUGUCAAUAAUCACCUUCUUUAGAUGUUUCAAAGCUUGCCGCAAUUUUGCUGGAAACAGAGUGCAAAUAUCCCCACAACGCUGCACUUGUACGAAUUCUAAUCUCUGUAAGAAGCCCUUUUGGAGCUCAUGGCCAUGGUUGGUCAUGUGAUCAGAGUGCAAUUCUAUAUUUUUUAAACCCUCUAAACUCGUAAAAAUAAUUUGGGACACCGUAGGAAACAACAGCUCAAAUGUCAUCACAUUUAAGGAUGUGGCGCUUGUACCAGCCAAAUUUAAUCUUGUCGAGGUUGGGUAUCCUCCUGCAUCAAACCGAUUCCCUAAUACUAUAUCAUAUUUGUGCAAGCUAGGAAAAACAAAAUCUCUGGGAAUGCAUUCCACCUUCGGUAUCCUUAAUGAUAAUACAGCUAACUGAGACAACGAAUUUAGUUCUUUUAGGCUUGCAUUCAUUCCUCCUGUGCUGUCACAUCCAACAACAUCCCAUUCCUCAAAGCUGCCAUCCCCGAUCAACAAUUCUUCUAACUUCUUCAACCUUCCAAUCAAAUUCACAGGAAUCCUACUGAGCCUUUCACAACCUGUCACAUCCAACAACCUUAACUCCUUGAGCUCUCCUAUUUCAUCAGGUAAUUCUUCAAUGGAUAAGCACCACAUAAGACCAAGAAUCUUAAGUCUCUGCAGCUUUCUCAACCAAAUGAGGUCCUUGCAUCCACACAUGAUCAACACCAAAGAUUGAAGUUUCGUUGAUAGUUCAAGUGAUUGCAAUGACAAACGCCCUCCGUUCAGAGACAAAACUUCAAUUUCUCUUAUCCCUUCAAAAAACCUCUGAGGAACAUUCAAACCAUAAUCCACUUCUAAUAAUAGAACUUUGAGCUUUGGACAUACCAAUCCUUCAGGAAGUUCUGCUAGUUUAUUGCCCAUUAACGAAAUUGUUGUACAACCUUCAAAGCUUGUAUUGCUCAUUGGCCACUUCUGCAACCCAAUGCCAGCCUUUACCAUGAAUCCAUAUUCUUCUGAUGAUGCUAUCUGAAUAGCAAAGUCAUGCAUUUUCACAUGUUCUCCAGUUUCAGUGCCCAACAGCAUGCAACAAUCUUUGAGGUUUUCGAUUGCCACAAAAACUCGUUUCCUUGCAUCUUCGAUGGGCUCCGCAUCUUGAUGUAACCCAUAGCCAACUGCAUAUCUCAUCAAGUCCUCGAUUGGAAUAUCAUAGUCUUCUGGAAAUAAACAGCAUAGCACGAAACAUGACUUGGUUUCCUCGAACUUCAAAUAAUCAUAGCUCAACUUAAGACAUGUAUAAGCAUUUUUUUGUUUGUCAAUUUGUUCCAUGCGCGGAAAUUGAGAGUCUUUGAGCUGUUUAGACGCUACUUCCCACUGAACUAGAGAUUUAUCUCUUAGAGCCCUUCCCACUGUCACAAGUGCUAUAGGCAAGCCAUGGCAUUCUCUCGCAACCUCCCUUGCCACUGUGUUCAAGGUAGAGUCCCCAUCACGUAAACCUGCAUUGAUUCUGAAUAAAGCCAAUGCUUCAUCUUCAGAUAAGACUCUUAAAAACACUUUUUGCUGGCACUCCAUAGAAGAACAUAUGUGUUCAAAACGUGUUGUUAGAAGAAUUUUACAACCCCUGUGAUCAUCACCAAAUGGGAUCCCUAUCUCUUUCAAGUCAAUAUCUUCCCAAACAUCAUCUAGGAUUAUAAGCAUCUUCUCCACUUCCUUCAGUCUAUGCCUUAAUCGAUCUGCUCUCCCUUCUCUACUCUUUUCUUUAAUAUCCAGACGUAACUUAUCUGCCAUUCGAUCCUGGAUGUCUGUGACAUUUGGAUUCUGGGACACCGUAGCCAUCAAAACUUCAGGAAAAAGCUGCAACUCUUUGGCUCUCCUGCCUACUUCUUUCACCAGGGUGGUUUUACCCACUCCUCCCAUGCCGUACAGUCCGAUCAUAUUGACACUGUCAUCUUUGAGAGCUUUCAUAAUCUGUUCCAAAGCUUCUUUUGAUGAUUCUGAGGGCGUGAAUUCCUUUGAUGGAAGAAAUUCUAUGGGCUGAAGAUGAGCUUUGUGGGACACCGUUUUAAACUUUUCGCUAAUUUCUUCAAGUUUUCUGAGAGUCUCCGACUUAUUGGCCAGUGCCUUGCUUAACUUGAAUUGUCGCAUGCAGUUUGGACACCAAGUAAAGCAUUUGCCAUUUUUUCCUAUUUCAUUUUCCAAAGGCUUCACACCUUCAAUCUCGUUGUUUGCAUCUUCCAGCCACUUUUUGACAACUUUUUCAAUUUCUUCAGCAUUCGUUUUAGCAUCUUCGACAAUAUUUUGCAGACGUUCUUUUGCCGAAUACAGAUUCUCCUUUCGUUCUUUGAAUUCUUCAACAAAAUUGUUGAAACAGAACAUGUAACGGAACUGCCUUCCUACUGGUUCCACCAUGAGUUCUGCUAUCUUAGAUAUAAUGGAUCCACCCACACUUUCGAUAGCCAUUUUCCACCACUCUGAAAAUCAGAGAAAUAAGGAUACAGAACGCGAGAGUGAGUCACUACAAGUAAAAGAGGCACAGAGAAUGAGAAAAGGAAUUUUAUUACCUUAUUUUGGGAAAAUAUGUGCGAAAAGCACUGGUACUGAUUGCUCAAUGAAAUAGCGGGAGGAAGAAAAGGAGAAGGCCUUUAGCUCUGUAUGGAAUCCAGCUUCAAAAGCAACAAGGCAAGGUAUGAUCUAAGACGAAUGAAAGGUUCAGGAUAAUCACUUAGACGCCUCCAUGGGUGAUACCAGCUCGCUUCCAACAACAAAUGUAAUUAAUCUAAGCUAUGAGCGGUCAAUGUUUUUUUUAGUUUAGUUUUGUUUUUUUUCUUAAAAAACAGAUCAACAAGGGAAAAAACUUGCAAAGAAGUACAAUUACUGGAACGAACUCAACAAAGGAUCAAACUCAAGCAAUUAAAAGUAAUUGUCUCAUCUCUGUGUCACACACUCAAAGAAUUUCAUUACCUUAUUUUGGGAAAAUAUGUGCGAAAAGCACUGGUACUGAUUGCUCAAAGAAAUAGAGAAGGCCUUUAGCUCUGUAUGGAAUCCAGCUUCAAAAGCGACAAGGCAAGGUAUAAGCAUUUUGAUGACAUAAUUAAGAUAACAUGCGUAGUAAUAUAAAGAAAAUGACAAACAAAUAAAAAAAAAUAAUGUGUACAAGCAAGAAACGAAUGAAAGGUUCAGGAUAAUCACUUAGACGCCAUGGAUGAUACCAGCUCGCUUCCAGUAACACAUAUAUUUAACCUAAGCUAUGAUCGGUCAAAAAAAUAUUUAGGUUUCUUUUUUUUAUAUAUAAAAAAAUACAGAUCAACAAGGGGAAAAAAAAAAGAAAAGACUUGCAAAGAAGUAGAAUUACUGGAAUGAACUCAACGAAGGAUCAAACUCAAGCAAUUAAAAGUAAUUGUCUCAUCUCUGUGUCACACACUAAAGGAAGGAGAGAAAAGAAGGGGAUGGGAUCACGGCAAGAAAGAAGGAGAAAGAAAGGAAUGAGACAAAGAAGGAAGAAAGUAAGGUCACGUAGGGGCCAGUCUUGUAGAAAGUUUGAGAAUUAGAAUGAAAAAGAGGAUAAUAAAGUAGUUCACUUGUCAGAAUCAAAACACAUAAACAUAGGACAAAAACAGGGAGAGAGGCUAUUUGUGUUUUUUAACUGUGUUAGAGUGUAUUUUAUAAUUAUAUUUAAUUUAUAGAAAUAUUAAAUUAAAAGUUUUUAAUAUUUUUUGAUAUUUUUUAAAAAUAUAAAAUAUUAUUUUAAUAUAUUUUGAAAUAAAAAACAUUUCACAAUACCAAAUUAUAGUAUAAAUUUAAAGAGAAAUUGAUUUUCUUGUUCAUUAAUGUUUACUCAGACUCAUUUUACUAUGAAUAUUAAUUAUGGGUUUAUUGAAAAUUUUCAAUUUGAUACUUAAGUUUUUUUUCUAUAAUUGAGCCCUUUUGAGCUCAUUUGCAUAUUUUUUUAAGGAUAAGGGUUAAAAUGAAAGAUAGAGAACUAAAAUGAAAAACUAGGCUAAAAUAGGUGGCGGCUCUAUAAUUUGUUUGCAAAGUUCAUUUUAGUCCUCUAUCUUUUUAAACUAUUAAGUAACCAGUUCUUAUAAUUUUUAAACAUUGCAUUUUGGUAUAAAAUUUUAUUUUCCUCCUUUUUUUAGUUUUUUUUUUUUAGAGGAAAGAGAGAGGGUCGCCAGAUUUCAUCUUAGAGAGAAAACGUUGUAGUUGGGGAAGAUUUUGGCCCCUAAAACAUAUGUUGCUUGAUUUUUAAUUGAGUCUAAGUGGUUUUUAUAAUUAUAUUUAAUUUAUAAAAAUGUUAAAUUAAUAUAUUUUUAGUGUUUUUUUGUGAUUUAAAAAAAUAUAAAAUUAUUUUAUUAUGUUUUUAAUAAAAAAUAUUUUUAAAAAGCAUGUGUCCCAAUACCGAAUUAUUAUAAUUAUAAUAUAAACUAAAAGACACAGUCUUUUAGUUUGGCCUUUGACUUAUAGCACCGUGAAUUAGAACAACGUUAUCAUGUCCUAACCAUAGUUAUUAAACCCGAUCCAGAGGUUGACCUGGCCAAGGUGCCGGGUCCUGAGUUUCAUGGGUCAACCCGGAAAAAAAAAUAAAAAUUAAAGUUUUAAUAUUUUAUAUGAAAAAUUAAGAAAAAAUACAUGUAAAUAUAUGCUAUACAUAUUGUAAAUAAUGAAAUUUAAAAGAAUAUUUUAAAAAGUUUUUUUAUCUCACAUUAAAAAGAUAUUAUGUUAGGCUUUUAAGUUGAAAUAUUUAAACCAAAAAAGUUUUUUAUCUCACAUUGAAAAAAAUAUAACUUUUUUCUUGGAAACAUAGAGUAUAUAUAUUAUAAUACUAAUGGGUUUUAAAUCCCACAUUGAAAAAACAUAGUUUUUUUCUUGUGAACAUAACAUAGUUUUUUUCUUGUGAACAUAGAAUAUAUAUACUAAUGGGUUUCAAAUCCCACAUUGAAAAAAGAUAACUUUUUUCUUGGGAAUAUAGAGUAUAUUUACUAUAAUACUAAUGGGUUUUAAAUCCCACAUUAAAAAGAUACUAUGUUAUCCUUUUAAGUUGAAGUAUUUAAACUAAAAGGUUUUUUUAUCCCACAUUGAAAAAACAUAACUUUUUUUUUUGAAACAUAAUAUAUACUAAUGGGUUUAAAAUCUCACAUUUGAAAAAAAAACACCGGGUCUCGCCCCGGUUGACCCGCCAGGUCGAUCAAGUUUGGUCAGGUCAUUGCAUCGGCCGGUCUUUUGACAAACAUGGACCGGUUCAGCCCCCAGGUCAACCCGCCAGUCCGUUCAGGUUUAAUAACUAUAGUCCUAACUGACACGAUCAAAGAGUUGAUGUCUUAUCCCAAGUGCAAGAGUGUCAAAGUAAUAAAUAACCCGUCAAGACCGGGGUCGAACCACAAGGAGGUGAAUUAUAUAAAUUAUAAUAAUAAUAAUAAUAAUAAUAAUAAGAACAACAACAACAAUGAUGAUGAUGAUGAACAACAACAGGACUUUGAGAUGUAAGAUAAAUGUGAAGAUUAAAUAAUGAUAAAAACAAAUGUCAAGGUUAGAGGAUCCACUAAUAGUAUUAGAGAUAAGUAAAGUAUAAACUCUUUAUAAAUUAUCAACACGAUCAUAUCAAUCAUCUUAUUUACGUAACACCAUAUUUGUCGCACGUCAGAAAAUUCGUGCGGCAUCGGCUUGCAAUUUUAUCGUUGUUAUGCGUUGAUUUAGGGUCUUAGGAGUCGCCACCUAGUAAUUUAUAGAAGGCUACUAGGAAACCGGAUGAACUGGUCUUGUCAGAGAUUCACGAGUAAGAGACUGGUUGUGGUUAGAGAAGGUAUUAGCACCCCUAACACACCCUACCUGAGGUAAGCUGCUUCGUGGACUUGAUGUGUUAAAGAAGUUUUAAAAAUUCUGUUCUUUCAUUGAAUUUUAGAAAUACGACUUCCAUGUAAGUUCAUAAUUCUUUAUCCGUGAGCAAAUCAAAAUAUUAAAUUCUUCUUUAAUCUUUGCAAUUUUAUCAUAAAUAAAAAAAAAAACAUCCAUAACAAAAAAUAUAAACACACACAUACACCUUCACUGUAUUUUUUCUCUUUUCUUUUCUUUUCUUUUUGUUUUUACAUCCACAAUACAAAAUACAAUUUCAAAAGAACAAACUAAACCAAAAUUACAAUAAUAACCCCAAAACAAUCUGGAAUUUACAGGGAACACCUUCUGCAUCACCAGAACAGUGUCAGGCAGACUUCUGGAGCUGCAAGAACAGUGGUCGCACGUCUCCUCCACUCGCCACCGUGGCUGGUGGCGCGUGGGUUCACGCGCCGCCGCUGACAAUGCCCGAAAAUGGGCGGAUCUGCCCUGCUUUCUUCUUCCCUUCCCUUCUCUGCUGGCUGUGAGAACCACCGUUACCUGCAAAGGGGGAAAAAUAAACACAAUGCAAAGCUUCCGAUCCUCUCCUUUUUUAGAUCUACUAUCUUCUGUCUUCUCUUUCGGGUUUUCUGUUCUUCCCUUCUUCAGGUGGCAGGUCUGCCGGCUUCUUCUCCCCUUCCCCUCUGCAUCAGCGGUGGCUAGUGAGGAUGGAGACUGGCUGCUGUGGUCGGGUCUGUUCGUUGACCCGGAGAGGGAGGCCGAUGGGUCGGCUGAGAGAGGAGAGGAGGUGUUCCCGGGCGUGGAUGCUGCUGGAUGCUCUUCACUCCUGUUGGUGGCAGCAAUGGUUGGCCUUGCUGCUGUUGUCCGGCUGUCACUGGAGGCUGGUUGAUGGAGACCUGUGAGAUGGCCGGGGAGGGAGGCCGAUGGAAGGGAACAGUUGGGAUGGAGAGGGACGGCACUGCUGCUGUUCAGCCGCUGCUGGGGCCGAAUGGAGGAGAGACCUGGCGAUGGAAAUGAGAGAGUGAGGGGAUCCUGUUCUGUCAAAGAGAGGGGCGAGUGAAAGGGAGAUGAGGGAAAUGCAGAGGAGGCUGCUCUGGCUUGGGAAAAGAAGUUGGAAAUGAGGGCUAUCUGUUGAUGACCGGGCUGUGGGAGAAGGAAGAAAAAUGAGUGCUAGUCUUGGGAGAUGUGGAAACGGUGGGUGUUGUCUGUGAAGGGGAGGCUGGUCUGGGUGUGUGGGGGCUGUGGCUGAGGGGAAGGAACGGUGAUCAAGGGGGAGGGGGCUGGACUAUGGCCGGCUGUCACUGGUUGAAGGAAGGCCUGUGGGAAAGCUGGAGAGGCAGAGAGGGAAGAAGAAACCGAAGGGAAAACUUGGGGAAAGGGGAGCAGCGGCUUGUGUGAAGGAAAAUGGAGUGGGCAGCUGUUGUAAAAAUGAAUGGGGUUUUGUGUUGUUGGCUGGCCAAGGAGAAGAAAAUGGGAGGAACGGCGUGGAGAGGAAAACCAAAAACAUGGGGGGCCUGUGUUGUUGGCUAGAAAAUGGGGGAGGGCUGGCGGCUUGGAGAAGAUGAGAUAGGUUUAGGGUUUCUCUUCCCCUCUUCUGAUGUUGUCAAAAUUCUCCCCUGUUUGAGUUGUGGACCAGUAUUUAUAGAUAAAAUGUUGCAUGGAUCUAAAAAUUGAUCCCUCAACUUUUUUUAUUUUUUUUGUAAAUUUGAUUUUUCUUAAUUUUUUUGUAUUUUUUGAAAACGAGCAAUAUCAACGUCGACUCAAUGAAGAAAAUCAAUGAUUUUAAAAAUAACGCGUUGAAAGUUGAACGCGUUCCAAAUGUCUUUGAAAAUUUAAAUUCUUUUGAGACGAUGCUAAAAAAGAUGCAAAUGUAUUAAAAAUGUAUUUUUUGGAUUUUCAAUGUUUUUCGCUAUUUUUGGAUUUUUUCUGAAAAUUUAUCAAAACAUGGGUCAAAAAUUGGGUAGCAACAGAUGCCCCCUCUUUACAAUGCUUACGAAGCAAAACUCCUCAAUGUUUUGCAUAGUAAGCUUUGUAAAGAAAAACUUGUCUUUCUGUCACUCAAUAUCCACUCAUCUAAAGGCCUUGCUCUUUUUUUUUGUUCUCUCUUCCUUCUCUUUUCUUCCUCUUCUUUCUUCCUUUCUUUCUUUCUCUUUUUUUUUUUAUCUUGAGAUCCCAUCUGGCGAUCUCCUUUUCCAAAACCAAAGAAUAUGUGUAGCUCGGUCAACCUGAAAUCCCAUCUGGCGAUUUCCUUUAACCAAAGCUACAUGAGAUCCCAUCUGGCAACCUCAUUAAACCAAAACUAAAAAAAUGUGUGUGUAGUCUUAUUAUGACGGGUGACCUACCCAAAAUGAAAGAUGGUCUCAUUAUGACGGGUGACCUACCCAAAUACAAGAUGGUCUCAUUGUGAUGGGUGACCUACCCAAGUGGAAAAGGGAAAGAGUGGUCUCAUUUUUAUGGGUGACCUACCCAGGGGGAAGAAUGGCCUCAUUAUAAUGGGUGACCUACCCAAGUAAAAAAAUAAUGGAGAAUGAUCUCAUUCUAAUGGGUGACCUACCCAGAAAAAAUGGUAUCAUUGUGAUGGGUGACCUACCCAAGUGGAAAAGGGGAAGAGUGGUCUCAUUCUUAUGGGUGACCUACCCAGGGGGAAGAAUGACCUCAUUAUAAUGGGUGACCUACCUAAGUAAAAAAAUGGAGAAUGGUCUCAUUAUGACGGGUGACCUACCCAAAUACAAGAUGGUCUCAUUGUGAUGGGUGACCUACCCAAGUAGAAAAGGGGAAGAGUGGUCUCAUUCUUAUGGGUGACCUACCCAGGGGAAGAAUGGCCUCAUUAUAAUGGGUGACCUACCCAGAAAAAAAAAUGGAGAAUGGUCUCAUUCUAAUGGGUGACCUACCCAGAUGGAAGAUAGAAAAAAUAUGAAGUGGUCUCAUUGUAAUGGGUGACCUACCCAUAUGGAAGAUGAGAAAAAUGUGAAGUGGUCUCAUUAUUAUGGGUGACCUACCCAGGUGGAAGAUAGAAAAAAUGUGAAGUGGUCGCGUUAUAAUGGGUGACCUACCCAGGUGGAAGAUAGAAAAAAUGUGAAGUGGUCGCGUUAUAAUGGGUGACCUACCCAGGUGGAAGAUAGAAAAAAUGUGAAGUGGUCGCGUUAUAAUGGGUGACCUACCCAGGUGGAAUAUAGAAAAAAUGUGAAGUGGUCGCGUUAUAAUGGGUGACCUACCCAAGUGGAAAGAAUGUGAAGUGUGGUCUCAUUAUAAUGGAUGACCUACCCAGAUGGAAGAUAGAAAAAAUAUGAAGUGGUCGCGUUAUAAUGGGUGACCUACCCAAGUGGAAAGAAUGUGAAGUGUGGUCUCAUUAUAAUGGGUGACCUACCCAGAUGGAAGAUAGAAAAAAUAUGAAGUGGUCGCGUUAUAAUGGGUGACCUAUCCAAAGAAAAAGGAAAGAAUGUGAAAAACGGUCUCAUUAUGAUGGGUGACCUACCUAAAUGGAAAAAUGUGACUUACCUAGCAAAAAGACUUGGCAGGCGAAGUCCUGAUAGGAUAAGGCUGACAAACGGCGCUUCCUAAUUGCAAGGUUUACUUGAAGACUCCUCUUGAUGACGGGGUUAAUCUCCUCGUUUCUUUGAGAUUCUCCUACUGGCAGGGUUCAUCUCAUUCUCUUCUCGUUCCAGGAUCUAAACCGAUUCUUUGUCAUCAUCAACUCAAUGAUUCUUUCUUUGUCCACAACCUUGUUGAACUUCAUUGAGGAUCUUUCUGUAACAAAUCACAAGUAUGUGCAAUGCUUUGAGGUUAGAUGACAUGCAUGCAUCCUUACCUGAUGUGAAAUAUAGGUCCCCCCCUUUGAUGAUCCAUCGUCAUAGGGUGCCUUUGUUUGCUAACCAAAGCCUUCUUUGCUCUUCCCAUGUACUGACUCAUUCGUGUGCUAGCCAUCCACUCAAAUGUAAGUGCAGUGCCCAUCUCGGGCUGUCUACGACGAUUACUACUCUCAGUUGUUCUCAAUGUUGACCAUGCUUCCAAGCGUGGUGUUGCUCGAUUCAUCAUGAAGGAGUUGAACAAAUCAUCCAUCUCCUAGAUUCUCUCAAGAAUUGUCCUUUGAUUGGUUGUGCGUGUUUUGCCACUGCCGGUCAAGAGGUUUUCUAGUGUUUAACCUCAUUUUAGAUGGACUUGCCCCCAGUUGAAAUAACACUCUUCAAGUAUAUAUUAUCACCCGCCUUCUUGGAACUGCUAAGUCAUCCAGACAUGCCUCUCAUACUUUGCAGUAAAAGGCUAAUCAUUGUAAGCUCAAAGUUCUUCUCCAUAGAUUCCUCUCAGCUUGUCAAAUCAGAUCAGGAAAGGAAAUGCGUUGGCAUCAUCAAUGAUGUUCAUCACCCAUAUUCAUGCGGUGAAGUGUACAUUUGAGCUUCAAAGCAGAUGGUCCCACAGUCAGUCUUGGUGGGUGCAUCUUUCCAACAUUCAUUCAAAUGCAACUAUGCGAUAACAUCAUUCAAAAGUCAUAGCCAUGUUGGAGAUGAUAAACCAUGAUGAAGAUAUGAAAAUAUCCUUCAAAUGCAGCGUUGUUCAUCAAUUGCUGUUGAAGUUCACUAGAUCACAAACUGUCUUUGAACAAUAUUGCCCCCAGCAAUGAUUUGAAUGCUUGUUCAUCUGUCUAUAAUCAAGAAGUUUUUUUUUCUUUGUCAUUGCCAGAUGCUAAACAUAACUUCGAUGGACUUUGACGACUCAUCAUCUGAUUUUUUUUUUGCUUUGCCCUCAGCUGAUCUGAAUACUGCUUGUUUUCCUACCUAGGAUCCACUGUAUUGCCCCUAGGUGGUCAACUUUUCAAGGAGUGUCGAGAAAUGUUGAUGUCAUUCUUGUCAAGGAUUUUGCAAAUUCAAUCGAUGUUCUUCUUGUUUGACAAUCUUCCUUGUUCUGGAAUCAAAUCUCAUAUUUCAACGCUCAUGUCUAUUCAAAUCUAAUUGUUGAAAUGAAAUCAGAGAGAUGUCAAUUUUGAAAAGUAUUUUCUGGAAAUCAAGCUUGUUUGGUCAAAGAUCCAACACACGCUAUUCAAUGAAGUCCUUUAAUUGUCUUGUAUUUUGAAGACAGAAAUAACUCGUUGUAAGAUUAAAAUGACUUUUUUCGUGGUUCUUUGUGUCAAUUUUAAUCUUUGAUCUUAGGUAUAUCUUUUGAUGGCCUGCGAUGAGGUGACCUUCUGUGGAUUUCAAGAAACAAAAGGCUCAAGUCAAAACUUGAGGAUUCAUCAAGAAAGAUUGUUUUCUUUUUUAGCACCAAUUUUAUUAGCAUGCAUAAUAACAAGUAGCUUAAUCCAUGAAGUCACGACCCUUAUGGAAAAGCUCUUCAAGUUUUGAGAUCGUCAUUUAUCGGUUCAGAUUGCUUACUUGAUUAAAAAAAGGCUUUUUACAGCACGUAAUGCAUGCUAUGGUUCAUGGCUUAUGAAAGAAAGGAAAUUCACAGGCUCAAAAGGUGUUUGAGGGUUUUAAAGACCUAGGAUCAACAUCAAUUAUUCAUCAACUCCUUUUCUAUUGUUGUCUUUGUAGAGACGACAUAGAACCUUGUUAACCUCAAAGAUCAGACUUCUCUUAACAUAAGUCAUAAUGCAAAUCCACCUUUCCUUGAUGAAUAACCAACCUCAAUCAUCUGAUAACAUCAGAGGUUUUAUAAUGGAUAUCAAAAGUCACGUUUAUAGCUUAGUCUUUCUUCUGCUAUUGACUUUUGUUGUCUUUCCUUGAUGUCUUUCUUCUGCUAUUGACUUUUGUUGUCUUUCCUUGAUUGAAAUUUCUUUUGCCAAGACUUGAUAGACAUUCUCUUUCCUUUAUCUUUGACUUGCCUUUAAGUGAAGGCAAUUUCAACUUCUUUUUUUUUUUUUCAUAGCCUUCCUCAAAAUUUUCUUAUAUGCCCCCAGCCUAUGUGUUUUCUUUUAGCCCUCUCUCAAUCAUUGGACUUUUGUUCUAAGCCUUCCUUUUAUCCAUUAAUGUCUUCAAAAUAUCUCUCAUUGCCCCCAGUGUGGGGUGUGGUCCUAGUCAGGGUUUCUUUUUGAAAGAAAAUAUUUUACAAGGCUAAAAAAUGGGACUGCAAGGGAUAUAAUCUUUAGAAAGUGAAGGGAUAUCAAAGAUGACAUUUUCUCAUUUCAAGCAAGGUCGGUUAGAACCGAUAAAUUUUGACCUCAUCCAGUGUAAUGAUUGGGACUUGUAAGAAUAAUGAUUCACGAGUCCAUAACUAUCGAAUCCACUACAUGUCAUUAUGCAUACUGCUAAAACUUAGCUAUAUGAUGUUUUUUUCAGUUUCAGGAGGUAUGAGUUCAAAAUUGUUUGGUCACCUCAUGUCAUUUUCAAGAAUCAAGUCGUUUCUGCAAUCAAAAUAUUUUUAAUCUUCAGGAUUAAUUAAUCUUAAUCGUAUGUUCGAGCUUGAUCAAAAAUAUUUGUGUCAAAAUAGCCUUUGAAAGAAGCAUCGCUUGAUUUCAAAACAACAAGAAGACAAAGAGAAGACAUGUUUCGUUGAAGGGUGAGAUGUGAUCCCAAAACAAAAUGCAGAAUGCUAAAAUCCCAUAACAAAAAUGAUUGACAAUUUGACCCCUUCUUGGAUCACCUACUCUGGCGAUAUCUGUGUUUCACCGAGUCAAUUUCGAUCACUUGUCAUUCUGAGGAUGUUCUGGUGACAACAUGAUUGAUGACAUCAUCUUUCACAAACUCAGCUCGAUUCUUGAAACUCUUGUGUCUGUUCAACUGAAAUGGUUCACGAACCCUCCAUGAUAUUCACAUCUGGUUUGAAUUAUACCACGGUGGUUGCAUGCAAUUUGUCGAAGUCCGGGGCACUAAGUCUGGAAUCUGGCAGAUGCUAGUCGACAAACUUAAGUGGCAGAGGGAUGUCAAUCUUGGCAAAGACAUUUGAGCCAUUGAUGCUACAAUGAGACCUGGCUAAACCACAUAACUAUGGUUUUCCAUCUUCAGAGUCAUCUCCUUAUUCAACUCCCUUCACAGUUCUGAAAUCCACGGUAGAGCCUUCAAUCUUUCCCAUCUUGAUAGUUAGCUCUAUUCUUUUGGCAAUCCUCACAACAUCAUGUCAAUCUUCCAAUGUUGUUGCGGUUGUAUGAGAAUUGUUGGAACCCUCCACUAGCUAGGUAAUCUUGGCAGCAUACAGAAACAUGCAGUACCACCACUGCCGACGUGUGGAAUCACGCGUUGUCUCAACUGGAAGAGAACUUGAUGAAUCUAAAACUCCUUUGUCUCCUCUUUGAUUCCUCACUGACGGCGCAUCAAACAGACACCUGUAGAGGGAGUUCUGCUCCAUUGAAGUUUCAGUCUUAUUCCCGUUUUUCAGCCCACGUUUGUCUCUUCUCCCUACUUUUGUGUUUUAAUUCCAACACUGGUAGGAGAAAAUUGUAGACGAUCUGAAACUACUGCAUCCCUUCUUGGAUUCCUCACUUACAGAUCCACAAACAAAUCUCUAUAGAGAGAGCUCUGCCACAUAGAAGUUUGAUGUCUGCUUAUGUUUUUCAGACCAGGUAUGGCUUUUCAACCCACUACAGUGUCUUCGUACUGAAACUGGUGGCGUAAAUUUUCAUAUCUUCUGAAACUACUACAUCCCCUGUUCUGCUAGGAAAACAUGAUAUCAGUAUCUAACUUUUGAACAAAGAGUUCAGCAUCAAGUCUCAGUCAUCUUGAGAUUUGAAUGCCCAUAUAUAUUCACAUGCUCAUACAAUAACAUUUUUAAAAAUGCAUUAUGCAUUAGAAACAGAACAUCAAACAAAGAGUUCAGCAUCAAGUAGAACGCAUGAAAGUCCACACAUUAAACCAAAAGAAACACAAAUGGGCAAGCAAACAUACGCCCUUACUUCUGGAGGCUUGUACGAUAAUGACUACACACACAACAUUACAUUACUUCUAACUUCUUCAGCAAACACGUAGAUAGAUAAGUCGCAAUCUUCUAUGGUAAAUAAGACUGUUACAAUGUGAAGCCAAUUUGUAUCCCAUUGCCAAUGAAACAGUUGGAAUUAAUUACUUCCCACCCAUCUAAAACAUACUCGCAGCACCAUCCUUGAAAUCAUGUAACAGCUAACCAACCUUGCCUGAUGCAAACAUGAAGAACAAAGACAAUCCAUGAUUUAAUUCAACCAUUAAAAUUUGAAGGUAAAGGAGAGGAUAAAUAAUCUUCAGCUAUGUCACCUGGUUUGGGCAAGAAAGAAUUAUUAGACUAGCAAUCAUCAUCAUCAUCAUCUUCUUCUUCUUCUUCUUCUAUUUCUUUCCACCCAUUAUUUCUGGUCCACUGUCUAUUAAUGCUUGAAUAUUCAGCUACUUCAGAUACCUGUAAACCAAUUCAAGCAAGGCAUGCUCAUUUUAACUUGUAAAUCUUAUUAUUGAGCCAAACAAGAAACAAACACACUAAAAGAGAGGCAAGAAAUCGAGUCAAAUCAGCAGCACCUCUGAUUGAGCACUCAUUGAACCAUCUGGUGUACUAGCAAAUUUUGUGGUCAGCUUUGGACAUUGAUGGACCGUCAACUCCUCCAAACGAGGGAAUAAGAAAUAAUCACACCAUCCGAAACUAAAACGGACAAUACUUGAUAAUUGUUCUAGCGACAACUCCUUUAGAUUAGGAAGCACUAUCUCCUUCUCAACGUUGAUAGGUGAAGCUUGACCAUCCUGCCCAGGAGACUCUGGAAUUAUUUCCCUUUCACCAUCCUCUUCUCUGAUAAUAUGCUUCAAUUGACCGCAUUUACGUAUGUAAAGUAUUUCUAGCUGUGGUAGACUUCGAGCGAGGGACGGUGUGAAGAUAAAUGUCAGUUUGUCGAGAGAAUACAAAUCCAGAAUAUUUAGACUUUGGAGGCUGACAUGUCCGGUGGGCCAUAUGCAUUUGAGGUCAGGUAAAAUUUGCAGCUCUAACUCUGUUAAAGAUGACAGCAGCGGCAUCUCCUUCUCCUCAGUGCUUCCUUCAUCAGGCUCACCUAAUUCAAAUACCUCUUCCAGUGAUUUGCAGCACUCAAUUUUCACAGUGCUUAGAUUUUUCAGGGCUCGCAGCAAUUUUGCUGGAAACGGAGCACGAACAUCCCCACAAUCCCUCACUCGUACAAAUUCUAAUCUUUGUACGGAGCCGUUUUGCUGUUCAUGGGCGGCCAUCUGAUCAGAGAACAAUAUUAUAUUUUUUCACUCUCAUAAAAACAAUUUAUACGAUGUAUAAAUAGGAGAAAAAAAUAGAAAAAAGAGGAUUAAAUACUUUUUAGAGAUUACAUAUUAUUGUUUUAGUUUUGUUCUUAAUUAGAGAUAAGUUGAAUAAUAAUUAGAUGUUUGUGAAAAAAAGGUUAAUACAACUCCUAAUAAUUAGUUUCAUGUAAAAAAUAAAAAUAAAAAUAGUAACUAAGAUUUUUAUUUUAGUUAUAAAGUUAAUAAAUUUUUAAAGAUAUUUUAAUUGACUUCAAAAUUUUCAACACAAAAUUUAUGCUCUUAUAUAUUAAUGAUUUUUUUUGUGAAGUUAUUUGAUGUAAUUUGGUCUAAUUUUUAUCCAGAUAGAUUACCUCCAAAGUACCCUUCCAUAUACACCUCGUGUCAGGCACGGAGUCCAAGCUUAAUGUUUUCAAAUUUGUGAACCCCUGCAUCAAAAGAAAUUUUGUGCACUUUGGAAUUGUCCAUAUAAAACUUCAGCCAAAAACUUAUCAACAAAAGGAUAGAAGUAGACAUGGCAAUACGGCAUGGGAAUAUGAAAUCAUAAGUUUUUGAAGAUAUUUUAAUUGAAUUAAAUAUUUGAACACAAAAUAAGCUAAUAUGAUUUCUAUGAUUAAUUGUUGGCAUUAAGUUUCUUAUAUUUAUAUAUGCUUAGAUAAAACAAAAAAAUAAGCAGUGACGAAGAAAGAAUAAAUCUAACAGAUAAUAUAAAAGCUGCAGGACUGAAACGAACAACUCAAUAUUAGCAGAUGGAGGUUUAUCUUCCUCUUCAAAUACUUCCAUUAAUUGGGGGAAGAGCCUCAAUUUCACUCAAACUUGGAAAGCGUAAAGAUUGAAAAAUCUGGAUAUCAUUUCAUUACAAUAAUUAAUUUCUUACUUCUUAAGCCCUCCAUCAAGAGACAGGGAAUGAUACAGUUAGACAACUCCUUUUCAAUUUAAUGGAUGGCUAAAGGAUUCAUCUCCACUUAUCAAUUACUUCAGUUUCAGAAAUUUAAAGGAAGAAAUCAACAUGUAUUGAAGUUGACAAUUUAAAUUAAAAAGGAAAAAAAAAAAUUGGAGGAAUAUAAAGGACGUACCUGGAGCUGUGCAAAGAAAUUUUCCAAUUCUUUGUGGCCAUAGAUGGUUAGACUUUUCAAAGAAGGCAAUUGUGCAGCAAAAUUCUUUGGACCAAAAAAGCUGUAAUUUGAUCUGGAAGAAAGAUCCAAUUCACUUAGUUGAGGGAACUUGAUGAUGCCAUCUGUGGUGAGUGUAUCUCCUUCUCCACUAUAAAACAUUUGCUUUAAAUUGUCAGCAUCAGAAAUCGUCAUCUUUUCCAGGUUUAGAAGGCUUGGAUACACAGAGACAGGGAGGACAUAUUCCAGUUUACCACACUCUUUUAUGAUAAUUGUUUUUAAUAUUGGAAAGUAAGGAGACUCUUGAAUUAUCUCCCUUUCAUCAUCCUUUUCUCUGAUAAUAUGCUUCAAUUCACCGCAUUUACUUAUGCGAAGGCUUUCUAGCUUUGACAGACUGUAAGCAAGGGACGGUGUGAAGAUAAAUGUCAGUUUGUCGAGAUAAUUCAAAUCCAGAUGAGCAAGACUUUGGAAGCUGACAUUUCUGGUGGGCCCCUUCCAUAUGCAUUUGAGCUCAGGUAACCGGUACAGAUUUAACUCUGUUAAAGAUGGCAGAAGCGGCAGCUCCUUCUCCUCACUGCUUCCUUCAUCAGGCAGCUCACCUAAUUCAAAUACCUCUUCCAAUGAUUUGCAGUCCUUAAUUUCCACCUUCCUUAGAUUUUUCAGAUCUGGCAGCAAUUUUGCUGGAAACGGAGCCCCACAAUCGACCACGUGUACAGAUUCUAAUCUUUGUAAGAAGCCGUUUUGCUGUCCAUGGGCGGCCAUCUUAUCAGAGAACAAUAUUAUAUUUUUUCACUCUUGUAAAAACAAUUUAUAUGAUGUAUAAAUAGGAGAAAAACAUAGAAAAAACAGGAUUAAAUACUUCUUAGAGAUUACAUAUUAUUGUUUCAGUUUUUUUUUCUUAAUUAGAGAUAAGUUGAAUAAUAAUUAGAUUUUGGAGAAAAAAAGGUUAAUAACUCCUAAUAAUUAGUUUCAUGUAAAAAAUAAAAAUAAAAAUUGUAACCAAUAUUUUUAUUUUAGUUAUAAAGUUAAUAAAAUUUUAAAGAUAUUUUAAUUGAAUUAAAUAUUUGAACACAAAAUAAGCUAAUAUGAUUUCUAUGAUUAAUUGUUGGUAUUAAGUUUCUUAUAUUUAUAUAUGUUUAGAUAAAACAAAAAAAUAAGCAGUGACGAAGAAAGAAUAAAUCUAACAGAUAAUAUAAAUUACGUAAACCAUGAGGCAGUUAAAUCUAACAGAUAAUAUAUUUCAAAUGAGGCAGUUAAAUCUAACAGAUAAUAUGUUCUUCCAUAUGAUUAAUUUUUAAUAAGGCAGACAACAAUGAGGCAGUUAAGUUUCUUAUAUUUAUAUAUGUUUACAUAAAAAAAUAAAAAUAAGCAUUUAUCAAUUACUUUACUUUUAGAAAUUGGGAGGAAGAAAGAACAAAUUAUCGCAAUUGACAAUUUAAAUUAAGUGGAGAAAUAUAAAUUACGUACUUGUAGCUGUGCCAACCAAUUACCCACUUCUUCGUGGCCUUCAAUGGUUAAUUCUUGCAAAGGCAAUUGAGCAUCAAAAUUCCUUGGACCUAAAAAGCUGUAAUUUGAUCUGAGCACAAGAGACAAUUUUCUUAGUUGAGGGAACUUGAUGAUGCCAUCUCUGUUAUGAGACAAAGAGACUGGGAAGACAUAUUCCAGUUUACCACAGUAAGCUACAUGGAGAGUUUCUAAUUCUGGGAAGCAAGGAGACUGUGGAAUUAUUUCCCUUUCACCAUCCUCUUCUCUGAUAAUAUGCUUCAAUUCACGGCAAGCAAUUAUGGAAAGUCUAUCUAGCUUUGGCAGACUGUAAGCAAGGGACGGUGUGAAGAUAAAUGUCAGUUUGUCGAGAGCAUACAACUCCAGAUUAAUAAGACUUUGGAGGUUGACAUGUCUGGUGGGCCCCUUCCAUAUGCAUUUUAGCUCAGGUAAUAUUUUCAGCUUUAACUCUGUUAAAGAUGACAGCAGCGGCAUCUCCUUCUCCUCACUGCUUCCUUCAUCAGCCUCACCCAAUUCAAAUACCUCUUUCAAUGAUUUACAGCUGUCAACAAUCACCUCCUUUAGAUUUUUAAAACCUUGCCGCAAUCUUGCUGGAAACAGAGCGAAAACACCCCCACAAUCCCUCACUUUUACAGAUUCUAAUUUAUGUAAAAACAAUUGCUCAAAUGUCUUCGCAUUUAAGGAUGUACCAACCAAAACUAAGGAGGUUGGGUAUCGAUCCCAAAACCUUAUUUCAUAUUCAUUAGCAUACCCUAAUAUUAUAUGAUAUUUGCGCAAGCUGACUGGAAAAACAAAAUCUCUGGGAAUGCAUUCAACCUUCGGUAUCCUCAAUGAUAAUACGGCUAACUGAGACAACGAAUUUAGUUCUUUUAGGCUUGCAUUCAUUCCUCCUGUGCUGUCACAUCCAACAACAUCCCAUCCAUCAAAUCUGCAACCCCCGAUCAACAGCUCUUCUAACUUCUUCAACCUUCCAAUCAAAUUCACAGGGAUCCUUCUUAGCCUGUAACAACCUGUCACAUCCAACAACCUUAACUCCUUGAGCUCUCCUAUUUCAUCAGGUAAUUCUUCAAUGGAUGAGCACCACAUAAGACCAAGUAUCUUAAGUCUCUGCAGCUUUCUCAACCAAAUGAGGUCCUUGCAAUUACACGAGAUCAACACCAACGAUUGAAGUUUCGUUGAGAGUUCAAGUGAUUGCAAUGACAAACACCCUCCCUUCAGAGACAAAACUUUAAUUUCUUUCAUCCCUUCAAAGAACCUCUGAGGAACAUUCAAACGAUUAUCCAGUUCUAAUAAUAGAACUUUGAGCUGUGGACAUACCAAUCCUUCAGGAAGUUCUGCUAGUUGAUUGCCCAUUAACGAAAUUGUUGUACAACCUUCAAAGCUUGUAUCGCUCAUUGGCCACUUCUCUAACCGUAAGCCAGCCUUUACCAUGAAUCCAUAUUCUUCUGAUGCUAUGUGAAUAGCAACAUCACGAACAAGGUCAUGCAUUUUCACAUGUUCUUCAGUUUCAGAGCCCAACACCAUGCAACAAUCUUUGAGGUUUUCGAUUGCCACAGAAACACGUUUCCUUGCAUCUUCAAUGGGCUCCGUGUCGUGAUGUAACCCAUAGUCAACUGCAUAUCUCGUCAAGUCCUGGAUUGGAAUGUCAUAGUCUUCUGGAAAUAAACAGCAUAGCACGAAACAUGACUUGGUUUCCUUGAGCUGCAAAUAAUCAUAGCUCAACUUAAGACAUGUAUAAGCAUUAUUUUUUUCGUCAAUUUGUUCCAUGCAAGCAAAUUUAGAUUCUUUGAGCUGUCUACACGCGAAUUCCCACUGAAGUGCAGAUUGAUCUCUUAGAGCCCUUCCCACUGUCACAAGUGCUAUGGGCAAGCCUUGACAUUCUCUCGCAACCUCCCUUGCCACUGUGUUCAAGGUAGGGUGCCCAUCAAGUAAAUCUGCAUUGAUUCUGAAUAAAUCCCAUGCUUCUUUUUCAGGUAAUUCUCUUAAGAACACCUUUUGCUGGCAUUUCAUAGAAGAACAUACAUUUGUACGACGUGUUGUUAGAAGUAUUUUACAACCCCUGUGAUCAUCACCAAAUGGGAUCCCUAUCUCUUUCAAGUCAAUAUCUUUCCAAACAUCAUCUAGGAUAAUAAGCAUCUUCUCCACUUGCUUCAGUCUCUUCCGUAAUAGAUCUGCUCUCCCUGGAUUAGUAUUCUUUUCUUUAAUAUUCAUCAGUUCUAACUUAUCUGCCAUUAGGUGCUGAAUGUCUUUGACAAUUGGAUUCUGCGACACCGUAGCAAUCAAAACUUCAUCAAAAAGCUGCGACUCUCUGGCUAUCGUGCCUACUUCUUUCACCAGGGUGGUUUUGCCCACCCCUCCCAUGCCGUACAGUCCGAUCAUAUUGACAUUGUCAUCUUUGAGAGCUUCCAUAAUCUGUUUGAAAGCUUCUUCUGACGAUUUUGAGGGCGUGAAUUCCUUUGAUGGAAGAAAUUCUAUGGGCUCAGGAUGAGCUCUGUGGGACACUUUUGUAGACUUUUUUUCUAAAAGUUCUCUGAAAGUCUCCGACUUCUUGGCCAGUGCCUUGCUUAACUUGAAUUGUCGCAUGCAGUUUGGACACCAAGUGAAGCAUUUGCCAUUUUUUCCUAUUUCAUUUUCCAAGGGUUUCGCAUCUUCAAUUUCGUUGUUUGCAUCUCCCAGCCACUUUUUGACAUCUUCGUAAAUUUCUUCAGCAUUCCUGUCAGCAGCUUUGACAUCGUCUUGCAGACGUUCUUUUUCCGAAACCAGCUGCUCCUUCUUUUGUUUGAAUUCCUUAACAAAAUCGUUGAAACAGAACAUGUAACGCAACUGCCUUCCUACUGGUUCCACCAUGAGUUCUGCAAUCUUAGAUAUAAUGGAUCCACCCACACUUUCGAUAGCCAUUUUCCACCGACCUGAAAAUCAGAGAAAUAAGGAUACACAGAACGUGAGAGUGAGUCACUACAAGUAAAACAGGCGCAGAGAGAAUGGGAAUAGGAAUUUCAUUACCUUAACUUGAGAAAAUAUGUGCGAAAAGCACUGGUACUGAUUGCUCAAUGAAAUGGAGAAGGCCUUUAGCUCUGUAUGGAAUCCAGCUUCAAAAGCAACAAGGCAAGGUAUAAGGAUUCUACUGACACUUGUGAGUUAAAGCAGUAAUUCCCAUUAAAAAUGCAUUUUGAUGACAUAAUUAAGAUCAUAUAGAGACAGUGACAAACAAAAAAGAAAGAAACGAGUGAAAGGUCCAGGAUAAUCACUCAGCCCGCUUCCAACCACAAAUAUAAUUAACUAAUCUAAGCUAUGAUCGGUCAAAGUCAAAGUUUUUUUUAGUUUUAUUCUUUUUUUAAAUAAAAAAAACAGGAAAAGACUUGCAAAGAAAUAGAAUUACUGGAAUGAACACAAUAAAGGAUGAAGCUCAAGCAAUUAAAAAUAAAUUAUCUAUGAUGAUCAUCUGUUUGUCACACUCAAUGAAGUAACAUGAUUGACCUUUUACAAUAUUAAAUAAAUAAAUAAAUAAAAGCUAAAAGAACUAGGUUUUUGGUGGCAUCCAGAUUGCGGUUACUUUCUUCAUCCUUCUUUUGUGGUUUUAUUUUAUUUCAGUCCUUCAAAUCUUUUUCUUUUGCUAUUUCAUCGAGUUGCUUUGCUCGAGUUGAUGUGCUUGCCCUAGAAUAUGCAUCAUGCUAGGGAUUACAAUUACAUUACAUAAGAAAUUAUACUUACAGAUUAUAAUUAAAAAUUUCAGUUUUUUUUUAAAAACAAAUUUAUGAGAGAGUACCAAUUUACAACGUGAGUAAAUGAAAGGAGAAUUUUAAAUCUUUUUGUGACAUGGUGACCAGCUGAUCCAAGUAACCAAUAGAUUAUCACCACUUGUUCAACCUAUCUGCACAUUAAGAUAGGGGUAGUCAUAACUAUGACUAGGAGUGAGCAAAAAAACCGAAAAACCGAUUUAACCAAGAAAACCAGAAAAAAAUUAACCGAAAAAACCGAACCGGUAAAAAAAACCGAUUGAACUGGUUAAAAUAUUUAGGAAAAUGUCCGGUUCGGCUUCCGGUUUUGGUGUGCCUAAACCAGCCAACCCGAACCGAACCGAACCGGUUCGGUUUAGGAAUGAAAAAAAAAUAUAAACCAAGCGGGUCGCCUCCUCCCAUUACUUUCCCUUUCAACAACCCUAGCAGACCAUUUAUUUGUUUUCCCUUUCACACAGCCGCCCCCUCCCCUCCAACCCUUUCAAUCUUCAUUCACACUUCACAGACAUAGCCGCCCCCUUCAAUCACCCCUACUCCCAUUAACAGCCGCUCCCUCCCAUUAACAGCCGCCUCCUCUUCACCAGUCAACGAGCUUAGGCUAUUCUCGGACAACCAUUCUUCGAAUCUCGAAAGAAACCGCCGUGCGUGUGAGGUGGCGAAACUGUUACCGCUUCUAGAUCUUCUUCAAUCUAUUGCUUCUAUCAAAGCCGAUUACAUCGCUCAGGUAAUCUUGUCAUGUAAUUACAUAUUUAAUUAAUUAUUGCUUGUUGAUUUUAUAUUGUUUCUAUUUUUCAAUUUUGAUGUGUUAAUUAUUUUGAACAAUGUAAAAAUAAAGGUGGACGAAAGAACACAAUUUGGAAAGGAAAUUGGAAUCGUUGUCCCUGUCUCAGAUUCUCAAAAGACAAUCAAUCGCAAACAGUAUGUCCUCCAUUUUUUUUUCUUCUUUUCUUUCUCACUGGUAGAUUGGAAUUUGAAACUGCCAACAAAAGUUUGUAUUCGAAGUUAGCUUUUUGAAAAUUGACCCUAUUAUAUAUUUACUGUGGCUUAAGCUUUGAGAUAUUGCAUGAUUAUGAAUUAGUUUAUAUGAGUUGAAACUUGAAACAUAGUCUGACAAGGAUGGAUUAACCAAUUGCUGGGAAAAUAGUUUUCAAAUCUCUUUGAAAAAUGUCUGAUGCUGCGACAUAAGUCACAUAACAGACUCGAUUUGAAGGGAAUCUUUGAGAUAUUGCAUGAUUAUGAAUUGGUUUAUAGAAAUUUGCUGGAUUGAUUUUUUUUCUUUUUCUUUUUUAAAAGGGAAUUUAAUUAAAAUACAUUUUUUUCAUCUACUUUUUAAGUUUAAAUCUUAGAAUUAAUAUCCAAAAAAUUUCACCUUUGCUCGCUAAAAUAUAAUUUUAAUCUUAACAAAAAACUAUAUCUUAAAAUUGACUGUGUUGCUAUCCAACUAAGAAAUUGACUCAAGUGGCUUAGUGAUAUAUAGUGGGGACAUUCUAUUUUAGACAUGCAGCUUGUUGCCUUGUUCUACUUUAUUCUAUAAUCUAUUUGAGAAAAAUGUUGUUUAUUUCUUCUAGACACUUUAGUCUUCCAAAUUUCAGUUGUAACCAGCAAGCAUAGAGGUUAUGAUAGAGGUUAUGUAUUGGGAAGAUGAACUAUCUUUUUAUUUGCAGUGGCUGUGAAACUCUCUUUCUGUGUGUCUCUGUCUCGUGUGCGUGUGUAUAUAUGCACCUGUAAUUCUUGCUUCUCUCCAGUUCCUUUCGUUUGCAAGUUACUGUUGCUAGAGUAGGUGCAACUAGUUCUUUCCUCUACAAGUCGGGUUUGGUAAGAUUGAUUAUAAAGAAAAAGGUAUUGGUAAUGCACAAUUUGAUUUUAGUGUUGAUGUUAAGUGUGGCUUGUUUUAUGAUGGAUAAUUAUGUUGACAAUAUUGGGCUUCAUGAAUGAUGAUGCCAGUUUAUUUAUGGUCUUAAUAAGCUAUAUUACUGCUGGAUUUGUGCUCUUUAUUUAUAUGGCAAAUUCUUAUUCAAAUCUUUGAUAUUUAUCGCUAAUGAAACUUCAAUCUUGCCUCAAGUUGUCGACCAAGUCAAAAUUCCUCCUACAAGUAUACAAUAUUGUUUUAUUAUAAUGUUAUAAUGUUAUCGCUAAUGAAACUUCAAUCUUGCCUCAGGUGCUCUUUAUUAUUAUAUUGAUAUUAAAAAUAAUUUUAAAAAAUAAAAAAAAUAUUAUUUUAAAAUAUUUUUAAAAUAAAAAAUAUUUUAAAAAACAACUAUUUAUUCAAGGACUUAAAAUAAAAACCUUAAAAUCACGGCAUGAUAAAAGGAGGAAGAAAGGAAUGGGACAAAGAAGGAAGAAAAUAAGGUCAUGUAGGGGGCCAGUCUUGUAUAAAAUAGAAGAUGAAAAUUAGUAUGAAAAAGAGGCUAUUUGUUUUUUUACUGUGUCAGAGUGGUUUUUAUAAUUAUAUUCAAUUUAUUAAAAUAUUAAAUUAAUAUAUUUUUAAAUGUUUCUUGUUAUUAUAUAUAUAUAUAUAUAUAUAUAUAUAUAUAUAUAUAUAUAUAUAUAUUCUAAUAUGUUUUUAAAUAAAAAAUUAUUUUAAAAAAAUAUGUGUCACAAUACUAAAUUAUAGUAUAAAUUAAAAUAUAAAAGAGUUCUCUGUUUAUUACUAUUUACCGAGACUUAUUUUAUUGUAGAUAUUAAUAGUGAAUUUUUUUAAAAUUUUUAAUUUGGUAUUUGAAUUAUUUUUUUUUCAUAAUUAAAUAUCUUUAUACCCAAAUUAAAACUCAAUUGCAUUUUGUUUUUUAAGAAUAAGAGUUGAAUUCAAAGAUAAAUGCCUGUAAUGAAAAACUCUGUAAAAAUAUGCGGCAACAUUGUAAUUGUUUGCAAAGUUCAUUUUAGUCCCUUAUCUUUUUGAGCUACUAAGUAACAUGUCCCUAUAAUUUCUCAACAUUACAUUUUAUCCAGAAUCUCGGAUUAUGCUUUAGGGACUAAACUGAAUUUUUUAUAAAUUGAGAGACCAAACUGAAAUUUUAUCAUCUUCAAUCUCAAAUCUAAAAUUUUCACAUAUCACCUACUGAUAUAACAAGAUUUCUAACUCAAAUUCACCAUUUAAACAAACCAUAACUCAAAAUCAUCAUUUUUACUUAAAAUCUUUCAAAAUCAACUAAAUAACUCAUUAUUCAUAACAAUCAAUACAUAAUAUUCAAAUCAAUUCAUCAAUCAAACCCAAAACACAAUAUUCAAAACCCUCAUAUUCAACAAAACAAAAAAUUAAAGCUAAGAAAAACACAUUUAUACACAUCAAAGCGUAAAUAUUCUUAUCUUUUAAUUUAUUUUCUCUAACUAUCUUAUCCUUUCUUUAUCUUUUCCUCUUUUCUCUUUUUCUUCUUUCACUCUCACGGUUUUUUCUCUAAGAAUUCAAAUCUCUCUUUUUUUUUUCUAUUUAUAUUUAUGAACUAUUUGUUCAAUUACUACAAUACCGUUCAUUUAUUUAUACCUACUUCUAAGCCUCCAUGAGUUUUGUUGUCUUUUUCUAUUCUCUUUUAUUUCCAAAUCAUCACAAUAAAAUUGUUUUCUUUUUAUUUAGCUGCUAAUUUAUGCAGCUUUAGCUCUUGUUCUCUUUUCAUGUUUAGCAACUCUGAUCUGUUCCUUUCUUUACAUGAUAUAAGAGCAGGUUCUUACCUCUUGAAGUCUGCUGGAUAAACCUAUCAGCAGAAGAUCCUGAAGCGAUCCCAAAUCACAGCUUCAAUCCCCACCACAACCAAUCUCCUCUUUCCCGUAGUCUGUCGUCCUCAAUUGGGAAAUGAUCUCAAAAAAUCACUUGAUGCAACAAGUAGGGUAGAGAAAUAUAAGACUUCAACAAAGAAUCAAACUCAAAAAAAUAAAAGUAAUUGUCUAUGAGAAGCAUUUCUGUGUCACACACUCAAGUAAUAUGAUUGACCUAUUACAUUAUACAAAAUAAUAAUAAUAAUAAUAAUAAUAAUAAUAAUAAUAAUAAUAAUAAUAAUAAAAGAACUAGGUUUUUGAUGGCAUCCAGAGUGCUGUUACUUUCAAACAAAGAGGCUUGUGCAUGCGGUGUUACGCUGUUCAUGUAGGCUAAGAUAUCCUAUGAAUACAAUUGUAAAAUCAUACAAUUGUAUUCUUUUUAUUAAGCUGCUAAUUUAUGCAGCUUUAGCUCAUGUUCUCUCUUCUUGUCUUGCUAUUCUGAUUUUAUCUUUUUCUUUGCAUGAUAUAAGAGCAGGUUCUUACCUCUUGAAGUCUGCUUCAAUCCCCGUAGUCUUCCGUCCUCAAUUGGGAAAUGAUCCAAAAUCAACAACCGGUUCGGAGAUAGUUUGAGUGAAAAGAAACGGCUGAAAGAUGAAAUGUGAAGGUUAUGGUGAGAAAUUAGAUGACAAACUUACUUUGUCCUCCUAAUGCUUUUGCUUUCAUUGUUUCGAAAGUAAAAGAGACAUAAACAUAAUCAGUGUGUUUUCUGUUUAGCAAUAGCUAGAAAGGUAUCUGCUUAAAAAGACCAUUGAACAAGGGAUGACCCAUUCAGCAAGGGAUUCUGCUAGGAAAACAUGAAAUUGUUCUUCUAUUUGAUAUUUGUUUCAAUCUUCUAAACAAAUAGUACAGCAUCAAGUCUCAGUCACCUAUUCACGAAAUUGUUGUAUUUCUAAUGACUAUGCUAAUAAAAAAGUUGAGCCAGCAUGACACAUGAAAUUCAAAAAUAACAAAAUAACAUGAGAAAAUAAAUAUUUAUAUUAUAAUUAUGCAUCUUAAAAAAUCACUUGAUGCAACAAAUAGGAUAGACUUCUAGGAAAUUCUUUCACUGUAAAAUGGCUGAAGGUUCUUUUAUGAACAUUUAUAUUAAAAAAUUGGGUCAAUUGAUCUUUGUUAUUUAACAUGAAUAAAGUGUUGAUUUAGUCUUGUAGUUAUUAUAUCAAAGUUUUUAUUAGUUUAUGCACGAUCCCUUAUUUUACUUGCUUUAUUUUUUUUAAACCCAGCUUAGUUUCAAUCUCGAAUCUAUCGGGUCCCACUACCAGAUAUUCGCUAAAUACCAACGGAUUUACCGACGAAAUAUUUUCUGUCGGUAUUUUGAGGUCGAAAUUACCGACGGCCACUUUCCGUCCGUAAUUCAGUCGGUAAAAACCGACAAAAACUUUUCCGUCCGUAAUUCAGUCGGUAAAUACCGAUGGAAAUUUUCCGUCGGCAUUUACCGACUGAAUUACGGACGGAAAAGUUUCUGAAUUUUAAAAAAGGCGGGUCGCUGACGUGGAGGUUUUGGCGGGUUUUUUUUUUCCGACGGAAUCACCAACGGAUUCAAAAACGACUGCCCGUACAGUGCCCGUAAAGUGAUGUGACCGGUUCACCGUUUAAAUUUCCGACGGACUCACCGAGGGAUUUGAAAUGGCAGAUCCGUACGGUGACAUGUCUAUGUUUCCGUCAGAAUCACCGGCAUAAUAACCGACGGAGUGUCCGUCGGUAAAACCGUCGGAAAAAGUUAAUAUAUGACAGCUCUGCCGACCCUCUCAUCCCCUAUUUCUCCUUCUUCUUCCUCAUCCCAACUCUCCCCAUCUGCAAACAACCAGCCCCCCCUCCCCCCUAAAAAAAAAAAAUCUUCCUCAUAUCAGCACAAGAAGUUAUAUUUCUUGAAGUUUUGUGGUCACGGCAUCCGCGCGUGUUCUGAUUUAUCGACGGAUUUUAUCAAUUUUUGUAAGUAAUUAUAUCUUUUUAAAUUUUAACAUUUAAUUAAAUGUCAAUUUUAUUGUUUUUUUAGUAUAUGUAUUUUGUUAGUAGAUGUACAUGUUUUAUUGUUAUUUCUCAAACAAACUUGUAGUAUAUGAAUGUAUAAUUUUGUACCUGUUAUGGUUUGUUUUAGAUUUUGUAAGAUUGUAUUUGUUUGUAAAUUAUUAUUUCUUUAUGGAAUUACCGAAUUACAUGUGCUAUUUUGAAAUAAUUAAUAGCUUGGUUAAUGGGCCCGUUUAAAGUUUUAUCAAUGGUAUUGUGGAGUGGUAAUUUCUGUAAAUUUAUAUUUUUUAAUUCGUAUGGACGUUGAUAAAUGAUAAUGAAUAUUUAAUAUUUAUGAGAAGUUGUGAUUGGUUUGUUGGAUAAUCUCGAGUUAAAGUAAUAUUUGUACAAGUUUAUUUACCUAACUUAGUUAAUUAAUACAUGAUGUCAUCAUAAUUUUAUAGAGGUUCGAUAUAAGUCAUGGAUGAUCGUUCAUGGAUGUAUCGAGAUUCACCCCAAGGAUUGCGGAGGAUGGAUUAUUGUAAUGGGGUUCAGGGUUUUAUUAAUUUCGUAACAUUUAUUCCCAGAAAUUUUACUGGAGGCGGUAUUAGGUGUCCAUGCAGGAAGUGUGAAAAUAAAAAGUAUUUGCAUCCAGAUGUUGUAAUGAUACAUCUUCUACACAAAGGGUUUAUGGAGAAUUACCAGUGUUGGUAUGCACAUGGAGAAGUAUUUGUUAGCGAGAGUGAGAGGAGAAUGGAAGAAACGGUGGUUGGGUCUACUUCUAGUGCUAGUAACGUGCAUGAAACGGCAAAUGACAACACUAAUCCUUACAGAAAUAUGGUUAUGGAUGCAAUGAGAAUGAAUCAAGGUAAUGGCAGUCAAUGUCCAAUCGUAGAAGAAGAACCUAAUGUAGAUGCAGCUAGGUUUUUUGAUUUGUUGAAAGAUUCUGACGAACCAUUAUGGGAUGGCUGCACGAACCACAGUAAAUUAUCGGCUGUAGCACAGGUGUUCACCAUCAAGUCAGAUCACGGGUUGAGUGAGGCCGGGUAUGACAAGAUUAUUGAAUGGGCAAGAAGCAUUUUACCUGAAGGGAACAGGCUGAAAGAGAACUUAUAUGCUGCGAAGUUCAUGAUGAAACCCCUCGGUUUAGGAUACCAGAAAAUUGACAUGUGCCCUAACUUCUGCAUGUUAUACUACCUUGAAAAUGCUGAGAUGACUGAGUGCAUGACAUGCGGGCAUUCCCGUUACAAACCUAGAACUGGCAGGGGAAAGACUCUAGUGGCAUAUAAAAAACUUAGAUACUUCCCGAUCACACCUAGACUGCAGAGGUUAUUCAUGUCACCAAGGACUGCUGAGCACAUGACAUGGCACCAAGCACACCAUGCGGUUGAUGGAGUGAUGGUUCAUCCUUCUGACGGCGAAGCGUGGAAACGCUUUAACAGUGUUCAUCCUCACUUUUCAGCUGAAUCAAGGAAUGUGCGUCUUGGGUUGUGUACAGACGGAUUCAACCCAUUUGGGUCAUUUGCUGCUCCUUAUUCUUGUUGGCCGGUCAUACUCACAGUUUAUAACUUGCCACCGGGAAUGUGUAUGAGGCCGGAGUUCAUGUUUUUAUCUAUUGUCAUACCCGGUCCAAGAAGCCCGGGGCGGAAUAUAGAUGUUUGUCUUCGACCGUUGAUUGAUGAGUUGACGCAGUUGUGGUCCUCCGGAGCUCUGACUUAUGAUAUAUCGAGGAAACAAAAUUUCCUUAUGAGGGCGGCAUUGAUGUGGACUAUCAAUGAUUUUCCAGCUUAUGGAAUGCUUUCUGGUUGGAGCACGCAUGGGAAACUCGCAUGUCCAUAUUGCAUGGAAAACAACAAGGCAUUCACGCUAGCAAAUGGAGGUAAAGCUUCUUUUUUUGACUGUCACCGUCGCUUCUUGCCACUUCAUCACAGGUACAGAAAGAACAGAAAAGAUUUCUUUGCUGGCAGAGUUGAAAAAGAUGUUGCAUCCCCGCGUCUUUCUGGUGAAGAAUUGCAUGAUGUUGUCUUAGAGUACGGUGACAUUGUGUUUGGCCUUCAAUCAGGAAAGCAAAAGUUUCCUGGUUUUGGUUUGACCCAUAAUUGGGUAAAGCGAAGUAUCUUUUUUGAGCUUCCUUAUUGGAAGACCAAUCUGCUUCGCCAUAACCUUGACGUCAUGCACAUCGAAAAGAACAUGUUUGAGAAUAUUUUCAACACCGUCAUGGAUGUGAAGGGGAAGACAAAGGACAACAUCAAGGCUAGAUUGGAUAUAGCUUUAUACUGUAACCGAAAAAAUAUGGAGUUGGUUUAUGAUGAGUCACGGGUCGCAAAACCAAAAGCAAGCUUCGUGUUAGAGAAAAACGCACAACUGCUAGUCUACAAAUGGCUUAAGAGUCUGCGUUUUCCGGAUGGACAUGCAUCGAACAUAUCAAGGUUGGUUAAUAUAGAGGACUGCAGAUUGUAUGGAAUGAAGAGUCAUGACUGCCACGUGUUUAUGCAAACACUCAUCACAUUAGCUUUUCGUGAUUUGUUGCCAAAGGGAAUAUGGGAUGCACUCACGGAGAUCAGUCAUUUCUUCAGAGAUAUAUGCUCCAGCAAGUUGAAUGUUGAUCACAUUGAGAGGCUUCAAACGAAUAUCGUCGAGACACUGUGCAAACUUGAGAUGAUAUUCCCUCCAUCAUUUUUUGACUCAAUGGAGCAUCUCCAUAUACAUCUAUCGUUCGAGGCAAAAGCUGGAGGACCGGUCCAAUAUAGAUGGAUGUACCCAUUCGAACGGUUAGAUAUUACAGUUGCAAUGUAAUUCAUAUAUAAAAGUAUUUUAUAUGUUUUUCUUAAUUGAAAAUACUUGAUUAAUAUUUCAGGUGCGGUCGCAGCUAGUUCGUCUAGCAGCGAGGAUGAUAUUUCCUUAGGUGCCUCUCAAGAAGAGGCACCUACACCACCUGCGCCGUCAACCGAUGCUGCCUCUUCCAGCGGUACUUCACAGCGCAGAGGCGGCGUGCCUUCGCAGCGGAAUCAAUUUACCCGCAAGUACGAGGCACAGUGGAAGGACGACCUUUCAAUGUAAGUUUGUUAAGGUUUUAGUUUUUUUUAAAAAAAAUUACAACAUAAUUUAUCAAGUAAUCACUAUUGAAUUUAUUUCAUUUAUUUUCAGGUUCACAAACAUUGAAGUCGCCCGAGUAAUAUCAUCGGCGUUUAAAUCGUCGAUGGAGAUUCCAUUGUUUCAAUGGAGUCAGAUAUCCAAGCAUCCUGAAUGGAUGCCUCAAAUCAAUGCAUGGUUUAACAGGUUUGAGGUUGGUAUUAAUUUAUAAUUUUCAGCUUAUUAAUAUAAUUGUAUUAUUUUUAUUUAAACUUGUUUAUUUAUACAAAGCACAAAUUCUGCUAGGACAUUGAGCAUAACGCUGUUGUGAGGAGGGUGUGGGAAAAUCACGCGGCAACUAGGUAAGAUCGAAAACAAUACAUGAUUUUUUUUAGACAAAAAUUUAUGUUUCGAAAUGUAAUUUUUGGUUGCGUGAAGCAGGUUGCGUGAUUUUUGGUAUGAAGCACAGAAAAAGGCAAAAAAAACCGCGAGGGAUAGGGGUUUCCAAGGCUGGAACGAUGUUGCGGUUUGGAGGGAUUUCAAACUGAUAUACAUCCCGGAAGAUAUAUGGCCGCACUAUCUUGAGCACGUGACGUCUGAGCAGUUCACACGACGCUCACAGUCCGGUGCUGGCAACCGGAAUCGACCAAUUCAUGGCGGGGUGAGAACUCACACUGGCAGCUCCGUUCCGUUUGCUGCACAUGCGAAACGGAUGGUAAGAUUAAUUUAAAUGAAAUAUAUCGUUAAAUUCAGUUGUUGUUAAUAUAUCUUUUUUCAUUAUAGGCUGCGUCUCUUGGACGUGAGCCGAGCCCGAUGGAGCUGUUUGUGGAGACGCACGUGCGGAGUCAAGACCGCCAGAAGGGGGCGCAACAGUUCGUUGAUAACCGUGCUCAGCAUUUCGUGGUAUGUUUGUUCAACCAUUUUAUUUUCUAAGUUAUUAUGUUUAUUGUAUUGAAUAUGAUGAUUACUUUUUUUAUUUUAUUUUCAGGAGACCUAUAAUAAUCGGUUGAGGGAGAGAUACGGGGACGAUACUUUGACCCAUCCGGAAUUCGAUCCGGAUUUGUGGAUGGAGGUUGGCUCGUCAGGUGGACCAGAUAAAAAUCGGGUUUACAGCCUCUCCAACACUACGGCCGACAACUUGCGGUCGACCCAUAGUGUUUCAACCGUUGGGAACUCCCAAUCAAUAGCGAGCUCCCAAUCUAAGGAGUUUGUGGCUUUGCAGCAACUCAACGAGAAAUACGACAACCUACAAGCGGAGUACGCACAACUCAAAGCAUCUCAUGCACAACAAAGAGCGGAGUCUGAGCAAUUCAAAGCGUCUCAAGCACAACAAAAAGCGGAGUAUGAAGCGGCUCAUGAACAGCAAAAAGCGGCUUAUGACCAGCUUUACGAAAUGAUUAUGAAAUUGUCAAAUAGCGGAACAUGUGCGCCUAAUCCUUUUUGGCCGUAUAACCACCAGCCUCCGCCCGGAUCUCCUCCUCCUCCUCAAGCUCCAUCAUCUUUAUAUUAAUUUGUAAUCAACAUUAUUUACCUUUAAAACUUCAUUUAUUAUUUUUCUUGAAACAUAUUCAGUUUGUAAUGAAUAUUAUUUAACUUUUUUUUUUUAUGUUUAAUAAAAAUUUUAUUUGCAUAAUUGGUUUGUAUAACAAUUAAUUUAUAUAGUUUUAUAUUAUAUAUCCUAAAUAAUUUUUUAAAAACAAAUUAAGAAAAAAACUAUUACCAAGGAUUUUACCGACGGAUGAAUUCGGUCGGUAUUUUAAACUUUCACCGACAAACUUACCGACGGAAUUAAUCCGUCGCCAUUUAACAGUAGCUUCCACCAGUACCGACGAAUUUACAGACGAAAAUAUUCCGUCGGUAUUUCAUACAUUCACCGACCGAUAUCACGACGGAUAUUUUCCGUCGGUAAUUUCAAUUUCACCGACGGAAUGAAAAUCCGUCGGUAUAUUUCAAGCGGGAAUCUUUUUUUUUUGGCGCGCACGUUCCGUCUGUAAAACCGUCGGUAAAUGAUUUUUUUGUUUUUCCGACUGAUAUACCGACGGAAUGAGGAAUCACCGACGAAGGUAAAGCCGACAGACGUAUUCCGUCGGUAAAAAAAUCACCGACGAACUUCUAAUCACACACCGACGGAAUUUUGCCGCCGGUAAAACUGUGAAAUCUUGUAGUGUCCUGGAUCGACCCAUAAAGCCAAACCAAGUUUUAAAACUAUGUUAUCUUAGCAAAUUUAAUUAUCCCAAUUCUUAAUUUUCAAUUGAAAAUGCUAAAGAAUUCCCCACUGGGAGCAAAUAAUAAUAUGUUAAGCAUGACAAAUUUUAUUUAAAUUAAAAAGCCAAAAAUGAACGCAUCUACUCUUGCAAGAAUGGACUCAAAAGUUCAGCUAGUCCGCAUAAUUAAAUAGUACUGUUACUGUAAACUACUAGGAAAUUCAUGGGUAGAGCCAAAAUGUUAACAAUAGCAUUGAUUCGGUCAGGGGCUCUGGUGUAUAGAGAGGACCUUGCCGUUAGAAACUAUGGAGCCCACUAUUUAUUAAUCCAUUUUUAUUUACUACUUAUUACUAUUUAAUUAUUUUUAUUUACUAUAUUUUUGUUUGUGAUACCCAGUACCAAUAAAAUUUGAGAUUCCUUCAAUUUUUUAGGUGCAUGCAAGUCUAAUGGCUUCAUGUACAAAAGCAAUUCAAGGGUGUGUAUCCUUAACUAUCAGGCUAACCUUUACAGGCUUCGCUAGCAAUCAAUAAUUAUUUUUUAAUGAAUUCAUUUUUUAUUUAAAAUAAGGAAAAGGACAUUGGUGAAUAAAUUGUUUCCUUCCUAUUAUAAUUGUUAGACCUUACCAAAGGGCUAAUUUAGAAAAAGAUUAUAACUUAUAGGUCACCAGGGCCGAGGUCAACUUGUAAUUAAGUAGAUCAAUUUAAAUUAAUUGUUUUUAUUUAAAUGAUAAUGUUUUGUUUUUUUUUCUUGAUAUUAAUUUGGCUAAUUUUUAUCAAAUCAAAUCACUAAAAACUUAACCAAAACAAAUUUCAUCAAAUCAAUAAUAUUUUAUGUAGUUGAAUUAAAAAUUCAAUUCAAUUCUAGCUCUGAACCCUGAUUAAGCAUACAGGUUUAAAAAAUAUGCAUCUCACUUGCAGCUGUGGUUUGCUGCGGGCAUUUGGUAAUUGGGAGAGGCUUUAGUUUCGUACCUGUUGAUCUGCUUCAUAUACACUUGGACCUCUUAUUUUAUUUUAUAUUGGUUGGAUCCAAACUUAAUCCAAUACAAAAUUAACAUAUUUAUUAUUUAUUUAAGAUAAAUGAUAUGGCUUUAACAUAUUAGCGUACACUUAAUAUGAUUAAAUUUAAUUUAAUUAAUUAACAUCUCACCGCAAUAAAUUUUACCAUUUGCAACCAUAAACAGUUGACACCUUAUUAAUAUAAUCAAUAUAGUAGAAAAAUUAUAGUGAUUUAAAACAAUUCAUUAAAAUGUUCGUAAAUGUUUUUAUUUUGUGAUGAUGGUUUUCGUGUUAUCUUUUAUGUAUUGUCGCUACCGUACAUGAACGCCUGACAUGAGGGUUAUUUGAAAUCAUUAUCUAGUUAUUUAGUUUAAGGUCACUAAGAAACCUAUAAAUACUAGUCUUGUUAGAGAUUUGAGAGUAAAUGACUAGUUGUGGCUAAAGAAUGUAUUAACACUCUUAAUGCACCCUACCCAAGUAAAUUAUUUUGUGAUUAAACGUGGUUUAGAGAUUUUGAUGAUUUUCUGAUAUAUCUAUAGUUUAGGAUUGGGAUUUGCUUGUAUGAAUAAAUUUGGUGUUUAAUAAUUUAUCAUGGAUUCUUGUACCCAGAUAAAUUCUUAGAAAAAAAAGUUCUUCAUAAUUUGUGUACGUAUUACGGUAAAAAUUACUCUCAAUAAAAAUUCAUGAAUAUUUAGAAUAACUUUGAGGAUUUUCUAAUCAACUUCAAUAUUUCAAAUAUCAGCCUCACUUAUAGGUAUAGCGUUUUAUAUCAAUAUUUUUAACCAUUAAUUCUCAUUAAUUAAAAAAUAGUGGUUUAUUAAAAUAUUGACCAAAUUCACAUGAAUUUAAUAAACUAGUUAUUAAAUUUUAAAAUGCAUAUACAUAUAUAAUAUUUUAAUUUGUUUUUAAAUAAAGAAUAUUUUUAAAAAGCAUGUGCCAUAAUACCAAAUUAUAGAAUAAAUUAAAAGAGAAAGGAGUUUUCUCUUCAUCACUAUUCACUUAUAUUCAUUUUACUAUGGAUAUUAAUAGUGAAUUUUUUGAAAAUUUCCAAUUUGGUACUCAAUUAUUUUUUUUUCACAAUUGAGCUCUUUUAAAUCCAAAUUAAAGCUUAAUUGCAUAUUUUUUCAAGGAUGAGGGUUGAAUUGAAAAACAUAGGACUGAAGUGAAAAACUCGAAUAAAAUAAGUUGUGGUUUUGCAAUUUGUUUGCAAGUUCAUUUUAGUCCCUAUAAUUUUUUAUCAUUGUAUUUUGAUACCAAACUUUAUUUUCUUCUGUUUUUAGUUUUUUUGUGUAAGAGAGAGAGAGAGAGGAUCACCAUAUUUUGUUUUAGAGAGAAAAAGUUAUUUUUAAGGAUUGUGACCACCAAAACAAUUGAUUUUUGUGUUAAAUUGUUAUGUCUUAAUUCAACAAGGUUCCUUGAAUGUUUUCUAGGUGUUUUGGGUUAAAAUGGGUUGAAGACAGGUUUUAGGUUAUAAUUAGGUUUUUUACCAAAUUGAUCAAAUUUUUUUAAAAAAAAAAACAAAUCAAGAAGAGAAAAAGACUUGUAAAAAAGUAGAAUUACUGAAGGAAGCUCAACAAAGAAUCAAACUCAUGCAAUUAAAAAUAAUUGUCUAUGAUGACCAUCUCUGUAUCACACAUUCAGGAAAUAUGAUUGACCUAUAACAAUAUUAAAAAAAACAAAAAAAAAAUAAGCUAAUAGAUGGUCGCCACGUGUUCAACUUUAUCUAACCUUAGCAAAGGAUAGAAAGUGGGAGAGAGAGAGAGAGGUUAAAAGGAUUAAGAAAAAGAAAAAAGGAAAGGCAGAAACGGAAGAAGACAUUGAAAGAAAGAAAAAAACGAUAAGUUAUUUAACGUCUUUUUAGGGGGGGAAAAAAAAGCUUGUAACACCGUGCAGACCAAACAGAAGAGACAUCUGUUUAUUUAAAGAAAAAAAAAAUAUAUAUAUAUAUAUAUAAAUACUCUCUCUUCCAAUUUCCUCUCCCAGCUGAAUUUCGGCGACCGCCCACACAACGAUAGCCUACACAACCACCAGCCAUGCCACCUUUCAAGACCCCAUCUCUCAACCUCAAAACCAAAAACAACUCUUUCUCCAUUUAUCCGAACCUCAUAACUCCAGGAAGGUGAAGGACUAAACCAUAGUGGCAAAAAUCUUAAAGGGUUCUAAAUUGUCUGUUACUUUCCCUUAAUUUUCUAGACAAGCAAAAGGAGCUAAACUUAUUCCCGACCAAAACGUCAAGAAUUUCAGUAGAACAAAAGAAGAGAUCAUUACUUGACCAAAAACAACUAGUCAGCACCCAAAGAAACCGAGUGAAUGAGAGAAAAUUAAAGAUUAAUAGCUAGAAAACAAUAAACAGAUCCAAGAAUUUUCUGUAUGGUUUCCAAGAAAAUGAAACGAAAUGAGCAGCACAACCCUCUUUCUCCUCCAAGAAAAGAAAGAAAAAGAAAGGAAAGAAACAAAGAAAGUCAAACUUGGCUCCUCUUUUAGUGUUAAAAAAAAAAAGAAGUUAGAGGAAGUGGGCUGCCUUUUUUCUGCUGUUCAUGUGGUGUUCUGCUGUUCACGCAGACUAAGAACUCCUACCAUCGUAAAAUCAUACAAUUAAAACACAACAAUAAUAAAGUAAUAAGCAGCUAAUUAUGUGCGAAAACAAGAGAAAUAAGGAUACAGAACGUGAGAGUGAGUCACUACAAGUAAAAGAGGCGCUGAGAGAAUGGGAAUAGGAAUUUCAUUACCUAAACUUGAGAAAAUUGUGCGAAAAGCACUGGUACUGAUUGCUCAAUGAAAUGGAGAAGGCCUUUAGCUCUGUAUGGAAUCCAGCUUCAAAAGCAACGAGGCAAGGUAUAAGCAUUUUGAUGACAUAAUUAAGAUACUAUGCGUCGUAAUAUAGAGACGGUGACAAAGAAUUAAAGAAAAAUAACGUGUACAAGUACUCACCAAGCAAAGAAAGAAACGAAUGAAAGGUUCGGGAUAAUCACUUAGACGCCUCCAUGGAUGAUACCAGCUCGCUUCCAACAACAAAUAUAAUUAACCUAAGCUAUGAUCGGUCAAUGUUUUUUUUAGUUUUCUUCUUUUUUAUAUAUAAAAAAAACAGAUCAUCAAGGGAAAAGACUUGCAAAGAAGUAGAAUUAAUGGAACGAACACAACAAAGGAUCAAACUCAAGCAAUUAAAAGUAAUUGUCUAUGAGUACCAUCUGUGUCACGCACUCAAGUGAGGAGAGAAAAGAAGGAGAAAGAAAGGAAAGGGACAAGGAAGGAAGAAAGUAAGGUCACGUAGGGGCCAGUCUUGUAGAAAUUUUGAAAAGUAGCAUGAAAAAGAGGAUAAUAGAGUAGUUGUCAGAAUCAAAACACAUCUAAACAGAGGACAAAAACAGGGAGGGAGGCUGUUUGUUUUUUUAACUGUGCCUGAGUGAUUUUUAUAAUUACAUUUAAUUUAAAAAAUAUUAAAUUAAUAUAUAUUUUUAAUAUUUCUCGUUAUUACAUAUAUAUAUAUAUAAUAUUUAAUAUAUUUUUAAUUAAAUUUUUUUUAAAAAAAGUAUGUGUCACAAUACAAAAUUAUAGUAUAAAUUAAAAGAAAAAGGAGUUUUAUGCUCAUUACUAUCCACUAGACUUGUAGAUAUUAAUAAUAAAGUUUUUGAAAGUUUUCGAUCUAGUAUUUGAAAUUUUUUUUUUUUUGCAUAAUUGAAUUUAUUUAAGCUUAAUUGCAUAUUUUUUAAAAGGAAAUAGGUUGAAUUGAGAAACAGAGAAACUCGGCAAAAAUAUGUGGUUAAAAUCAAUCCUUUUUAAAAAAAAAAAAAAAAAACUCCUUAGUUGUUAAGGAAAGAUUGGUAGUGUGAACAAAUCACCAAAGUCAGCAGCAAGGAAGUUCCAGGAAGUGGGCAGCCUGUUUCAGGGCUACCUGUUUUUGAGAAUUAUGGAAAGUUAUCCCUAACUCAAAAACGGCACCAAUUAUAAGUUCAUUAAAAAAAAUCUGGAACACAACAGAUGGAAAAAACUCGAAACAACUUGUAUAGAAUUUAGGCAAGAAGAAUGAGCCAAGAUUUCAAGUGCAAUGAAAUUUGUCUCACUUUGUUUUUUUAUUUAAUGAUACAAGAUAUACCGUCCUAUUUCAAGGGUAAAAUAGAAUGGAAUAGACAACCUUUAAAGGGAGCAUAUACCACAUAUGUGUAGCUGGAAUUCGAUAGCCUUUCUCCAAUGCUGACAUGUGCUUUACAUGCAUGCACCAACAUUUCACAUCGGCAAGUGAGGAUUUGGUAGCUCAUCUUAUUAAUAGUGUUGGUUAAUGACUUGUCAGACGCGUUUUGAGGUCAUGCGUGGUCAUCAAAAACAAAUUUGUGAGGGCGAUAAGGUCCAAAAUGGACAAUAUUUGACAAGUUGGAUCGGACUAUGACAUUUGGUAUCAAAGCUGGCCUCACUAACUAUCCAGUUGUGCUGAUGGGGUCAUUGAGCUCCUUAAGGGGGUGAAUUGUAAUAUCUCACAUCGAUGAAUGAGGAUUUAGAAGCUGACCUUAUUAGUAGUGCUGGUUGCUAACUUGUCAGAUGCGUUUUGGGGUCAUGCGUGAUCACAAAAAACAAAUUCGUGAGGAUGAUAAGGCCCAAAACGGACAAUAUUUGGCAGGUUGGGUCAGGCUGUGACAUAUUCGAUAAUAACUCUUCAAUUAAGUCCUAAAUCUCAUUUCAUCUUUUCAAUUUAAUCCCUAAUUUGACACCAACUCUUCAAUUAGACCCCAAAGCUCAUACCACUUGAGGAAAGCCCUCUUCUUUCAAUUUAGCCCCUCAUUUAUCUUUAAUUUAAUAUCGAAUUUUAUUCGAUCCAAGCCCAAAAUAGGCUCAAGCGAAGACAAAAUAAAGGAAGGAAAGAAAAUGAAUAAUUGCCCAACCAAGUUAACGUAUUCUGGUCUUUUCUCCAUGAUUCGGGUUGAACAUUUGACAUUUAUCCUUUUUUUAGAGGCUUUUCUCUAUGUUCGUUAUGACGCUGUACACGUGCGACAACCAUUAAAUCUAUAGUUAAUUUCAUUUUUUGAUAAAAGAUAAUGCCAUCAGUAUAGAAUGGUUACCAACUGUUAGUUUAAUAAGCCUUGUAUCCAAUCGGUUAGUUACACGAUAUAUUAUUAUAUUCAUGUAAAUACAUAUUUAUUAUUAAUAAAGGCUUAAUUUAACUUUAAUAUUCAUAUAAUAUUAGAUUAAUGAAUCUAGAGUGUCAUAACCCUUUUUGGGUUUUUCCCCAAAUUCAUUUUUUCUCUUCUAAAAAUUAAAAAAAUAUAUAUAUUUAGACUAAAAAAAAUAAUAACAGUGAGAAGGGGAUGCCAAAACGCCUGGAAAAUAACUAAAAAUUGGUUGAGGAGGUUUAAAAAUACAAGGAUUGAAAUUUGGCAGUAUAUCAUUGACUGAUGAGAGCCCGAUUGACAAAGAAAAUUCAAUUUGAGGAAGAAAUGUCUAAAAUCAGAUGUUUAUUGGACUCAAUUAAAUUUAUUAAAGGUUAAAUUGAGUUUAUAGAGGGUUUGAUUGCAAGAACAAUUGAUUUUGGAGUCAAUUUGGGCUUUAUUUGGAAGAAAUUAAAGUUCUGAGGUCAAAAUAUAAUUUUAAGGAGUUAAUUUGGUCAAAUCAGGGGCUUAAUUGCAUAAAUAUUGAAGUUUGAUGGCCAAUUAGGGACUGAAUUGAAGAAAUCUCAAACCAAGAACCAAACUGGAAAAGACACGUAAAUAGAGAGGCUGUAAUUAACCGAAUAAGGGGCUAAAUUAAAGAAAUUGGAAGUUUAUUUAUUAAUUAAGGGUCAAAUUGCAUACAUCAGAGACCAAGGACUAAAGUGAAAAAGGCGGCCAACUUCAGGGCCGACGAUUGAAUUUGACAGGGAUGCAAUUGAAUUGAUUUUUAAAAUCAAAAUAGCAAUUUAGGACUUGAUUGAAUAAAUCACAAAUUGAAGACUGAUUUGGACUUUGACACGAUUUUGCCGCCAUUUUCAUUUUGCUUAAUAUUGGUUUGUAUUUUAAUACUGUAAAAAUACAAAUCCGAUAUUAAAAUACUUGGUUUUUGUCAAAACAUAAAAUAUAUAUAUAUAUAUAUAUAUAUAUAUAUAUAUAUAUAUAUAUAUAUAUAUAUAUAUUUGUUUCAUGCAUACGUCCAAGUCUCUCAAAGAUAAAAAAAAAAAAAAAACCAUAUUGUAUUUUCAUACUACAAAGAAAACUUCAAAAAAAAAUAUGUUUUAACAUGCAUUUUGGCUUUAAUAACCAGUUUAUUAAAGUCACGAGAAUUUGGCAAAUAUUUAAAAAAUUUCAAAAAAAAUAUUUGUUUUUUUUAGUAUUAGGGAUUAUGAAUUUAUAUGUAAAAUGUAUUUUCAAUAUUAAAAGUGUUUUUCUUUUGAUGACAUAAAACAUUUAGGUGUUUACCUGAUAAGAUAAGAAUCUCUUUAUAGAGGAGGAUUUUUCUUAAACCAUAGAUAGACUGACAAUUAAAAACCACAACAAGACCUUAAAUUUUAUCAAACAACAAAACAAUGCAGCUUACAUUAGGUAGGGUGUAGUUGGGGUGCUAAUACCUCCCCUUUAUGCAACCAGUCUUCGUACCCGAUCUCUAAGACCAAUUAGGGUUCCUAGUGACCAAAAUACUAGGUGGAAACUCCCAUUCUAUUUUCCACUGAUAAAAGACAAGAAUUCCUUGUCUCCCCACAUUUACCAGAUAGAUAUACAUUUACUUGAGAGGGUGGACGUUUAUCGUGACACCGCACACAUGCGACAGAAUGGCGACUCCACAAGGUACCUUGUGGAUUAAUCUUUGUUUUUGUCUGAUUAUCGUGUUUUAUUGUUUGGUUUGUGUGUUAUUGUUAAUAUGCAUUUUCUCAUUUGCUCAUACGCUUUAAUUUUGUACAUAUUUGUUCAUGGAUUGUAUAAAAUUGUUUCAUGCAUCAUUCACAUUUUAUGAGAGUUUAUACUGAGAAAAACUUUAGGUUAAGUGGGGGACUAGUAGCUUACCUUACAAUUUUUAGUCGAGGUUUAAGUUUGUGUAAACCUCAACUCUUUGCUGAGUACUUAGAUUGAUAAUGAUUGGUACACAUGUCAUCUCAUUACCUAUUAAGCCCUUAUAUUGCCUUUACGAGGGUGAUCACUGGGACAACAAGAGACCCUUUUAAGACUAGGUAGAAAUGCACCCAUCAUGUAAUGGCCCAAAACCUAUCCUUAGAGUAUAAGCUCCCUAAUAUACAUGUACAUAUAUUUGCAUCCAUACAUACAUCAAUUCAUUGUAAAUAACAUACGUGCAUCAGAUUGAAAUAUAGGUCCCUAAAAAGUGUACAACACCCGACUUUGAGCAAGAAACAUAGAAGAUGGAGAGCGUGCUCACCGUGAUGCCUAUUUUCAAGAAGAGUUGGAGUCUCUGAAGACAAGCAUGGCUCGCCUUACUAGCUUACUCGAGCAAACACUGAGAAAUACCUCUGGUGAAGGCCCUUCUAACCGGCUAGUCACCGUCAAUUAGGCUUCAACUACAGUUUAGCCUGAAGAAAGAAUGAGUGAACAUGGUCAAGAGCCUUAAUAAAAUCCAACAUUUGUACAGUCAGCGACACUUGCAUUAGCCCCGACAGUCAUGAAGGUAUUUGCUAAUGAGUCCCAUAUGGCCAAUUCAUCUGAUAGCAUUGAUCAAGAUAAAAUACAGGCAUUGGAAGCCAGAAUCAAAGUCAUUGAAGGGGUAGACUUAUAUGACCCAGUUCGGGCAGCAAAGAUGUGUCUGGUCCCAAAUAUGGUUGUCUCGAAAAAGUUUCAUGUUUCGGAGUUCAUCAAAUAUAGUGGAAUACAAUGCCCCAUGACUCACCUCAAGUCUUACUGCAAUAAAAUGGCAGAGAUAGUACAUGAUGAAAAACUACUGAUGCAUUUUUUUAGAGAUAGUUUAAGUGGGGCAAUAUUGAGCUGGUACAUGAGAUUGGACAACACAAAAAUCUAGAGAUGGAAGGAUAUGGUGGUUGCUUUUGUCAAGCAGUACAAGUACAACAUGGACAUCACUCCCGACAGAAUCAACUUGUCCAAUAUAGAGAAAAAGGAUAAAGAAAGCAUAAGGGAAUACGUUUAAAGAUGGUGGGAAUCAGCUGCUCAAGUACAUCCCCAACUUCUGGACAAAAAGAUUGGCACUUUAUUUGCCGACACACUCAAGGCACCAUAAUGGGUAGUUUGGCCCAGCAAUUCACUAAUGCUGUGGUAGUGUGUGAACACAUAGAGCAAGGCGUCAAGAGUGGUAGAAUUUCUGCACCCAUUGAGAAUAGAGGUUUCGAAUGAAAAGAGGUUAACCAUAUUGAAGAUGGCUACAAGGGUAGGAAAAACUUAUCCCAAAACUACCAUACUUCAUCCCAAAUUGCCGACAUAAAAAAACCUGAGCCCCAAAACUUUCAAGCCAAAAGCCAAAUUAGAAAUUACCAAAGGGUCCAAGAACAACUACCUCCAUUACCGCUACCAUUAAAUGAGAUGUACCAGAAGUUAUUAAGCAUCAGACAUAUAGCUCCCGAACCUCUAGCACCUUUGCAACCCCCUUACCCCGGCUGGUAUAAGCCAGAGCUCACUUGCGAAUACCAUGCUAGUGUUGCUGGACAUGACAUUUAUAUUUGCAACACCUUUAAGAGAAAGCUUCUGCAAUUAAUUAAGGCAGGGUGGAUAGCAUUUGAAGACACUCUGAAUGUGAACACAAACCCUCUACCUAAUCAUGCUUAAAGCAGUGGAUUAGAAAUGCACUAGCAAUCGAAUGUUCGGGGAAUUUGAAAUCAUCAAUGGGCCAGGUAGGGUGCGAAAGGGUAGCAUAAAUUUUAAAGGACUCAAAUUCCAACCACAGUUGUUAUCCCCAUCAUCCCAAGAAUUAUUACAGGGAGGCUAGCCUAAAAGGAGAUUUACCAAAAUGAAAGGAUGAGGCCUGCCAUAUUAUUGCCUUUUGUUUAAUCAUGUUGGUUUCAACUAUUUCAGUCUUGUCGGUAAUUUAGCUCAUAAUGCCACAAGACUUUCUUUGUCAAAUAAGCCUUCUUGUUAAUAAGAUCAUGUAUUUUCCUGUGCUUAUAACAUGUUUUCCUUUUUCCAAAAUAUGCAUGAUCUCACAUGUUCAUAAGAAUUUUAGGAAUUCAAAGUUUGGUAUAAAAAUAAAAAUCAUAUUGGUGUUUGUCCAAAACAAAUAAAUUCUGGAAAUUCAAGUGAUUCCUUAGAAAGAUAAGUAUACACGUAGAAAACUUGAAAAAACAAAUAAACAAAUAAACACAUAAAAAAAAUCAUAAGGUGACUCCAAAGUUAAGUUUUAUUUGAAUAAAUAAUGAGAAAUCACUUUGCAUACUCGCAUGAAAGCAAGACGUAUCGAUCUUAAGUGCAUGUGUUUGAGAUGAGGAAAUGCCUUCUUUGAUAAUCGCUUCACGAGGCUAAAAUAUAUCCUUUGCAAUCCCUUUUUGAGUCUAGUAACAUUUUUUGAAAAUAACCUUGGCUAGGAUCACACUCAAACUAGGGUUAAGUGCGAGAGACACAGAAAAGACCUUGAUGAUUGAAGUGCCCAAGCAACACUGGGGGCAUAAAAGAAAAUUCUCAAUCAUCAAAGGUGCCCAAACAAAGCUAGGGGUAUGAAGAAAAAUCCAAAGGAUCCAAAAAUUUUAAGCAUACAAAAAAAAAACAAUUAAAUAAUGCUCAAAACCAAAUGAAGAAAAAAAAAAUAAAGAGAAAGAGCCCAACAUUGGGGGGCACGAUAAACCAUUUUGAAAAGACAUUCCAAAGACAAAAGGUCAGGAAACAAGCACUAGUGAUCCUUAGUCUUGAAAUCCCGUGAAAUACCUUUUGAGCCUACAAAUAUCCUUUUCUUCAUAACCAAGAACCCAAGCCUAUAUUACAUGCCUAAUCAAGCCCUUUCUGAUCAAAGACAAGCAAUCUGGAUCGGCAGACAAUGCUUUCUCAUACAACCCAAAUUAUUAUUCAUGUAAAUAAAAUAAAUGCUUUGAAGACUGGUUCUUUGUAACCCUCAAAUUAAAUCUUAAACCAUUUUUUACCAAACCCAAUGUCACUUCAUGUUUUUCACCAAAAGCAAAACGAAAGGUUUUCAUCACUUCUGAAAACCUCUUCAUAGGAAUCACUUGAAUUUCUUCAGAACAAGUUUGCUUUGAAUCGAUGUCAAAAUGAUUUCUGUGUUUGGAAUAGCUUUUAAAUUCCAACAUUUUUGCAUCAGAACAACUCCUUGUCAAAACUUCCUUUACAUAGCCUCAUUCCCAAACCCGAAUUAAAUACUUGGGGGCAUGAUCAAGUUGGGAGGCAAUAAAAAAUACAUGGUAGGGCAGACUUUAUAAUUCUUUUUCUAAGAAAAAUGUUGGGUAGAAUUGGCAACCCUUGAGAUAUAGGUUAGAGGGCAAAGAAGUAGGAUGAUAUGAAGCCUUUCUUAGAGGUCAAGAUCACAAGAUAUGACUCAAGUAAGCAAGAGCGAAAAAGUCAUCGAAAUUUACUACUUACACUCCAACUUUUGAGAAAAGAAAGACAUCAUGAAGAAAUGAGGACCUAUAUUUCUCAGGUAAGUAUACAUGCAUAUCAAUCAUAGUGCAUUACUUUCAACAUUGUCAGAUCGGUGUUUCACCAUCACCUUUUGGGUAGGACAUUUUAUAACCCUACCUCAUUUUGAGUGUGCCUUUGAGCCCUUAUUUUCUUUUCGAGUAAGUCUUUGAGCCCUCAUCUCAUUUUAAGUGCGCCUUUGAGCCCUUACUUCGUUGUCAAGAUGCGACUUUGAGCCUUUGCUUCCUUUGGAGUGCGCCUUUGAGCCCUCAUUUCCUUUUGAGUACGUCUUUGAGUCCUCAUCUCUUAGGUAGUGCAUUUUAUAACCCUACCUCAUUUUGAGUGCAUCUUUGAGCCCUUACUUCCUUUUGAGUGCGCCUUUGAGCCCUCACUUCAUUUCGAGGGUGGUAGUGUAUUUUCUAACCCUACCUCCUUUUGAGUGCGCCUUUGAGCCCUCACCAUCUUCCUGGAUAGGUCAUCCAUUACAAUGAUGCUAUUUUUACACUUGGGUAGGUCACCUAUUAUAAUGAGACCAAUCUUUCCUUUCCCACUUGGGUAGCUCACUCAAUACAAUGAGACUAAUUCUUCGUAUUUUUUUGCCUAGGUAAGUCCCUCAUUAUAAUGAGACCAUUCUUCCACCUGGGUAGGUCACCUAUUAUAAUGAGACCACUAUUUCCUUUUUUUUUCCCUUUGGGUAGGUCACCCAUUGCAAUGAGACCAUCCUUUUUUCUAGGUAGGUCACCUAUUAUAAUGAGACAACUCUUUUAUUUUUUUUUUCCCUUUGGAUAAGUCACUCAUUACAAUGAGAUCAUUUUUUUUCUAGGUAGGUCACCCAUUACAAUGAGAUCAUUUUCCAUGUUUUUUUUACCUGAGUAGGUCAUCCAUUACAAUGAGACCAUUCUUUUUUUUUCCACUUGGGUAGGUCAACCAUUACAAUGAGACUAUCAUUUUUCUGGGUAGGUCACCCAUUAUAAUGAGGCCAUUCUUCCACCUGGGUAGGUCACCCAUUACAAUGAGACCACUCUUUCUUUUUCCCCUUUGGUGACCACUAUCAUUUUUUUGGGUAGGUCACUCAUUACAAUGAAAUCAUUCUCCAUGUUUUUCCACUUGGACAGGUCACCCAUUACAAUUCGACCAUUUCAAAAAUCUUUGAAUUUCACCAGGAAAAAAAACCUUUCGACCAUUUAAGUUUGCUUUCUAGCCCUCAAAUGCUUUCCAAACAAUUCAUCAUAUGGUGAGUCCGUUAUCUUUUUUUUUCUUCUUUACAAAGCUUAUUAUCUAAAAUCUCUUACGAGACUUUCUAUCGUAAGUAUUGUAAAUAGAGGACAACUGUCAUAACCUAUUUUUGGAUUAUUCCCCAAAUUUAGUUUUUCUCUUCCAAAAAUAAUAUAUAUAUAUAUAUAUAUAUAUAUUCGGACUAAAAAAUAAACAACAAAAAAAAUAAACAAAAUAAUAACAGUGAGAAGGGGAUGCUAAAGUGCUCGGAAAAUAACUAAAAAUUAGUUGAGGAGGUUUAAAAAUACAAGAAUUGAAAUUUAACAGUAUAUCAUUGACUGAUGAGAGCCCGACUGACAAAGAAAAUUCAAUUUGAGGAAGAAAUGUAUAAAAUCAGAUGUUUAUUGGACUCAAUUAAAUUUAUUAAAGGUUAAAUUGAGUUUAUGAAGGAUUGGAUUGGAAGAAAAAUUGAUUUUGGAGUCAAUUUGGGCUUUAAUUAGAAGAAAUUAAAGUUCUGGGGUCAAAAUAUAAUUUUUGAGAGUUAACUUGAUCAAAUCAGGGGCAAAAUUGCAUAAAUAUUGAAGUUUGAUGGCCAAUUAGGAACUUAAUUGAAGAAAUAUGAAACUAAGGACCAAACUGGAAAAGGCGCGUAAAUAGAGGGCUGUAAUUAACUGAAUGAAGGGCUAAAUUAAAAAAAUUAAAAGUUUAUUGAUCAAUUAAGAGUCAAAUUGCAUUCGACCAAGAACUAAAAUGAAAAAUCAGCUAACUUCAGAACUGAUGAUUGAAUUUGACAGGAAAGCAAUUAAAUUAAUUUUUAAAAUUAAAAUUAUAAUUUAGAACUUGAUUGAAACACUUAAAAUAAAAAACUUAAAAUCACAGCAUGAUAAAAGAAGAAAGAAAGGAAUGGGAAAAGGAAGAAAGAAUAAAAAAAUCCCCUAAAAUCACGGCAUGAUAAAAGGAGAAAGAAAAGGAUGGGACAAAGAAGGAAGAAAGUAAGGUCGCGUAGGGGCCAGUAUUGAAGAAAAGCUAAAAGAACCAGGUAAUCCAAGGAACCAAUAGAUUAUCGCCACAUGUUCAACCUUAUAUUUAUUGUGACAUGGAGAUAAAGAUAAUCUCAAAAGCUAAUAGAUGGUCGCCACGUGUUCGACUUUAUCUACCCACUAGGAAAGGAAUCAAAGGAUAGAAAAGUGGGGGAGAGAAAGGUUAAAAAGGCUUUAAAAAAAAAAGAAAAGGAAAGACCCGGUUGAGAUAAGAGGGGGGACGUGGAAAUAGAAGGAGAAACGGAAGGAGACAUAGAAAGAUCGGAGGAGAGUAAGAAAAAAAUAUAUGAAUAUGUGAUGUCCAAUUUCUCAUAAAAAUUCUCUGUUUUUUUCUCUCUUUUAUUUGGAAUUUCUUUGGACACUUUAAUAAAAUAAUAACAAAAAAAUUAAAAUAUUGAUGAAAUUAAUAUUCAUUCAAACACAGAUUUACUGUGUACUAUGAUAUUAUUAUUUUUUUAAUUUUAAAAAACACGGCUUGGAUAAUAUUUCAAGUAGUGUCGUAAAAAAUAGCGUGUUUGUUUUUUAUUUUUUAAAUAAUUUUAAAUAAUAUUUUUUUAAUUUUUAUAUUGAUAUUAAAAAUAAUUUUUAAAAAAUAAAAAAUAUUAUUUUAAUAUAUUUUUAAAUAAAAAAUAUUUUAAAAAAACUACUUUAAAAACCUUAAAACCACGGCAUGAUAAAAGGAGAAAGAAAGGAAUAGGACAAAGGAAGAAAGUGAAAGGGAGAAAGGAAGAAAGUAAGGUCACGUAGGGGGGCCAGUAUUGUAGAAAAUAGGAGAUGAAAAAUUGGUAUGAAAAAGAGGAUGAUGGAGUGGUUGUCCAAAUCAUAGUGGUUUUUAUAAUUAUAUUUAUUUAUAGAAAUAUUAAAUUAAUAUAUUCUUAGUAUUUUAUAUGAUUAAAUUUUUUUGUUGAUUUAAAAAAUAUAUGCGUAUAAAAAAUUAUUUUAAUAUAUUUUUAAAUAAAAAAUAUUUUUAAAAGUAUGUAUCACAGUACCAAAUUAUAGUAUCAAUUAAAAGAAAAUAGGGUUUUAUGUUCAUUACCACUCACUUAUACUCAUUUAAUUCUUAUACUCAUUUAAUUGUGGACAAUAACAGUAUCUCAUUUGAAAACUUUCAAUUUUAUACUUAAAUUUUUUUCAUAAUUAAUCAUUUUUAAUUAAAAUUAGAGUUCAAAUGUAUAUUUUUUUUUAAGGAGGAGAGUUGAAUUAAAAAACAGGGACUGAAGUAAAAAAUUCAGCUAAAAUAGGUAGCGACUCUAUAAUUUAUUUACAAAAUUUAUUUUAGUUUCUCAUCUUUUCAAGUUAUUAAAUAAUAAGUCCGCAUAAUUUUCCAACAUUGCAUUUCAAAUUUUUUUUAUUAUUAAUACUUUUAAUAUAUUUUUUUGAAAAUAAUUUUAAAAACGGUGUUUUCAUUAAUAUUCCUUUUCUAUGAUUUGUUUUUUUGGCAUUAUGUAGUCUUUCUUCAAUUAUUUUUAAUUUUGUUGCUUUGUUUAAUUUUUUAAGAGGUUAAUAAUAUUUAUCUGUAAAUAUUUGUUAUAUAUUUCAGAUAGAUUAAGUAUUUAAUUUUCAUAAUAAUUUGAAUAUGUGUAGCGUUGCAUAGUUUUUCUUCCUUUUAUGAUAUUAAAAAAAAUUAUGUGUGUGUUGAUUUCUAUUAUCGAUUGAUUUUAGUAAAUAAAUUCAUUAAAUAUAACCAAAUAAAUGAUCCAUAUUGCAAUAUUAAAUACUUUAUCUAUAUUUGUUUCUUAAUUUUUCCACUUGCACUUUUAAUUAUCGGUAAUGACUUCAUUUUUUCAUUUAUUUACACAAUUGUUUGUGAUUUAUUUAAUUUGAUGCGUGUAUAAGUUUUUCGAUUUACAUUUAGAAUUUUUUUAAUGUAAAAAAACACGUUGAGAAAUUCUUAUUUUUAUGAUUUUAGUUUGAUCCUUAUUCUUAUAAUUUCUUAUUUUCUUUCUAACCCUUUUAUAAAACAAAAAAUUGUUUAUAAUUUCAUCCUUCAAUUGAACAUAAUGAUGUAUUUUUUUUAUUAUUUAUAUUCUUGUUUGUUAUUAUUGCUUUUUUUCUUUAUAUAAUUCAUAUAAAACCAGCUUAUUUAAUCGGCCAAGACUAAAUAAAUAAAUAAAAAGAUAUACUGUGUCUUCCCAUUUCCUCUCCCUGGUGAAUUUUGGCGACCACCCACACAAUGAUAGCCUAAACAACCACCAGCCAUGCCACUUUUCAAGACCCCAUCUCUCAAUCUCAAAACCAGAAACAACCCUUUCUCAUAAUUCCGGGAAAGUGAAGAACUAAACCAUAGUGGCAAAAAUCUUAAAGGGUCUAAAUUAUCUCUGUUACUUUCCCUCAAUUUUCUAGACAAGCAAAAGGAGCUAAACUUAUUCCCGACCAAAACGCCAAGAAUUUCAGUAGAACAAAAGAAGAGAUUGUUACUUGACCAUAAACAAUUAGUCCGCACCCAAACAAACUGAGUGAAUGAGAGAAAAAGACUAAUGGCUAGAAAACAAUCAACAGAUCCAAGAAUUUUCUGUAUGGUUUCCAAGAAAAUGAAACGAAACGAGCAGCACAACCCUCUUUCCCCUCUAAGAAAAGAAAGAAGAAGAAAAAGAAAAAGAAAAAGAAAGGAAAGAAACAAAGAAGUUCGAGGAAAGAAAAAGUAAGGAAGAUGAAACCAUAAACCUGCAAGUCCUACAAAUCAUAAACAUUGACUUUGAUUUUUCCUUUAUAAAACCAUAAACCUGCAAGUCCUACAACAUGAAGACUUAUCAGAUCCUAAUGAAAAGCUGUCAAAAUCCUAUCAGAAAUUAAGGAAGAUGACGUUACGUUAACUUCAAAUCUGAGGAUUAAUUGUAGCAGAUCUUAUAGGGUUCAGCUGAUUGCUUUACUUGUUUAAAUAAUUCUCUUGUAAGCCUAAUGGUUCACGUCUUCCAUCAUUGCAACCUUUUUUUCUGUGAUUGAAAAAUCUAUAAUAGGAACCUGCACUGCAUCCCUUCUAUGCUGUUGUUCUUUCUUCUUGUUUUGCUAUUUUGAUUUUAUCAUAUUUUCUAUGAUGAAAGUUGAAGAAAUUCUACUUCGAAACUCAAGACAAAGUCUCUCGAUCGGACUGCAUAUUAGUGGGUUGCUCAUUGGGAUUUCUAUAAACAACUGAUUCUAAUAUUGCAAAGCAACAUUACGAAAAACUGAAUAUUUCACACAUAGUCUAAUAAAAGUAGAUUCCAUUGUCAAUUCCUUAACAUUUUCCAAACAAAUCCAUGCUCCUCAUUUUAUACUUUCUUGAGGGUUUCUAUUCUCUUAUUACCAAUUUCAGUGAGUUUCAUAAUAAGCUGCUUAGAAAGAAGCUAUCUAGCAGGAGGGUGGGGCUACUCUUAGCCAAUGAAAACAGCUUCACAUGCUAUACAGCAACGUGAAAAAAAGAUUCUCAGCCUGUUCUCUCUUUAAUGAACACCCUCUUGGAUUCUCUAGCAUUAGCCAACAAGGUAUUUGCUUGGAAUUACUUCCACCUGAAAACAACAGUUAACCUAUUUAAUAUACUUAACUAAGUAUCUAUUUCAUAACCUUAUAUAUUUUUUUAAUUAAAUUAGUUAUUUUUUUCAAAAAUAAAAAAAGUAAACGGUUUUCCAAAAAUCUAAUUCACAAUAAAACAAAUAAUGAAACUUGAUAAUAAUUCAUUAAAUAACCAUCAAUUAUUCAUCAAACCAAUCUGAAAAAGCUCAUAUUAAAGCUAGGGACCAAUCUGGAAUUUUAUCAUAUUUUUAGGGGUCAAAUUAUAAUUUUAUCAAAUUAGAAGACCAAACUAAAAAUAUCAUAAAUUCAUGACUAUACUAGAAUUCUGCCCAUAAUUCAUCAUAAAUUCUGCCCAGAAUUUCAAAUUAUGCUCCAAGGACCACUAUAGAAUUUUAUCAAAUAUCUAGGGUUAAGUUGUAAUUUCAUCAAAUUGGAGGACCAAAGUGAAAAUAUCAUAAAUUCAUAACUAUACUGGAAUUCUGCCCAUAAUUUAACUUUAAUUCUGUCCAGAAUCUCGGAUUAUGCUCCAGGGACCAAUCUCUAAUUUUUCUAAAGUUCAAGGACUAAACUGUAAUUUUCACAAAUUGAGGGACCAAACUGAAACUUCAACCUCAAACCCAGAAUUUACACAGAUAACCUACUGAUAUAUCAAGAUUUCUAACUCAAAUUCACCAUUUAAAUAAAAUCAUAACUCAAAAUCAUUAUUUUUACCUAAAAUCUUUCAAAAUCAACUAAAUAAUUCAUUAUCCAUAACAAUCAACCCAUAAUUUUUCUGUAAUGUAAUUGUAAUUCCUAGCAUAAUGCAUAUCCGAGGGCAAGCACAACAACUCAAGAACAAAGAAACUCGAUGAAAUAGCAAAAGAAAAGGACUUGAAGGACUGAAAUAAAAUAAAACCAAAAAAUAGGGAUUAAAAAAGUAACCGCACUCUGGUUGCCAUAAAAAACAUAGUUCUUUUAAUAUUUUUUUUUUAACUAUUGUAAUAGGUCAAUCAUAUUACCCGAGUGUGUGACUCAGAGAUGAUCAUCAUAGAAAAUUACUUUUAAUUGCUUGAGUUUUAUCCUUAGAUGAAAAACUUACCUCGUCCUCCUAAUGCUUUUGCUUUCAUUGUUUCGAAAGUAAAAGAGACAUAAACAUAAUCAUUUCCUUCCUUUUACUUUCCACUUCUUUGUAAUGGAUUGCAAACGGGAUGGUGCUUAGUGAGGCCAGUUUUUCUUUUCCUUUCUAUUUAAAAUCUUAUGCCUAAUUGGGUGAGGAAAUUAGUGGAGCAUUAGACUUUUUAAAAGACAACAAAAGGAAGCAAUGUCUCAUCUUUUGAUAUGGUGGUCUUCCAUGAUCAGUUUGUUGAUGAAGAUAUCGAAAGAUUCGAGUCUCCGUUCUAGUUCAGGUUGGAUGCAAGGCCGAAAGCUAAGCUUCUUUUAAUUAUGAAUUGUUUAUGCAAAGGAAACCCAGAAGCUUGAACAAACAGAAAUGCCUUGUUGAUUUCUCUGCUACUACUCAUUAUUUCCAAUAUUAUUCCAUUAUCUUACCCGAAAGCAAUUAUACAAGAAAUUUCAUUAUCCUGCCCCAAAGGCAGUUUAUUGCAUGGACUUCCUUUAACCUAGCUCCUUGAAGGCAAUUUAUUUGAUGAAAAUUCCUUUAAUCCACCUCAAAGACAAUUUAUCUUAGGGAAUUCCAACAACCCUUAAGGCAUUUUAUCAAAGGGAAUUCCAAAAACAAUUUAUUUCUUGGACUCAGUAUUCUUUGAUACUAGUUAUUUAUAUAUAAUUUAACAACACUUAACCAUCUUACAUUUAAGAAGAAAUUCAAAAGUAAGGAUAACCCUUAUCUAGAGCUCCUGUGGUUCUUGCUCCCGAGAGAAUUGGCUCCACUCCGGACAAAUCUACUAUCAGAAACCCAAGUUUCAACCAAUCAAUAACAUCAACACCCAUUUUAUAUUAAUGCAAUAAGUUUUUCUUAACCAAUUUACUUGAUGCAAGUUCUUAUAAUAAAAGUGACAGUAUUCAAGGUGAAGACAAGCAGAAGGGCGUGAUAGAGUUUGACAAAGAUGAAGCUAGUUCCAAUAAAGGGAAACACUCUAUGCAGGCCAAACAACAGUGGAAAUUCUUAUAAUCCCACCAAUCAAGGAUUACAGGACCCUAGUCCUUCCCAAACCAAUUUGAACUCCCCGUAGAGAAAACAUCUCCAAACCCAUUUUGAAUCACCCACAACAAGCAUCUCCACAACCUGUUCUGAACCCCCCCACAACAAGCAUCUCUGCAACAUGAUUUUAUUUCCUUGUGUGACAGGGAGGUCAAAAUUGAAAGAUAUUACUAUUUUCAUUAAUUUUAUUAAAGCUUAAUUAUUAUUUUUUUUCCCUUUUCUUUUAAAAAUGUUAUCUCCUUGGUAAGGAAUCCUUGGUUCCCAACAGCAACUGUAGCAUAGUUAAAAAAAUAUCUAAACUCCACCGAAAGUAGUGGAGCCUUAGAAUUUUUAAAAGACAAAACGGGGACAAGUGAGAGACGAAGAAAAAGACAAAAGUAAUCCCAUCUAUUGAUGUGGUGAUCCAAGAUACACCAUAACAUGGUGUUCUUCCAUGAAGUCUAAGAUACACCGUCGUGUUGUUUCAUAUAUAUUUUUAUAUAUGAAAAUAAUAAAGCUACCGUUUAAAACAACUCUGAAAACAAAAUUUUUAAUAAUCCAUAAUUUUUAAGCAAACAUCACUUAUAAGCAAAUAAUUAAUGAUGGUUAGUUAAACUAAUUCAUUGUUAGGCGGAUAUAUAUUAAGGUUAAGAACCCUCUAUCUAACACUAAUAACUAAUCACUGAUAAUAUUUAUGCAAAACUUGUAGCUUAGGAUGAACUCUCAGAGAUGUGGGCGAGGCAACUCAAAGUAGAAGGGAAGGGGUAACCUCUGAUAACAGAGAAAAUUGUAGAGUAAAGCAGGACCGAAUUUUCUUAAAUUAACAACAGAAAUCUACAAUGAACAGUUCUCGAGAAGAAACUCAAGAAACGUAUAUAAAGCUACAUGAUGACAUAAUAGGAACCUGCAUUGCCUCCAUUCUAUGAUGAAAGUUCAAGAAAUUUUACGUCGAAACUCAAGACAAACUCUCUCAGACUACAUAUUAGUGGGAUUUCCAUGAACAACUGAUUCUAUUGCAAAGCAACAUUAGGAAAAAUUGAAUAUUUCACACAUAGUCUAAUAAAAGUAGAUUCCAUUGUCAAUUCCUCAACAUUUUCCAAACAAAUCCAUGCUCCUCAUUUUAUACUCUCUCUCUUAUUACCAACUUCAUUGAGUUUCAUAUAAGCAUAGUCAAUCACACAACUAAUAUGUGAAUUCACAAUUUCUUACCGAAAACAUUUUAUCAGUGCAAGUUAAUACAUAAUUUUACCUCUCCUCUUGGUGAAAACAUAAAGACACAACCACCGAGCAGAUCUCUGGUAAUGGUCUCUACAAAUUCCCUACAGUUCCUAUUGCCAACAAACUCCUCUUGCCAUUCCCUAACUGCAUUGAGCCAGCUAAUCUGGAUGAAAGAAAAGACUUCAGCCAUUCCCUAACCUUAAAGCAGACCCAACUUUGUAGCUCAUUACCAGUUAAGUAAAAGUUAUCAAUAGCUGUGUAAAUCAUUGAAACUGCCACAAAAGCCCCAAAUUAGUUAUGAAUUGGAUUCGAUAAGGGAAAGAGGGGAAGAGGGGAAAUGGGUAACGGAAAAUUAAAGAGAGAUGAAGAUCUGCGCAGGGCUACCUGUUUUGAGAAUUAUGGAUUUUUAUCCCUAACUCCAAAUUGCACCAAUUAUAAGUUCAUUAAAACAAAUCUGGAACAGAACAGAUGGAAAAAACUCGAAACAACUUGGCUAGAAUUUGGGCAAGAAAUUCAGAACGGCCAAGAUUUUAAGUGAGAUAAAAGUUAUCCCAUUUUGUUCUGUUUUUUUUUAAAAAAUUAAUAUGAGAUGUACUAUCCAUUUCAAGCGGAACAUAAUGGAAUGAACAACCUUGCAUCGAAGACCUAAUUUUAGUGAAACUCAAGUUUCUUGUGUCAAAGAAAAUGUUCUAAAAAAAUGUUUUAAGCAUUAACAAAAUCUAGUUGGCCUAGGCAAUCCACUAUUGUUGCUGUUACCGUUGGUGCAUACUCCAUUACACCAUUGACAUAGUGCAACUGUUUUUCUUUCUUUCUUUCUUUCUUUCUUUUAAAAAAAUCCAUGUUAUGUUUUUUAUUUGAAGCUUUUUUGUUAAUAUCUUUCGCAAUUGGCCUUGGUAUUUUGUUUCCAUUUUCUCUGUUUCCUUCUUCUGUAGUUAGAAAACAUCAUGUCUUUGGGUUUGCGCUUGAUACAGCAAAAUUAAGGACACAAUAAUCAAAGAACACAAAAUUUUAUAAGGGAAAGGGGUUGCAGUUGUGAACCUAAAAUUUACAAAUUUAUUUUCUCAAUAAUAAUAAUAAUAAUAAAGAAGUUUGCCUUCUUAAAAGGUUUACAAAACCUUAAAUAGGUUAGGAACCUUACCUCAACAAGGGAACAGAAAAAAAAUCCAAAAUUAUAAAUGAAACAAGCAUAAAAUCUGAAAUAAGCAAGAAAUGAAAAUAACAAAAAACUACCAAAAUCAGGGGCAUCAUUGAGAUUUUUAAUAUCUAAAGAUCUAAUGAUUUGUAUAAAAAUUUGAGCACAUUAAUCCAAUAAUCGAAAAAACAAUUAUGGCUCUUUUGAGCUGUUAUUCUAGUCUAGCACGAUCAAACAUUCUCUUGGGUUUAGACUUGUUCUAUUGGUUCAUAAAUGCAUUUACUAGGCCAUCAACAUUAAUUGUCUAAGGCAAAUUCUCAUCUAGUUGUGGUAGACUCACACCUGACUGCUUAUAAAAUUGGUUGGUUUUUUGUUUUCGAAGAGAUUUAAAAUUUGAUGCAAAUGAAAGCUAAAAACACAAUAAUUAAAGGGCACAAAAAAAAUUAUAAGCGAAAAAGACUGCAGAUGUGAACCCUCAAAUUCACAAGUUUAUUUUCUCUAAAAUAAUAAUAAUGAAAUUUGUCUUCUUAGGAGGUUUCCAAAGCCAUAAAAAUAUCAAGAAUCCUACCUUAACUUGGAAACAAAAACACAAACUCAAAAUUACAAAGGAAAAAAGCAUAAAAUCCAAAAUAAGCAAGAAAUUAAAAAAUAACAAAGAAAAUCACAAAAAACUACCAAAACUAGAGGGCUCAACAAGAUUUUUGAUAUCUAAAGAUUCAGCAGUCCACGCAAAAAAAUUUGCAUGGUCCAACGGUCGGAUAAGAAAUUGUGAUCAUUUUGAGCUAUUAUACACGACCAAAUCUUCUUUUGAUCCUAUACUUGUCCUAUUAGUCCAUAAAUGCAUUUUCAUAACCUAUCUUUUUUUUUUUUCUACUAUAGAUGGUGUUUGACCAUCAUCGUCAUAUGGUUUGACUUAGUUGUACCGGUUUUUAAUAAGAUGAACUUUAUAUAUUAUGGGUUUACAUUUACUAUUUUUUAAAAAUGUUCAUUAUCGUUUCGAUCUCUAUAAGUCCAUUGUUCACAACUGAAGUCCGUACCUGCAGCGGAUCACAGGCAAUGAAACUAUACAAACACACUAGAGACUCAAGAGUAAACAUGCUACUAUAGUUAGCAGGUAAGGGUCAGGUCAUUUGUUGUCUGGUUUCAAAUAGAGUUUCAACUCAUUUAAUAAAUAUAUAUACAUGGCUCAUAGUUGGAUUAUUUGUGUUUUUGUUAUUUGUUCUUCCCAGUAAUUGUACCAGAAGCUGCUCUCAUAUUUGAAGGAAUGCAAACAAUAUAUUGUUAAUAUGAAACUUAUGAUGCCUAGGAAAUUGCCAUUUUUCUCAUUUUUAAUUGGAAGAAAAAUCACAAGUAUGUUUCUGUUAGAAAUAACUUCUUAUUUCAAUCAGAAGUGUGUCACUAAAUUGAUUUAUAAGUAAGUUUUUAAAUUGUGGAUUAUAUCUUAAUUACAUUAUAUUUUUUUAUUAACAAAAGUUUAUUUGAGUUAUUUUUAUUAAAAAUACUUAUAAUUUAAAAUUAUUUUAAUUCUUUUUUAUCAUAAAUUAUUUAUUAAAAACAACUUAGAUUAUCGCUUGAAAUAAAAAAUUCUUAAUUCAAAAGUCAUUAAAAAAUUCUUAAUUUAAAGAAGCUAAUAAUCUAAAAGGAGGGUGGGGCUGCUUAGCCAAUGAAAACAGCUUCACAUAUGAAAACAGCUUCACAUACAACGCAACAACGUGACACAAAGUAGAAAAAAAAAGAAAAAGAAAAAUUUCUCAGUCUGUUUUCUCUUUACUGAACAACCUCUUUGAUUCUCUAGCAUCUGCUUGGAAAAACCAUUCAACAAGGGAUUCUGCUAGGAAAACAUGCAAUUGUUCUUCUAUCUGAUAUCAGUUUCAAAAUUCUAAACAAAUAAUGCAACAAGUCACAUUUAUUCCAGACCUCAAGCUGCAUUGCCUAUUUCAAAACCACAAAGAGAACAUCAAACAGAACAACAAAUACCCAGUCGUAGAGCCAUUAAUUUGAGCAUAAAGGAGAAAGAAAGUCCACGCAUUAAACAGUAGGCACACACAUGAGUAUACAUUAUGCCCUUGUUUUUGAAGAUUCAGACACUUCAAAAGAAAACUCACGCUCUUAUUUUUGGGAAGUUCUUGUAUGGUAAAUAAGACUGUUACAAUGUGAAGCCAAUUUGUAUCCCAUUGCCAGUGAAACAAUAGGAAUUACUUCCACCAAUCUAAAACAUAUUCGCAGCACCACAGCUCAAAGACAUGAAUCUCUGUGAAAUCACCUAAGGUCGAGUUGCUCAUGUAAUAGGCAACCAACCUGCCUAAUGCUAACAGAAGAACAAAGACCAUUCAUGCAUAUCCAUUACCUGUUUAGCAUGUUUUUCAAAUUCCAAUGCCAAACUAAUCAUCCUACCCAUCAUCAUCAUCACCACCAUCUCCCUUCACCACCUUCCUUCAUCUCCUUCACCACAUACCCACCCAUUAUUUCGGGUCCACGUUUUACAAGUGCUGAUUGGCGCAGAGCAACCAGUGCUUGAAUCCUCAGCUACUUCAGAUACCUGUAAUCCAAUCCAAGCAUGGCAUACACAUUUUGGCUUCUAAAUCUUAUUAUUGAGUGAAACAAGAAACAAACACACAAAAAGAGAAGCAAGAAAUUAAGACAAUUCAGCAGCACCUCUGAUGGAGCUCUUAUUGAACCAUUUGGUGUAGUAGCAAAUUUUGUGAUCAGCUUUGGGCAUUCAAACACCUCCAACUGCUCUAAAUGAGGGAAUAAGAAAUCAUAACAUCCGAGACUGAAGCAUACAAUACUUGAUAAUUGUUCUAGCAACAGCACCUGCAGAUUCGGGAGCUCCAUCACCUUCUCAACAUUGACAGGUAAAGCAUUCUCAUCCUGAAGCCAUGGCUACUGGGAAGAGACUCUUCAACAUGUUGCAUUUUCUGACAUCAAUUUCACAUAAAUUAGGGAAACAUACAGAUUGAAGAUGAUCUCCUGGGAAUAUCUGAUCCUUUCCAUCAUCAUUAUCCCUAGCAAUGAUUUGCUAUAAUUCCUCACAACUUUCUAUGUUUAGAAAAUUCAGUUGAACUAGACUAGCAAUCAUGCUGUCUGAGAAUACAUGUGUUAGUCUUUUACACUUAUUCACCACCGAAGUAGUUAAAUUGCUCAGCACGAGAACCUUCCACAAACACCACAUGCUUGUGUCAGGCAGGGACUUCAAUUUUAAUGUUUUCAAACUUGUUAAACUCCUAUGCAUGCUCCACUUAUCAAUUUUAAUGUUUUAGCUCUUCAUUCGUCUCUCCAUUUAAAGCUAUAAAAUAAAAUAAAAUAAAAAUAGCUAACAAUAUUACCCUUUUUUUUAUUGACAAAUGCUACUGUUUUUUUCUUUUUUUUUUUCUUUUUGUCAUUCUAAAUAGAGCAUUUGCCAAUAAAAAAAAAUUAAGGCCUGGAAAUGAUGUUUUGUGAUUGGCCCAUCAUUAAUUUUGUUAUCCAUGCACAGUAUAGACCGGCCCGGGAAUGAUGUUUAAACUGGGAAUAAUGAGUUUUCUAUGGGCUUUGGAGCAUUGUGUGACACUUAACAGUGUGCACUUCAGGCCCAUUUAAGAAGAGAAAAAAGGGACAGGGAUAAAGUCUGAAGUAACGGUCAGAAAAGAAACCGAUAAAUUAAUUAAAUUGAAAAAAUUAAAUUAUAAAAAAAAUUAAUUAAAUAAAUUAGAAUAUUUUUAAAAAAUUAGUUGAGUUUGAUUUUGAUUUCAUAAAUUUAAAAUUAAAAAACCGAACCAAAUAAAAAAACCCAUUAAAAAAUCCCAAAAUUACCAAAAAAACAACAUAAUUUUUAAUUUUAAAUAUAAAAUAAUCAAACCAAAUCGAAAUCGGUCAAUUGAUUGAGUUUCAGUUUUUAAUAUAAAAUAAUUAAACCAAACCAAAACAGGUCAAUUGGGUUUUAUUUUCUAAUAUAAAAUAAUCAAAUAAAAUUAAAAUUGAUCGGUUGGAAUCGGUUUUAAUUUUUUUAUAUAUUUUAUAAAAUUUGAAUUUAUUAUUUUUAUAAAUAAAAAAAAUAAUCACUCUCGGUCUAAAGUCAAGACAUUGUGGUAUAUGACAUCAUUGGCAGGGUACUAUUCUACCACUAGAUCACUGGCACUUGUUGGUAUCAACGUGUGGAAUAGCUAAUUAAAUAUAUAUAGUCAAAUAGGUAAUUGAAUAUAUAUAAUGACACGUAUAUUUCCUAGUCAAACGCAGGAGCAAAAAUUUCAAAAUAGCAGACAACGUUUUUGACAGAAGUCUUGUACCAUUACUUCUAUCUCGCUUUAUUCUCUUCUAUAUAUAUAUAUAUAUAUAUAUAUGGUGAAUUGACUAGAGCAUGCAUAUAAGACUUCUUCUAGUCAUGAUGGUCAGUGAGGUUUUUGGUUUUAAAAUCAACAACUCCACUUAAAUUUCUUAAACUUGAAGAAUAUGCGAAGACAAUGCAUUUUUAAUAUGCUAAUUAUUCCUUGUACAGAAACAAGAAGGGAUUCUCCUCUACAUUAUUGUCCCAAUAUAUCAAACAUUGAUAAAGAAAAAAUGCAAAUCAAAACCAAGGCUCCCUCCCCACUGUUUCGUUUUAUAUGCUCUUGGAUCUUGAUUAACUAAUGAAGGAAACAAUUUGAAAACAUUAAAAUUGUAUCAAGAGACAGGGAAUGACACAGUUAGACAACUCCUUUUCAAUUUAGUGGAUGGCUAAAGGAUUUAUCUCCACUUAUCAAUUACUUCAGUUUCAGAAAUUUGGAGGAAGAAAUCACAAUGUAUUGAAGUUGACAACCAGAAGCCCAAAAGAAAACAAUUUUGACGAAUACCCACCAAACAGUUGAAGUGCUGCUGUAACUGAGAUUUUUUAUUAUAUGUAUUUUUUGUGGUCCAAUGGAUAAAUAAUUUUUUUUUCUUUUAUUUUAUCAGCUUAAUUUUGCAUGUGGAAUAUUGAGUUUUCUGUUAUUUUUUCAGACACAGAAUUGAAUCCUUUAUAUAUUCUUAAAACCAAAUUUGAAUUCUAAGUUCCUAAAUGAAGGAAUAAUAAAGAUUGUUGCAACUUGCAUGUACAAAUUCUCCUUCAAAAAAUUAACAAAUAAUAAAGUCUCCUAUGUUAAUGAAGAUUUAAUUAUAACUUAGCCCUGUAAUUUCUUAAAAUUAAUUAUUUAGUCUUUUAAGUAUAAUGGAUGUCGCACCCGACAUCGCGGCGGCCCUAAAAAUAAUCCUCGAAUAUGAAAAAAGAACAGAUUUCUGGCAUCUUGCUCUUUUAGAAGAAAAAAAAUGUCUUAUUUGAGGAGUCGCCACCUAUUAUUAUGGUCACUAGGAACCCUAACUAGUCAACAGAGAUUCUAUGGCUCGGGAUUGGUUAUGUAAAAGGGAAGAUAUUAUCACCCUUUAAACGUUCUGCCUAAUGCAGAUUGCAUUGCUGGUUUUGUCUUAAAUUGCUAAAUGUUUAUUAGUUUAUGCUAUGAUAAUUUGUUUAUAAUAUUCCUGACUCUGGCGCCAAUGAAUAUUCGAGCUCGAAUAAUUCCAACUCUGGCGUUGGUAAAAAUUCGUUGCUACGAAAAAAAAUUAGAUCAAUAUUUUUUAUUCUCUACUCUAGCGCCAAUGAAUAAAUAAAUAAAAAUAAAUUUAUUUUUACGCAUGCACAUAUUUUUUUAUUUCUUAUGUAGUUAAAUAAAAAUUAAAUCAGUAUUUUUUAUUUCUGACUCUGGCGUAAGUGAAUAAAUCAAUAAAUUUUUCUAUUUUUUCUAUUUUUAUUUUUUUUUGUUUUGGGGGUUGGGCCCAGCUCAGCCCACAAGGGCUGGGCUGGACCCAGCUGACUCGAUUGGGUCACUGGUCUAGACCAGUGACCCGGCCGGGUGGCAAACGCACGCCUGCCCAAUGAAUUAUAAUUCACUUGCUACAGUAGCAAGUGAAUUAUAAUUCACUGCUACUGUAGCAGUGAAUUAAAAUGCAAAAGGGUAGAGAUGAGGGACGACUGACCUGGUGCAGCAAGGCGUAGCCGGAGACGAUGGCGCACUGUGCUGGACAAACGACGCUGCCUCCUCUUGUUCUUCCUCUCUUCUUCCUUCUCUUCCUCCUUUUCUUCCCUGGUUCGUCCCUGUAUUUCUUUCCUGGAGUGCCCUGUUUCUGGUGCAGUGGCUGCUGAAGAUGGAGCUCUGGAGUUGCUGCUUCUGGAGGCGACGAAAACGGUUGUGACGCUGGUGGUGACUCUUGUCUACUGCUUUCCUUGGUCUUCCUUAUGUGCUUCCUCUGCUCAGGACAUCAACGAUGGUGAUGAAGAUGUUAGGUGCUGCCGGUUGAAUGGAAGCUUGCUCCCCUGUUUCUGUUUUUCUGCAUUCGUCUUCCCUAGUUUUCCUUUCCUAAGCUGUGAUAAGAUAGGAUUUAGAGGAAGAAGAGAUAAUAAGAUAAAAGGUGAUUGUUUAUUGAUUGCAUGCCUUUCCUCUCGAAACAGUGAGCCUAAAUAGGCCAUUCAAUACAACUGUAAACUAAAUAAUAGGAACUCCAGUAGUGGAGAGCUGAAGACUAGGGAUUCUCUGACCCAUUCAAUUACUUAAUUAAACAAUGAAAUAAAUUAAACAAUGAAACAAACAAAACAUAAAGUAAUUCCACGUAGACUCUCUCCAUGCAGUAGUAGCAAGAGAUCCACGUGCCCAAUGCUCUUAUCAUUCCCUCUCCCUCCCUUGAAUUCUCCUUGUCCGCAAGGUUGAAUUGAGGAUAAGUUUUUGCAAAUCGCCACAAAUUUUCCCACGAAGAAUCUUCUGGCAAUGCCCCCUUCCAUUGCACCAAGAUUUCCGUUCGUGGCCUGUAUUUCCCCUUCUGGAUAACCCUUCUAUCAAGGAUUGCUUCUGGUUCUGGUAACACCACAACAUCUGACAUAAUUGGAGGAAGGGUGAUCACCGCGUCCUUGGCUAUAUCUCCCCACUGUUUCUUGAGUAAACUGACAUGGAAAACAUCAUGUAUGCGUGACCCUGUGGGAAGGUCUAAUUUGUAUGCCACUGGUCCAAUGCGAGCGAGAACCUUGAAGGGGCCAAAAAACCUGGGUGAUAACUUUAAGGAACUCCUGAAAGCUACCGUUUUUUGGCGGUAUGGUUGCAAUUUUAAGAACACAUAAUCUCCAACCUGAAAUGUGACUUCCCGACGAUGCAAAUCUGCCCGAGAUUUCAUGCGUCCCUGUGCAUCAAUUAAAUUCCGUCUGAGGUCCCGCAGGAUGACCUCUCUUGUGCGCAGCAUUUGAUCUACUGCUUGAAGCUUUGUAGUUCCUGGUAUAUAGGAGAUCAUAGAUGGAGGAGGGACCCCGUACACAGCUUCAAAUGGAGAAACCUUCGUUGUUGAUUGAAUGGCCGUGUUGUAACCAUAUUCAGCCCAAGCCAGCCAUUCCAUCCAUGCCUUUGGGUGGUCGCAAGUGAAACAGCGCAGGUACUGUUCCAAGGUCCGAUUAACCACUUCGGUUUGGCCGUCCGUUUGCGGAUGGUAACUGGAGCUGUAGUUAAGUGUCGUGCCAUGUAGCGUGAAUAAGGACUUCCAGAAGGAGCUGAUGAAGAUUUUAUCCCGAUCACUCACUAUAGAACGCGGCAUGCCAUGUAAUUUGACCACAAUAUUUAAGAAACACUUCGCAACCGUCACUGCAGUGUAGGGAUGUUUAAGUGGCAUAAAAUGGUUGUAUUUGGAGAGCCGAUCCACCACAACCAUGAUAACACUGUAACCUUGCGAAGAUGGUAAGCCCUCGAUAAAAUCCAUAGAUAUGUCCGUCCAAAUGAGCUGUGGGAUUGGGAGAGACUGAAGUAACCCCGCUGGCCUUAAAGUUUCAUGUUUACAACGCUGGCACACCUCACAUUCUCUAAUGAAGUUCUUGACAGAUGUUCGUAUGCCAGGCCAUAGAAAGCUGGAGGAGAUGCGGGUCAAGGUCUUUAAAUAGCCAAAAUGUCCACCUGCAGGGAAUGAAUGCCCAUCGGCCAAAACAGCAGGUAACAAAGAGGAUGUAGGACUCAAGUGUAUCCUCCCUUUCUGCAUCCAAACCCCAUCUCUUUGAACCAGUUUUAAAGUGGGAUUGGUGGCCACAGUGCUGUAAUAGGGCUGCUGCUGGACUUCUUGUUGUAGAGUUUCCCACCAGUCUGUAAUAGGAGCUGAUAUAGCGUGUAAUUGUGCUGCUGCCACGCGAGAGAGAGCAUCAGCUCCCUGAUUUUCCUUGCCCUUGCGAUACUGAAUGCUGUAAUCGAACCCCAUAAUCUUCGGCAGCCAACGGGCUUGAGAAGGGGUGGUAAGUCGUUGCUCGAGAAGGUACUUCAAGCUUUGAUGAUCGGUCUUGAUCACAAAGGUUCUGCCCAAUAAAUACGGCCGCCAUUUCCGCACUGCCUUCACUACUGCGAGCAUCUCCUUGUCAUACGUUGACAGUAAUCUAGACUUGCCCUUCAAGGCCUCACUGUAAUAAGCAAUUGGCUGAUUGUCUUGAGAUAAAAUUGCUCUCAACCAUCACCACACGCAUCACACUCCACUGCAAAUUGUUGUGCAAAGUUUGGAAGUCGCAGCACAGGUGGGGACGUGAGGGCUUGCUUCAGUUUAUUGAAAGCCAUGAGCGCCUCCUCAGACCAGCGAAACCCCUCCUUGGAUAGGAGCUGAUUUAAUGGUGCAGCUAUGACGCCAAAUCCUCUCACAAAUUUUCAGUAAUAUCCAGCCAAACCGAGAAACCCACGGACAUCCUUGGGAGUUGCUGGAAUUGGCCAAUUUUGGACGGCUUGGAUUUUGGCAGGGUCCACUGCUACUCCUUCGGCAGAAAUGAGGUGCCCCAAAUAACCCACGGUAAGCACUCCAAACUGGCAUUUUGAGAGCUUUACAUACAGCUGGUUGUCCGAGAGAAUACGCAGCACUUGACAGAGAUGUUGUAAGUGAUCCAUCCAAGACCUGCUAUACACCAAAAUAUCGUCAAAAAAUAACAAUAUAAAUCGCCGUAAAUGAGGGCGAAAGAGGUCAUUCAUGAGACUCUGAAAAGUUGCUGGGGCGUUUGUCAAUCCGAAUGGCAUGACCACAAACUCGUAGUGACCGUCAUGAGUGCGGAAUGCGGUUUUUGGAAUGUCUUCCGGCUGGACUCUAAUCUGGUGAUACCCGGAGCGCAAGUCCAGCUUUGAAAAGAACUUCGCGCCAUGUAAUUCAUCAAGCAACUCAUCAAUGACCGGAAUGGGAAACUUGUCUUUAAUUGUGAUUUCAUUGAGCGCCCGAUAAUCAACACAAAAUCGCCAAGACCUAUCAGCCUUUUUAAUCAACAAAACCAGAGAAGAAAAGGGGCUGCGACUGAGGCGAAUAACUCCAGAUUGUAGGAAUUCCUUGACCAGUUUUUCAAUCUUAUUUUUUUGAUAGUACGGGUACCUGUAAGGCCGGUUGUUGACUGGAGAUUUAUUGGACAUCAAGGGAAUUUGGUGGUCAUGGCUGCGCGUAGGUGGCAGCGUUGUAGGCUCCUGGAAAACAUGUGCAAAAUCUGAAAGGAUGAGAUUGAGGUCAGGUGACCACGCUGAGGCUGUCUUUGGCAUUGUCUCCGUUUCUAUAUGCACAAAAUACCCCACACCUGAUAAGUGGAUCAACUCCUUAUCACUUAGGGGAGCGAGUUCAGUGUUUGAUAGUCCUCUCAAUGUGUACGUCUGGCCUUCUUGUUUAAAUGACAUGAUGAGCUUUUUGUAAUCGGUCUUGAUGGGGCCUAAAGUCUCCAGCCAUUGCACUCCUAAUACGGCUUGGCAGGCUAUCACUGGAAGCACAAAGAAGUCUGCGCGAACAAUGAUUCCUUGAAUCGAUAAAGAAAGGCCUAAGCACCGCCCAGUACACUCAAUAAUCUCCUUGUUCCCAACUGUGACUUGGAUGGUUUUGCCGCGAAUAACAUGUAGUCCCAAUUUGGUUGCCGUGGACUGAUCAAUAAAAUUAUGGGUGCUUCCCCCAUCAAUGAGCACUGUCAUAGCCGUGUUUCCUGCUCUACCAAUGACACGGAAAGUCUGUGGGUGGUUUGUUCCCACCAGAGCAUGAAAUGAUAUCUCUGGAAUGUCUUCCUCAGGCGUCACAAUCUCCAUGUCCACAUCGUCUCCUUCCUCCUUCUGCUGCACAUCCACCAUCAUGAACAACUGAGGCCGUGAACAACGAUGCCCGGGAACAUAUCGCUCAUCACAAUAGAAACACAACCCUUUUUCACGUUUCUCCCUUGCCUCCUGACCUGUUAUCCGUCGAAUUGGUGCAGUUGGGUGAGUUGUUCAUUGAGCCGGGGCAGGACCCAAGAGUCCCAUGGUGUUUGUGUGUGGUUGUUUCGGCUGGAAUGAAGGUGUUGUCGAUGGUCUGACUGGAUUGUUGAAUUUCCUUUGGAAAUGAUUUCGUUCUUCAAUUAAAUGAGCCACACUAAUGGAUUCAGAGAGAGUUUUUGGUUGCUUAACUCGAACAUCCAAACGAAUUUCAUCUUUUAAUCCCGCAAUAAAACACCCUACCAGGAAAUUUUCUGGGAGGUCAUCAACCUUGUGAGACAGUUUCUCAAAGGCUUCUUGAUAUACAUUCACAGUCGUGGUUUGCUUAAGUCUGGACAAUGCUUCUGACGGAUCAUCAUACUCAGUUGGUCCAAAACGGUGGAGAAGGGCUGAGACAAACUCAUUCCAGAGUAAUUGUCCCUUGCUUUUCGUAUACCAACGAUACCACUGCAAGGCGACACUCGACAGAUGAAAUGACGCCAAUUGUACUUGUCGUGGAGCGUCAAUGUUCUGGAACUCAAAGUAUUGUUCUGCCUUAAAUAUCCAGCCAGUGGGAUCCUCCCCUUCUCCAGAAUAGGUUGGAAAAUUCAACUUGAGGGUAGUGUGGUUUCUGUCGGCAUUGAAGGUUGCAGACGACCUGUCGUGAGAAGUACUUCCCCCAGCAUAAGGAUUUACUUCCCUCUCACUGGAACGAUGGGAAUGGGCGAUCCUCAUCGCUUGUAGCUCUGUCAUGACUCCCUGAAGGGCGUCGUUGACUCGAUUGAAAUUGUGAUUCAAUUCGUCAAAAUUGGCGUCGUGUCAUCCGAGAGUUUCUGUGAUCUCAGCACGAAACUACGCAUUAGUUUUACCACGCGUGUCCAUGGAUUGAACAGCUCUAAUACCACUGAUAAGAUAGGAUUUAGAGGAAGAAGAGAUAAUAAGAUAAAAGGUGAUUGUUUAUUGAUUGCAUGCCUUUCCUCUCGAAACAGUGAGCCUAAAUAGGCCAUUCAAUACAACUGUAAACUAAAUAAUAGGAACUCCAGUAGUGGAGAGCUGAAGACUAGGGAUGCUCUUGCUAAUCCCGUUACUUAUUCUCUAACCCAUUCAAUUACUUAAUUAAACAAUGAAAUAAAUUAAACAAUGAAACAAACAAAACAUAAAGUAAUUCUACGUAGACUCUCUCCAUGCAGUAGUAGCAAGAGAUCCACGUGCCCAAUGCUCUUAUCAAGCUGUUGCUUGUGAUAUUAUUGGAAAACGAAGACGCAGACGAAGACGAUGGUCGAUGGUGAUGGAGGUCUGCACCCAGGAGAUGGGGGUUCUUCCCCUGCGUUUUUCUUGUUGUUGUUCGUCUCUGUGUUUUUUUUUCUGUUCUCUGUUCUGGGUCUCCAGUGGCUUUUCGGUUAUGCCCUCCCCUCUCUUCUGUCUUCUCUCCCCUUUUCCCCCGGUUUUGCUCUUUUUUCCUUUCAUCCUCUUCUGCUCAGUCGUUCUUUGGCUUUUAUAGCCAGAGAAAAUAAUGUCGUUUCUUCCAACCAUAAAGUGUGAUAAUUGCAGAAGUAAUGGCUGUGCGGCGGUGGGCGUCCGUUUCGGUCGGGUGAGGAAGAUGAACAGUAACGGGCAACGGUGCUGUUUUGGUAUUCACAGUUGUAUGCCUUUUGGCCCUUGAAGUUUUGAACGUUUUGUAAUUAAGCCCCUAGUUAAAUUGUAAAUGGACCCCUGAAUUUCGACGCCUUUUACAAGUUAGGCUUUGGACUUUAAUCUGUUGCCAUUGUGCCCCCAAUUAACCCCAAAAUUUGGUAUUUUUUCAAUUAAGUCCCUGAUUUCAUUAAUUAAAUUAAAUCUAAGUCCAAUUAAGUCCCAAACUUAUCAAUUCAUUAAAUAAGCUCUUGAUUUUGUCAAUAAAACUAAUCCAAAGUUUAAUUAAAUCUCAAAACUUCCAAUUUUGUUGCCAUUAACCCAAAAUUUUAAUUCAUUCUUUAUUUUUAUCAUUUCACUCAUUUCAUCAUCAAAUUUUUUAAAUAAAAUAGAGAAGUCAAAAAUUGGGUUAUGAUAAUGAAUAAUUAAAAAAUCUAUUAACUUGUGUUGACCACCCUCCAUUUACUAUAUUUUUCUCUAAAAAAUGCCUUCCUUCCUAAUGAAAUUUCCUCAAAUACAUACUUUUUUUUUUAGGAAAUGUUCCAUUUUCCUCACUUCUAGAAAAAAAAAAUUAAAUGCUUGUGCGCAUGGGCUUGACCUUGCAGAUCCGCACACAAGCCUUUGAUGGGUGGGCCAAGCACUAGGCCUGACUUUCUAGAUCUAACAACGUAUGACCUCAUUUAUUUUUUUUAAUUAUUAUUAAUACCUAUAUAUAUAUAUUUAUUUAUAUAUUUGAAAAUAUUUUUAAAAAUGAUGUUUUUAUUAAUACUCGUUUUCGUUGAUUUUUUUUUUUGCCUUAUUUAGCGUUCAAUUAUUUUUAAUUAUGUUGGGUAUGUUUAGUUUUUUAAGAAGUUACUAUUAUUUAUCUGUAAAAUUUUUUUAUAUAUUUCAGAUAGAUUAAGUAUUUAUUUUUUUAUAAUAUUUUGAAUAAUUAUAGCCUUGCAUGGUAUUUUUUUUCCUUUUAUGCUAUUCAAUAAAUUUUAUAUGUGUAUUGAUUUCUAUUAUAAAUUAAUUUUAGUAAAUAAAUUAAUUAAACAUAACCAGGGUUAUUUAUUUAUUGGUAAUGACUUUUUUUUUCAUUUAUUUAUAUAAUGAUUCAUGAUUUAUUUAAUUCGAUGCGUGCAUAAGUUUUUUAAUUUAUAUUUAUGAUUGUUUUUAAUGUAAGAAAACACGUUCAUAAAUUCUUAUUAUUAUGAUUUCAGUUUAAUCCUAAUUUUUAUGAUUUUUUAUUUUUUUUCCUUAGCCUUUUAUAAAAGUUUUUUUGUUUGUAAUUUCACCCUUUAAUUUAAUAUGAUGGUGUAUUUGUUUUUUUAUUUUUUGCUUCUAUAUAUAUAUAUAUAUAUAUAUAUAUAUAUAUAUAUAUAUUCCCGUCUUUUGUUUUUUCGUUUUAUCAGCUUUUGCAUGUGGAAUAUUGAGUCUUCUACUUUUUCAGCCACAGAAUUGAAUCCUUUAUAUAUUCUUAAAACUAGAUUUGAAUUCUAAUGAACGAAUAAUAAAGAUGGUUGCAUGUACAAAUUCACCUUCAGAAAACAUAUAAUAAAGUCCCAUAUGUUAAUGAAGAUUUAAUUAUUAAGAAUAUAAAUUAAAUUAAAUUAAAUAUUGAAAAAACUAAAUGAAUUCCUUAAUAAAUAAAUAAAUUCUUUCUUUAGAAAGCAUGGAAAUGCCAUGACACUGGCUUUUUAGAGAGAUGAAGAUCUGGAGCACAACAGCCAAGAAAGUUAUCGAUAAAAGGAAGAUGGGAAGAGGGGAAAUGGGUAACGGGAGAGAGAUGAAGAUCUGCGCAUGGCUACCUGUUUUUGAGAGAAUUAUGGAAAGUUAUCCCUCACUCAAAACGGCACCAAUUAUAAGUUCAUUAAAAAAAAUCUGGAGCACAAUAGAUGGAAAAAACUCGAAACAACUUGUCUAGAAUUUAGGCAAGAAGAAUGAGCCAAGAUUUUAAUUGCAAUGAAAUUUAUCUCACUUUGUUAAGUUUUUUAAAAUGAUACAAGAUAUACUACCUAAUGAAACAAAAUGGAAUCAACAACCUUUAAAAGGAGUAGAGAUCACUUAUGUGUCUCUCAUAUUCAAUAGCCUUUUUCCCAUACUGACAUGUGCUUUACACUCACCAACAUUUUUUUUCUUUUUAUUUUAUAAUAUUCAACAUCGGCGAGUGAGAAUUUGAUAGCUAACUUUAUUAGUAGUGUUGGUUGCUGACUUGUCAGACACGUUUUGAGGCCAUAUGUAGUCACCAAGAACAAAUCCAUGAGGGCGAUAAGGCCCCAUAAAGACAAUAUCUGGUAGAUUCAGUCAGGCUAUGACAUAUUCGAUAAUAACUCUUCAAUUAAGUUCUAAAUCUCAUUUCAUCUUUUCAAUUUAAUCCCUAAUUUGACAUCAACUCUUCAAUUAGACCCCAAAGCUUAUCUCACCUGAGGAAAGCCCUCUUCUCUCAAUUUAGCCCCUUAUUAUCUUCAAUUUAAUAUCAAAUUUUAUUUGAUCCAAGCCCAAAAAAGGCUAAGCGAAGAUAGAAUAAAGGAAGGGAAAGAAAAUGAAUAAUUGCCCAACGGAGUUAACGUGUUUUGGUCUUUUCUCCAUGAUUUGGGUUGAACAUUUGACAUAUAUCCUUUUUUCUAUAGUUUUUUAUCCAUGUUCGUUGUGACGCCAUUGGUAUAGAAUGGUUACCAACUGUUAGUUUAAUAUGCCUUGUAGCCAAUCGGUUAGUUACACGAGACAUUAUUAUAUUCAUGUAAAUACAUAUUUAUUAUUAAUAAAGGCUUAAUUUAACUUUAAUAUUCAUAUAAUAUUAGAGUAAUGAAUCUAAAGUAUAAAUAAAGUUUAUGAGACAAAAAUGUUUUGCAAAGGAAAUUAUAAAGUUGUUAUAAUUAUGAGAUUUUUAAUGCAUCAAAGUAUAAUUCAUAAAAUAUUCUUGGUCGAUGCUCUCUUAAAUACUGGAUAUUAAUUAGAGCUAUAAAGACUGAUACAUAUUAUGUUUUUUCCUUUAUGAAAUGAAGCAACUGUUCUCAUAAGUUGAGCUAUAAGGGAUACCUAAAACUAAUAUGUAUAUGCUUGUCAUUAGACAUGUACACUGAAUUGACCGGCAUGAGAAUUCCAUAUGAAGAGAUUAUUUAUGUCUAUGGAAAGACUCACAUGACGGUUGUAUAUGUAAUCCUUAGACUUGAGAUCACUAAGUUAUCUUAUAUAGAGAAUGUUAUGCUUUGAUCCUGUUACAUGUUAUCUUAAUUGAGGUAACAAAAUGAUAGACAUUGGGUAUAUCAUGAACUAUAUGAAGGUACUUGAGUAAUCAAGAGAGGAUUUCAUCACCCUAUGUGAAUUAGAAAAAAUGUUCAAUCUGUUCUCAAAUAAUAUUGACUGAGAAAUCCGUGGCCAAUGUGGAAUGAUAUUUAAAAAGGAUUUCAAAUCUUAUUCAAAUAAUCAAUUGCUAUCAUAUAGAGAAUGACAUGAUUUAACAUGGCAAACAUGCUUCAUGCUUUAAUGUUAAAUAAGAACAUUAGUGAUAAAAUGGUAUUAAUUACAAUGAGAAACUGGUAAUUGAAACCACUAAUAACUUUUCUAAUAUUUAUGGGAUCAUGACACGUUACUAGACAAUGCAUAUGAUCUUCAAAUCUUCAAUUGUAAUUUAUUUAAUUAUAAUUAUAAUUUAUAUUUGGGUUAAUAUAUUAGGAACCUAAUAUGUCAUACACAUUAAGAAUUAAAUUGUGAUGAUUUAAUUAAGUAUAACUUGAUUAAAAAAAAAUUUAGAAAUUAAGGACUACAAUAUAAUUAAUACAAGGAUUAUAUUUUUAGAUCUAGAAAAAUCAAGGACUUGAUUGAGUUAAUUUAUAAAAUUAUCUUAAAUUAAUAUAUGGAUAUUAUUCAAGGGGAAAAUUGAUAUUUUGUCAAUUUAUAGGGUUUUUCAUAUUUCCUUAUAAAUAGUAAGUGUCGCACGUGUGCGGCGUCGUGACAAAAACAUUCACCCUCAAAAUCUUAUCUUAUAAUGUGGCAAAUGUGGGGAGACAAGGAAUUCUUGUUUUUUAUUAGUGGUAAAUUGGAAUGGGAGUCGCCACCUAGUAUUUUGGUCACUAGGAACUCUAGCUGGUCUCAAAGAUCGGGUACGGGGACUGGUUGCGUAAAGGGAAGGUAUUAGCACCCCAAAUACGCCCUACCUAAGGUAAGCUGCAUUGUUUUAUUGUUUGAUAAAAUCUAAGAUCUUGUCGUGUUUUCUCGUUGUUGGUUCGUCUAUGGUUUAAGAAAAGUCCUUCUCGGUAAGGAGAUCCUUAUCUUAUCGGGUAAUUCUGACGUCAACCAAAGAAUUUAAUAUCCGAAAUACGUCUUACGUAUAAGGUCAUAACCCCAGAUAUUAAAAGAAAACAAAAUAAUUUUUUUGGAAUUUUUGAAAUAUUGGCCUAGUUCUCGUGACUUUAAUAAACUGGUUAUUAAAGCCAAAAUGCAUGUUAAUAUAUAUUUUUGAAAUUUUCUUUGUUAUAUGAAAAUACAAUAUGAUUUUUUUUUCUUUUAUUUUUGAGAGACUUGGUCGUAUGCAUGAAAACAAAAUAUUUUUUAUUUUUUAAAUUUUUUUAAUGUCUUGACGAAAACCGGGUAUUUUAAUACCAGAUUUAUAUCUUUACAGUAUAAAAAUACAAACCAAUAUUGAUCAAAAUGAAGUAAAAAAUUUGCAGAAAAUCACAUAUUUUUUUAAAAUUCUUUUUCCGGGCUGGGCCCAGCCCGGCCCAUGUGGCUGGGCUGGACCCAGCAGGUUUCUACCCGCAUGCGUGCGUGAACAAUUCACGCACGCCUGCUACAGUCGCGAUGUAAUUAAUUUUCAUGUGCACAGUGUUUGUGCAUUUUCUGCAAAGUUGGAGAAGUUUACCUGGAAGCAAGACGAAGGCAACAACAGCUUUGGACCUCUAUCUUCACCUUUUCGUUUGUUUUUCUUCUGGUUCCUCUGGUUCUUCCUGUUUUUUUCUGUUUCUGUUUUCCGUUCUUCUUGUGGUUCCUUUCCUUUCGUCUCUGUCUUCUCCUUCCUCCCGGUAUUCUUUGUUUUUUUUGGUUCCCCUCCCCUUUUCUGUUUCUCUCCUCCCUAUCCUCUGCUUCCUUACGCUCUCCCUCUGUCUAUCUCUCUUUUUGUUCUUUUCAAAAGAUUUCCCACCCUCUGUUUCUUUCUCCCUAUGCUGCCCAGUUCUCCUUCCUUCUCGUUCUUUUUCUAUGUUUUCUCCCUGCUCCCUUCUUCUCCCCCUCUUCGGCUCAGUCUUCUUCUGCUGCUUUUAUAGGUCAGAGAAGGCUUUGUGCUGGUAACGGCUGGCUUGGUAACGGUUUGAAGAGGGAUGACAGCCGUGACACAUGCCCUAUAAUUGAAGAGAAUUGGCACUGUUGCUGCAAGAAAACGUCUCUCGGCCUUUAGUGCUGAAACGGCUGGAAGAAGACACUGAAUAGUGUUUCAAGGCAACGGCCCCGUUUUUUGCAAUUUUAAAUGAUAUUUAUGAUUUGGUCCUUGGAUGUUUUUACAAUUUGUAAUCAAGCCCUCGGAUAAAUUAUAAUUGGAUCCCUUGAUUGUAGCACCUUUUCUGUUUUGGUCCUUGGUUUUGAAUUGUUUCAAUUAAGUCCCUAAUUGGCCAUCAAACUUUAAUAACUAUGCAAUUAAGCCCCUGAUUUGACCAAAUCAACUCUUUAAAAUUAUAAUUGGACCCCAGAACUUUAAUUUCUUCCAAUAAAGACCUAAAUUGACUUAAAAAACAAUUUUUCUUGCAAUCAAACCCUCCAUAAAUUCAAUUAAACCUUAGAUAAAAUUUAAUUGAGUCCAUAAACAUCUUAUUUUGAAUAUAUUUUUUCAAAAAUUGAAUUUUCUUUGUCAACAGAACUCUCAUCAGUUAACGAUAAACUGUCAAAUUUCAACCUUUUGCAUUUUUGAACCUCUUCAACCAAUUUUUGGCCAUUUUUCGGCAUUCUAGCAUCCUUUUCUUACUCCUAUUAUUUUUUGGAUUUCUUUCGAAUAUUUUUUGAUAUAUAUUUCUUUUUGUAUUUUCUCAUUUUUUUGUGGGAACCCAAAAAUGGGUAACAACAGUAAGCUAUGCCUUUUAUUUUUUAGGAGUUGUCUGUUAGACAAAAAGACUACGUAUGUCACAUAAUAAAGAGAUAACACUCUAGGCAUAACAAUCCCUCUCUCUUAAAUAGGGACUUGAGAGAUUUUUCACUAGUGGUUCAUGUGAAUUACUAUUGAAGGACAAACAAUUGGACGACUUCUAGUUUACAACAACCCAGUCUUUAAAAAAUUAUUCAAAACCGAAGAUGAUCAAAUCUUUAGGUAAUAAAUCCCUAAACAACUCUAGAUCUGUUUAACAAAAUUCCAGAAAUUCCCGAAUAAUUUUAGGCUGUGUUUGUUUUCCGGAAAGUGGUUUCCGGAAAACCACUUUCCAAACUUUCCUGUGUUUGUUUGUUAUUAGGAAAGUUGGUCAACGGAAAACACUUUUCAGUCAAAGGCAAAAUUUAGCUUGGUUUUUAGAAAAGUGUUUUCCUUUUAUUUUAGGCGGAAAACACUUUCCGGAAGUUGUGCAAAAUUUAGAAAUGUCAUAUUAUUUGCUGAUUAUAUCAAAAUUGGUCCUGAAACUUUUGAUUGCUAUAUAUAUAUAUAUAUAUAUUUUUUGUUUUGAAUAUUUGUUUUUCAAUUUCAUCCCUUGGAAUUUAAUUUUUAUAUUAACUUUACUCCUCAUUUUUAUAAUUGCUAUUUGAUUUUCCCUUAUCAUUUUUUAAUUAAAUUUUUUUAUCUAUCAAAUUUGGUCAUCAUUCUUUUGAUUGUUACUUAUUUUAUUUGAAAUAAUUUAUAAAAUGUUAAUUAUUAUUAUUUUAAUUUCUUCAUCUUUCAAUUUUUUUAUUUUUUAGAUUUGAUCUCUAUUAUUUUGAUUAUUAUUUAUUUUAUUUGAGAUAAUUUAUGAAAUUAUAUUUUUUUUCAAUUUUAUUCUCAUUCAACUUUUUAAUUUGUAAGAUUUAUUCCUCGUUAUUUUAAUAAAUUUGAGAAAAAUAAAAUAUUAAUACGUUAUUUUCCAGCUUAUUUUCCAUGACAUAACAAAACACAGGAAAAUGUUUUCCAACUUAUUUUCCAUGACACUGCAAUUGGAUGACUCAUAUUUGAUUUAUGGAGCUAGCUAUGCUAAGGGAAUCAUGCUUGUAUCACCUAUACUAAUAAUAAUAAUUACAUAUUAACAAGCAUCAUUUGAUUAGUAAGUUUCCAAAUUCUAUCCACAAAUAUUAUAACCUCUUAAUUUAUGCAAGAACUUAGCUACAUUUCAUGCAAGCAAUCCCUAACUCUAGUAUUUUGUCUGUGUUAAAAAUGGAGACUUCUUGGUGUUCGCCGGAGCUUGGGUAUAUACCAUAUUUGAACAAAUAACAAUGUAAAAACAUCUUUUAACGAUAUUAAAAUCAUUUAUUCAUUUAAAGUAUCAAUAUUGUCAUUUAUAGUGAAACAUUUAAUUUUACUACAUUGAAAAUACGUUGACCAAUAGAAUCCCCGCCUUCAGCUAACCCCCAAUAUGUCUUGAAUAGCAAUGGCCAUCCUUUGGCCAUCAUGCCAUAAAAGCCUCAUUUGGAGCCAAUUCCUCUCUUUCUUGCCACUAUUUAGCUUCCGACCAUUCUUCGCGUUUCACUUUUCUUCAAAUGUUUUCACCAAAACAAAGCUUCAACCUUUAAAUUGUUGCUUAUAAAGUCGAGAUCCAAGGGAUUAUUUAAGAUUUUAUGGAAAUUACGUAUUUCAAAUAUUUUAUGUUUAUUUUUCUGAAAUAUCGUUUGAAGCAAAAGGCAAAAAAGAAUUAAAAAUUUUUUUAAAGUGUUUUUAAAACACAAAAACAAACAGAGUUUGUUUUUUAUUUUUUAAAGAAUUGUUUUUAAAAAAUAAUUUUUUGUAUUCUAAAUUAAUUUUUUUAUUAUUUUAAUAUAUUUUAAAUAAAAAAUAUUUUAAAAAACAUCUACUUAAAAAAUAUUAUUUUUCUGAAAUAAUACUUUUCUCUAUAUUUGAGUUUAGUUUAAAAUANNNNNNNNNNNNNNNNNNNNNNNNNNNNNNNNNNNNNNNNNNNNNNNNNNNNNNNNNNNNNNNNNNNNNNNNNNNNNNNNNNNNNNNNNNNNNNNNNNNNAUUUUAAUGUUUUUUCAUGCUCUAGCAAAUGAGGCACGAAAAGAGAACCUGAAAUCACGGCAGCAAAUAAGGAGAGAAAUAGGUGUUUGUUUUUUAUUUUUUAAAGUAUUAUUUUUUAAAAUUAAUUUUUUGUAUUCUAAAUUAAUUUUUUUAUAUUUUUAUAUUAAUAUUAAAAAUAAUUUUUAAAAAAUAAAAAAUAUUAUUUUAAUAUAUUUUUAAAUAAAAAAAUAUUUUAAAAAAGAGCUGCUUAUUCAAACACUUAAAAUAAAAAUCUUAAAAUCACAGCAUGAUAAAAGAAGAAAGAAAGGAAUGGGAUAAAGAAGAAAGAAUAAAAAAAACUCCAAAAAUCACGGCAUGAUCAAAGGAGAAAGAAAAGGAUGGGACAAAGAAGGAAGAAAGUAAGGUCACGUAGGGGCUUGUCUUGUAGAAAAUGUGAGAAUUAGCAUGAAAAGAGGAUAAUAGAGUAGUUGUUAGAAUCAAAAGACAUAAACACGGGAGAGAGGCUGCCCCUUACCUCCUCCUGGGAAGGAAUAUAUGUCAGACUAUACAGCCUUUUUCAAUUCAUUAAUGUCGUUCUCUGUUUGUCUUCUAAAACCUACUCCCAUCAUGUACAUGUAUUAUUUUCUUAAAAUUGCUCUAUGGAAUUGCAGGCCAUGCUCGUUUGAUUUUUUUAAUAACAAAAUUCUUUUCAUGCUCUUGCAAAUAAGGCAGGGAUGGAGGCCUUGAAAUCACGGCAGCGAAUAAGAAGUGAAAAAGAGCCUUUGUUUUUGCUUUUUUAUUUUUUAGUAUUUUUGAAACAAAUUAGAUUUUUUUAUUUUUUUUAUUUUCUAUUAUUUUGAUAUAUUUCUAAACAAAAAAAUAUUUUAAAAAACAACCACUAACACAUUCUUUUUAAGCUAUUAAGUAACCAGUCCCUAUAAUUUUUCAACAUUGCACUUGGGUACCAAACUUCAUUUUUCUCUUUUUCAAGUUUUUUUUUUGGUGGAGAAGACAGAGAGGGUCGCUGAAUUUUAUUUUAGAGAGAGAAAGUUGUUGUUAAGAAAGAUUUUGGCUACCGAAAUCGUUGAUUUUUGUAUCAAAUGGUAACCGCCUAUUUUUUUCAUGUGUUCAUACUUAAAACCUUCUUAAAGAGUUCUUAUCAAUGGUUUUAAAACCUCUCUCUCAAGAUCGAAAGGUUAGAAAUAACUCUCUACCCUCUAAGUCUAAUAAAACCAUCAAGUACUCUUAAAACCAAAACCACAAUUGCAAAAACCAGUUUAGUACAAGAACUUCUAACUAUUAGCUUUUAUCCAUAACCCUCUCACUUUGAUCAAAUGGUUAAACUUUCAUCAAUCUUUGAGGGAAUCCACAAAAAAACCUAGAAAAACAUAUAAUUACUCUUGAAAAUUAGAGCCGGAGAGGAGGAGAAAAAAAGAGGAAAAACAUGGGGAAAUAAUUUGUUAAUAGACUCUAUUAUAAAGGUUCAAGAGCCUAGAAGGUUUAACCAGCUUUAGAAAGAAAAAAAGUGAAAGGAAAAGAAGGAAGGAAAUGAAAAUAAAAAAAUAACAACGUAAUUUUGAACUUAAAGGCCUAAUUUCAGUGAAAGUUAAGAGCAUUAGAGACUAGACCGUGCUUAUACCAAAGACUCUCAUCGUUGAAGGAAUGCAAACAGUUGUUAACGAGACACUUAUGCUGUUCCAACAUUCAAAGAUUGUUGAAUCUAGUACCGGUGCUCAUUCUGGAUCUAGUACCAAAAGGAGAAUAUAGAAAGAGAUAGUAGUGAAUUAAUUAUGUUUCAUUCAGUAGUAAGAAACAAACGGGGGCAAUGCAUUUAUAAUAGCCAGAGAGGGGUUUUUAUAUACAUUCNNNNNNNNNNNNNNNNNNNNNNNNNNNNNNNNNNNNNNNNNNNNNNNNNNNNNNNNNNNNNNNNNNNNNNNNNNNNNNNNNNNNNNNNNNNNNNNNNNNNACUAGAUAUAAAGAAAAAGUACAAAUUCCAACAAAAAAUACAUGUUUGAAGGUUCAACAAAAAUGAUUUGCUAAUUAGCUAUAAGCUUGAGAAAGAUAAAUAAUGAGAGUGUGAGUUCAAAAACUCAGUGAGUAGAUAACGUUCAAUAUACAUACACGAGGUAAUACAACAAUGAGGAAUAUAUAUACAAUUAUGGCUUUAGAUUCUUAUAGGAAGGUUUCUCAAAUAGGCCAUAACAAGGUUAUCAUAAGGUAAAAUUCGUUAGAAAAUCAAAAUGCAAUAACAUGAGGCUCUGUACUAUGGGAUGAUCAGUCCACACAGGUUGAUGACUCUCCCAACCAACUAGGGUUUCAAAUACAAUGUGCACUAAGACUAACACUACCCUGUUAGUAUGAGCAUUCUAACUGGCAUACCAUAAGUUCAUAUCAUAAUCAAACAAACAAAUUCAUAUCUCAAGGCCCAACUCAUGACAUUAAUAAAACAAGAAGCUAUCAAUUCAGAAGUCAAUUUAGAAGUAUAUAUUGGCUUAUAUCAAAAAUUCAAAUUCAACAAUUAAUCAUGUUUUAUCAUAACAAAGAUAAUAAUCAACAUAUAUAUUAUCAAGAAGCACGAUCCAAUUCAUAUUAACAGCUCAAAUAUUUAUACUAUUUCUCAUGCAUAUGGAAAAUUAUACACUCACUUGACUUAAAAGUGAACAGAACUCGAAAGCAAAUACCGAAGAAAAUCCUACUGAUAUUCCGCAUAUAGAAUAUCAAGAUUAUCUAAAUACAAAGAAGACAUAUUAUAAAAUGACUCGAAAAGAACAUACAACCUAUUUAAUACACUUAACUAAGGGUCUAUUUCAUAACCCUAUACAUUUUGUUAAUUCUAAACUAGUUAUUUUUCCCAAAAACCAAAAAAGUAAACGGUUUUUCAGAAAUCUAAUUCAUAAUAAAACAAAUAAUGAGACUUGAUAAUAAUUCACUAAAUAACCAUCAAUUAUUCAUCAAAACAAUCUGAAAAAGCUAAUAUUAAAGCUAGGGACCAAUCUGAAAUUUUAUCAUAUUUUUAGGGGUCAAAUUAUAAUUUUAUCAAAUUGGAAGACCAAACUAAAAAUGUCAUAAAUUCAUGACUAUACUGGAAUUCUGCCCAUAAUUCAUUUUCAAUUCUGCCCAGAAUCUCAAAUUAUGCUCCAGGGACCACUAUAGAAUUUUAUCAAAUUUCUAGGGUUAAAUUGUAAUUUCAUCAAAUUGGAGGACCAAAGUGAAAAUAUCAUAAAUUCAUAACUAUACUGGAAUUCUGCCCAUAGUUUAUCUUUAAUUCUGUCCAGAAUCUCGGAUUAUGCUCCAGGGACCAAUCUCUAAUUUUUCCAAAGUUCAGGGACUAAANNNNNNNNNNNNNNNNNNNNNNNNNNNNNNNNNNNNNNNNNNNNNNNNNNNNNNNNNNNNNNNNNNNNNNNNNNNNNNNNNNNNNNNNNNNNNNNNNNNNCAGACCCACAUGCCUAGGGUCUGCAGACCCGCUUGCGGUUUGCAGACCCUUAUCCCUGGAGUUGCAGAACCCCGCGCCUGGGGUGUGCAGAACCGGGAGCAGGGUCUAGACCCGCUCAUCUGGGUUUGAAGAACCCCACUUCUUCUAUCGUGCCUGGGGUCUGCAGCAUCCUCCCAGGGGUUGUAGACCCACACAACUAGAUCUGCAGACCCCGUAGAGAAAAAUAACAAACUUGAAAAAAAAAAUGAAAACAAAUAUAAUAACUAAUAACAAUUAUUUUUAUCAUUAUUAUUAUUAUCGCUAAUAAAUUUUAUAAAAACAUUAUUACUAUCAAAACUUGGACUAGACAAGUUUAAUAUUAUUAUUACUAUACUAAAUAUUAUUGUUUUCAUUAUAAUUAAAAGUAUUAAUAUUUGUGUUAUAAAUACUAUUAUUUUUAUUAUAAUUAAAAGUAUUAAUAUUAAAAUUAUUAUUAUUUUUCUUAUAAAUAAUAUUAUUUUUAUUAUAAUUAAUAUUGAAAAUACUAUUAUUUGUAUUAUCAAUAUUAUUAUUUUGAGUAUAAUUAAUACUACUAACAUAAUAAUUAAUAAAUUUGAAAAAAAUAUUAUUUAUAUUGAAAAGCAAUAAUAGAUUUAAUUUGAAGGGUAAAAUUAAGAAUUAUUAUUAUUAUUAUUAUUAUUAUUAUUAUUAUUGUUAUUAUUUAUUGUUAUCAUUAGUAAAUUGAAAGAAACAAAAUUAUUAGUUAUUUUUAUCAUUUCAGCUGGGGUUGAAUUUUCUUAUUAGAGCAUGUUUGGUUUUGGUUUUAAAAAUUGCUUUGAAAAGAAUUUUAUUUUUUUUAUUUUUUUCUUUACUUCAAAUUAAUGUUUUUUCCUUUAAUUCAUAUUAAAAUGUUUUUGUAAUAUUUUGACGUGAUUAUAUAUUAAAUAGAUUUAAAAAAAAUUAAACAUUGCAGGAUUCAAAAUAGUCUUGGGUCCAGGUUGGGGCAGGACCCUAGAUCUUACAGGUUGCAGGACCCAAAAUAGCCUUGGGUCCGGCCGUAUGCAUGACCCAAAAUAGCCUUGUACAGUUGAGAACAUCUCAUGCAUGCGACAUCCAAUGCAACAUAAUAUAUAAAUUGCAAUGCAUGUAAUUAAUGGGGGGGAAAUUCAUGAAUGAAUUGAAAGAUAUAUAUCUUAUGGGAUAGAUACAACACGAGAAGAAAAAACCAUUUAGAGAAACAGACAAUCUCGAUUGAUGAUCAUCCUAUUAUUAGCAUGAAAGGUUGAAAAAGAAAGAAUUCAUACAAGGAGGUUGGCCUUGAAUUGGCAUUGCCUUAUUCCAAGCGCUAGCUAGCUUAUAAUAUUAUUCACUAGCUAGCUAGCUCGCUAGCUCCUCUCCCUAGCCUUCCCUGCAUCGAUCUUCUGCUUUGCAACCUCUUCCUGGAGCGACUCGAUGGAGGCAUUGGGGAUUCUUUUCUGGGUCACAACGCGGAAGCCCUUCGUAACUUAAGUAUUUUGGUUUUCUUGUAAUGGUAUCUGCUACAUCUCCUGCAACAAACGUGGUCAUCAGGAGCAUUAAAACACCAAAAGCCAUCAAUCCUUUGGACAUUGACAUUGUUAAACUAUGAUGAGAGCAGACAAUACACAAAUGUUGUUCUUAAAAGAAUAUUGAUUCGGUGACAAUAAAAAGCAAGGUCUGGCAUAUAUAUAUAUAUAUAUAUAUAUAUAUAUAGCAUAUGCAUGGAGUGUUUGCCGUUUAUAGCACAAUUUCUUGUGGAUAUUAAAAUAGUUAAUUCUCUUUGCUUUUUCAGAUUAUAGCCGCACCACUUAUAGCACAAUUUCUUGAAGUUGAUACCCACAUAUAGCUGGGAGCUCAAAUGGCCACAUCUUGCAUUAGACAUUGAGAGCUUAAUUGGAGGUCUUGGUCAGCUAAAUUCUCAGCAUCCCUGAUGAGGAGCACACAUUGCGUGGUUGUGACUUCACUUGAGAAAAGUACAUCCAAGAAACAAGGAGAGAUAUGCUACCAAAGAAAAGAUGUCGUGAGUUCGAGCGUCCAGGUUUGGAUCAUGGGAACGCAUACACAACCACAUGCCCACCCAGCUGCAAGAGCUCCAAGUCUGCAAUAUUGAUCUUGUAUUGUAUGUAAACUUCCAACAAAAGUGAACUAUAUGUUAGAUCAUUAGAGAAGGUUUUCCAUGUAACAUGACAUAACAAUAUUAAACAGCAUCAGGACAAAUAUUGCGAACAUAAUAUGUUUGGUUUAGGUGCGCGCGCCGCCUCUUAAAAAGCAUGUCGAAAUCCAUGCUUUCUGCGAGGUGCACCGCCCGGCGCACCUUACAUACAAACACAUUGUAAUUAGUGUGACCAAAAAGAACUCUUGGUGCGAUUAUCCAAGACCACAAAUCACACUCUGCAACGAGAAGUGUCCCCCAAAGACUAAACAAAAAGAAAAAAUAAAAGCAGCUUCCAAUCGUUUCAUUACUUGACUCACCCAAUAACAAAAGCUCUUCGUCUUCUCAAUAAGGAAAUUAAUACAUGCAAGCUGCCACAAGAUUAAAGCACUUAAUGCAGAGAAAGGAGGAGUCACUGCAAUCUAUUCUACUUCCCAGAUGUUGCAGUCAAACUUAAAAUGUGAAAAUCAAAUAUGGUAAAGGCCACGGCUCUACAUAUAAAGAAAUAGACACCUGGGAUAUGAGAGUUCUUAUUGUUAAAUAAUAUUUAUGUAGUCUUAUUUAUUAAGGGUAGAAUAGUACUUUCAGUUUGACCUAUAUAUACUUUAUUUGUAUUGAGGUUAACACAAAGCAUUCAUAAUAAACAGUCUGAGGGAAGAGAUAUGAGCCUACGUUUAAGUAUUUGAUCUCGAUUACUUUAACAUGGUAUCAGAGCUGGUUUUAUGGCACGAGGUUAAUCCCGUACACAGCUUAUGUCAAGGUAACCGAGCUCGAUAUCUAUCCUCAAUUAUUUUGGUAUUUCGUCUUCCCUUCAGCUUUGCAAUUUUGGUAAUUCCGUUCAGUUUCUGCAAAUUGUUUUGUGUUUUGGAGUAAUCGUAUAGUUUGAGAAGAUAUUUGUUUAGUUUCUGCAAUCUCUGUUCAGUUUCUGCAAUUUGGUAUUUUGUUUUCCGCUGCUUUUGCAUUCUGGUUCUUUGUGAUUGUUGAUUAUGGCUACUGAAAGAGAUGAUUCGCUUCAGUCUGUGAGUGUGAGGUUGGAUGGGAAGAACUAUUCGUAUUGGAGCUAUGUAAUGAGAAAUUUUCUUAAGGGUAAGAAGAUGUGGGGAUAUGUUAGUGGAACUUAUGUGGUACCUAAGAAUACUGAAGAAGGAGAUACUGUCUCGAUAGAUACAUGGGAAGCAAACAAUGCAAAGAUCAUUACUUGGAUCAACAAUUCUGUUGAGCAUUCUAUAAGUACACAGUUGGCAAAGUAUGAGACAGCAAAGGAGGUUUGGGAUCAUCUGCAACGGUUAUUCACGCAAUCAAAUUUUGCAAAACAGUAUCAGUUAGAGAAUGACAUACGAGCUCUUCACCAGAAGAAUAUGAGUAUUCAGGAGUUCUAUUCUGCCAUGACAGAUCUUUGGGAUCAAUUGGCUCUUACAGAAUCGGCAGAAUUAAAAGCAUGUGGUGCUUAUAUUGAACGUAGAGAGCAGCAACGAUUGGUACAAUUUUUAACAGCACUUCGCAGUGAUUUCGAAGGACUUAGAGGUUCAAUUCUGCAUCGUUCUCCACUGCCCUCUGUUGACUCUGUUGUCAGUGAGUUAUUGGCUGAAGAAAUACGUCUUCAGUCUUAUUCUGAAAAGGGAAUUCUUUCUGCUUCGAAUCCUUCUGUACUAGCAGUACCUUCUAAGCCAUUCUCUAAUCAUCAGAACAAGCCUUACACAAGGGUUGGCUUCGAUGAGUGCAGUUUCUGUAAGCAGAAAGGUCAUUGGAAGGCUCAGUGUCCUAAGUUGAGACAGCAGAAUCAAGCUUGGAAGUCUGGCAGUCAGUCACAAUCUAAUGCUCAUCGAUCACCUCAGGGUUAUAAACCACCACACCACAAUACUGCAGCAGUAGCUUCCCCAGGCUCUAUUACCGAUCCUAAUACUUUAGCUGAGCAAUUUCAGAAGUUUCUCUCCUUGCAGCCACAAGCAAUGUCCGCUUCUUCCAUAGGUCAGUUGCCUCAUAGUUCCUCAGGUAUGUCACACUCUGAAUGGGUCUUGGAUUCUGGUGCUUCACAUCAUAUGUCUCCAGAUUCCUCAUCUUUUACCUCAGUGUCCCCUUUGUCCUCCAUUCCUGUUAUGACUGCUGAUGGCACUCCUAUGCCCUUAGCAGGUGUUGGUUCUGUUGUCACACCUCACUUGUCUCUCCCUAAUGUUUAUCUUAUUCCAAAACUCAAAUUGAAUCUUGCGUCUGUUGGUUAAAUAUGUGAUUCUGGUGAUUAUUUAGUCAUGUUUUCUGGUUCUUUUUGUUGUGUACAGGAUCUGCAGUCUCAGAAGCUGAUUGGGACAGGUCGUAGGGAGAAUGGGCUAUAUAUUUUGGAUGAGUUAAAAGUGCCAGUUGCUGCUGCUGCUGCUGCUGCUACUGCUGAUUUGUCUUCCUUUCGUUUGAGUCUUUCAUCUUCUAGUUUUUAUUUAUGGCAUUCCCGUCUAGGUCAUGUUUCGUCUUCUCGUUUGAGAUUUUUGGCAUCCACAGGAGAUUUAGGAAAUUUGAAAACUUGUGACAUUUCUGAUUGUAGUGGAUGUAAACUGGCAAAAUUUUCUGCUUUAUCUUUUAAUCGAAGUAUUUCUGUUUCAUCUUCACCAUUUGAUUUGAUUCAUUCUGAUGUAUGGGGACCUUCUCCUGUUUCCACAAAAGGAGGGUCUCGAUAUUAUGUCUCUUUUAUUGAUGAUCAUACUCGUUAUUGUUGGGUUUAUUUAAUGAAACAUCGUUCUGAAUUCUUUGAGAUAUAUGCAGCUUUUCGAGCUCUUAUCAAAACUCAACAUUCUGCUGUGAUCAAAUGCUUUAGGUGUGAUUUGGGUGGGGAAUACACCUCUAAUAAAUUUUGUCAAAUGCUUGCCUUAGAUGGAACCAUCCACCAAACUUCAUGUACAGAUACUCCUGAACAAAAUGGUGUAGCUGAAAGAAAACAUAGGCAUAUUGUCGAAACUGCUCGUUCUCUCUUGUUGUCUGCUUUUGUUCCUAGUGAAUUUUGGGGAGAAGCUGUUCUUACUGCUGUAAGUUUGAUUAAUACAAUUCCAUCUUCUCAUAGUUCGGGUCUAUCUCCUUUUGAAAAGCUAUAUGGGCAUGUCCCUUAUUAUUCCUCAUUUAGAGUCUUUGGUUGUACUUGUUUUGUUCUUCGUCCUCAUGUAGAACGCAAUAAGCUAUCCUCUCGAUCCGCUAUUUGUGUCUUUCUGGGUUAUGGUGAAGGUAAAAAGGGGUAUCGUUGUUUUGAUCCAAUAACUCAGAAACUUUAUGUGUCUCGUCAUGUUGUCUUCCUUGAGCAUAUACCUUUCUUUUCUAUUCCAUCCACUACUCAUAGCCUGACAAAAUCUGAUCUUAUUCAUAUAGAUCCUUUUUCUGAGGAUUCUGGUAAUGAUACCUCUCCCUAUGUUCGAUCAAUUUGUACUCAUAACUCUGCAGGUACUGGUACUUUACUCUCUGGCACAUCUGAAGCUUCAUUCUCAUCUACAGCCCCUCAAGCUUCAUCUGAGAUUGUGGAUCCACCUCCACGUCAGUCCAUCCGCAUUCGUAAGUCCACAAAACUACCAGAUUUUGCUUAUUCUUGUUAUUCUUCAUCAUUUACUUCCUUUUUAGCUUCUAUUCAUUGUCUCUUUGAGCCCUCUUCCUAUAAAGAGGCAAUUCUUGAUCCGCUUUGGCAGCAAGCUAUGGAUGAGGAACUUUCUGCUUUGCAUAAGACAGAUACUUGGGAUCUGGUUCCUCUACCUCCUGGUAAGAGUGUUGUUGGUUGUCGUUGGGUGUAUAAGAUCAAGACUAAUUCUGAUGGGUCUAUUGAGCGAUACAAAGCUAGGCUGGUUGCAAAAGGAUACUCUCAACAGUAUGGUAUGGACUAUGAGGAGACAUUUGCCCCGGUUGCCAAAAUGACUACUAUUCGUACUCUUAUUGCCGUAGCUUCGAUUCGUCAGUGGCAUAUUUCUCAGCUUGAUGUUAAAAAUGCAUUCUUGAAUGGAGAUCUUCAAGAAGAAGUUUAUAUGGCACCCCCUCCUGGUAUUUCACAUGACUCUGGAUAUGUUUGUAAGCUUAAGAAAGCACUAUAUGGUCUCAAACAAGCACCUCGUGCUUGGUUUGAGAAAUUCUCUAUUGUGAUCUCGUCUCUUGGCUUUGUUUCUAGCAGUCAUGAUUCUACUCUUUUUAUUAAGUGCACUGAUGCAGGUCGUAUCAUUCUGUCUUUAUAUGUUGAUGACAUGAUUAUUACUGGUGAUGAUAUUGAUGGUAUUUCAGUUUUGAAGACAGAGUUGGCUAGACGAUUUGAAAUGAAGGAUUUGGGUUAUCUUCGAUAUUUCCUAGGUAUUGAGGUAGCAUACUCGCCUAGAGGUUACCUUCUUUCUCAGUCAAAAUAUGUUACAGAUAUUCUUGAGCGAGCUAGACUUACUGAUAACAAGACUGUAGAUACUCCUAUUGAGGUCAACGCGAGGUACUCUUCUUCUGAUGGUUUACCUUUGAUAGAUCCUACUUUAUACCGUACUAUUGUUGAGAGUUUGGUAUAUCUCACAAUUACUCGUCCAGAUAUUGCAUAUGUUGUUCAUGUUGUUAGUCAGUUUGUUGCUUCUCCUACUACUGUUCACUGGGCAGCUGUUCUUCGUAUUUUGCGAUAUCUUCGGGGUACAGUUUUUCAAAGUCUGUUACUUUCAUCCACCUCUUCCUUGGAGUUGCGUGCAUACUCUGAUGCUGAUCAUGGUAGUGAUCCCACAGAUUGCAAGUCUGUUACCGGGUUCUGUAUCUUUUUAGGUGAUUCUCUUAUUUCUUGGAAGAGCAAGAAACAAUCUAUUGUUUCUCAAUCAUCCACCGAAGCAGAAUAUCGUGUCAUGGCAUCUACUACCAAAGAGAUUGUUUGGCUACGUUGGUUACUUGCUGAUAUGGGAAUUUCCUUUUCUCAUCCUACUCCUAUGUAUUGUGACAACCAGAGUUCUAUUCAGAUUGCUCAUAACUCGGUUUUUCAUGAGCGCACUAAGCACAUUGAGAUCGAUUGUCAUCUUACUCGUCAUCAUCUCAAACAUGGCACCAUUGCUUUGCCUUUUGUUCCUUCUUCCUUGCAAAUUGCAGAUUUCUUUACCAAGGCGCAUUCCAUCUCUCGUUUUCGUUUUCUGGUUGGCAAACUCUCGAUGCUUGUAGCUGCCGCAUCGUGAGUUUGAGGGGAGAUGUUAAAUAAUAUUUAUGUAGUCUUAUUUAUUAAGGGUAGAAUAGUACUUUCAGUUUGACCUAUAUAUACUUUAUUUGUAUUGAGGUUAACACAAAGCAUUCAUAAUAAACAGAUUAUUCAGAAUUGUAGCCUCCUUUUUGUAUUUGAUCUCAAUUACUUUAACACUUAUACCAUGCCUCAAGGACAAAUGAAGGAGAGCAAAGCAUCUCCCGGAAAAAAAACAUCAAAUCAAGAGUCUUGCAAUCCACAUGCAUUAAAGCUUCUUUCAUAAAGGACAGAAGCUUUGAUUUCCAAAUGAGACAGCAAAAAAGAUAUGUCACUGAUAUCCACUUGUAAUUAAUAACCACUUCAUUUAUUUAUUCUAGGACAAAAAACCAAAACAAUCUUGGAUCACAUAGGAACAGGAAAAGGCCUUAAACUCUGACGAACAAGGCGGAGCUAUUAUACAUAGGAUACUUCAGAUGAACUGUUGAUUUCCAUUAUGCUUCAUGCCAAACGUGAGAACCCAACCUCCUUUCCCACCCAUAUCCACAUCACACAACCCGAUCAUCGUCGCAUAUUAAUUUCAUUACAUAAUAUGACACUAGGAUGCAUGUCAUGAUGAAACAUGGAUGAGAUUAAAACUCAUUGACAUAAAUCUGGUCUUUUAAUACAUGUCUCAGAUAAUUAGACCUGAUGAUUAAGAUUAUAAGUUCAAAAACAUAAAUAUAUAGCCAUACGCAAGAGUCUUAGAUUCUGGAAGCCAACAUUUCCAGCAAUACAUGUCUAGGCAAGACAUUGCAUAUCUGAUUCUGAGAAUCACAGCAAAUAUGCCCACUCUAUCAAACAUACUUGAAUGCAGCCAGUCUUAUUUGACAGGCAACUAAAACUAAACAUGAAAAAAGUUUCAUAUUAAGAAGAAGCAGUGAUCAUCUAUGAUCUACCAUCCUCCUAAAUCCUAGAACCUUUUAAUUUUUAACACAAAAACUAGUGACAGCACCUCAACAUGAUAGAAUUGAGAAGGAGAAGCUUCAACGCAAUGCAUGCAACUCAAAGCCAAUAUAUAUUACCCUUUCACUUAGACUACCAUCACAUUUCUAAGCAUCGAGUUUCAAUCUACUAGUUCAUUCCAGAAACAUUCUUCAACUAAGACAAAAUGCCGAACCUACCUGGAAGGCAGGACCCCCUCAGCAGAAUUCAUGAUGCUCCAGCAACCCAUGAAUGCAAAGAGGAACAAUCUUCUAAAAAUGACUUCCAUUGGAGGAAGUUCGACAAAAUUGAGUAAAUUCUUGACCCAAGGAGGAGACUCCUCCACUUUCUUCUCUAUCCUGGUCUUGAAAUUAAUUUUUGUUUCUUUCCUCUGUCUAAAGCUAGUCAUCAACAAUUUCUCAAAGGCAGCUUCUAUUGAUUCUUCGCUUCUUUCAUGCCCAGCAUAUUGUUUCAGGAGAAAAUUGCGUGAACUCCAGACUUCCUCUUCAGAAGCGUAAGGACUGACACCAAGACGUUUAAAAGGGUCCCAAACAUUCAUGGAAGGGAAUUUCGGGAUGUUACCUGUUGAGUUUGAACACGAUUGUGAUAGGUCCCUGUCACAGCAAGUAAUUAAAGACAAGAAACAAACACAAAUGUAUUCUGCUUUGGGCGAGAAUAAGCCACAAUUGAUAUUAUUGAAUAUUGAAUGAAUGCGUUCUCUGUCUCAUAGCAGAGUUUAAAUACAGGAAUUGAAAUAACAACUUUCCUAAAAUACUGGCAUGACUACAUAAAAUCAGGAUGACUCCUGCUACAUAGCUGGCAUUUAUUUGCUGAAUAAAACUUGACUCCUUCCUCCCGUGCACUAAGGCACUGCAGUGAGAAGACCCCCUUGACUCGUUCCUCCCUUGACUAGCUCUUCACAGCUCAAUAAACCUGCGAUUCUUCUUACGAAUUCUGCAUGAUCUUCUCGGCUCCAGCUGUUGCUCAUCCCGUUGUUGUAGUUCAUCACUUGACUCCUUCAAUUGCUGCUGCUGCUUAUCAAUACCUCCCUCUUUUAAGGGAACCUUGUCCUCAAGGUUCAGAUUCUGAAAUCGCUCCCGUAACGCCACAGCAUCUUCCCACGUGGCAUCAUCAUUCUGCAGAUGUUUCCAUUUGACGAGAAUUGCUUCGACAAACCGAGACCCUUUCUUGAUCCAACGAGUGUCUAGGACAGCCUCAGGUUCAAUCAGCAUCUCUCCCGCAGCAGACAUAGGUGGCAAUUCGAUUGAUUCAACCACCUCAUCUCCAAUUUUCUUUUUGAGCAAGGACACAUGAAAGACUGGAUGAAUUCAAGCCUGUGUAGGCAAUUUUAGCUUAUACGCUACCGCGCCAAUUCUUUCUGCAAUCUGAUAAGGACCAUAAUAGCGGCUAGCCAACUUUUUGCAUACACUCCUGACCACGGAUUGUUGACGGUAAGGGUGAAGUUUAAGAAAAACCCAAUCUCCCACCUGAAAUUCAAUAUCACGUCGCUUAGAAUUAGCAAGUUGUUGCAUGCGAUUACUAGCCGCAUGCAGGUUUGCCUUGAGCAGACUCAACAAUUCGUCCCUAGAGGCGAGUUGCUGAUCCACUUCAUUCACCGGAGACAUGCCAAUGUGGUAAUGGGGAAUUGUAGGUGGUAAACGUCCAUAGAGGGCCUGAAAUGGUGUCAUUCCUGUAGAAGCAUGAUAAGUUGUAUUAUACCAGAAUUCGGCCCAAGGUAGGAGGGAAUUCCAUUUUGCUGGCUGGUGGUGAACAAAGCACCGAAGAUAUUGUUCGACGCAGCGAUUGACCACCUCUGAUUGCCCAUCCGUUUGUGGAUGAUAUGCGGAACUCAUCUUCAACUUGGUACCUGACAAUUUAAAGAACUCACGCCAAAAAUGACUGAUAAAGAUAGGAUCUCUAUCACUGAUAAUGGACCGCGGCAUACCAUGUAGCUUCACUACCCCGUCAACGAAUUUCUCGGCCACAAUUUUGGUCGUAUAAGGAUGAGCCAAUGCCAAGAAAUGUGCUGACUUACUUAGGUGAUUAACCACAACGAAAAUUGUGUUCUUGCCACCCGAUGUCGGGAGACCUUCAAUAAAAUCCAUCGUAAUAUCAUCCCAAACCUGACAGGGAACAGGUAAUGGUUGUAAUAAACCCGCCGGUGAUAGUGUGUCUGAUUUUACCCGUUGACAUACGUCACAGGAUGCGACAUAUUCCUUCACUAUGCGAGCCAUUGAUGGCCAAUAGAACUGGUGUGCCAACCGUUUGUAAGUGCGCAACACACCCGAAUGCCCUCCAAUAGGUGAAUCAUGGAAUUCACGUAAUAGUUGUUGAAUGAUGUCCGAGUUGGGGGCAACUACUACUCAAUUUUUAUAGUGGAGCAACCCAUUCCGCCGUGUAUAUGGGCUGCCCGAAUUUUCAGCAGCGAGCUUGCCAAUUUUCUUCAUGUAAGGAAGAGAAACAGCUUCGGCCUUAAGCUGAUCCCAUACGGUACUUUGUGGAACAGAUAAGUGCGAAAGGCAAGGGCUUCCCGUCAUUCGUGAUAAAGCAUCCGCAGCUGAAUUCUCCUUUCCUGGCUUAUACACAAUUUCAUAAUCAUAGCCGAGUAAUUUCGAUACCCAUUUCUGCUGUUCUGGGGUAGUAAUACGCUGCUCCAAGAGGUACUUCAAGCUGCGUUGAUCGGUUUGGAUCACAAACUUACGGCCUAACAAGUAUGGUCUCCACAGCUGGACAGCCACCACAAUAGCCAGCAUCUCCCUCGCAUAAGUUGACCAUGCACGCUUGGAUAGCCCCAAAACGCGACUCAUGAAAGCUAUUGGCCGCCUUGUUGGGUCAGAACAGCGCCGAUGCCAUCACCGGAAGCAUCAGACUCAAUCACGAAAACUUCAGCAAAAUUAGGCAUGGCAAGUGUUGGGGUGGACGUCAUUGCGGUCUUUAAUGCCUCAAAAGCUGCCUCGGCUUCAUCAUUCCAGCCAAAUUGACCUUUGGUAACAAGGAUGUCAACGGUCGAGCAAGAAUUCCAUAAUUGCGGACAAAUUUCUUGUAAUAACCUGUAAGACCUAAAAAUCCACGAAGCUCAGAUAUAUUAGUAGGUCUUGACCAGGAUAGCAUAGCCUGGAUUUUUGCUUGAUCAACCUUAACCCCCAUUGGAGUAAUAAUAUGCCCCAAGUACUCCAGUUCUUGUUGACCAAAAGCACAUUUCUUCAAUUUCGCAAAGAAUUGGUACUGCCUUAGAAUUUCGAAAGCCUUGCGAACAUGUUCAAGAUGCAUGGUCCAAUUGGGACUAUAGAUCAAUAUGUCAUCAAAAAAGACUAAUACAAAUUUGCGAAGGUAUGGUCGAAAUAUGGCAUUCAUAAGGGCUUGAAAAGUAGAGGGUGCGUUACACAAACCAAAUGGCAUGACUAAGUAUUCGUAAUGACCAUUAUGAGUGCGAAAAGCAGUUUUAUGAAUAUCAUUUGGUGCUACCCUAACCUGAUGGUAACCAGCUGUCAAAUCUAGUUUGGUAAAAUAAACAGCCCCAUGCAAUUCGUCUAACAUGUCAUCUACUGUAGGAAUAGGAAAUCGGUCUUUAAUAGUUACUGCGUUAAGUGCUCUAUAAUCGGUGCAAAAACGCCAUGUGCCAUCUUUCUUUUUGACUAACAAAACAGGUGAUGAAAAAGGGCUAGUGCUUGAUCUUAUAAAUCCCAAUUUUAACAUGUCUUGAACCUGUUUUUCAAUUUCAGCUUUUUGAAAAUAGGCAUACCUGUAGGGUCUGACAUUGACCGGUUCUGUCCCUUCUUUGACAGUGAUGGUGUGGUCGAUCUCCCGGACCGGUGGCAAUUGAGCUGGAGUUUGAAAAAUAUCUCCAAAUUCCUCCAACAUCUGCUGCAUUUCAGACUCAACUUUGCUAACAGGCAUCUCGACUUCGGUUUGUAGACAGAUAGCAAACAUCGUUUUGCUUUGGCGCAGCUCCUUCGAUAAAUCCUUGAGAGACGCGGGUUGAAUGUGUUGGCUGUCAAUUCCCUGUAAUUUUUGCAUCUGAUUCUUCCACAUAAAUUCCAUGGUCAUUUUCUUCCAAUCACAGGCUACUGUUCCCAAUUGUUCAAGCCACUGCACUCCCAAAACCAAAUCUAACCCACAUAAAGGUAUGGCAUAUAAAGUCAGCAUAAAUGGGAUACCUUGAAGUAGGACGUGUAUGUUUUCAAAUAUGCCUUGACACUUCAAUGGAUUCCCAUUUGCCACCUUUACGUUGAAGGGCUGUGUGGGUAUCACUGGUAGGUGUAGCCAAUUAGCAAUCCGCUCGCUAAUGAAAUUGUGGGUGGAGCCACUAUCAAUGAGGACAGUCAAUUCGUGAUUUCCAAUUCUUGCCAUGAUGCGCAUUGUUUUGGCAGUCGACCAGCCAGUAAGAGCAUGUAGUGAAAUUUGUGGUUCAUCAUCUUCGAAGUCUUCGUCAUCUUGCAGAUGUGUCUUUUCGUCUCCUUCCAGUAGCAACAAACGGGGUCUUUGACACUUAUGGCCAGGAGUGAAUUUUUCGUCACAAUUGAAGCAGAGACCUUGCGAUCGGCGCUUCUGCAUCUCGUCCCACGCCAGGCGUUUCAUGGGCAUAACUGCUGCUGGUGAUUUUGUGGGUGAAAAAGAAGCAAUUGGAUUCUGACUAAUGGAAAAUGGCUUACGUCGUUGGCGAAGUAAUUGCUCAUCUCUCAUUCUGGCAAGGCUAAUUGCCUCUUUCAAGGAUUUGGGUUUAAACAUCCUAAUCCCUUCUGCAAUGUCAGGUUUCAAGCCUCCCAUAAAAGUUCCCACCAAUGCCUUCUGCGUCCAGCCUUGCACACGGUUACCCAGCCUUUCGAAUUCUUUUUGGUACUCCCGUAGUGAGCCCCCUUGUCUCACCCUUGACAGUGCUUCAUCGAAAUCUUCACAUUCUGGUGGUCCAAACCUUGCCCAUAAUUCCUCCUCAAAAAUUGGCCAUGUCAUCUCCUUGUCUUCCUCUUUGUAAGCACGUCGCAGCCACUGCCACCACUGGUUCGCCUCCCCUUGAAGAUGAAAAGAUGCCAAUGACACCUUUUGUGUUUCCACAGUACCUUGGUAUUCGAAGAAUUGAUCAACUCUGUUGAACCAUUCAGUGGGGUCGUUGCCCGAGUAUAUGGGGAACUCAAGCUUCGCCAGUUUUGAAGAGAACAUCUGUCUGUUCCCCUCAGCUCGUUCUGCAAUGUCUUCACGUUGAUAGCGCGGGCGUCCAUUGCGCUCAAUGGAUUGGCUGCUGGAUCCUUCUUUGUUGGACAGUAACGCCUCUGUCAGCUUAUUGAUGUUGACUUCCAUCUGCUGCAUUCUGUCAACAAGAGUAAUUUCCAUUCGGCUCAUUCCAUCUUGCAGACCUCCCAAUCCGAUUUCCAAAUUUUCUAUCCGCUCCUUGUUUGUUGUCAUUGUUAACCUGGCUCUGAUACCAAUUGAUAGGUCCCUGUCACAGCAAGUAAUUAAAGACAAGAAACAAACACAAAUGUAUUCUGCUUUGGGCGAGAAUAAGCCACAAUUGAUAUUAUUGAAUAUUGAAUGAAUGCGUUCUCUGUCUCAUAGCAGAGUUUAAAUACAGGAAUUGAAUAACAACUUUUCUAAAAUACUGGCACGACUACAUAAAAUCAGGAUGACUCCUGCUACAUAGCUGGCAUUUAUUUGCUGAAUAAAACUUGACUCCUUCCUCCCGUGCACUAAGGCACUGCAGUGAGAAGACCCCCUUGACCCGUUCCUCCCUUGACUGGCUCUUCACAACUCAAUAAACCUGCGAUUCUUCUUAGGAAUUCUGCAUGAUCUUCUCGGCUCCAGCUGUUGCUCAUCCCGUUGUUGUAGUUCAUCACUUGACUCCUUCAAUUGCUGCUGCUGCUUAUCAACUGCAUUGGCAUCCAAUAAGUGAGGACAAUCUUGUAUCUUCCAAGUGGCAGUAGAAUUUAAUUAUAACUACCAUUAUUCUUAUCUUUAGUUAGUAAUAUAACUCUAUUUAUUGUUUCUAGUACGUAGGACAUGUUGUAAUGAAAACCUGUUAGUUAUUUGGUGUGAUUCCAAGGAGUGAUUCCUUUGAAUGAUAUCAGGCUCUACUUAUUUUCCUCUAUCAAUACUUUCUUGCUAUCUUUUAUACCAUGUUCAUUAGUUUACAUAAAUUGUUCCCUUAAUAUCCUUUGGUAUUAAUAUUAAUUGAUAUCAGAACAAGUUUUGAAUUUUUGAUCUGCUAUGCCUGGAACCGCAGUGGAAAUUCUUAUAAUCCCACCAAUCAAAGAUUACAAGACCCUAGUCCUUCCCUAACCAAUUUGAACUCCCCGUAGAAAACAUCUCCAAACCGAUUCUGAACCCCCCACAACAAGCAUCUCCACAACCUAUUCCGAACCCCCCACAACAAGCAUCUCUACAACAUGAUUUACUUCCUUGUUAAACCAGUUAGAAGAUGCUCUCAGAAUGGUAAGCUUCGAAGAGCUGCAGGAUGCAAGCGUGUGCUGAAGAAGCAAGAGGACAAUUGCCCACAUAAAUGGCAAAGGGGGUGAUUGUUGGAAUAUUGCCAAUUAUGUGGCUGCCAUUGUCAAAGAAGAUGGCUGCAAUGGUGGGUUGUUGGUGGCAGCCAACAACCAUUGUCUAAUGUCAAAGUUUGGUAAGUUUGGCAGCCACCAUUGUUGACAAAAGAGUUGGAGGAGCUGCCAUGAAUGCCUAUAAAUAGAGGCCUACAUUAGAGAAGCAAAGUGAGAGAAGAAAGGAGAGAAAACGUGAGUGUGAGUUGAGAGAAAGAGAGAGCUGCAAUGGCAGCAGCCUUGCUGCCAUUGCAGCAGCUGCAACAGCUGUGUGUGAGAGCUGGGAGUAGAGUAGAGUGAAUGUAAUCCUCCUCCUCCAUAUAUAUUGUAAUCCUUUCUCUAUAUAUCUCAAUAAUAUAGACUCUCCCGUGGAUGUAGGCGGUUUUGCCGAACCACGUAAAAUAUUGUGCCAGUGUGCUAUCCCUCCUUUGAGCAAUUAUCAGUACACCCCCGGUCGGAAAUCCCCAACACAGAGUUGAUCAAGGAGGAGAUGUGGCUAUAGAUGAAGAAGAAGUAGGAGAACAUUAGCUCAAUUCAGUCUACAGUGACAGGGAGGUCAAAAUUGAAAGAUAUCACUAUUUUCAUUAAUUUUAUUAAAGCUUAUAAUAAAAGGUUGUGUUUUUAAUUGGAUUUAUUUUUAUAUGGCGUGGCUUCUUUUUUUAAAAUGCAAUCUGCUUCCCUUUAUAAUACAGAAAUCCAGUUUUGAGUUUAUGUAACUAUAUUAACAAAACGAUUAAAUGCUUUCGUGUCCGUUUAAUUAUUUAUAUAAAUAAUAAACCCAGUUAAUAUAUUUUGCAAUCAGUUUAUGGUUUAUUUAUCUCAUAGUUGAGUUAGUUAAUGUAUGUUUUUUCAAAUUAGUAGCAAAGGCGUGUGGGCUUGUCUCAGGCUCACAUGCUAGUGCCUGAGUUGUACUGUAAUAGACCCUAUCAUAUUAGGCCACAUAAGCCCGAGUGGUUGGAAUUUUUUUUAUUGGUCAUUUUUUAUUUUUUUAAUAUAAUUUUUUAAUUUUAUAUUUUAUUGUUGAGUUUUUUUAUUAAGUUUUAUUUGUCAAUAUUGAAUUAAUUAUAAAUUAAUUUUUAUAUUUUUUAUUAUAUAUAAACCGAGUAAAGUAUUUGGUGGGUUAGCUAUAAACCUGAACUUUUUAUUUUUUUAUUUUUUGGACUAGUAAAAGACAAAUUAAAAAAACAAAGUAAUCUUAUUUGAUAUGUUGUAAAUUUUUUUUUUAUCUAAUAAUUUAAAUUGAAAUCUCAUUUAAUAAUUUAAAUUAUUAAAUUGAAAUAAAUUUUUAAUACAAUGAUUUAAGAUGUACCAAGAUAUGGUUGUAGUUUUUAUUUUUUUGCCUUUUUCUUUAAAAAUGUUAUCUCCUUGGUAAGGAAUCCUUGGUUCCCAACGGCAACUGUAGCAACGUAAAAACAAAUCUCUAAACUCCACCGAAAGUGGUAGAGCAUUAGAAUUUUUAAAAGACAAAACGGGGCGCGACAUUCAUAAUUUAUAAACAGAUGCGAUAAAAUAAGUCAUACUGCAUGUUUUCAUUUGGCAUUUAAUUCCAUGAACAUGGCUUUUUUAGAUUAAUAUAGUGUUUGGACUAGCUUGUAUAUCUCGAAUAAUCUCAAGAGAUCUUGAAGUUAACAACGUACCAUAUAAGGCUUUAAUAGCAAUGAGAUUUGUAGGAUUCGAACUAGUGAUAUUUAGAAAACAAACUUAGUGACUAACUAGUUGAGCUACACCCCUUAAAAUUCCAUGAACAUGAUCUUACUUUUCGAUCAAAUUAAUGUGACCAUAUUAUACUUGUAAUCAAACCAUUAAUUGACUGUUCUUGACUAGCUAUUGUUUCUCAUUGGCAAGAGUCAUUGCCAAUGAUCAUAACAUGUUAGUGAUCUAUUGCAACUAGUUCUAGUAUCGACAGAGUUGUUAUUUAACCAUUAAAUCAAUUUAUAAAACAUUAUUGACUAGCUAUCUAACACUAACAACUAAUCACAGAUAAUAUUUAUGCAAAACUUGUAGCUUAAUACGAACUCUCAGACAUGUGGGUGGGGCAACUCAAAGUAGGAGAGUGGUAACCUCUGAUACAUAACAGAGAAAAUUAUAGAGUAAAGCAGGACGGAAUUUUCUUAAAUUAACAACAGAAAUCUAGAUACUUCAAUAAAUUAACACACUGACUAAUAAAUCCCCCCCACCAUCAUCCAGUUAUCACAGGUGCAUCUACAAUGAACAGUUCUCGAGAAGAAACUCAAGAAACGCAUAUAAAGCUACAUGAUGACAUAAUAGGAACCUGCAUUGCCUCCAUUCCAUGAUGAAAGUUCAAGAAAUUCUACUUCGAAACUCAAGACAAAGUCUCUCAGACUACAUAUUAGUGGGAUUUCUAUAAACAACUGAUUGUAUUGCAAAGCAACAUUAUGAAAAACUGAAUAUUUCACACAUAGUCUAACAAAAGUAGGUUCCAUUGUCAAUUCCUUAACAUUUUCCGAACAAAUCACAGUUGCUCCUCGUUUGAUACUUUCUUGAAGGUUUCUUUUCUCUUAUUACCAAUUUCUGUGAGUUUGUGAUUUUUUAUCUGUACCGUAUCAUCCGAACAAUUACUAGAACCACACAACUAAUAUGUAAAUUCACAAAUUCCCUACAGUUCAUAUUGCCAACAAACUCCUCUUGCCAUUCCCUAAUUGCAUUGAGCCAGCUAAUCUGGAUGAAAGAAAGGACUUCGACCUUGAAAUUAGCAUCAUAGUCAUGGAACCUUAAAGCAGGCCCAACUUUGUAGCUCAUUACCAGCUACGUAAAAGUUAUCAAUAGCUGUGUGGAUCAUUGAAACUGCCACAAAAGCAACCCAAAUUAGUUAUGAAUUGGAUUCGAUAAAGGAAAGAGGGGAAGAGGGGAGAAGACAGAUGAAGAUCUGCGCAGGGCUACCUGUUUUGAGAAUUAUGGAUUUUUAUCCCUAACUCAAAACGGCACCAAUUAUAAGUUCAAUAAAAAAAAAUAUGUAACAGAACAGAUGGAAAAAACUCGAAACAACUCGGCUAGAAUUUAGGAAAGAAAUUCAGAAUGAGCCAAGAUUUUAAGUGAGAUGAAACUUUGUUCUUUGAAAAAAAUAAUUAAUAUGAGAUAUACUUUUCAUUUUAGUGAACCUUAAAGCAGACCCAACAGUUAAGUAAAAGUUAUCAAUAGCUGUGUAAACCAUUGAAACUGUUACUGUAGGUGCACACUCAAUUACACCAUGGAUUCACAUAGUGCAAUUGUUAAUUUUUUUUUUAAAUUCCAUGUUAUUUUUUUAUUUGAACCUUUUUUUGUCAACAUGUUUCGCAAUUGGCCUUGGUAUUUUGUUUUCAUUUUCUCUAUGUUUCCUUCUUCUGUAGAUAAAAAACAUCAGGUCUUUGGGCUCGUACUUGAUAGUGCAAAAUUAAUGACACAAUAAUCAAAUAACACAAAAAUUUUUAUAAGCGAAAGGAAUUGGAGAUGUAAACCUAAAAUUCGCAAGUUUAUUUUUUCUAAAAUAAUAAUAAUAAUAAUAAUAAUAAUAAAGUCUACAUUCUUAGAAGGUUUACAAACCUUUAAAUGGGUCAAGAACCCUACCCCCAACUAGGAAGCAAAAAUAAAAAUUCAAAAUUACAAAGAAAAGAAGCAUAAAAUCCAAAAUAAACAAGAAAUCUAAAAAUAAUAAGGAAAAUCACAAAAAUUACCAAAACUAGAGGCCUCAAUGAGAUUUUUGAUAUCUAAAGAUCCGACGGUCCGCAUUAAAAUUUGAGCACAAUCUAACAAUUGAAUAAAAAAUUAUGACUCUUUUGAGUUGUUAUUCUGGUUUAGCGUGACCAAACCUUCUCUUGGGCUUAGACCUGUUUCAUUGGUCCAUAAAUACAUUUGCUAAGCUAUCAACAUAAUUUAUCUAGGGAAAAUCUUCAUCUAGUUAUGGCAGAUUCACACCUGACUGCUUAGAAUCACUAAUUAUUAUAGGAUUGACUACAUCAAAAUUGGUCGGUUUUUUUUGUUUUCAAAGAGAUUUAAACUUGAUGCAGAUGAAAGCUAAAAACACAAUAAUCAAAGAACACCAAAAAAUAUAUGAGCGAAAGAGAAUAUAGAUGUGAACUCUCAAAUUCCCAAGUUUAUUUUCUCUAAAAUAAUAAUAAUAAAGUUUGUCUUCUUAAGACGUUUACAAAGCCUUAAAUAUGUUAGGAACCUUACCUUAACUAGGAAACAAAAACAUAAACCCAAAAUUACAAAGGAAAGAAACAUAAAAUCCAAAACAAGUAAGAAAUAAAAAAAUAACAAGGAAAAUCACAAAAACUACCAAAACUAGAGGCCUAAACAAGAUUUUUUAUAUAUAAAGAUUCGAUGGUUCACGUGAAAAUUUGAGCAUGAUCAAAUAAUCAGAUAAAAAAUUAUAACUUUUUGAGCUUUUAUUCUGGUCUGACACGACCAAACUUCUUCUUGCUAAACUUGUUUCAUUGGUCCCUAAAUACAUCUCCAUAACCUUUUUUUUUUGUUUCACUAUAGAUAGAGUUUGACCAUUAUUAUAUAUGGUUUGACUUAGCCGUAUCGGUUUUCAAUUAGAUCAACUUUAUAUAUUAUGGGUUUACAUUUACUAUUUUUUAAAAAGUGCUCACAAGUCCAUUUUUCACACCUCAAACUCGUAACUGCAACGAUUCGUAGGCAACGAAACUAGUUAAAGACUAGAGAGUAAACAUGCUACUAAAGUUUGCAGGUGAGGGUUUAGAUUAGAUUAUUUGUUGUCUUGUUUCAAAUAUUAGAUCAGUCUCAACUCAUUAAAUAAACAAGUGGUGCAUUGAUCCUUGGACUCAAAUCAUAUAUACACGGCGAGCUCAUUUGUGUUUUUAUUAUUUGUCCCUCCCUGUACUUGUAGCAGAAGAGAAGCUGCUCUCAUCUUUGAAGGAAUGCAAACAAUUGUUAAUAUGAAACAUAUUAUGUACAAAUUAUAAUAUUUGUAAGAAGCCGUUUUGCUGCCCACCGGCGGCCAUCUGAUCAGAGAACAGUAUUAUAUUUUUUAAACCCUUCACUCUCAUAAAAACAAUUUAUAUGAUUAUAAAUAGGAAAACAUAAAAAAAAAUAGGAUUACAUAUUUUUAGAGAUUACAUAUUAUUGUUUUAGUUCUUUUUCUUGAUUAGAGAUAAGUUGAAUAAAAGUAGUAAUAAUUUAUUUUUGUGAAAAAAGUUUACUACAACUCCUAAUAAUUAGUUUCAUGUAAAAAAUAAAAAUAAAAAUAGUAACUAAAAUUUAUUUUAGUUAUGUUAAUAAAAUUUUAAAGAUAUUUUAAUUGAAUUAAGUAAUUCAACACAAAAUUUAUGUUCGCAUACAGUUGUUGUAACCCAUUUUUGGGUCCCCACACAAAAUACAAAAAAAAUAUAUCAAAAUAAAAAAAAUAUUAUAGAAAAAUAAUAGCAGUGAAAAGAGGAUGUCGGAGCGCCCAGAAAAUGAUCAAAAAUUGGUUGAGGAGGUUUCAAAAUAUAAGGAUUGAAGUUUGACAGUAUAUCAUUGACUGGGGCUUAAUUGCAUACAUAUUGAAGUCUGGUGGCCAAUUAAGGACUUGAUUUAAGAAAUCCAAAACCAAGGACCAUAGUGAAAAAAGCGCGCAAAUUGAAGGGCUAAUCUGAAAUUGGACCCAUUUUGGCACCAGUUUUUGUUUAAAUGAAAUGGCACGUUUUGAUAAAAAACAACGCCGUUUCAUGCAUUGCACAAAAAAAAGAGAGCAAACGGUGCCGUUUUGAACGGCACCAUAAGCCUUCUUCUUCCCCUGUUGAGAACAGGGGAAGAAAAAGCAUUUUUGAUGUAACUAUAUUAUUUGAUAGUUUCACCCACAUUUAACUAGUGUUUAGCCUAUGUUAUAUAUAUAAAAUGCCUUGAUAUUCUUUGUUUUAUGUUUUGAAGGCACCUUUAGAUGAAAGAUGCAAAAAGGAGUAAAUUGAAGAUAAUUGGCAGAUUUGAUGUUCAGUCGAUGUUUUGUGCAGAGCAUGAGCUCUAAAAGUCAAAACGAAGUGAUUCUAGUGGCAUUAGAAAUCUAACAUCCAUACCUUUCUGUAAAUAUAAGUCAAGAAAAAUAAAAAUACAACGAGCAUGGAAAUCACAUCCUUCAAAGUCAAAACUCGCAUUCUGCCAGUGUUGACCUUUGUCCAUUCAAAAUUCAAUAUCUGGAGCUGUAGAUAUCCAAUUGAUGUAAACUCAAUUGUUUUGGAUUCCUGACUCAAAGGUGUCUAUAAACGCUCCAAAUUUCAGCCACAAAUGAUGUCAUAUGAGGGAGAUAUGAGUUUUCAAAGAUGACAACUGAAUUCUGCCAGCAAACAGGUUUCGUGAAGAAACGAAUCCAAAUUACAUCCCGAAGCAUCAAAACCGACAUCCAAGUUUUAAUUUCAUCAAUUUAGCUCCUCAAGUAAAUCAAUCCAGAAGGUCAAGGAAGGCAGCCACCAACCUCAAGCCACCAACCUCAAACCACCAACCACAAACCAGCUGCCAGCCACUAGCCGCCUUCACACUACCACCAUCUCUUGAUGUUCACACUUGAACUUUGAUUUUUCUUACUUACAAUUUAUGUAUAAAUAGGCAGCUAAGUUUAUGCUAUUGAGUGAGCCAAGAGGGAAGGAAAGAGAGCCAAGAGGGAAGGAAAGAGAGCCAAGAGAGAGGGAGAGGGAGUGCAGUAGAAUAAAGAAAGAGGGGUGGCAGCCAUAAGAGAAGAAACACAAACUCUCCCCUCAACAAAUCAGAAAUCAUGUAUUCUUUUAUCUUUAGGAGUAGUUUUUCAAUAGAUAUGCAAGGCUAAGCUCGUUUUCUUGGUUGCAAGGACGCAAAAACCUUCAGAUUUAAAGAACCGUGAGAUUUAUUCUUCCAUUUAUUUUCAGUUUGUAUUAUGAAUGAGUAUGUUUGUUUUCCUAUGCAUAUUUUCUAUGAUUGUUUAUCUUAAUUGCUAGAGCGGACUCUAAGUUAUUAUUGUGAAUAAUCUAUUGCUAAGUUUGAUAUCAAAACCGGAGUUGUGGUAUAUAAACGUGUGAAGCAAGUAAGCUUGAUAAUUGUAGCGGAACUACAUUAUUAAACUUAGGGAGAACAUUCGAUCAAAGCAACACAAGCUGACAACUUGGUUGUUAAGAUUAAUGAAUUUAUCUAGAUCUUAAGGCUGCCAUUGGAUUAAACCAUUAGUGCGGACACUGUGAUUGUUUGUUGGUUAGGGUUAGUUAUACGGCGGAUCCGUUAAUUAACCAACAUUAAGAAAAGAUAAAAAAUUCAGAAUAUAAACUGAAGUUUCGUUUCAAGGAUCGGUUCUGAUUUCUGUAGGUGGAUGUGUGCUUGCGACCAAGGUUUGUUUUCUUGAUAUAUUUCAGUUUCAAUUGAUUUUGUUUGUUAGUGUAAUUUCUACCAUAGUUUAGAUCAUUGCAAAUCAAACCCCCCCAAUUAUAUAAUGUAUAGCAUAAAAAUCUGAACUAAACCUUCCUCGUGGGAUCGACCCCUUGCUUGCUCUAUACUAUCUUGUGUGUUUUAAGCUAGGGUAAUUAAUUUAUGCGACCGCGACAUCGCAACAAUUUCCCCCCCAUUUUUUUCUCCUCUCUCUCCCAAAACCCAAAAAACCAACGACGACCCGACUUGUCCUUUCACUGACACCACCACGCCCUCAUGCCGAAAGACCCAUACCCUACAGAGGUAGGGGCGGCUGUGCAGUAGCUGCCCCCAUGCCACCAUGCCCUGCACCAUGGCACAGGACAGGGCAUGGUGGCCCUCUCUCCCUCUACCUAUAAAUAUAAAGGGAGUGCGGGAGAGAAGAGGGGGGAAAAAGAUUUUUUGAAAGAGAAAGGGAGGAGAAACCGAGAGAGAGACCGACUGUUUUUUAAGGAGGAAAAGAGAGACCGAAAGAGGGGAAACAACAGUUUUUUUAGAGAGAAAGGAGUGAAGAGAAGCAGACCGAAACACUAGAAAUUAAAGGGGAGAAAAGAAAAAGGAGGGAGACCGAGAGAGAAGACAGAGGAGAGAAAGGGAAGCCAUAAAAGAAGCGGGGAAGAACAGGAAGUGACAGGGGAAGAAAAAAAUACUGGAGAAGAAGAACAACCACAGCUGCCACCGUGCUUCCUCUCCACCGACAUAGCGCACCACCUGACCGUAGCUGACAGCCCCGAAGAGACAGAGGAGAAAAGGAGAAGAUAACGGGAAAAAAAACACAGAGAUGAGGGGGCUGAGAAGAGAAACAGAGGAGAGGAGAGAAGGAAGGAAAACGCCGCCGCUGUCACCGCCGCUUUCCACCACCGCUGACGACCACAACCGUUCUUUCCCGCUCCAGGUAACUUUCUCCCCUUCCCUUGUCGUUUUUAGUUGUUCAUCUUCAUUUUGCAUGCAGACGUGAGCAAUUCACGUUCUGCAGCAAAAUGUAGAUUAAUUAGCUAGUUACUAUGUUAGGCACAGUAACUAGCUAAUUAUAUUUUGCUGGUUACUGUGUGCAGCACAGUAACCAACCCUUUGAUUGCUUAUGGGCUAGAACAUCAGCCCAGCCCACGCGGCUGGGCUGAGUCCAGCCCACAGUAUAUGGGCCGGGUCAGGCCCAGCCCAGGAUGGUUGGGCCAGAUCCGGCCCAAGUUUUUUUUUGGUUAAAAGAAAAUUUCAAAAAUAUUUUUUCAGAAUUUUAUAAUUUCCCCGCAUAUUUUUAUGUCAUUUUGAUUAAAAGCAAUAUUUUUUAUGUUGCUAAAAAUACAAAAUCCGAUAUUAAAAUACCUGGUUUUCGUCAAAACUUUCAAAAUACAAAACAAAAACUUUGUUUUGAAAAAAAGGAAAAUGUUUUUGUGCAUACGGCCAAGUAUCUCAAGGCUAAAAAAUCAUAUGGUGUUUUUCAUACACAAAAAAAAAACAAUGUUUUUGCAUGCAUUUUGGCUUUGAUAACCAGUUUAUUAGAGUCAAGAGAACAUUGGCCAAAAUUUCAAAAACUACAAAUUUUUUUUUUUUUUUGUCUUUUAGUAUCCGGGGUACGAUAUUACAUGUAAUACAUAUUCCAUAUAUUAAAUGUUUUUCCAACGUUAGAACGGUUAGGUUCUACCCCAUUAAAGAUAAGAACCUCCUUAUUGAGUAGGGCUUUUCUUGAGUCUUAGAUAGACAGGACCAAUAAGUAGAAAACACGACCAAACCUUAGAUUUUGAUAAGACAAAUAAAACAAUGCAGCUUACCUUAGGUAUGGCGUAUUUGGGGUGCUAAUACCUUCCCUUUACGCAACCAGUCUCCGUACCUGAUCUCUGAGACCAGUUAGGGUUCCUAGUGAUCAUAAUACUAGGUGGCGACUCCCAUUCUAUUUUUUUCACCGCUAAGAGACAAAGAAUUCCUUGUCUCCCCACAUUUACCAGAUAUAUAUCCAUACAUUGAGGGUGGACGAUCGCCGCGACGCCGCACACGUGCGACAGAAUGGCGACUCCACUGGGGACCUUGUGGACUAAGCAUUGUUUUGUCUGAUUUUUUGUUGGUUUUGUCCCUGUUUUGUUAUUAAGAUGCUUAUUUUAUUUACACGCUUUAAUUUUUGUACAUAUUUGUUCAUACAUUGUAUAGAACUGUUUCACGCAUCAUUCUUUUUAUGUGAGAGUUUAUAUGAGAAAACUUUAAGUUAAGUAGGGGACUAGCAGCUUACCUUAUGACUUUUAGUCAAGGUUUAAGUUUGUGUAAACCCCAACUCUUCGCUGAGUGCUCAGACUGGUAAUGAUUGGUCCAUAUGCCAUCCCAUUACCUACUGAGCCCCCAUAUUGCCUUCACGAGGGCGAUCACUGGGACAACAAGAGACCCUUUUAGAGACAGAAUAGCCAACCUACCCUUGUCAAGCAUAAAAGAAUUAGAACCGGCCUUUAGGGUGUAUGCUCCACUGUACAUGUUUUGCAUAAUACAUUAAACCUAACCAUAAAGCAUAUUGGUUUUCAGGUCUUUUUAACGAUAAGAUGGCCAUCAUUACCAAAGUUACUACUGUGGAAUAUGGGCAAAAUUCUGAAUUGUCACAACUAUCAGAGGGAGACGGCUCUAGAUGUAAUGCAAGGAAGCUUCCAAUAGUCAAAGACCUGAAUUGUAUGGUAAAUGAGAUGAAGAGAAUAUUGGUUCAUAGUCAGAACAUUGAUGAGGCGGCAUUUUCCGUGAAGUAUGGGCGAUUGUUAGAAAUUACGAAGAUAGAAGUAUUGAACCCAGCAAUCAAAGCCUUGAUUAACUUUUGGGAUCCUGAUUAUAGAUGUUUUUCCUUUGGAAAUGUGGAUUUGUGUCCCACUGUAGAGGAGUAUGGAAUGUUGAUGGAGUUUCCCAAGCACCUGCACAAGGUUUAUUUCCCUUUGAGAAGUGACAAAGUAAUUCCCGAAUUGUCAAAAUUGCUGAAAAUUCCAUAUCUGAGCAGAUUUUUAGAGAAGAAUGCCAGCGGUUUAAAGUGGAAAUUCCUGGAGAUUGAACUAGAAAGGAAAAAAUCACAAUAUGGAUCGAUGCUAGAAAGAGACAGGUUAAUCGCUCUGGGGAUAUAUGGUCCUGUAUUAUUUCCAAGCUUAACAGGGGUUAUAAGCCUAGAAGCUGCUGCUGCAUUUGUGGAAUAUGAAAAUACUCAUGUCAACCCUAUAACUGCCAUAUUAGCUGAGACCUUCCUGACCCUCAACCAUUUCAGGAAGACUGGGAAAGGCGCAAUGAGAUGUUGUACUAAGUUAUUAUACAUCUGGAUGGUAAGCCAUAUUGAAACCAAAAAGCCGAUCUUUAAUAAUUUUUGGUGGUUUAACCAAAAACCUUUGAAGUUAGUAGAAGAAGAAGAAUGGGGAAGCUUGGGCGAUCAGGGUUGGAUGAAAAAACUGCAAGAGUUACCAAGUAGCAACUUUAGUUGGAAAGCCCCUUGGGUCAAAUCGGUUGAUAUCCUAGUAAGUUGCGGACAAAAAUGUUGGGUACCUUUAGUUGGGAUCAUAGGUUAUGUCAGCUAUGCUCCGGCCUUGGUGAUAAGACAAUUAGGCGGCAUACAACACAUCCCAAGAACUGUGGGACUCGCUGAAUUUUCCAGGUUUUUCAAGGAUCAAUCCGCGCUAGAAGAUUGGAGCCAUUUGACUUUAAUGUGAAAGGAAUCUGAAAGGUUAAGAGACCCCAGCUCAAGUGAAGGAUAUGAAAAGUGGAGGAAUUUGACCCCGACUGCCGCUCCUAGAAUGCCAUGUUCUGAAGACGGGCCUUCACGAAUUAUAGAAGGGUCAUUCAAAAGAAAAAAGGUCAGUAAUGAGGAGGACCUUAUGGGGCAAUUGGAAAGGCUCCAAAUAGAAUUGGGAAAGAGUAAGGUAGAUAAAACAGCAUUAGAAAUGAUGAUGAUAGAGGGAGACAAAAGCCGAGUAUUUCUAAACGUACAGCUCGAAUCUAGAGAUGUAAAAAUAAUGAUGUUGGAGCUGCAACUGAGCAAAGGAAAAGUUGUAAUGGAAGAGUCCGAGAAAGAGAGGGGAACGCUGAUUUUGGAUUGGAUGCAGAGCAGCUCUGAAUUGGAAGCAUUAAAAGCCAACUUCAAUGACUAUCAGAUGCUGAAUAAAAUCAGGAUAAAUUUUUGCACGUUCAAGCGGAGUUAAUGGACCGAAUCGAGAAGUAUGAUGAGUUAAACAAGAAAUGUGUGAUGGUAAAAAGUCGGCUAGCCGAAUUGCAAGAGUUCGAAAGAAAGGGGAAGGAAGAGGAGGUUGUUAAAGCAGAUUUGGCAACUAAGAAAAAUGAAAUUAGGAUGCUGAAAGCGAAACUUGAUAGAGAGCGGGAAAAGGUAAGACAGUUGACCGAAAAGUUGGAAGCUUCAAAAAAACAUAAAGAACAGAUCGACACCAACAACAAUACCUUGAAUCAGAACAACAUGUUGCUUAUGGAGAAGAUGGCCAAAGUAGAUGAGCAAAUGGAUGAAGCUGCCAUUCAUGCACGGAUUAUUAGAACCAAUGCCCGAAGGGUGGGGAGGGACAUCUUUUGUUAUCGACAAAGCUUGGCUGAGACUGAUGCCUUCUUAGAAAAGAUUGAGAAUUGAGGCCUUGCUUUCCUACCAGUGGCUAGAAAUAUGGAUGAAGAGGAAGAUUGAUGUAUUUUUUUUCUUUUUUUGUAUCCUCUUUUCUUUUUGUAUCCUCUUUUCAAGAGAUGUAUUAGCCAAUAUUAUUAAUGAAAAGGGGCCUUGACCCAUCUUUUGUGAAAUAUCUCUUAUAGAGUAAGGUUAAGUCUACCAAAGCAACAACUUGAGCAAAACUACCCCUGAUAAGGAACGUGACAAAGGAGUCCAUACCCAUUACGCAAGCGAAAUGUUGGCCAUCGAUCGUUUUUGAAAAACAAGCUCACAUUACAUAUGCAUCAUGCAUUGUUCAUUAUCAUACAUUCAUUUACAUUUUUCCAUCCGCUCCAGAUCGUGAAACAUAGGUCCCCCACCCAAGGUCCACCACACUAGGCUAAGAUCAAGAAUGGAGAACGAAGAGAGGGCCAUUCUAGAAUCCCGCUACCAAAGUGAAUUGGAAUCCGUGAGAAAUGAAGUUUCCCGGAUGACCAAUCUGCUUGAGCAACUUCUAAGAGCCAAGAAUGGGGAGGGAACGUCUACCCAACCACCCAUAGGAGCACCACCAACUCAUGUCCCUGGGGUAUCUCAGAACUUGAGGGCAGAUUCAGUAACGGAACAACACUUUACACUAGCCAUUCCCAUCCAGCCCACUCAAUCUCACAUCACUGUAGAUUUAACAGCGAAUGGGCCUUCCGAUAAUAGGUCCACUGGUUUUAUGAACGACGACAAGAUAUCCGCUUUGGAAGAAAGGUUAAGAGCAGUUGAGGGAAAUGAUUGGUUUGACCCCAUGCGAGCUUCUGAAGUAUGCUUGGUACCAAACAUCAUGGUACCAAAAGAUUUUAGGAUACCAGAGUUUAUAAAGUACACUGGGUUGGAAUGCCCACACACUCACCUUCAAGAGACUUGUCGACUUUGGUUUUUGUAUUUUUUUUACAACAUGCAAGAAAAUUUACAAGCAUUUAUAUAUAAAAAAAUAUCAAAAAUACCAGUUGAAACCCAAAAAAUUACCUGAGUGUCACUGUAUAGGUAAAAUACUGAAAUACCCUGGAAGUUCUCCAAAAAUUACGAAAAUGCCACUGGCGGCGCGUGUGGCACACGCGCGGCUACUGUUGGCUGCGGCGAAAUUUUCUGGCGAGAUUUCUGGCCAACAAAUGGUUGAUUCUGGCAGAUCUGAGGGCGAGGAUUCUGAUGGUGGUGGUUGUGAAGGUCUUUGAUGGCUGAUGAGUGAGAAUCGACGACUUGAAGCUUCUGUGGCAGCCGACGAUCGCGACCCUUUUCCGACCAAAUGGGGCGGAGACAACGCUGAAAUCGGCCAGGGUUUUGCUUUAUAUGAGGAUAGAGACCUUUCUGUGGUGGUUUGGAAGCUUGAUAUGGCCGGAGAUGGGAGAUCGGAAGAGAGAGAGGGAGUUGCCGGCGAGAGGAGAGAGAGAGUCCGAGAUUACGCUACGGUGUGAACGCGUGUAUGGUAAACAGGUACCUCUGAACACUGUGCGCCGUUGGAUCUCGGAUGAAACGAUCGGAUGGCUGUGAUUGGCCUGAUCUGCAGGUUGAUCGGACGGUCCGGAUGAACAGAGGUAGGAUCUGGUGUGGCGCGGUGUACCGAGAGAUUGGUACACCGGGUGACGUGGCGAAACUGGAUCUAAGCUUAGAUUAUUUCAAGGGCUGAGAUGUGUCUGGGUUUUAAUCUAGUGUGGUAAGCCCUAUUGUAUCCUAUUAAAUCAACGGUUCAGAUCUAAACACUAUUAGAUCUAACGGUUAGGAUAUAUUUGGUAUUUUUCAUAUUGUAUUUUUAAAAAAUCAAUAUCCACUCUCAUGAAGAAAUAGUGAAAAACUUAAAUAGUAACCUUGAUAUUCGUUUCUUUUCUUUCUUUUUCUUACCUCUCCCCCUUUGUUCGUUUUUCUCACCGGCUAUUUAUAGCCAAUCAACAGGGGACAUCAAAAUCUCAACAUUAUCUACUUGCAAGAAAAAAAUCGUCGAUACAACUGCCCCGCCUGCUGUGACAAAAAAAGUUUGCAUUAUUGAUUUUUUUAUUUUGUUUUAUUAUAUAUAAUAAUAAAUAUUUAUAUGGAUAAAACUAAAACUCAAAUUAGUAUUAGAAAAGCCCGUUUCAACCGCUAAAAAUCAAUUUUAAUGACCGAAAAUAAUAGUUUUGACCCAAAAUAACCUGAAACUCAUUUUUUACCCCGAUCGACAUGGUUGGACCCGUAUGGACUCGGUGGACUCGGUUUUGACCGAAUAUGACGGUUUUGACCCAAAACGGCCCGACACUUAUUUUUUACCCUGGUCGACAUGGUUUGACCCGUAUUGACUCGGUGGACUCGGUUUUGACCCGAAACGGCCUGAAACUCAUUUUUUACCCUGGUCGACAUGGUUUGACCCGUAUUGACUCGGUGGACUCGGUUUUGACCGAAAAUGACGAUUUUGACCCAAAACGGCCUGAAACUCAUUUUUUACCCUGGUCGACAUGGUUUGACCUAUAUUGACUCGAUGGACUCGGUUUUGAUCGAAAGAUGCGGUUGACUCGAGAAAAAUAUAUUUUUAAAUUUUCCUUUUUCUUAAUUGUUUUGGAUUUUUAUAAAUAAUAAUAGAAAUAAAAUAACAUUCAAGAAAAUCUUGGUGAAUCCAAAAUUGGGUUACAACAGUUGCACCCUCUUUACAAUGCUUACGGUGCAAAGGCAUUGGAAAAUUCAUUUUCUUUUGACUUUGCAUAGUAAGUUUUGUAAAGAAAAACGAUGGAAGUGUUGAAAAAUGCACAGAUUUUUCGGUUGGUCUAAUUGUUAUGGGCGACCUGCCCAAGUGAAAAACAUGAAAGUGUUUUCAAUAUUGGUUUUGUGAAAUACAUGAAAGUGAUUUCAGCAAUGGUUUUGUGAAAUACAUGAAAGUGAUUUCAACAAUGGUCCUAUUUUCCAGAUGACCACCCCGAUGAUAAAAUGCGAGGAAACUCGCAAGUGGUUUAAUUGUUCCAGGCGACCUGCCCGAUGAUAAAAUGCGAAGAAACUCGCAAGUGGUCUAAUUGUUCUAGGCGACCUGCCCAAUAGUGAAAUGCGAGGAAACUCGUAAGUGGUCUAAUUGUUCCAGGCGACCUGCCCGAUGAUAAAAUGCGAGGAAACUCGCAAGUGGUCUAAUUGUUCCAGGCGACCUGCCCGAUGAUAAAAAAUGCGAGGAAACUCGCAAGUGGUCUAAUUGUUCCAGGCGACCUACCCGACAAUGAAAAUGCGAGGAAACUCGUAAGUAGUCUAAUUGUUCCAGGCGACCUGCCCGAUGAUAAAAAAAUGCGAGGAAACUUGCAAGUGGUCUAAUUGUUCCAAUCUAAUUGUUCCAGGCGACCUGCCCGAUGAUAAAAAAUGCGAGGAAACUCGCAAGUGGUCUAAUUGUUCCAAGCGACCUGCCCGAUGAUAAAAUGCGAAGAAACUCGCAAGUGGUCUAAUUGUUCCAGGCGACCUGCCCGACAAUGAAAAUGCGAGGAAACUCGCAAGUGGUCUAAUUGUUCCAGGCGACCUGCCCGAUAGUGAAAUACUUGAAAGUGAUUUCAAUAUAUUUUUGUGAAAUACAUGAAUGUGAUUUCAGCAAUGGUUUUACGAACCGACCCUUCUGUGAAAUACAUGAAAGUGAUUUCAACAUUUUUGUUUUGUGUGAAAUUCAUGAAAGUAAUUUCAACAUUGGUCCUAUUUUCCACGUGACCACCCCGAUGAUAAAAUGCGAGGAAACUCGCAAGUGGUCUAAUUGUUCCAGGCGACCUGCCCGAUAAUGAAAAUACGAGGAAACUCGCAAGUGGUUAAUUGUUCCAGGCGACCUGCCCGAUGAUAAAAUGCGAGGAAACUUGUAAGUGGUCUAAUAGUUCCAGGCGACCUGCUCGAUGAUGAAAAUGUGACGAAACUCGCAAGUGGUCUAAUAGUUCCAGGCGACCUGCCCGAUGAUAAAAUGCGAGGAAACUCGCAAGUGGUCUAAUUGUUCAAGGUGACCUGCCCGAUAGUAAAAUGCGAGGAAACUCGCAAGUGGUCUAAUUGUUCUAGGCGACCUGCCCGAUGAUAAAAUGCGAGGAAACUCGCAAGUGGUCUAAUUGUUCCAGGCGACCUGCCCAAUAGUGAAAUACUUGAAAGUGAUUUCAAUAUAGUCUUGUGAAACACAUGAAUGUGAUUUCAGCAGUGAGCUUUAGGGUUGAUUGAAAACUUCUAAAGGAAGUCAUACCUGUAUGGUUGAGAUCUGAUUUGUAAAUCGAUCUCCGAGAUGAUGAAAUCUUCUCAAGAAAGUCUUAUGUCUACGGUCGAGAUCUGAUCUUCUGUACAUCGAUCCCAAAAGAUGAUGAAAGCUUCUCAAGGAAGUCCUGUAUGUACGGUUGGGAUUUGAUUUGUAAAUGGAUCCCAAAGAUGAGGAAGGCUUCUCAAGGAAGUCCUGUAUGUACGGUUGGGAUUUGAUUUGUGGAUCCUAAAAAUGAGGAAAGCUUCUCAAGGAAGUCAUGUAUGUAUGGUUGGGAUUCGAUUUGUGGAUCCCAAAAAUGAGGAAAACUUCUCAAGGAAGUCUCGAUUUCAAAGAUGAUGAAAGCUUCUUAAGAAAGUCUUAUAUGUACGGCUGAAAUCUGAUUUGUAAAUCGAUCUCAAAGAUGAUGAAAGCUUCUCAAGAAAGUCUUAUAUGUACGGCUGAGAUUUGAGCUGCCGUUCAAAACGAUGGUAGGAGUAAAUUCCUUAUAAAUCACACAGUAUUUGGCAAAAGACAUCAUCAACUUCUUGCAUUUUCAAUACUCUCAAAGUUCUUAACUUUUGAAGCUUUAACCAUGUCUUCUUCUUCUUCCAAUGCUAACCCAAACCCUGUUCCUGCAGUAGAGCCUGCAGUUUGGCGUACUACCUUUGAAGUGAAUGGUCGUCCAGUUACAAUAGAGGAUACUGUAAUGGACAAUGAAGAUAUUGCUGUAGCCGUGGCUAGAGAUAUGAUCCUUCCUCGUGAUGAAAUAAUGCUGGCAGCCAGGACCGAUAUUGAAGUAGUGAAUCAGUCACUUGCUCUCAGUAUCAGAGCUACUUCGUCUUUGGUGAACGUUGCAGAGCGUCUUCAUGCUAGAAGACUUGAGUUGAAUACUCAGGUUCUUGAUCUCCAUCAUCAGAUUGAGAAUUUAAGGAAUAGACUCCGUGAUGAGAGACGUCACAGAAACAACUUGGAGAGGAGAAACCAAGAGCUAAAUACACGUGUUGACUUUUGGAGGGAUUAUGUUAACACACGACACCUCGAGUUCGAGGAAGAGAUGGAGCGCAUGCAUAAGCAAUUUGAGGAAUUCCGAGGCAUGAUUAACCAUCAAGAUGAAAAUAUCCCUGAUCGUCCUCGCACUGUUUAACAUUUGUACUUGUAAACCCCUUUUUCCAUGAAUAAAAAUCCAUAUUUCUUGUCUUCAUUUAUGAAUUUUGCUUUUGUGGAAUUGCCAUCUUUGAUGUGAUUUAAAAGAACUUCAAUUCAUGUGAGUCUCGUUGGAUCCCAGUGGGGAUAUUGUUUCAUAAAAUAUCUGCAAAACAAUUAUGCAAUGCAUGUGAAGUUAGAUGAUAUGCAAUGCAUCUUACCUGUUUUUGAAACAUAGGUCCCCCCUUUUUGAUGCUUCAUCGUCAUAGGGUGGCUUUGUUUGCAUUCCAAAACCUUCUUUGUUUUUCGAUGCAUUGGCUCAUUCAUGUGCUAGCCAUCCGCUCAGUUGUAAAUGCAGUGCCCAUCUUGGGUUGUCCGUGAUGAUUACUGCUCUCGCUGUUUAUCAAGCUUGACAAUGCCCCCAAGUGUAGUGUUGCUUGAUUUAUCAUUAAGAAGCUUAACAAAUCGUUCAUCUCCUGGAUUCUUUCAAGAAUUGUUCUCUGAUUGAUUGUGUGCAUCGUGCCAACACCUAUCAAGAUUGUCAAUCAGUUAUGAACUCACCUCCAGUUGAAACAUACCCUUCAAGGAUAUGCGGUCAUCCACUUUCAUGGAACUGUCAUGUCAUUCAGACCUGCAUUUCAUACUUUGCAGUACAAAGCUCAUCGUUGUAUGCUCAGCUUCUUUCUCAAUAGGUUCUUCUCAACUCAUUUAACCAGAUUGUGAAAAGAAGUGUCUCAGCCUCUUCAAUGAUGUUGCUUUUAUCACCCAUACUCAUGUGGUGCAAUGCGCAUUUGAGCUUCCAAUCAGAUGGCCCCACGGUCAGUCUAGGUGGGUGCGGUGUAUCCUUCCAACAUUCAUUCAAAAGCAAUCAUGUGAUAACAUCUUUCGAUAGUCAUAGCCAUAUUGGAGACGAUAAACCAAGAUGAAGAUAUGAAGAUGUCCUUCAGGUACAUCUUUGCUCUCAAUUGUUGUCGAGGUUUACUGGAUCAUAAACUGUUCUUGAACAUCAUUGCCCUUAAUUGAUAUGAAUGUGCUCAUUCACUGAUUAUCUUUCUUUGAACCAUAUUAUCCUCAGUUCAUUGAUUCAUCAUUUGAUCAUCUCUACCCCCCAGCUGAUUUAAAAACUGUUUGUUUUCCUUCUCAGAGGUCCAUUGUAUUGCCCCCAGAAGUGUCGAGAAGAAUUGAUGUCAUUUCUGUCAGGAAUUUGCAAACUCCGUCGAUGUUCUUAUUUGAAAAUCUUUCUUAUUUUGGAAUCAAAUCUCACAUUUCAAAGAUCAUGUCAAGCAAAUCUGAUUGUUGAAAUGAAAUCAGAGAGAUGUCAAUUUUGAAAGUAUUUUUGGAAAUCAAGCUUUGUUGGUCAAAGAUCCAACACACGCUAUUCAAUAUAGUCCUUUGAUUGUCUUGUAUUUUGAGAGAAAAGAAAUUGACUCGUUGUAAGAUUAAAAUGGCUUUUUUCAUGGUUUUUUGUAUCGAUUUUAAACUCUAAUUUUGGGUAUAUCUUUUGAUUAUCUGUGAUGAGGUGACCUUUUAUGAAUUUCAAGAAAAAUAAGGUACCCGAGGCAAAACUUGAGGCUUAAUCAAGAAAGAUGGUUUCUUUUUCUUAGCACCAAUUUUAUCAGCAUGCAUAAUAAUCAGUAGCUUGAUUCAUGAAGUCACGACCUGUAUGAAACAACUCUUCAAGUUUUGAGAUCGCCAUUUAUCGGUUCAGAUUGCUUACUUGAUUAAAAAGGACUUUCUAAAGCAUGUAAUGUAGGCUAUGGUUCCUGGCUAUGAAAGAAAGGAAUUUCACAAGCUCAAAAGGUGUUUGAGGGUUUCAUGAACCUAGGAUCACCAUCAAUUACUCAUCAAUCUCUUUUCCUCACGUUGUCUUUGUAGAGACGGUGACAUAUAACCUUGUUAAUCUCUAAGAUUAAAAUUCGUUUAACAUAGGUCAUAACGCAAAUCCAACUUUUCUUUAAUGAAUAGCCAAUCUAAACUUUUGAAGAUCAUAGAGGCUUUACCAUAGACACACCAAAAGACAUAACACUUGAUUUUUCGUGUUAACUUUUGGUAUUUGUUGUGUCUUUAUCAAUCUUUGGCUUUCUUCUUUUAGCCCUUUCUCAAUCAUUGGACUUUUGUUCUAAGCCUUCCCUUUGUCCAUCGACUCUAACAUUGUCUUCGUCUUUUCUAGGAAAAGACUCUCAUUGCCCCUAGUGUGGGGUGUGAUCCUAGUCAAGGUUUUUUAUGAAAGAAAUAUUCUAUCAGCUCAAAAUGGGACUGCAAGGGAUAUAUAUUUCAAGAAUUGUGAAAGGAUGAAACAAAAAUGGCCUUUUCUCAUCUCAAGUAAGGUCGGUUAGAACCGAUAAAUUUUGACCUCAUCCAAUAUAAUGAUUUAGACUUGUAAGAAUCAUAAUUCACGAGUCCAUAACUACUGAAUCCACUACGUUUCAUUAUGCAUACUGCUAAAACUUAGCUAUAUAGUAUGUGGUUCAAUUUCAUGUGUGAGUUCAAAAGUUUCUUGGUCACCUCAUGUCAUUUCAACAAGCUUCGAGUCAUUCAAGCAAAAUAAUUUUAAUCUUCAAGAUUGACUAAUCUUAAACGCAUGUUGGAGCUUGAUCAAAAUAUUUUGUCAAAAUAACCUUUGAAAGAAACAUCUCAUGCUUUCAGAACAACAAAGGGACAAAGAAAAGACAUGUUUUGUUAAAAGAUGAGAUAUGAUCCCAAAAUAAAAUGCAGAAUGACAAAACUCAUAACAAAAAGGAUCGACAGUUUAACACUCUUCUUGGAUCAGCUUUUCUGGUGAUAUCUGUGUUUUGUCAAGCAUUUCAAUCACUUGUCAUUAUGGGGAUGUUGUAGUGACAAUAUGGCCGAUGAUGUCAUUUUCACAAACUCAACUCGAUUCUUGAAAUUCUUGCAACUUUCAAAUGAAUGGCACAAAAUCCCCCAAUGAUAUUCAAAUCUCUUUUCUGGAUUAUACCACCUAGAAAAUGAUGGUUGUAUGGGAUUUGGCGGAGUCAUGGCAAUAAAUCCGGAGUCUAAUAGAUGCUGGUAGACAAACUCGAGUGGUCGAGGUAUGUCAAUCUUGGCAAAAAUAUUUGAGCAGUUGAUACAUAAUUAAAGCUUCCCAUCGUUAGAGUCAUCCUUUGAUUCAUCUCUCAUUAUUGUUCUACAAUCCUUGGCAGAAACUUCAAUAUUUCCCCUCUUCGUAGCUUGUUCAAUUCUUUCGAAAAUCCUCACAACAUCAAUAUCAAUCUUUCCAAUGUUGUUAUGGUUAUUUGUGGAUUGGUAUAAACUUUCCAAUAGCCAGGUAAUCUUGGUAGCGCACAGAAACAUUCAGCACCACCAUUGCCAACGUGUGGAAUCAUGCGUUGUCUCAACUGGAAGAGAAAAUGAUGAAUCUGAAAAUGAUGAAUCUGAAACCCUUUUGUCUCCUCUUCAAUUCCUCACUGGCAGUGCAGCAAACAAACACCUAUAGUGGGAAUUCUGCUUUGUUAAAGUUGCAAUGUUUGCUCUUUUUUUUCUCAGAGCAGCAUCCGAUACUGCAAUGUCUGCUUUGUUAAAGUUGAGAACAAGGGUUGUCAUUAGUUGAUGACUGAAGGCAUUGUUGUCAUUGUUCAUGACUAAAAAGGAGAGGUACAACUUCAAUGGAACGUGGACAAGUAGUGUUCUCAGCAAGAGCCUGUACAGACGUUCCCUUUCCACUUUUGAAGCUCAACAUUUAUUCAAACAGAUUUAUGAGUCGAGCCACUUCACCUUUACUGCUCUCAACUUCCUUUUGAUAAUAAACCUAUGUCUAACCCCUGUCUUUAUUUUCCAUCUUCAUCAGUCCAGUAGACCUCAGGUGGGGGAACUUAUGUUUCAACCGUGUGCAAGCUUGAUAAAUGAAUGAAAUGCGCAAAUGGAUGCAAAAUGCCAUAUGGACUAUGCAUGCUUGUUAUUUGUUUCAAGUUUUCCUUUAGCUUAUGACGAGGAAUAGACCAGAUCAGAUUCUCUUAAGAAAGUUCUCAAUGAGGACUCCAAACCUACAGGAACUUGAACCGAUUUAGGGGAGAAAUUUGAUUUUUAUUGGAUAUUCUUCAGUUGUUUUUCCCUCUACUCUCUUAGCAGAAGUAACCCUACCGGGAUGUUUCCAUGCCUUUUUCACUAACUCUAAUAAUUUCUUCGAGGUCUUGAAAUCUUCAUAAAAUGUUGGCAGUUUGGUAGUCAUUGGAAUAAACUGCUCAUGUAAGAUCCCACAUCGAAAGCGAGCGUCCAACGCCAAGGCCUUAUAAAUGCAUGUUCAUCUUAACUAGUAAGACGCGUUUAAAACCCUGAGGGGGACCUGGGUGGAAGCCCUGGAAAUGGGUAGACCGGGGGGCCUAGAAGGGACAGUAUCUGACAGGGUGAGUGUGCUGCUCUACUCUGAAAGACGCGUUUUGAGGCCAUGCGUGGCUGCCAAGAACAAACCCGUCAGGAGACUUGGGUGGAAGCCCUGGACAUGGGUGAACUAGGAGGCCCAAAGCGGACAAUAUUUUGCUAGUGAGGUAGGAUGUUACAGCUCAAAUCCAAAUUGUUGUAAAAUCAUGUUAGGACAAUAACUAAUACAGCAGCAGGCUCCUAUCACAACGGGACCCAUGGAUACUCACCAUAAUAUGCCAGAUAAGAUUUGAAGUAAGAGUAUCGACUCCUCCAAUGAAAUUGAGAUUUACUUAGAUUUAGAAACAUUGAUUCCCAUGUGGUUCUUGCUACUUCAUGCAAGUGUUUUUCAGCAAAAUUCUCCAGCUUAGAAUAAAGAUGCCAUGGGGUACCAACCAAACCUGAAAUCUUCCCCUCGAUCAUAUGACUCACAGUCCAGACAAACAAUAACUGCAAGCAACAUCUUAAACGACCCCUUCCAGCUUUUCUACAAUAAUUCAAGGAUGAGAAAGUUUCUGCCAAUAUUGCUGUAGCCGGGUUAAUUUUAAGGGUCACCACAUUUUUAAAUACAUUGACAGCCUCAAAAUCGAUCAUUCCCUCUGUAGAUGGGAAAAGAACCAAACCAUAUAUGCCUAAGGCCAAAAUUCUCAAUCGAAUUUCAUUGCUUUUAUCGUGUAAUCUCCUCUUGAAUAUGGCUUCUAGUUCAUUCCAAAACCAACCUUGGCUAUUUCCUCGUUUAGUUGCAUGAGAUUUUGCUAGUUGACAUUCUAUCUGGGUAAUCCAAGCAAAGUUAGAAAGUGCAUGCUCUAUAGGUGUGUAAAAGUAUACCUUUUCUGACUUGGGACAAUUUAGCAGGGAUUCAUACUCCUCAAUAGUAGGAGUCAUAUCCACAGUAUCAAAAGUGAAGCACCGAUAUUCUGGAUCCCAAAACCCUAUCAUGGCCUUAAAACAAGCAUGUUGGACCCUAAUUUUCAGUAAAUGUGAUAGAUCCCCAUAUUGUUUCUGAAAAGUGAUUUGAUCAUGAGAGGAUAACCUUUCCCAACAGUCUAGCAGCUGUCUUGUACCAAGUGGUCUGUCAUCUAAUUUAACAUGCUCUGGCAACUGAGACUCAAAUUCUGAUGGCAAACAAUCCCCUUCAUCAUGUUGGCUCAAUUCUGAUCUGGUAAAAAAUUCCUCAAUAGUAAUGGGUUUUUCCAUCUCACACUUCUUGUAAGGAUCGGUGGAGAUUUAAUGAGCACAUGAAAUGUAUAUGAACAUGUAUGUUCAUGCAUUGACAUUUGUUCGUGUCCUAAUGGGUAUAUCUUACUUGAUAGGAUCUAGCUCAUAAGGUUUGGUUCAGUUUAAUCUAUCCUUAAAGAUAUUUUUUGGUUCUUAGAUUGCCCGAAUUACCCAUGGAGUAAUCGGCCUCUUAACCUUAUACAACAUGAGUAUGGGAAACAAUUUCCACAAUACCCGUUGCAUAGGGUGAGUUACAAUCCAAGCGAAAGUCCAAAUGAGCAUCAGUGGACAUAAGUCACACUUGCCACCUGAAUCUCUCUUUUCUAAUCUUAAACAGGACGAGCUCGGGUCCAGAGCUUUUAUGGGUUCACCGUGAAGUGUGUGAAUACACAAAUAAAUAACAUGCAUGUAUGUGGCAAUAUGGAAAAUUGAAAAGAAUCACAGUAGAUAUUGCAUAAAAUAAAUAAUGCAAAUAAGAUAAAUGCCUAAAAAUAAAUAGCGAUAAGAAAGAACAAAUGAAAAGCAAAUACAAGCAGUUGGCUCAACCCUAAGUCCCCAGUGGAGUCGCCAUUCUGUCGAUACACGACGUCGGGCGACUGCUUCCGCUUUUUUUGUUUAUUUAACAAAAAGGGUUUUUUUUUAAUUGGGGGAAACAAAGAUUUUAUUGGAGUCGCCAUCUAGUAAUUUGAGGGAACUAGAAAUCCCAAAUUAGACACUGGUCCCAGAGAUUCAGGUACGGGGUUAGUUAUGAUUAAGGGAAGGUAGACACCACCCUUAAAACAUCCUUUCAAAGAAAGGUUACCCUUACUUGUGUGUUUUUUGUUUGAUUCAAAUGCGAUUAUAUUUUGGGCUUAUUUGUAAUUAUUUUAAAUGAUUAAUGUCGGUCCCUAAAAAUAGGAGACACGUUAAAAAUGACAUCAGUCCCUAAAAUUUAGGAGACUCGUCUAGAAUAUUAACGUUUAUUCCUAAAAAGGAGAGUUACGUCUGGGUUACCAAAAGAAAUAAUGGAUAUAAUCCAUUAUAUUUUGGGUUUAUUGGUAACUUGUUUUUUUUUAAAAUGGUUAACGUCGGUCCCUAAAAAUAGGAGACGCGUUAAAAAUGACAUCAGUCCCUAAAAAUUAGGAGACUUGUCUAAAAUAUGACGUUUUAACCCUAAAAAGGUGAGAUACGUCUGGGUUACCAAAAAAAAAAUAAUGGACAUAAUCCAUAUUUGGUAUUUGCAUUUUUGACAUCGGUCCUUUUUUUUAAAAAAAAAAGAGAAGUGUUGACUUUGGUUUUUGUAUUUUUUUUACAACAUGCAAGAAAAUUUACAAGCAUUUAUAUAUAAAAAAAUAUCAAAAAUACUAGUUGAAACCCAAAAAAUUACCUGAGUGUCACUGUAUAGGUAAAAUACUGAAAUACCCUCGAAGUUCUCCGAAAAUUACGAAAAUGCCACUGGCUAGAUUUCUGGCCAACAAAUGGUUGAUUCUGGCAGAUCUGAGGGCGAGGAUUCUGACGGUGGUGGUUGUGACGGUCUUUGAUGGCUGAUGAGUGAGAAUCGACGACUUGAAGCUUCGGUGUGAACGCGUGUAUGGUAAACCGGUACCUCUGAACACUGUGCGCCGUUGGAUCUCGGAUGAAAUGAUUGGAUGGCUGUGAUUGGCCCGAUCUGCAGGUUGAUCGGACGGUCCGGAUGAACAGAGGUGGGAUCUGGUGUGGAGCGGUGUACCGUGAGAUUGGUACACCGGGUGACGUGGCGAAACUGGAUCUAAGCUUAGAUUAUUUCAAGGGCUGAGAUGCGUCUGGGUUUUAAUCUAGUGUGGUAAGCCCUAUUGUAUCCUAUUAAAUCAACGGUUCAGAUCUAAACACUAUUAGAUCUAACGGUUAUGAUAUAUUUGGUAUUUUUCAUAUUGUAUUUUUAAAAAAUCAAUAUCCACUCUCAUGAAGAAAUAGUGAAAAACUUAAAUAGUAACCUUGAUAUUCGUUUCUUUUCUUUCUUUUUCUUACCUCUCCCCCUUUGUUCGUUUUUCUCACCGGCUAUUUAUAGCCAAUCAACAGGGGACAUCAAAAUCUCAACAUUAUCUACUUGCAAGAAAAAAAUCGUCGAUACAACUGCCCCACCUGCUGUGACAAAAAAAGUUUGCAUUAUUGAUUUUUUUAUUUUGUUUUAUUAUAUAUAAUAAUAAAUAUUUAUAUGGAUAAAACUAAAACUCAAAUUAGUAUUAGAAAAGCCCGUUUCAACCGCUAAAAAUCAAUUUUAAUGACCGAAAAUAAUAGUUUUGAUCCAAAAUAACCUGAAACUCAUUUUUUACCUCGGUCGACAUGGUUGGACCCGUAUGGACUCGGUGGACUCGGUUUUGACUGAAUAUGACGGUUUUGACCCAAAACGGCCCGACACUUAUUUUUUACCCUGGUCGACAUGGUUUGACCCGUAUUGACUCGGUGGACUCGGUUUUGACCGAAAAUGACGGUUUUGACCCGAAACGGCCUGAAACUCAUUUUUUACCCUGGUCGACAUGGUUUGACCCGUAUUGACUCGGUGGACUCGGUUUUGACCGAAAAUGACGGUUUUGACCCGAAACGGCCUGAAACUCAUUUUUUACCCUGGUCGACAUGGUUUGACCCAUAUUGACUCGGUGGACUCGGUUUUGAUCGAAAGAUGCGGUUGACUCGAGAAAAAUAUAUUUUUGAAUUUUCCUUUUUCUUAAUUUUUUUGGAUUUUUAUAAAUAAUAAUAGAAAUAAAAUAACAUUCAAGAAAAUCUUGGUGAAUCCAAAAUUGGGUUACAACAAUGUCAAUGGAAAAGAGAAGCCAAGAGUUAGUAAGGGCUUAUGCGCAAAGAUGGAGGGAUGAGGCAACACAUGUGCAACCCCCUUUGAUAGAGACGGAGAUGGUGACUUUGUUCCAAACUGAGAUCAGUGGGUUAACUCGGAGUGGCCGGUGCUUCACGCCCGAGGAGUUGAAGAAAGCAAAAGGCAAAGAAGUGGUAGAUCUUGACAAAGCACUAGAAGUUAAUAAGCCAAUAACUGAAGAGGAGUCAAAUGAAUUUUUAAAGUUGAUAAAGCAUAGCGAAUAUUGCAUAGUAGAUCUACUAAAAAAGACUCCAGCAAGGAUUUCCCUUAUGUCCUUGAUACUAAGCUCUAAGCCGCAUCGAAAUGCUUUGCAAAAGGUAUUGAAUGAGGCGUAUGUGCCCCAAGACAUUGAACAGAAAACCAUGGAGCAUCUGGUGGGGAGAAUCCAUGCAACUAAUUACCUGUACUUCACAGCUGAUGAGCUUGAUGCUGAAGGUAUCGGACAUAACAAGCCCUUAUACAUUACUGUUAGGUGCAAGGAUUGCCUCAUAGGAAAGUGCUCGUCGAUAAUGGCUCAGCUCUUAACGUGUUGCCAAAGCACAUGCUGAAGAAAUGCCAAUUGAUGAUUCUCAUAUGAAGUCGAGUACUGUGAUGGCCAGAGCAUAUGAUGGCUCACUUGGGCCAAUAAUUGGGACUGUAGAAGUGGAGCUAUAUGUGGGGCCACAAAUGUUCUUGGUGACCUUUCAAAUUAUGGACAUCCACCCUUCCUAUAGUAUGUUGUUAGGAAGACCUUGGAUUCAUGUGGCUGGGGCGGUAACUUCAUCAUUACACCAAUGCUUGAAGUAUAUCAUGAAUGGGAUGUUGGUAACUGUCAAAGCUGAGGAGACAAUAUCCAUGAUGAAGAAUGUGGCCAUACCUUUCAUUGAGGCAGAGGAUCGCAAGGAUAACAAUAUCCACUCUUUUGAGAUUGUGAACACUGACUUGGUACCUAAGAACACAGUACUAAGAAGGCCAAGGAUCUCAGAAGCAGCAAGGAUGGCAGCUCAAUGCUUCUUGGAACGCGGGAUCCCAUUUCAAUAUAACCCUAUCACUAGGGUACCAGAAAGGGUUAAUCCGAUAAAGAUGAAAGGUGUUGAUCAAAGAUUUGGGCUGGGGUAUAAACCUAAAAAAGUGGAUCAUCGGUGGGCUGCUGGUCGAAGAAGGGAAAGAAGAAUGGCUAGGAUUGAAGGAAGAGAGCUUGAAGAAGAAAAGCUGGAAAUCCCUCCCCUUAGAGUGUCGUUCCCAAAAGCUGCAUAUGUAAUGCAACCCGAUGAAGGAGCAGAAAGCCUUGGUCAAGAACUGUCAAAUAUGAGCAUAAACACCUUGGAGGAGAAUAAGGUGGAAGGAGGUGGCAUGAAGACGGUAGCGGGAAAGAAAGAUGAAGCACUACCACAACUAACUAUCCACACUUUGGAAGAAGUCUCUGCUAAGACCUUUGUACGAAAGCUGGCUGAAGGUGAGAAGUUUCAAAACUAGGUGACUCAAUAAGCCCUAGUAGUAUUUAAAAUGUAAACCAACUUUGUUUGCCUUAACAUGCUUUUGUCAUUGCUUUUGUUUGCUUUAUUUUCCCUGGUUGACAAUCGAGGCUCAUGAUGUCAAUCAGAUUUUGUCGUUGUCAUUGAGCCCACCUUUGUUUUAAAUAAUGAGAUCAUGCGUUUUCCAAAUUUAUCUCUUUAUUCAUGCAUUUACACCAAACACUUUCCGCUUUCAGGAACUCUGAAAGUGGAUCUUCCACAACAUCAUAUACACUUAGCAUCAAGAAUGAAUGGCCAAACUUUAACGAACAUGUGAUCACUAUGGAAGAAGAAGAAUGGGAUGAAAGCAAUAUUAGGGAAUUUACAAAGUUAGUAGAGCAACAUGAACAAACCUGGGAACCAACUACAUAAGAACUAGAAACCGUAAACGUGGGUAGCGAUCAGAUUAAAAAAGAGUUAAAAAUAGGGACCUUAAUCACUCCUAAGGAAAGAGUAGAGGUAAUUGCCCUACUACGAGAAUACGCAGAUGUUUUUGCUUGGUCUUACGAGGAUAUGCCUGGUUUGGAUAGAAAUAUUGUCGUACAUAAGAUACUGCAGGAGGAAGGUUGUAAACUAGUCAAACAGAAGUUGAGGAGAGCCCACCCGGAUAUUUGGAUCAAAGUUAAGGCAGAACUCGAAAAAUAGUGGAAUGCAGGCUUUCUAGAAGUAGUUAAAUAUCCACAAUGGGUAUCCAACAUUGUUGUCGUACCAAAGAAAGAAGGAAAGAUUAGAGUUUGUGUGGACUUCCAAAAUUUGAACAAAGCUAGCCCCAAGGAUGAUUUUCCUCUGCCACAUAUAGAUGUUUUGGUCGACAAUGCUGCACGUAGUUCCACAUAUUCCUUUAUGGAUGGUUUCUCGGGAUACAACCAGAUAAAGAUGGCUUUAGAAGAUAAGGCGAAAAUAACUUUUGUUACACCAUGGGGAACCUAUUGUUACAAGGUUAUGCCAUUUGGUCUGAAGAAUGCAGGAGCCACCUAUCAGAGGGCCAUGGUGACUCUUUUCCAUGAUAUGAUGCACAAGGAAAUUGAGGUGUAUGUAGAUGAUAUGAUUGCCAAGUCCAAGAAGGGAGAAGAUUAUGUAAAGGUUCUGAGGAAGUUAUUUGAGCGUUUGAGGAAGUAUGAACUAAAGCUCAACCCGGCAAAAUGUUCGUUUGGAGUUAAGUCUGGAAAGUUGCUAGGAUUUGUGGUAAGUGACAAAGGUAUAGAGGUGGAUCCUGAUAAAGUGAAGGCCAUCCAAUCCAUGCCAUCCCCAAAGACAGAGAAGGAGGUGAGGGGAUUCUUGGGAAGAUUAAACUAUAUUGCCAGACUUAUAGCUCAACUAACCACAACAUGUGAACCUGUCUUCCGGCUACUGAGGAAAAAGAAUCCUGGGAUUUGGAAUGAGGAGUGUGAGGAAGCAUUCAAUAAAAUCAAGCAAUACUUACAAAGUCCGCCUUUGCUUGUUCCUCCUAUAUCAGGAAGGCCUUUAAUAUUGUAUUUGACAAUAACUGAAACAGCUAUGGGAUGUGUAUUGGGUCAGCAUGAUGAAACCGGAAGGAAAGAAAGGGCUAUUUAUUACCUGAGUAAGAAGUUCACCGAAUGUGAGUCUAGAUACACGGUGAUAUAAAAACUCUGUUGUGCAUUGGUAUGGGCGACAAAAAGAUUACGACAUUACAUGUUGUAUCACACCACUUUGUUGAUUUCAAAAGUGGAUCCACUAAGGUACAUCUGUGACAAGCCCUAUCUCUCAAGCCGAAUUGCAAGGUGGCAGGUUUUGUUGUCAGAAUAUAACAUAGUAUAUAUGACAAGGAAAGCCGUGAAGGGGAGCGCGAUUGUCGACCACCUGGCUGAUAAUGCUGUUGAAGAUUAUGAGCCAUUGGAUUUUGACUUCCCUGAUGAAAAUGUAUUAUCAAUAGUGGGAGAAGAAGAGAAGAAAGAUUGGUGGACCAUGUUUUUUGAUGGGGCAGUGAAUGUUUAUGGUAAUGGGGUCGGCGCGGUGAUAAUCUCUCCUGACCAGAAGCAGUAUCCGGUUUCAGUUAAAUUGUAUUUUGAAUGCACCAAUAAUACAGCUGAAUAUGAGGCUUAUAUCCUGGGUUUAGAAGUUGUGUUAGAGCUGAAGAUCAGAAAGAUAGAUGUAUAUGGUGACUCAAUGUUGAUUAUCUGUCAAGUGAAAGGAGAAUGGCAAACCAAGGAAGAAAAGUUGAGGCCAUACCAGGAAUAUUUAUCAGCACUGUCAGAAGAAUUCGAAGAGAUAAGAUUCACCCAUCUAGGAAGAGAAGGGAACCAUUUUGCGGAUGCUUUGGCCACGUUGGCUGCUAUGGCUACGAUUGAUCUCGGGCAUAAGGUACAUCCUGUACACAUAAACAUCAGAAAUAACCCAGCUUACUGUUGCUCGAUUGAAGGAGAGGUAGAUGGAAAGCCUUGGUAUACGAUAUCAAGAAUUUUGUGCAAAAUCAGGAAUAUCCAGUGGGAGCUUCGAAGAUGGAUAAGAAAACCCUAAGAAGGUUGGCCAUGGAUUUCUACCUCGACGGAGAGAUUCUGUACAAAAGAUCAUUUGACAGAACCUUGCUAAGGUGUUUGAAUGAGACAGAUGCUAAAAAUGCUUUACGGGAGGUACAUGAAGGGGUUUGCUCAACUCAUGCUAACGGGCAUAUGGUAGCAAGGAAAAUACAAAGGGCUGGUUAUUUCUGGAUGACACUAGAGAAAGACUACAUCGACUAUGUCAGGAAAUGUCACAAAUGUCAAGUGCAUAGUGAUAAGGUCAAUGCGCCUCCGACUCCUCUGAUUAAUCUAGCAUCUCCCUGGCCAUUUGCAAUGUGGGGGAUUGAUGUGAUUGGACCUGUUAACCCAAAAGCUAGCAAUGGGCAUAGAUUCAUACUCGUAGCUAUUGACUAAUUCAUGAAAUGGGUAGAAGUUAGUUCAUACGCCCAUGUAACACAGAAAGUGGUGAAAAGGUUUAUAGAAAAAGACUUGAUUUGUCGUUAUGGUCCACCAGAAAAGAUAGUGACCGAUAAUGCACAGAAUUUCAACGGCAAAAUGAUCAUGGAGCUCUGUACCAAAUGGAAAAUCAAGCAUUCAAAUUCCUCACCAUACAGGCCCAAGAUGAAUGGUGCCGUAGAAGCAGCCAACAAAAACAUCAAGAAAAUUAUCCAGAAAAUGGUAGUCACUUACAAGGAUUGGCAUGAGAUGUUGCUGUUCGCUCUCCACGUAUAUCGCACUGCAGUAAGGACCUCAACAGGAACUACUCCAUAUGCUCUGGUAUAUGGAAUGGAGGCGGUGAUGCCUUUGGUAGUAGAAAUCCCUUCGUUGAGGGUGUUGAUGGAUUUAGAAUUAGAAGAGACUGAAUGGGCCAAAGUAAGAUAUGAACAGUUAAACCUGAUCAGUGAAAAGAGGUUGGCUGCAAUCUGUCAUCAUCAACUCUACUAGAAAAGGAUGGCCAAGACAUAUGACAAGAAGGUUAGACCUCGCAUGUUCCAAGAAGGAGAUCUAGUGCUGAAGAAACUAUUGUCUUUACCAGGAGAAGAUCAAAGCAAAUGGGCCCCAAAUUAUGAAGGUCCUUAUGUAGUGAAGAAGGCUUUCUCAGGAGGAGCUCUGAAGUUGUCUAGAAUGGAUGGAGAAGAUCUAGCUAGACCUGUGAAUUCUGACUCUGUAAAGAGAUAUUACGUCUAAUGUGUUCAGUUUUCUCCCAAAAUGAAUAAAGUGAAGUUUGGCUAUGAUUUCUUUGUGUAAAGAACCCUUUUUUUUCAUUUGCAUUGAUCUCACAACACUUAAUUUGUUUAUUUUCAAAAAAAAUCUUGGAAAGAUUUGGCUUUGUGCAUGAUUAUAAGGAAUGUAUCAUAAAAUGCUCAAAGAUGAAGUUUAAGCAUUUCCCGUUAAGAGGUGACCAAACCAAACAAACCCAACGCUGAGAUAAAACCUUGCCCCUAAUAGCAUUUUGAAUUGUAUGGAUAAAUGGUUAGGUAAUCAUCAUUGUAAUCACUCGGAUGUUUUUCUUUCGAGAUAAGAACAAGGUUUAUCAAUCCUAACAAUGUGCGUCUUGAAAUGAGGAAAGGCCAUCUUUGUCAUCCCUUCACUUUCUAAAGAUUUCAUCCUUUGUAGUCCCCAUUUGAGCCGGAUUGAGUUUAUUCUUUAUGAAAACCUGACUAAGACCACACCCCGCACUGGGGGCAAUGAGAAAUCUUUUGUUAGGAAAGAUAAAGAUAAUUGUAGAAAAAAAGGGUAAAGAAUGGAAGCCUAACAUUUAAGAAGAGAAUAAGAAGAAAAGGGAGAAGGAAUUUGAGCAAAUUACAAAAAAAAAAAAAGAAGAAGAAGAAGAAGAAGAAGACUUGGAUCUUUGAAAGUCCGAACCCAAAACUUGGGGGCAUAAAAAAAAAAGAAGGGGGGAAAAGGAAUAAAGAAAGAAGAUGAUGGUUUGAUAAUGCUUUAAGACUGAGAUGAGGAUCCUUAAGCAAGCUUCUCCAAAUGCAACCUAUGAGACAAUUUCACAAAAAACAAAAGAUAGAAGAAGAGUGGUCUUAAGUCUUUAAACCCUCAAACACUAUUGAGCCUUAAAGCAUCCUUUUCUUUCAUAGCCCGUAGAUGUAACCUACAUUACAAGCCUUUAAAAGUCCUUUCUGAUCAAGCGCACAUAACUUGGGUUAAUAAACGAUGGUCUUAUAACUCAUAGGACUUAACAAAUGAGAGAUAAUCCGCUUUUGUCCAUGCAAGAAAAAGGCUAAUAUGAGACAUUUCCCUUUUUCUACACAGCCUUUUCAAAUAAUUACUUAAAACCUGUUGAAAAGAUUAAACAGAAGAGCCUUUGAAAAGAAAAAAAAAACCUAAAGACAAACCGCAAACCGAUAAAACCCUCAUUGGGAAUCGCUUAAAAGAGUUUUCAAUAUGUAUGUUGAAAGUUUCAGUUGUCAUGAACAAAUUCAAGUCUUUUAAAGAUUCUUUUUGAGGAAGGAAUUUUUUGUGCUGGAACGAAAACCAAAAAACCCUUAAUUUGAGAAAGACAAAUUAAAGCAUUGACAAGAGCAUGAUAAAAAGCAAUGGCAAAUCAUGCAUUUUUGGAAAAGGUUCACCUAACGGAAAAGGUCAGGGAUUUCUUCCCUAAAAAGUGAUGGGUAGAAGAAACAUCAUAGGAAAUGGAUCCAGCAUGCCAUUUCGAGCACGUGAACAAGAUCGUAUUAAGAGAGAGUUUCAGAAAAUUGAAGGAAGCGAUGGGACCUAUGUUUCCAAACCAGGUAAGGAUGCAUACAUAAGCAUUGCAUCAAACAUUUUUGUUGAUUUGUUACAGGAAAAAUCCUCAAUAUAGUCCGGCAAGAUUAGAGACAAAGAAAGAAUCUUUGAGUUGAUGAACAACGAAGAAUCAUGCUUUGGACCCUGGAACGGGAGAAAGAUGAGAUAAACCCUAACAUUAGGGAAAUCUCAAAGAAAUAAGAGUCUUCAAUUCAAACCCUAUCAUCUUGAAGAAGAAACAUUUUUUGGUUAAAGAGGAUUGCCAAAAGGGAUCUCAGUUUAACCACCACAUGAAGAUUUUAGCUUUGGUUGAAGGGAGUCGCCAGAUGGGAUUCCAGGUUGACCGAGCUACACACAGGCUUUGGUUCUGGUUAAAGGGGAUCGGCGAAAGGGAUCUUAGUUUACCCUAACCACACAGAGACUUUGGUUCUGGUUAAAGGGGAUCGACGAAAGGAUCUCAGUUUAGCCUAACUGCACAGGAGUUUUGGUUCUGGUUAGAGGGGAUUGGCGAAAGGAAUCUCAGUCUAUCCUAACCAUACAGGUUUUUUGGUUAUGGUUAAAGGGGAUCGGCGAAGGGAUCUCAGUUUAGCCUAACCACACAAAGACUUUGGUUCUGGUUAAAGGGGAUCGGCGAAGGGAUCUCAGUUUAGCCUAACUGCAAAGGAUUUUGGUUUUGGUUAGAGGGGAUUAGCGAAAGGAAUCUCAGUCUAUCCUAACCACAUAGGAGUUUUGGUUCUGGUUAGAGGGGAUUGGCGAAAGGAAUCUCAGUCUAUCCUAACCACACAUGUUUUUUGGUUCUGGUUAAAGGGGAUCAGCGAAGGAUCUCAGUUUAGCCUAACCACACACAGAUUUUGGUUCUGGUUAGAGGGAAUUGGCAAAAGGAAUCUCAGUCUAUCCUAACUACAUAGGAGUUUCGGUUCUGGUUAGAGGGGAUUGGCGAAAGGAAUCUCAGUCUAUCCUAACCGCACACAGGAGUUUUGGUUCUGGUUAGAGGGGAUUGGCGAAAGGAAUCUCAGUCUAUCCUAACCACACAAUUUUUUAGUUCUGGUUAAAGGGGAUCGGCGAAGGGAUCUCAGUUUACCCUAAAUACAAAGGAUUUUGGUUCUGGUUAAAGGGGAUCGACGAAGGGAUCUCAGUUUAUGUUAACCACACACAGAUUUUGGUUCUGGUUAGAGGGGAUUAGCGAAAGGAAUCUCAGUCUAUCCUAACCACACAUGAGUUUUGGUUCUGGUUAGAGGGGAUUGGCGAAAGGAAUCUCAGUCUAUCCUAACCACACAGGAGUUUCGGUUCUGGUUAGAGGGGAUUGGCAAAAGGAAUCUCAGUCUAUCCUAACUGCACACAAGAGUUUUGGUUCUGGUUAGAGGGGAUUGGCGAAAGGAAUCUCAGUCUAUCCUAACCACACACACGAGUUUUGGUUCUAGUUACAGGGUAUUGGCGAAAGGAAUCUCAGUUUAGCCCAACCACACAACAGGACUUGGGGUCCGGUUGAAGUUUUAGGUCAACCAAAUUUUGGGAAGACCAGUUUCGGAAGACCAAUUUUGUUUAUCUUUACAACACUUACUACGCAAAAUCUUUGCUCCGUAAGCAUUGUAAAGAGGGGGCAUCUGUUGUAACCCAUUUUUGGGUCCCCGCACAAAAUACAAAAAAAAUUAUAUCAAAAUAAACAAAAUAUUAUAGAAAAAUAAUAGUAGUGAAAAGAGGAUGUCGGAGCGCCCAGAAAAUGGUCAAAAAUUGGUUGAGGAGGUUUAAAAAUACAAGGAUUGAAGUUUGACAGUAUAUCAUUGACUGGGGCUUAAUUGCAUACAUAUUAAAGUCUGGUGGGCAAUUAGGGACUUGAUUGAAGAAAUCCAAAACCAAGGACCAUAGUGAAAAAAGCGCGCAAAUUGAAGGGCUAAUCUGAAAUUGGACCCAUUUUGGCGCCAAUUUUCGUUUAAAUGAAACGGCGCGUUUUGAUAAAAAACGAUGUUCGUUUCAUGUAUUUCACGAAGAAAAAGAGCAAACGGUGCCGUUUUGAACGGCACCAUAAGCCUUCUUCUUCCCUUAUUGAGAAUAGGGGAAGAAGAAGCAUUUUCCCCCCAUUUUUUUCUCCUCUCUCUCUCUCCCAAAACCCAAAUAACCAACGACGACCCAACUUGUCCCUUCACUGACACCACCACGCCCUCAUGCCGAAAGACCCAUACCCUAUAGAGGUAGGGGCGGCUGUGCAGUAGCCGCCCCCAUGCCACCAUGCCCUGCACCAUGGCACAGGACAGGGCAUGGUGGCCCUCUCUCCCUCUGCCUAUAAAUACAGAGGGAGUGCGGGAGAGAAGAGGGGGGAAAAAAGAUUUUUUGAAAGAGAAAGGGAGGAGAAACCGAGAGAGAGACCGACUGUUUUUUAAGGAGGAAAAGAGAGACGGAAAAAGGGGAAACAACAUUUUUUUUAUUGCUUAUGGGCUGGAACAUCAGCCCAGCCCACGCGGCUGAGCUGAGUCCAGCCCACAGUAUAUGGGCCAGGUCAGGCCCAACCUAGGAUGGGUGGGCCAGAUCCGGCCCAAGUUUUUUUUGGUUAAAAGAAAAUUUCAAAAAAUAUUUUUUAGGAAUUUUAUAAUUUCCCCGCAUAUUUUUCUGUCAUUUUGAUUAAAAGCAAUAUUUUUUAUGUUGCUAAAAAUACAAAAUCCGAUAUUAAAAUACCUGGUUUUCGUCAAAACUUCCAAAAUACAAAAAAAAAACUUGUUUGUUUUGAAAAAAAGAAAAAUGUUUUUGUGCAUACGGCCAAGUAUCUCAAAGCUAAAAAAUCAUAUGGUGUUUUUAUACAUAAAAAAAAAAAACAAUGUUUUUGCAUGCAUUUUGGCUUUAAUAACCAGUUUAUUAGAGUCAAGAGAACAUUGGCCAAAAUUUCAAAAACUACAAAAAUUUUAUUUUGUUUGUCUUUUAAUAUCCGUGGUACGAUAUUACAUGUAAUACAUAUUCCGGAUAUUAAAUGUUUUUCCAACGUUAGAACGGUUAGGUUCUACCCCAUUAAAGAUAAUAACCUCCUUAUUGAGGAGGACUUUUCUUGAGUCUUAGAUAGACAGGACCAACAAGUAGAAAACACAACCAAACCUUAGAUUUUGAUCAGACAAAUAAAACAAUGCAGCUUACCUUAGGUAGGGCGUAUUUGGGGUGCUAAUACCUUCCCUUUACGUAACCAGUCUCCGUACCUGAUCUCUGAGACCAGUUAGGGUUCCUAGUGAUCAUAAUACUAGGUGGCAACUCCCAUUCUAUAUUUUUCACCGCUAAGAGACAAAGAAUUCCUUGUCUCCCCACAUUUACCAGAUAUAUAUCCAUACAUUGAGGGUGGACGAUCGCCGCGACGCCGCACGUGCGACAACAGUUAUAUAUUAAUUCUAAUAAAAAAUAUAUAUGGUUUCUAUGUUUAAAUUUUGGUAUUAAUAACGCAUACAACAAUGAGGCAGUUAAGUUUCUUUGAUAAAAUAAAAUCAUUUAAAAAAUAAAAAUAAGCUAGUAUGUUUGUUACAUAACUAAAAAAAAAAUUGAUUUUUUUUAAAUUAAUUUUUAAAAUCAUUUUAAUAGACUGAUAUUAAAAAUAAAUUUUAAAAAAUAAAAAAUAUAUUAUUUUGAUAUAUUUUUAAGAAAAAAACAUUAUGAAAAGAAAUUGUUAAUAUUGUUAAAAAUAUAUUAAUAUUUUAAGGAAAAAAUAAAAGAAUUUUUUUUUUUCAAAUUAAUUUUUUUCUUUUUUGUAUAUUUUUGUGGUUACCAUAUCAGACAAAGUAGAGGUUGAUUUCAACAUGCUUCCUGCAAGCAUGAUAAACCAAAUUCAUUAUGAGAUAUAUAGCCUCAAGAUUAUCACAUCAUAAAGAAGAGUAGAGGUUCAAAUCCCUAAAUCUAUAAAUAAAUAAAAAAUGAACUAAGCAAUUUUAUCUCGAAACAACAAUGACACUAACUUAAUGCUCAGCCUUGGUACAAAUUAUGUCAGCACUUCCAUGCCUUGUGAUCUUGACAAAAAUAUUUUUGGUCCUUUUAGUUUAGAAAUGAAACUUUUCAGUACAAAACUUUAUUUUACCUAUAUAUAUAGUUCUUGAGUUUGAGAAAAAAAAGAAAGAUUUGUUGAAAAACUACAAAGGAGAGAUAAAAUUAGUCUAUUUAGAUUUGGAUUGAUUUUCUAAUUUUAAAUCAAUUAAAUGUUUAUUUAAAAUCAUGAAUGGAUUUAUUGAAGUCACUUCUUACAUAUAGCACAAUAUUUAUGAAGAUGACACGAGUUAAAAUAAUUGUUUAAACACACACUAUAUAUUGUAAUGUUGUCUGCAUAUAACUGUCAUGUAAGGGCUUCCAAUUCGCCUCUCCGUAUUACAGCACUUUACAAAUUAUUAGAUCAUUUGAUACUACACACAACAUUUGAUAUUUUUAACCAUUCACAUACAUGAAAUAAAACCCAUGGAAACAUGACACAAACGUCGACUGCAACUGCAACAUUAUACUAAUGAGUGUAUUUUCUAAAGUCGAAAGAGUGCUACCCAAUCUAGGUUCAAGUGGGAUGAUGAAUUGAAGAGCAGUUGUUAUUUGACACUGCAAUUAGAUGUCUCAUAUUUGAUUUAUGGAGCUAUGAUAAGGGAAUCGUGCUUGUAUAUUUACAUAGUAACAAGCAUUAUUAAAGAUGGUACACUAGUAAGUUUCCAAAUGCUAUCAGCAAAUAUUAUAACCUCUUAAUUUAUACAAGGAUUGAGCUAAAUUGCUUUAUCAAAUAUUUUAUGUUUUUUUUUUUUUGAAAUAUUGUUAUAGACAUAGAAUCAACAAGUUUAUGUGACAUUCUAUAUUGAUUUUGUUAUAUUUUAAUCACUAAAAGUAUGGGUUUCAGAAAAAUAAAAACCAAACAAAAAAAUUGAAAAAAUUAAAAAUUUUCAAACCAACCCAAUCCAACAAAUUUGAUCAUUUUUCGUCUGGUUUAGUUCGGAUAUUUUUUAGUUGAAACAAUUACUAACCAUUUUCAAAAGAUAAAUAUUGACAAGCCUUUCACCAAAACCAUGUUCAUUUAUGCUGAAUCAGGCCAAAUCAGGUUCAGGUUGCUAACUCAAACUAACGCAAUCCAAAAUUAAAUGCAUAUAGACUCUGGGUUGGUUUAGUUUAUUGAUUAUUAGAAAUGUCAAACUGAAACCGAACCGAAAUAAAUGAAUAUUUCUAACUGAGACGCCCUAAAAUACUGAAAAAAAUGGUUGGUUUUGUUUAGUUUGGUUUGGUUAUAGCAGAUACCCUGACAAUUUACUUUUUCACUCGACCUCAAACAAUAAGCACUAUUAUUAUGUCUUUAAUUGAAUUACUAUAAAGUAUAAAAAUAUAUGUGGAUAAUUGAAAAUUUGCUUAGAGUUGCUAAUAAUUCACAACUGCAACAACCAUCACGACCAGGUAAUGCUUGGGAAUGGGAUCAUGUAAUUGUGGAGAUUUGUCUAGAUUUUCUAGAUAAUAAUUUCAACCACCCUCUCCUUUCCUCAACCACUAUCACUCACCUUUCAACCACCAUCAACUACCCUCUCCUUUUGUCAACCAUCAACACUUCUCAACCAAGCUGCCAAGGCUCUCAUUCCUUCUAUAAAUGAAGACAAAGAGAGAGCAAGAUAAAGUGUAGUGCAGAGACAGUGCAAGUGAGUGCAGAGGAGAGGAAGUGUGGAGAGUGCAAGUGCAACUUUGAGAGUUGUGAGCAGAUUUGAGAGAAACACCAAGUGUAAGAGUGAAACACUGGGAUUUUGGGAUUGUACUAGGGUUGAGUUGAGUGUUUGUAUCAUUCCUCUAAUAAUAUAUGAUUGUGCAUCAAAAGUAUCAUUAAGUCUCCUAUUUUACAUAUAUAUUUAUUAUUUUUAUUUGGGUUUUUUAUAAUAAUUGAUGUGCUUUUUAGUAAUGAAGUUUUUUUUAAUGUUUCGAUAGGAUUUUGGAGCUUAAAUGAAUUAUUUCAGAAAAUUCAACGUCGGAAUUCGGAACAAAGAAUCGAAGAGAAAUUUAGUUGAAGAUUGAAGCAAGUCUUGGUUCAAAUAAGUGCUCCAAAUUUUCCCCAAAAAUCAAUUCUAUUCCAAUUCUAGAAAAGAAUAUCAUAUGAUCUAUUUCAAGCCCAAACAUGCCUUAUGUUGUGUGCAAACUUCAACCAUCAAACACUCAAGGUUUCAAUGUCAAUCUUAGCCCAAAUAAUAGGUACAUUUCUAUCCUUAUUUGAUGCUUAAAUCAGCCCCAAAUCAGCCUCCAAAUCAGCCGAAGCACAAUCCAUGAUCUUACAUGCCCACACAACAAAUAACAUUUGAUUUAUUUUGGGUAAUUCAUUGAUCCAAGAGGGAAAGAACAUGGAUGGAAAGCUGGAGGGGACAUUGUGACAUUAUUUUGGGUCAAAAGAAGAAAGAGACAGCUCAUAAAGGAGGAAGAAAAACGUGCACCAAAGUGUUCUCCAAGCUGGCCUGGUUUGAUUUUCCAGAACACCUUUCGGUGUUUCGCCCAUAACUUUUGACUCAGAUGUCCAAAUGAGCUGUUCUUUAAUGAUGUGAAAAUAUAACAGAAUGGCCUAUAAAUAUGUCUCCAAUAGCCAUUUCCAGGGGAGGCUUCAAAAAGGGUCUAAUUUCUGUCCAAAGUUAGAGUCAAAUUUGUGUCCGAAUUUUUACUGAAAUUGUGUUGUGUGCUUCUUUAUAGAUUUUGGUUCUUUAGCUUGUAAAAAUCAUUAUUUCAGUUUGAUUCAAGUUAUUUCAUGUUUAUUAAAGUGUUAUUAUAUAUAAUCAUGGUUCGCUAAUCUCUUUCUUGGAUCCAAAUCAAGGAUGAUGGUGGUUGAGGUGAGUUUUUUAAGAUAUGAAUGAAUCUUAAUGUCUAUCUUUUCAUUUUCUUUAUAAAUGUUUUAUUAUUGCAAAGAAAUUUUAGAAAUCAUUUAGGUAAUGUUAUAAUCUUGAAUUUUUAUGCACAAACCUUAGUUUUGGUAUAGAGAUUGCUUGAUUCAAUGUCUUACUUAAUAUGAAAAUACUUGUUCAUUCUUAAGCAAUAAUCAAUCUUCAUCUUUUUAAACUUCAUUGUAAUAUCUUCUGAUCUAAUAUCACCAUCGUUGAUAUUAGGUUGAGUUAUCUUAUAUAUGUUUGAAGGAAUCACCAAUACAUCACCAUUAAAAUUGAUUUGGACCAAGACUUACUUUUUCUUGUCAUUUAAAAUCUAUUUACACUUUUUCAUCUUUGAAAACAAAUUCAUCAAUCAUUUUCAACCAAGUUAUUGUUAAUUUAAUUUCUCUUGAGUUUUUUUGUUACCUAGCUUAAUUUCCAGAUCUAGCUCUCUGUGGAUAUGACCUCAAUCUUACUGAGUUAAUUGCUACAUCGCACACUCGUGCACUUGCGAGUUAAAACAAGCCGAACAUAAAAAGCGGUCAAGCAAUUUUUGGCGCCGUUGCCGGGGAGCUAGCAAGCAAAGGUAACAAAUUUAUAUUUGAUUAUUGAAAAAUAAAAAAAAAUACAUAUAAAUAAUAAAUCAAAUGGCUGGUUUUACCGCCUAAAAAAAAAUUGACCUCAACUUUUCGGAUAUUGGACUGUGGACUAAACUAUUAAUUAUUGGAUUUUGGUUGGUUCAACCAUUUUUCUUUUAUUUUCUAUUCUAAUUAGUUUCUAAUAUUUAUUGUUUAUAUUAUAAGGCUGGUUUUACCGCCUCUUGUUUAUUUUAUUUUAUUUUGUUGUUAUUAUUUUUCUUAUAUUUAUUGUCUGAAGUGCUUAGCCGGUAUUACCGCCUCUUGUUCAUUUUAUUUUAUUUUGUUGUUUUGUUGUGAUUAUUUUUCUUAUAUUUAUUGUUUGAAGUACUUGGCCGGUAUUACCGCCUUUUUAUUCAUGCUUGUUAUAAUUAUCUUUUAAUUUUUAUUGUUGUUAUUAUUGCUUAUUAGUUGGAGUGUGAAUUUCUUAAUUUGUUAAAUUUUUAUUUUUGUGCUAUUACUUUAUCUUUUACAUUUCAUUUACUUUUAUUUGCAAUCUUCUUUUUCUUUUUCUUUUUUUUUUCCUUUCCUUUUGUAUUCAUAUAAUUGUUAUAUUAUUAGCUUUUUUUAUCAUGGCUAAUGUUGAAGAUGUAGAGGGUGAAGGGAGUGUUCAAGGUAAUGGACCUCCACAAUUCAAUGAUCAACCUAAUUUUCGAGUACACCUUCGUGUAUUAUCUUUCCUCUUAACCAACAAGCUUUCAAUUUGAAACCGGGCAUGAUUCAACUUCUUCCCACAUUUCACGGUAUGGAUUCUGAAAAUCCAUACAUACAUAUUGUCAUAACCCAAUUUUUGACCAUUUUAUUUUAAUUAUUAUUAUUAUUUUAUUUACUGAAAAGGAUAAAAAAAUAUGAUGAUGAUGAUAAAAAAAAAAUAAUGAUAAAAAAACAAGUAAAAUGAGAUAAAUGAAGAAUGAAUUAAAAUUUGGGUUAAGGGCAACAUGAUUAGAAGUUUUAGGGUUUAAUUAAACUUUGAAAUUAAUCUAAUUAAGCUUGGAAUUAAUUUAAUUAAUCUGAUUAAGGGUUUAAUUGGAGAAUUGAUAAGUUUUGAGACUUAAUUGAGCUUGGAAUUAAUUUAAUUAAUCCAAUCAAGGGUUUAAUUGGAGAAUUGAUAAAUUUUUAGACUUAAUUAAGCUUGAAAUUAAUUUAAUUCAUCCAAUCAAGGGUUUAAUUGGAGAAUUGAUAAGUUUUGAGACUUAAUUAAGCUUGGAAUUAAUUUAAUUAAUCCAAUCAGGGGUUUAAUUGGAGAAUUGAUAAGUUUUAGACUUAAUUGGACUUUGGAUUUAAUUAAAUUAAUGAAAUCAGGGACUUAAUUGAAAAAAUAGCAAAGUUUGGGGUUAAUUAGGGAUACGAUUGCAGCAGAUUAAAGUCCAAGGACUAACUUGUAAAAGGCACCGAAAUGCAGGGGCAAUUACAGUUUAAACCAGGGGCUUAAUUAUAAAAUUCGGCGUCGUUUGAAAGAGCACUAUUCAUCUUCUUCACCCGAAAACAAGAAGAAAACGCAUGCCUUUAUUGCAUUAAAAUCCAUGCAAAACGCAUGCCUUUAUUGCAUUAAAAUCCAUGCAACCGCAUGGCAUUCUCUGGUUAUAAAAACCAGAGAAGGAGAACCGGCAAAGAAAAAAAGGAUGGCAUAACCGAAAAGCCACUAGAGAAACACAGAACCGGGGAAAGAAUAGAAAAAAAAACUUUCGUUCCUCUGUUUCUUCUCAAAGAAACAGAGGAGGCCACGAGCAGCGGAGGAAGAAAGCAACUAGCCCACCAGUCCUCCAUCACGUCUCCGUUUCCCUGCUUACACAGAGGAAGUAACACCGGGAACACAACAAGACGCAAGAACAGAAACUGUACAGAGGGGAGCAAGUUUUCUGCCCCUGUUUCUUCUCUAAGAAACAAAGGCGUUCGUGCCUCACGAUCGUGAGGCACGAACGCGUGAAGAAAGGCCAUUCUCUGGCUUUAUAAGCAAGAGAAGGCCGCAGAGAAGGAAGAAAAACUGAGGAGAAACAUGAAAAAGAGAGGACAGAACCGGUGGACGAGAAGAACAAACACAGACGGCCGCGGACGAGCGGGGAAGACGACUAGCAGGGGAACAAACCGAAACAAAAAAGAAGAAGACGACAGAACAAGGAAAGCUAAAACAGAGGAGUAGACAGAAAGCAGUAACAGAGAGGAGUAACGCUGGUCAGUUGUCAUCCCCGUCUUCCAGUGCAGCAACAGGUAAGUUGCGUUGCCCCUCCCUGCAUUUUAAUUGCAUGUUGCUGUAACAGGCGUGCGUGAGCGGUUCACGCACGCCUGCGGGUAAAAAAAUAGAAAAAUGGCCAGCCGGGUCAAGCCUUUGACCCGGCUAGGCCUGCUGAGUCCAGCCCAGCCCAUGUGGGCUGAGCUGGGCCCAGCCCAAAAAAAUAAAAAAAUAAAAAAAACAGAAAAGUAAAAAAGGGUAGAAAAAAUAAAAAAAAUGUGUAUGCAUGAAUAAAAAUAAUGUAAAUUUACUGGUUUAUUCACUGACGCCAGAGUCAGGAAUAAAAAUACUGGUUUAAAUUUAUAUUAUUUUUAUUCGGUGUAUUUUAUUUUAUUUAGCUAGAAAAAUAAAAAAUAUGUGCAUGCAUAAAAAAUCAAUUUUUUUUAAUUUAUUCACUGGCGCUAGAGUAGGGAAUAAAAAAUAUUGAUCUAAUUUUUCGUAGCUACGAAUUUUUACCAACGCCAGAGUUGGAAUUAUUCGAGCUCGAAUAUUCACUGGCGCCAGAGUCAGGAAUAUUAUAAACAAAUCAUUAUAGCAUAAGCGAAUAAAUGUUUAGCAAUUGAAGACAAAACCAACAAUGCAGUUUGCCUUAGGCAGAACGUUUAAGGGGUGAUAAUAUCUUCCCUUUUACGUAACCAAUCCCGAGCCAUAGAAUCUCUGUUGACCAGUUAGGGUUUCUAGUGACCAUAAUACUAGGUGGCGACUCCUUAAACAAGAUCUUUUCCCCUAAAAGAACAAGAUGCCAGAUAUCUGUUCUUUUUCCAUAAAUCUAGAAUUAUUUUGUGGGCCGCUGCGAUGUCGGGUGCGACACAUAUUAAGGACUUUGAAGAGGUAUGUAAUACUUUUAUUGAUAGAACAUGCACCGAGGAAACCAUUCGGCUUAAAUUGUUCCCAUUCUCUCUAAAGGAUAAAGCCAAGCUUUGGCUAAACUCCUUGCGUCCUAGGUCUAUAGGUACAUGGAGAGAAAUGCAAGCUGAAUUUUUGAAAAAAUACUUCCCCACUCAUAGGACGACAACCUUACAACAUCAAAUGAUGAAUUUUUCUUGUAGUCCAAAUGAGUCAUUUCACCAAGCUUGGGAAAGGUUCAAAGACUUGUUAAAUGCAUACCCCCACCAUGGUUUUGAGAUGUGGAGGUUAGUGAGUUUCUUCUACGACUCUCUUACCGCAGAUUUUAAAAAGCUAGUGUCAACCAUGUGUAAUGGUGAGUUUUAUGACAAAGAACCAAGUGAAGCCUUUAAUUUCUUUGAUCAAUUGGCUGAAAACACAAAGCAAUGGGAGACUUCUCUCCUACUUCAUGUUGAGUCUAGAAACACCAUUUCUCAUUCAAGUGGGAAGUUCCAAUUGAAAGAGAUUGAUGACCUCAAUGCUAGAUUAGCCUCAUUGGCUAGGAAAGUAGAGUCUCUUGAGAUUAAAAAAGUGCAUGUCAUGAGUGAACAACAAGAGGAAAGUUGUGUUGUUUGUGAGAGCAAAGGGCAUAGGACAACUGAGUGUCCUACCAUUCCAGCCUUCAAGGAAGUGCUAUAUAGCCAAACUUCUGAUUCAAGUAAUGUUAGAAAGCCAUUUUCAAACCAAGUAGGCAAUCCCUACUCUGAGACCUAUAAUCCUGGAUGGAGGAACCAUCCAAAUUUUGGAUGGAGAAAUGAGGGCCCUUCAGUACCUCAAACAUUUCAACCUCCACCCCAACCAUUUCAUGCUACCACACAUAACACGUACCAAUCACCUCAUAAGAGAUCCCUAGAGGAUACUCCAACAAUUCAUGCAAACGCAAGGAGGAAUCAAUAACCAAGCUUACAAAUUUCAAGACCAGACUAAUAGGACCUUAGAUGACAUUCAAAGUCAACUAACCAAGUUGACUCAAUCAUUAAGCAUUCAAGAGAAGGGAAAGAUCCCAGCUCAACCAAUGUCAAAUCCUAGAGGUUAGGUACACAUGAGUGAAUCCUCAUUUAGUGAACCUUCAAACCAUGAACAAGUCCAAGCCAUCACUACCCUUAGAAGUGGAAAGAUUAUUGACAAAGCUAUAGGUUUUGGGAUUCCUAGAGGUAUUGUGGAGGAGAAAUCUAGGGAAAGUGAAGAGGGAAUCAAAACACAAGUGACAAAUGAGAGCUUGAGUGACAAAGAAGGUGAGAUAAAUGAGAAAGAAAUGAGUGAGAAAGGAGAUGAUUCAAGAAAAAUUGGAGUCAAAGUGAGUGAUUUAGAAUUUGUUCCUAGAGCACCAUUUCCACAAAGGUUAGGGAAGCCUAAACAUGAUCUUAUGAACUCGGAAAUCUAUGAAUUGUUCAAACAAGUGAAAGUCAACAUUCCACUCAUUGAUGCAAUUAAACAAGUCCCCUCUUAUGCAAAGUUCUUCAAGGACUUAUGCACAGUCAAAAGGAGAUUGAAUGUGAAAGAAAGAGCCUUUCUAACUGAACAUGCUAGUGCCAUCAUCCAGUUUAAGACUCCUCCCAAAUACAAAGAUCCUGGUUGUCCUACUAUUUCAUGCAUUAUUGGAAGUCAUAAAAUAGACCAAGCUUUGUUGGAUUUAGGAGCAAGUGUGAAUUUGAUACCCUACACUGUUUACGAACAGUUAGGUUUAGGAGAAAUCAAGCCUACUCAAAUCACCCUUCAAUUAGUUGAUAGGUCAAUCAAGAUUCCCAGGGGUAUUGUUGAGGAUGUGUUGGUCCAAGUAGACAAAUUCUACUUUCCUGUUGAUUUUGUAGUGUUAGACACCGCACCUAUUCAAGGUUCUAAUGCUCCCAUCCCAGUCAUCUUAGGUAGACCUUUCCUAGCUACAUCCAAUGCUUUAAUUAACUGUAGGAAUGGGGUGAUGAAAUUGUCUUUUGGGAACAUGACUGUGGAGAUGAACAUAUUCAAUGUCUCGAAACAAAUUGGUGAACAUGAGGACAUUAGAGAGGUAGAUUUGAUCCAAACAGUUUGUCAAGAACACUUUGAGAGAGAGUGGUUCAAAGAUCCAUUGGAGAGAACUUUAAUUCAUGAUGAAAGAUUUUGUUCUUUGGAAUGUGUUGAUGAGGAAGUAAGAGAACUCAAGACUUAUCUAGAUCCAAUGCCUAUUAUGUCAAUAGGUCAAUGGACCCCAUCGUUUGAGCCUUCGAUUUCACCCCAAAUGAAAGUUGAGGCAUCUCUUGUCCAACCUUAUAAACUAGAAAGGAAGCCUUUACCGAGUGAUCUUAAGUAUGCAUUUCUAGGGGAAGAUGAAUCAUAUCCUAUUGUGAUUUCAUCAAAACUUAGCAUAGAGCAGGAACAAGAACUUUUGAGAGUGGUGAGAAAACACAAAAAAAGCAAUUGGGUGGACUAUUACUGACUUGAAAGGAAUUAGCCCUCUUUUAUGUACACAUAGAAUCUAUCUUGAAGAAGAGGCUAAAUCUGUGAGGCAAAUGCAAAGACGACUGAACCCAAACAUGAAGGAAGUAGUAAGAGGUGAAGUGCUUAAGCUACUUGAUGCAGGUAUCAUUUACCCCUUGCAAACUCAAAAUGGGUUAGUCCAACCCAAGUUGUCCCUAAAAAAUCUGGAGUCACGGUAGUGAAGAAUGAAAAUAAUGAGCUAGUACCAACUAGAAUCCAAACUGGAUGGCGUCUGUGCAUUGAUUAUCUUAAGUUGAACAUGGUGACCAGGAAGGACCAUUUUCCGCUUCCAUUUUUAGACCAAGUGCUUGAAAGAGUAGCCGGAAGAGCUUUCUAUUGUUUUCUUGAUGGAUACUCAGGUUACAACCAAAUUGAGAUUUCUUUAGAAGACCAAGAAAAAAUCACUUUCACUUGUCCUUUUGGUACCUAUGCUUAUAGAAGAAUGCCUUUUGGCUUGUGUAAUGCACCAACCACUUUUCAAAGGUGUAUGAUGAGUAUCUUUAGUGACAUGGUGGAAAUUUUUUUUGGAAGUUUUCAUGGAUGAUUUUUCAGUUUAUGGGGAUUCUUAUGAGUUGUGUCUAAUGCAUUUAGAAAAAGUUCUUGAAAGAUGUGAAGAGAGCAAUCUUGUACUUAAUUGGGAGAAGUGUCAUUUUAUGGUGACACAUGGCAUUGUCUUAGGUCACAUUGUCUCUUCAAAAGGGAUAGAGGUAGAUAAGUCAAAAGUUGAAGUCAUUCAAAAAUUACCUAGCCCUAGGACUGUGAAAGAUGUGAGAUCGUUUUUAGGACACGCUGGUUUUUACCGAAGAUUCAUUCAUUCUUUUAGUACCAUUCCCAAACCAUUGUGUAACUUGUUGUCACAAGAUGUUCAAUUUGAUUGGACAUCAAAAUGUCAAGAAGCUUUUGAAAAGCUUAAAGGGUUGUUGACCACUACACCAAUCAUGCAAGCUCCUGAUUGGUCUUUACCAUUUGAACUGAUGUGUGAUGCUAGUGAUUUUGCAGUAGGGGCUGUUUUAGGGCAAAGAAAAGAUAAGAAGCCUCAUGUCAUUUAUUAUGCUAGCAAGACUUUGAAUGAUGCUCAAUUGAAUUACACUACAACUGAAAAAGAACUCUUAGACAAGUUUAGGUCUUAUUUGGUUGGAUCUCUUGUUAUUGUUUUCACUGAUCAUGCAGCAUUGAAAUACUUGCUCACAAAACAAGAUGCCAAGCCAUGUUUGAUUCGAUGGAUCCUUAUAUUCCAAGAGUUUAACCUUGAAAUUCGAGAUAAAAAAGGAGUAGAGAAUGUAGUGGCUGAUCAUUUGUCCCGUCUUUCAAGCUAUGAGACCAUAAUUGAUGAAUCUCCAAUAAAUGAAUUCUUUGCUGAUGAAAAUUUAUUUUGUGCAGGUAUUGUUUCCUACAUUGGCUCUCCAUGGUAUGCUGACAUAGCAAAUUACCUAGCCACAAGUCAGAUUCCUUCUCAUUGGUUUAAACUUGACAAACAAAAAUUCUUGCGCAACGUGCGUACCUUUUUUUGGGAUGACCCCUACCUAUUUAAAUACUGCCCUGACCAAAUUGUUAGGCGGUGCAUCCCUGAUCAUGAAAUUCCAAGUGUCAUUAAUUUUUAUCAUGCAUUAGCCUGUGGUGGGCAUUUCUCUUCCAAGAAAACCACUGCCAAGAUCUUGCAGUGUGGUUUUUAUUGGCCCACCAUGUUCAAAGAUGUCCAUGCCUUCUGUGUUGCAUGUGACCGAUGCCAACGACUAGGUAACCUCACUAGGCGUAACAUGAUGCCCCUAAACCCCAUUCUUGUUUUGGAAAUAUUUGAUUGUUGGGGGAUUGAUUUCAUGGGACCUUUCCCAAGUUCAUUUGGUAACCAAUUCAUCCUUGUAGCUGUUGAUUAUGUGUCUAAAUGGGUGGAGGCCAUUGCAUCUCGAACCAAUGACCAUCGAGUUGUGGUCAAAUUCUUGGAAGAAAAUAUUUUCUCUCGUUUUGGCAUGCCCCGGGCUAUGAUUAAUGAUGGGGGAAAACAUUUUUGUAACAAGCCCAUUGGGAUUUUGAUGAGAAAAUAUGGUGUAAUUCACAAGGUCAAUACCCCCUAUCAUCCACAGACUAGUGGCCAAGCUGAGUUGACAAAUUGGGAGAUCAAGAACAUUUUAGAGAAAACAGUCAAUCCAAACCGUAAAGAUUGGUCCCUACGACUAGUUGAUGCUUUGUGGGCAUAUCGCACUGCUUACAAGACCUCUUUAGGAAUGUCUCCUUAUAGGCUAGUUUAUGGAAAGCCUUGUCAUCUCCCUGUUGAGAUUGAGCACCGUGCAUAUUGGGCCAUCCGGCAAUUCAAUGACAAUGAAAACGAGGUUGGAAAAAAUAGAAAGCUUCAAUUGGAUGAAUUAGAUGAGCUGAUAAAUGAUGCAUUUGAAAAUGCAAAAAUUUCAAAACAUAAGAUGAAAACCUUGCAUGAUAAACAUAUUCUUAGAAAAUCCUUUCAUCUUGGUCAAAAGGUUCUCUUGUAUAAUUCACGAUUACAUCUCUUUCCUGGGAAGUUGAGGACAAAAUGGAUUGGUCCAUUUGUGAUUAAAUCCAUCUCUGAGCAUGGUGCAUUUGAGGUAGAAAAUCCUAAGAAUGGAAAUGUUUUCAAAGUAAAUGGUCAUCGAUUGAAACCUUAUCUUGAAAAUUUUGUGGCUGAAGUUGAGACAUUGGAUCUUGAAGAUCCAAUACCAUUGUAGUAUCAGAAGUAAUGAGCUUUUUAUUUUUAUUUUUAUUUUUUUAUUCAUUUUUAUUUUUCUGUUUUUCAUUUUUUUUCUUUCUUCCAUCGCUUAUAUUUUCUUGUUCAUGCAUUAGGGACAAUGCAUUAUUUUAAGUUGGGGGGUGUGAGGUUCUUUAUUUUUCAAAAAAAAAAUCAAUGUUUUCUUUUAGUUGUGAUAUGCAGGUAAAAAAAAUCAAGCAAGAAGUCAGCUCAUGUCCAAUUCAAUCAGACAUUCAUCCUUGAAAACAAAAGGGGAGUAAUAGUUUUCUAAUCUUUAUACUUUUCUUCUCUUUUUUUUUUACAUUGAGGAUAAUGUAAAACUUAAUUUUAGAUAUUUGAUUAUGUUGAAUGCUUGAGAUGACCAUGCAUGUUAAAAAAAAAAACUUGCAUUCGUAUAUGAAUGAGACUUGUUUAGGAUCAACAUUACAUUUUUGGAUUCAUUAUUGUGUUGAACAUUGCAUGCUUUAAUUUGGGAUAGAUAAUAUCUUAUAAAGCAAGAUAUAGCAUACUUUUUUUUAAGAUUAUUGAAGUACAUCUUUCCUUGUAAAAGUUGUGUGAGUUGUGUGAUUAUGCAUGAAAGAUGAGUGUGAUGCUUUACUUGUGAUCAUCCCUUUUGAUCUAGUCCUAAACAAGGUUUAAGUAAAUAGAGUAAUCAUUAUUACACAAAUGUGUACAAAGUUCUAUCUACUCCAAUGUUUUGAGUUGCUCAGUAACUAGGGGUAUUCAUCAUAAAUGUUUAUCUUUACGUCAAACGGCAGCUUGAAAUAUGAGUAUGCAAAGCACUUUAAGUUUGUGACUUUGUGAGUAACCGGGUGCAUUCAUCACAAAUGUUUGUAUUCGCGUCAAAAGGGAAGUGACCACUUAAAGAAAAAAAAUAAAUAAUAUCUUCAAAAAAAAAGAGAAAAAAAAGAAAAGAAAAAAAAUAUAUAUAUAUAUAUAUAUAUAUAUAUAUAUAUAUAUAUAGAUAUUUCUCUAGUUUGCUACCUUGUUUGUAGUAGUGAGAAGGGAAGAUUACAAGUUGAGUUUUCGCGUGAAUCAAUUAUGUUGGUUGCAUGAUAAAUACAAUUCUAGAAAAGAAUAUCAUAUGAUCUAUUUCCAGCCCAAACAUGCCUUAUGUUGUGUGCAAACUUCAACCAUCAAACACUCAAGGUUUCAAUGUCAAUCUUAGCCCAAAUAAUAGGUACAUUUGUAUCCUUAUUUGAUGCUUAAAUUCAGCCCCAAAUCAGCCUCCAAAUCAGCCCAAGCACAAUCCAUGAUCUUACAUGCUCACACAACAAAUAACAUUUGAUUUAUUUUGGGUAAUUCAUUGAUCCAAGAGGGCAAGCACAUGGAUGGAAAGCUGGAGGGGACAUUGUGACAUUAUUUUGGGUCAAAAGAAGAAAGAGACAGCUCAUAAAAGAGGAAGAAAAACGUGCACCAAAGUGUUCUCCAAGCUGGCCUGGUUUGAUUUUCCAGAACACCUUUCGGUGUUUCGCCCAUAACUUUUGACUCAGAUGUCCAAAUGAGAUGUUCUUUAAUGAUGUGGAAAUCAAACAGAAUGGCCUAUAAAUAUGUCUCUAAUAGCUAUCUCCAGGGGAGGCUUCAAAAAAGGGUCGAAUUGCUGUCCAAAGUUAGAGUCAAAUUUGUGUCCGAUUUUUUACUGAAAUUGUGUUGUGUUCUUCUUUAUAGAUUUUGGUUCUUUAGCUUGUAAAAAUCAUUAUUUCAGUUUGAUUCAAGUUAUUUCAUGUUUAUUAAAGUGUUAUUAUAUAUAAUCAUGGUUCGCUAAUCUCCUUCUUGGAUCCAAAUCAAGGAUGAUGGUGGUUGAGGUGAGUUUUUUAAGAUAUGAAUGAAUCUUAAUGUCUAUCUUUUCAUUUUCUUUAUAAAUGUUUUAUUAUUGCAAAGAAAUUUUAGAAAUCAUUUAGGUAAUGUUAUAAUCUUGAAUUUUUAUGCACAAACCUUAGUUUUGGUAUAGAGAUUGCUUGAUUCAAUGUCUUACUUAAUAUGAAAAUACUUGUUCAUUCUUAAGCAAUAAUCAAUCUUCAUCUUUUUAAACUUCAUUGUAAUAUCUUCUGAUCUAAUAUCACUAUCGUUGAUAUUAGGUUGAGUUAUCUUAUAUAUGUUGAAGGAAUCACCAAUACAUCACCAUUAAAAUUAAUUUGGACCAAGACUUACUUUUUCUUGUCAUUUAAAAUCUAUUUACAGUUUUUCAUCUUUGAAAACAAAUCCAUCAAUCAUUUUCAACCAAGUUAUUGUUAAUUUAAUUUCUCUUGAGUUUUUUUGUUACCUAGCUUAAUUUUCAAAUCUAGCUCUCUGUGGAUAUUACCUCGAUCUUACUGAGUUAAUUGCUACAUCGCACACUCGUGCACUUGCGAGUUAAAACAAGUCGAACAUAAAAAGCGGUCAAGCAAUAUACAAUCUGCUGCCUCCGUGGACGUACCCGGUUUUGGGGAACCACGUAAAUCUGCUUGUGUUGUGUUUUAUUUGUGUUUGCUUUCGGUCCAGUAUGCACAACAAAUUGGUAUCAGAGCAUUAGGGAAGCUUAAACACAGAAAAACACAUUUUUCAGCUCUCUGUUCAAAGUUGCAGAAUUUUCAAAUUUCUCAGAUCUUGAUUUUGAUCAGCUGCGGAGAUUCCUCUCGUUGAUACAAGUCCGGAGAUAUAAAGAUCAUCGAAAUCGGAGUUGAAACGAGCCCUGUAGAGCUCGUCGAAGUUUCGCCUGAAAUCUGCUGGAAAAACCAAACAGUGCCGGAAUUCUCGCCUUAGAAGACAGCCACGUCAUCCGACACGUAAGCGAUGAGUCAUCAUCCACAUCAUCAACAGGGGUCCACAUCGCCCUGUCAUCAGCCACAUCAUCUAACAGUGACAGAAUAUUCUCUUGACAUAGUAAGAAUAUUCCGUUAACAGUAAGAGAAUAUUCCCGUGACAAAAUAUUCUUUAUCAGAGACAGAAUAUUCCUUUCCUAAGUCAACUCGGUCAGAUUGGUUUUUUGGCCAACUCAGUGAUUUUUUAGCCUGUUUUUGGCCGAGUCAAGCUGGUUCCUAGCAUUUUCAACCAUUCCGGACGCGACCGUGGUGUCCGUUUUGUGAAACAGUACACAUCGAAGUUACUAUUUUGGCUCUUUUGAGCAUAAAAGUGCAUGUUUUAACAAUUUCAGGAGUCCAUUUGUAAUCCAAAGACGUUCUAAUGGCUGAUAUUCCAGAAGAAAAAUCAGCGGGGAAUGCUAGUAUACCUCCAUAAUACAUCCCGGUAUCAAGUACCAAAUUUGAGGUGGAGAAGUUUGAUGGGAAAGGUAAUUUUGGCAUGUGGAAAUGUGAAGUCAUGGAUAUGCUUGUCCAAAUGAAUUUGGAUUUCACUCUAGAAGAUAAACCGGAGGAUUUGGAUGAUAAAAGCUGGGAAAGGAUAAAUCGGUUGGCUUGUAGUUCCAUCCGACUUUGUCUUGUAAAGGAUCAGAAGUAUGCCUUUCCAGAACAAAACUCUGCAAAGGAAUUAUGGCAAGCACUGGAGGACAAGUUUAUGAAUAAGAGUAUAGAGAAUCGUCUCUACAUGAAGAAAAGGAUCUUCCGUUUUCAGCACAAGAAAGGUACUUCCAUGAAUGAGCAUCUGAAUGAUUUCAAUAAAAUGAUAGCUGAUUUGAAGAAUUUAGAUGUGGAAAUUGAUGAUGAAGAUAAAGCUCUGUUGUUAUUGAAUUCACUGCCUGACACAUAUGAACAUCUCGUCACCACUUUACUGNNNNNNNNNNNNNNNNNNNNNNNNNNNNNNNNNNNNNNNNNNNNNNNNNNNNNNNNNNNNNNNNNNNNNNNNNNNNNNNNNNNNNNNNNNNNNNNNNNNNAGAUUGUUCACAAGGAGUCAACGUCAGAAGCAUUGACAGUUAGAGGCAGAACAAACCCCAGAAGAUUUCGAGGACGAGGGAGAUCUCGCUCAAAAUCCAGAGGAGAAUCAUCAAACAGACGAUAUCUUGCAAAAGAUUAGUGUGCCUUUUGUCACAAAAAGGGCACUGGAAGAAAGAUUGUCCAAUCAAGGGCAGUAAGGAAAAAGAUGAACCAACUGUGAACGUUGCACGAGAUGAGGAUGAACAAGACUCUGCAUUCAUGGUCUCAUCACCAGAAAACCAUUCUGGUGAAUGGAUUCUUGAUUCUGCAUGUUCCUAUCACAUAUGCCCUAACAAGCACUUAAACUUGUCCUCCUCGUGCAUACAUACUUGUGCCUAUUUUUAGAGAAUGGGGUGUGAUCAGUCACGGUUCCUGUUAUUACUUCAGUUUCAGAACUUUUUUUUUCCUUCUCGUGCAUACAUACUUGUGCCUAUUUUUAGAGAAUGAUGGGUCAAGCCUGUUCAGGCCUCAAGUUUAAAUUGGUGUGUCCAAUCUUGUUUAUUUGAGAUGAACUGUUUCAAGCUUCUUGUGAAUUCUGGAAUAGACGGUUAUGCUUUGGUUUUAUUAAUCGUGAUGUUUGUGUUUAAUCAUGUUGUUCGUGUUUUGACAAAAUAUAAAAAAUGUUUUCUUGUGUGUUGCAUAUGUUUAAUACCCUAAUAUGUUUUUAAUGUUUUAUUUAUAUAAAAAAACAAAUAUUUGAAGUUUCAAAAAUAUGUUUUCGCAUGGAUUUCUUAAACACAACACAAAAAUUAUUUUCUUGCAUCUUGGAUUUUACAACAUGUUUGUAAAUUCCAAAGGGUGUUGGCCAAUAUUCCAAAAAUAUAAAAAUCUUAUUUUUGGGAAUUCGUUUUUAUUCACUAUUAAUAUUUGGAUAAAGAAAUCCCAAAAAGGAUAAAUAUCCAAAAUAUUAUUAUGAAUAAUUUGUUAUUCAUUAGUAAUGUUUGGAUAAAGAAAUUCCAAAGGGGUUAAUAUCCAAAAUAUUAUUAUGAAUAAUUUAUUAUUAUUCACCAUAAAUGUUUGGAUAAAGAAACCCCAAAAAGGGGUUAAUAAUCAAAAUAUUAUUGGGAAUAAUUCAUCAUUGUUCACUGAAUAUUUAGAUAAAGAAACCCCAAGUAGUAAAUAUCAAAAAUAUUUUUUUCUAGGAAUAACAAGUCAUUAUCCCUCAAUAAUAUAAGGGCAAAUAAACCUAUAAAAGGUAAAUGUCCAAAAUAUUUUUAAUAGGAAUACAACUUGUUUAGUUUUAACAUAAGGGCAGAUUUAUGCCUGAAAUUUUAUUUAGAACCAUUUAAUCGCACCUCUGAUUAGUACUUAAAAGUGCAUUUUUAUCAAGGUUUUAUAUCAUCAUUUUGCACUUGAAGUAUCAAUAACUCCUUAACUAAAGCAUGUUUUAUAAUAACAUAUCUAAUUAUAUAAGACACCUUUAAUUUAUGGUAAAUGUUCAUCUUAAAUGCAGGCCUAUCACAUAAAUGAAAGAAUUGAUUGAUGAGUUGAAAUACUGAAAUUGAAAGGACAAAGAGAUGGCCAAACUUAGAAAAGAGAUGCUAGUGCAGUCCAAACUGGAACACUGUUCGAUAAUUGGGUCAUAUCUGGAGCUGUAGAUCUUGUAUUUAGGUCCAUUUUAUAUGGAUGGAAAGAUAAGACAUAGGCCUAUAACUUUCAUGUGGAGCCCAAGAUUUAACAAGGCCGUUUUCAAGUCCAAAUUGUAGCAACAAAAAAGAAGUCUGAAUCUGUUCUACAGCCCAGACACUGUUCAGUGUUCAGCCCAUAUCUCAAGUUCUAGAAGUCCAAAUGAUCUCAAAUGUUUACCCUGGAAAGAUGAGACAAUUUCCUAGAACUUUCAUGAUUUAAGUUUGUUCAAAUUAUGACGUCAUAAAUGACGUUUUUGGCAGACAAGAAGAUAAGAAUUGUCACCAAGUCAAGAUGUGGCCACCCACUCAUCAAUUAGUCAGCAAAUCAAUAGUUCUGAAUUUUGGCCUAUAAAAUGAGGCAUUUGCCAUGUAUUUAGGCAUCUUGGUUUUCAGAUCAAGAUCAUGCUCUUGCUCUCUCUUUAUAUUUUGUAAUGCUUAAGUUUUGCUUAUAUUAAUCUCUUGCUUAUGCUUUUCAUUUCCUUUCCUUGUUUAUUUAUGUUUCUCUCUUUCAUUAUGUUUAACUAAGUUAAUUAUGUCAAGGUGAAAAGGGUACACUAAUGGUGUAAGAAUAAGUAUAAUAUAAACUUAACAUGGACCUUAAUGUUGGAUACUAACAUGCUUUAUAUUUGUUAUCUUGUUCACUUUUAACACUUUGCUUGUUAAAUGGUUAAUCUAGAUUUAUGUUGUAUAACACUUGGUACAACAAAUACUUGGCACUUUCAUAGCCCAUACUGUAUGGUAUAACCGACACCUGAGCUAUGAAAGGAACUUGAUUUGUUGUUAACAUAAGUUAUAAUAAUGAAUGCCUGAAAACAUUUACAAGUAUUAGCAUUAUUCGAAUAAGAUAACUAAUGUAAUCAUUUUAACAAUUUAUAAUCCGAUUGGAACCUCCUUUGUGUGUGGUUUCCAGUUGAGUAGAGUUUAUACUAUACUUGUUUGAAAUACCAUUAGUGGAUCCUCUAACCUUGACAUUUGUUGUUAUCAUUGUUUAAUCCUUACGUUAAUCUUCCAUCUCAAAAGUUCUCAUCAAUUUCUUCCUCUUCUUCUUCACUAUUAUUAUUAUCACUGUUAUUAUUAUUGUUGUUGUUGUUGUUGUUGUUGUUGUUGUUGUUGUUACUUUUGUUUUAUUGUUAUCUAUAAUUUAUACAAUUAACCUCCUUGUGGUUCGACCCCGGUCUUGCCGGGUUAUUUAUUACUUCGACACUUCUGCACUUGGGAGAAGACAUCAAUCUUUUGGUCGUGUCAAGUUUUUGGCGCCGUUCCCGAGGAGGUAAAUUCUUGUACAAAUUAUAGUAUUUAUUUUAUUUUACUUUUUUACUUUUCUUGUAUUUAACUUUGUUUCUUUGGUGUUGUUUCUUUUUCUUUUGUUUUCUUCUUCCUUUUAUUCUCUUUUUACACGUGCAUGAGAGUGUGGUCACGUACAUUAAGUGGUAGACUUUGUAGGGUAUCCUCAUCAUUUUCAGAAAAUAUGGCUGAAGAAGAUAACCAAUCGCUUCAUAAUGAGAAUAAUGAGAAUAUUCGGGUUAGAACUCUUAGAGACCACAUGAAUCCCACAAGAACAAGUGCACCCUCAUGCAUAGUUUUUCCUCCUGAUGCAUCUCAUUUUAAUUUUAAGACAGACAUUAUUCAACUUUUACCAUCUUUUCAUGGCUUAGAUUUAGAAAAUCCAUACUUGCAUUUAAGGGAAUUUGAGGAGGUUUGCAACACGUAUAAUGACUCAAAUUGUAGCAUGAACACCAUUAGAUUGAAGCUUUUUCCUUUUUCAUUAAAAGAUAAAGCUAAAACAUGGCUACAAAAUUUGAGACCUGGAUCCAUUCGUGCUUGGGAUGAAAUGCAACAACAAUUUUUUAAGAAGUUUUUUCCAUCCCACAGAACAAACUCUUUCAAAAGACAAAUCAUUACUUUCUCUCAAAAACCAAGAGAAACAUUUUACCAAUGUUGGGAUAGGUAUCGAGAAUUGCUUAAUACUUGCCCCCAUCACGGUUUUGAAACAUGGAGAUUAGUUUCACAUUUUUAUGAAGGGUUAACUCCUAGAGAUAGGCAAAUGGUUGAAUUGAUGUGCAAUGGAACUUUUGAGGAUAAAGACCCUAAUGAAGCAAUGGAGUACUUAGAUUUGCUAGCUGAAAAUGCACAAAAUUGGGACACCACAGGUACUUAUGAGGCACCAAGUAAAACCCAACCUCAUACAUCUAGUGGGGGUAUGUACAACCUUAGGGAAGAUCAUGACCUCCAAGCCAAGUUUGCAUCUUUAGCUAAAAAAGUCGAAGCGCUAGAAUUGAAAAAGAGUGGUCAAUUAAAAUCUGUUCAAGACAUUGCAUGUCAAAUCUGUGAAACCAACGAACAUUCAACCAAUGACUGUCCAACCUUGCCUUCUUUUAAAGAAUGUCUCCAUGAACAAGCCCAUGCAUUAAACAGUUUUCAACGGCCCAACCAUAACCCAUAUUCGCAAACAUAUAACCCUGGUUGGAGAAAUCAUCCAAAUUUCAGUUGGAAGAGUGAGAACAAUAAUGCUCAAACUUCACAGCCACCGUUUCAAGCACAUCAUAAUUUCCAAAAUUCUCAUAGAUAUGCACCUCCUUAUGCUCCACCUCCUAGAAGAAAUCUUGAGGAAACAUUGCAUGCAUUUAUGGAAAAGCAAGAGGCAAUUAACACUCAACUUGCUCAAAGCAUGACAGAUUUUAAAGAUACUCUGGCAAAAUUGACAUCUGCUCUCAGUUUCCAAGAGAAAGGUAAGUUUCCAUCUCAACCACAACAAAAUCCAAAGGGGCAAUACAAUGUGAAUGCAAGUAGUUCGGGAAGCCAACACAUGGAUCACGUAAAAUCAGUCAUCACUCUUCGCAGUGGUAAGGUUAUUAAAAAACCCAUUCUUGAACCUUGUGAGAAUGAUGAUGAGUCAAUCUCUCUGAGGGUAAGGAAGGGGUUGAAUCUGAUCAUUGCAAAGAAAAGACUGAUUCUCCGCCAGCACUUCCAUUUCCUCAUGCCAUGACGAAACAAAGGAAAGUCAAUCACAACUCUGAAAUUUUUGAAACCUUCAAACAGGUAAGGAUCAAUAUACCUUUGCUGGAUGCUAUUAAACAGGUUCCUUCUUAUGCUAAAUUUUUGAAAGAUCUGUGCACUGUGAAGAGAAAACUGAAUGUGAAAAAGAAAGCCUUUUUAGCCGAACAAGUAAGUGCCAUUCUUCAGAACAAUAAUGCAUUGAAAUAUAAAGACCCUGGUUGUCCUACAAUUUCAUGCUUUAUUGGAGAACAUAAAAUUGAAAGAGCUUUACUUGAUCUUGGAGCUAGUGUGAAUUUACUUCCAUAUUCAGUUUUUCAAAGUCUCAAUCUAGGUGAGUUAAACCAACUUCUAUAACUCUUUUACUUGCCGAUAGAUCUGUAAAAGUGCCUAGAGGAAUAGUUGAAGAUGUGUUAGUACAAGUUGAUAAAUUCAUUUAUCCUGUGGAUUUUAUUGUCUUGGACACACAACCUAUUGAAGCAUGUAAUUCAUUUCCUGUUAUUUUAGGGCGUCCAUUUCUUGCAACUUCUAAUGCAUUGAUUAAUUGUAGGAAUGGACUGAUGAAGCUAUCAUUUGGGAACAUGACAUUAGAGAUGAAUAUUUUCAACAUUUGCAAGCAACCUCGAGAUGAUAAUGAUUUACAAGAAGUAGAUUUUAUUGAAGAAUUGGUUUAUGAUCAAUUUGAAUCUACUUUGAGUAAUACUGAGUUUGAUGAAUUUGAAGAUUUGCAAAUGACUUAUUCUCAGGAAGAAAUCACGGAUGAAAAAGGCAUUGAAAAUGUUGAUGCGAAUCUUUUGUCAAGAGUGACAACAGAUUCGAUAUCUGACAUCACACCAACCGAUGAUUACUUUCCUGACAAAUCCUUACUUUCUCUUAGUUCAAUGCCUUGGUUUCCUAAAAAUAUCAAUUUCCUUGCCUCAGGAGAUUUGCCAACUCAUUGGAGUACCGAAGACAAAGGUAAGUUUUUGAACGAAGUGAAGAAAUUUUAUUGGGAUGACCCUAACUUAUUCAAACAUUGUCCUGAUCAAAUAUUUCAAAUAUGCAUUGCGGACAAUGAGGUAAGUAGUGUCAUUAAAUUUUGUCAUUUUGAAGCAUGUGGGAGUCAUUUCUCGUCAAAAAAGGCCAUUGCAAAAAUCUUUCAAACUGGAUUUUAUUGGCCCACCAUGUUCAAGGACACACAUGCAUUCUGCAAAACUUGUGAAAAUUGUCAAAAAGUUGAUACUGGUCAAAAAGUUUUGCUUUAUAAUUCUCAACUCCAUUUAUUUCCUGGAAAGUUAAGAUCAAGAUGGAGCGGUCCAUUUAUUGAGAAACAUGUGUAUCCUUAUGGGGUCUGUGAUAUCGCGAAUCCAAAAAAUAGCAAUGUUUUCAAGGUAAAUGGACAUCGUUUGAAAGUCUACUUUGAUAAUUUUUCAGUUGAAAAUGACUCUAUUGAAUUGAGUGAUCCUGUAUAUAAAGAUUGAUUCGUUUUAUCACAUUGUUUUGUGUUUCAUUUUGCUAGUUUCUCUCACCCCGGUCAAAAGGCGGAUAACGGUACUCCGUGACUUAAGUCGGUUCUUUCAGUUUCUCAUAAUAACUGAUAUUUGUAUAUAUUUGUGCAAUUCUUUGCUCUUUCUCCAUUCUUUGACUCUGUUCUCCAAUUCUCAUUUGAAAAUGGACACCACUCUUGAAAAAUUGAAAAAGUAUUUUCCCGCUCUGCCUCAGAAUGCGAUUACAAAAAUUUACCGUGCUAGGUGUGCAAGAUUGAAGUUGUUGAUGAAUCAUGGAAUUCCUGAAGAUAUUCGCUGGCUGAUUGAAGCAAAGGUCCGAUUAUUAGGUGAGUCCUCCAAUUCUUUCAUUUCACACAUGCCUGGAACAGGUAAAAGCACUUUUGCAAAGAAACGUCGUGCAAAACGACUGAAAGUCUGUCACAAAUGUGCCAGAUGGACUUGCAAUGCAACAUGUCGUUCUUUAGGAAUGGUAUCUAUAAACCGUGAAGAUAAAAUACAAUUCAUUAAGGAUGGCCUGAGUAAGGGGUCUUUAGAUAAUCUUUUGUUGACCCUUGAGACGCAUCCUAGUGGAGAUGUGCAUCGUGCAAUUCAUGAUUUAUAGCCCCAUUUUCAUAAAGAACAUGAUAGACUCAGUCUUGGGAAUCUGACUAAAAAAGACCUUGUUUGCCACUUUUUAAGAAAACUGGAUGGGAAGCCUCUCCCCGACCCAUAGAGGGCGUUUAAGCCGUUCUUGGACAUAAAACCAAGGGAAGAUGUGAGCCACAAUCACAACUACCUGUACAUACACAUUCUUUUUCAAAAUAAAUAAAUAAAAUAUAAAGAGAGAGCAAGAGCAUGAUCUUGAUCUGAAAACCAAGAUGCCUAAAUACAUGGCAAAUGCCUCCUUUUAUAGGCCAAAAUUCGGAACUAUUGAUUUGCGGACUAAUUGAUGAGUGGGUGGCCACAUCUUGACUUGGUGACAAUUCUUAUCUUCUAGUCUGCCAAAAACGUCAUUGAUGACGUCAUAAUUUGAACAAACUUAAAUCAUGAAAGUUCUAGGAAAUUGUCUCAUCUUUCCAGGGUAAACAUUUGAGAUCAUUUGGACUUCUAGAACUUGAGAUAUGGGCUGAACACUGAACAGUGUCUGGGCUGCAGGACAGAUUCGGACUUCUUCUUUGUUGCUACAAUUUGGACUUGAAAACGGCCUUUUUAAAUCUUGGGCUCCACAUGAAAGUUGUAGACCUAUGUCUUAUCUUUCCAUCCAUAUAAAAUGGACCUAAAUACAAGAUCUACAGCUCCAGAUAUGACCCAAUUACCGAACAGUGUUCCAGUUUGGACUGCACCAGCAUCUCUUUUCUAAGUUUGGCCAUCUCUUUGUCCUUUCAAUUUCAGUAUUUCAACUCAUCAAUCAAUUCUUUCAUUUAUGUGAUAGGCCUGCAUUUAAGAUGAACAUUUACCAUAAAUUAAAGGUAUCUUAUAUAAUUAGAUAUGUUAUUAUAAAACAUGCUUUAGUUAAGGAGUUAUUGAUACUUCAAGUGCAAAAUGAUGAUAUAAAACCUUGAUAAAAAUGCACUUUUAAGUACUAAUCAACCUCCUUGGAAGAAGCCUCAAUUAUAAUUAGGGACAUUUCAAAUUUUGAUUCCACAAUUUAUGACCCAUGGAAAAUAUUAAUUGCUAAGGCAAAAAUGGGCUUUUAAAGUACCUUGAAUUUCCUUAGAUUUUGAACUUAGUUUUUUUUCUCUUCCUUGCGAUUUAUGAGUUGCGAACACUUGAAAUAUUAAGGGGAAAAUGAGCUCUUAAGCACAUCGAAUCUCCUUAGAUUUCUAUAUUAGCUGUCUCUAAAUUCAUAAAUUCUGAAUUUAUUUCAAAUCAAACAUAGACUUCGAGAGAUCUACCUCUUUGGCACUCUACAAACAUAUCUAAAGGUAUGAUCCGUAUUGGCCAAGGGUUCUUUCCCUUCGACUUUGAACCCAAGUUCGUCGUCAAAACAGACUUAUCCUAGGAAACUGAUGGGAUUAGAGAACAUCAACACCAUAGCAAUUAUAGGGCAAACCAAACACCAAGCAGCUUAUCUUAGGUAGGGCGUACUAGGGGUGCUAAAACUUUUCCUUUACGCAACCAGUCUCUUGCCUUAGAAUCUUUGAAAGACCAGUUAGGUUUCCUAGUGACCAUAAUACUAGGUGACGACUCCCUUUUUUUACAAAACAAAGACCCCAACAUUAAUCCCUGCUAUCAGGAAGGGUCGCCUCAACAUCGAGCUCUCUUGAGGGUACGACAAUAAUAAUCAUAAUGUUGAUUCUUUUAUCUCCUACUUAAUGCAAGUGUCCAUCGUGUGCUGAAAUUGAUUGUUUACCAUAACAUUUCUUUUAAAGGUAGAGAUUUCUUGGUUGACAAUGGAAAAAAGUAAUCGCAUGGUUAUUUUCCAUAACAUUCCUUUGAGUAAAUAUUCUCUAUUGGAGGUCAAUUUCAUCGAAGCAAUUACCUCAAUGAACACGUCCUAAUUACCAACCUCUAAGUAGUCAUCUCCCUUAUCCUAACUUUUUAUUUCCUUAUAAAAUCUCACGGUUUUUCAUCAUUUUCAGAGGAAAAGUUGACCUUGCAAAUGGUGCUCUAAGGAACCAAGUCAUCCUAGAACUAAUCAUCCACCUAAUCUCGUCAACUCCUUGUUGCACAAACAGCCUGUCUCACUUAAAGGGGAUUUUAAUGAUGAACAAACACAAAUUCCUUGUUGCUCAAAUACAUAUGCUCAUUUAAACACAGGAUGCUUGACCUCAUUAAAGACAAACUGACGACAUCCGUCCGUAACAUAAAUUAUCUUCCUUGCCCCAAAGUCAGCACAGAAAAACCUUGUUCACUAUAAAGGUUCUGAAUGUUUUUCCUAAAUUUCAUGAUAUGGCAUUCAGCAUUCUUAAGCAAACUACAACUGCAGAAGGCUUGUACAUGUAGGGGAGACGUAGGAAGAACUGCAAAAGUUGUCGCAUCUAUUGUUAUGCUGUUCAGAGUUUCUAUCUCAUCAUCCAAUCUGCCUAAAAUAUAAAAGAUCAUGUGCAUGAAUUUGAUCUCAAAGGGGUACCACCUCAUAUGCGUACAGGACAUACAUGACCAGUGAUGGUUGUUCUAUCCACAAAAUUAGCUAACAUACGACUAUUUUAUUCAACUACCAUUUCAGGAUAUGAGUUCUCCUAGCCACACUCAAAAGCCCUAGCCGCUAUAUGAACAAAGCACCUAAAAAAUUAAUCACCUGCCUAAUCUAAUUCACCCACACACACACACACACCCACCUGAUCAUAGACAGGAAACGAGUUAUUUGAAUGCAUAGACAGGAAAUUCAGGUAAACACGCGCGCGCGCACACACACACCUGAUCAUAAAUUUCCUAAAGAAAUUCUGAAUUGUAACAUUGGUAAACAAAGUGUGACAAUAUCAUCACAUUAAAAAUGCAUUUCACUCAAAACAAAUACUAGCUCAAGAAAAAAAAAUGCAAGAAGCCAAGAGAGAAUAAAUUAAGCAGUCCAUAAACAAGAGACAGAGAGGCAUUGUUCCAAUGAGAAAAGUAAUUAAAACCCAACAACUAAAGAAAGAAUCAAACCAGUGAGUAACUAAUCCUUUUAAAGCAUUCCAAGAAUGGCAACCAAAUGUAACAUAAUCAACCUGCAAAAACAAACACAAAAAGAAUUAGAAGAAGAAACCCCAGACCUCCACCACCAAAUCCACCUCCACCAAAUCCACCUCCACCACCAAGCCCGCCACCUCAUUCAUCCUCAAAAGAACCCUUUCUAGAACCGGAUUCUGUAACGCAUUGUCUUCAUUCUGACAGGAGGGGAUAUCAGUCACAAUUUGGAAAUCUAAUAGUUUGAAGGUUUCUGAAAACCGUCCUCAGACCUGUCAGCGUCGCUGGCCAAUUUCUCAUUCUUCCACCGUUGGAUUAACACGAAUUUUGGGUAAGUUGUGUGUCACUAUAGUUCCCACAUCCUGACCAGAGCGAUCGUUCAUAUUUGAAUCCACUAGAUAAAUCUUACCGUUUGAAGAUUUCUGGGCAAAUCACUCUCGGAACAGUCAGAAUCGCCGGCUUAUUUCUUCUUUUUCUACCGUUGGAUCCAUCUGAAUUUUGGAUAUGUGAUGCGUAUGGUCGUAUUACACAUUCGGAACGGUGGAGAUGACAUGAAUCGUUUCCAGAAAAGAGUUAUGCACGCUCAACAGUGGUCCAUCAAUCUCAGGUCAGUUUUGGUCUAACUCCGAUCUAGGGAGAUCCAACCGUUAACUGGAGCUGAUAUUUGGAUAUGUUCUGCAUAAGAUGUGUUUUUACCUUGUCACCGUUGCGAUUUGUUAUUUGUUGAAUUGUUGGUGAGUAAUUGUUGUUUGAAGCUCUGCACAGAAUCUAUCAUGGCUUCCAAUCCGAAACUUCAAACCCUCAAAGCUAACACCACCCACUCAAUCACUAAACAACCCACAAACCAUCACCAAAACAUCCAAAAUACAGCCUCCUCAACGUAGGUUAGGUUUCUAAAAUCCCACGAAUCAACAAACAAUCAAAAAUCCCUUUCCAAUAGUCACCUCCGCCUUGACUCAAGACAACAACCACCCCCUAAACACAUUCACAAUAUUCCUAGCCCAAAAACCCAGAAUAACCAUUCCUUUAACAUUUCAGUGCCACAAAUUUACUUUGAAGGUUUCCCAAUAUGGGCUGAUUACCAUCGCAUAAAGGCUUCUUUUAACAAGUUUGGCUAUGUACUCAAACUUUAUGUAUCCAGGCGUGUCAACAAAUCAGGGAGUCUUUUUGGUUUUGUAACAAUAGCAUCAAAAUUUUCUGAUAAAGUUUUGCUAGAGAGUGUGAAUGAUAUUUGGUUUGAAUAUCACAGACUAAAGGCCAAUUUCACUAGACACUAUAAAAAGAUUCCAAGAGAGAACAAAGCUCCUGACAGAUCAAAACCCAAAACAACUUUAAGAGUGCCUAUUAGUGAAAGAGAUGACAGAAGUUACAAAGAGGUACUCAGUGAAGGAAAAGUGGAACAAAUACUUCUGCCUGUGGCUUCUGGACCAAAGGAUUACUUUGAAAAACUCUUCAUUGAUAUUGAAGAAGAGGAUUAUGCUUGGCUAAAGAGAUGUCUUCUGGGAAAAAUAAAAAAAGGAUCCAAUUACUCUUCUAUACGUUUUGGACUGAUCCAACAUGAUAUAGAUUUUGUUGGACUGCGCUUUCUUGGGGCAUCUCAGGUCCUUGUGAUUUUUUAUAAUAGAGACAUAUUAAUGGAAUCAUGGAGGAAGAAUAAUAAAUGUUGGGAUGUAUUUUUUGAGGAAGUUCGCCCCUGGGUUGAGACUGACACAACUUUGAAUCGGAUGGCCUGGAUAACAAUAACAAAUCUACCCAUUAUAGGGUGGAAUUGCAGAUGCCUCACAAAGAUUUUAGAAAGAUCUGGUCAGAUGAUAGGUUAUGAUAAAACUACUCUCAAGCUUUUUGAACUAUCACAGUUACGGAUCCUCAUUGGUACACAACUGGAUAAGGUGAAUAAGGUGAUUGUUUUGCAACUCAAUAAUCAAACAUAUCAGGUUAAGAUAGAGGAGAUGGACCAGUUACAUUACCCAAUUGCUGGCUCUAUUUCAUACACCAUGGAUGACUUUCUGACAUCCCUAGAGCAAGGGGAUGAUGAUGAUGAGGAAGACUCGGUUGAUGUGGGUGAUGGCGUAGACACAGAUGAGGACAGAGCAGGUGUGGCUCCAUCAGUCACCAGGACUCUUGGGGGCGGCACCAACGGGUGGGAAAAUUCAGAUCUGGCACAGGAUGGAGACAUGCUAUCAACUUCUGACGAUAGCUCUCUUAUCAUAUUUAAUGCUCUUCAUCUGGAUGUGGUGCAAGAUCAACAUGCUGCCUCAUCUUUAGAGAGAUUUCCAGAAAUUAUGGCAUACAAUCUUUCUUUUUCUGACAGCAGCUAUAUAAAAGCAGCCCCAUUCCCAAUGCUCUUACCCUAUAUACGGGACAUGGCACUCCUAUUUUGAGAGAAGAUGCUAGAAACCCUGCAGCUGCCUUGGACCUUGACUCCCUUGUAUUGGCCCAGAUUGAAAGCCCAGUUUAUGGCAGUGGAUCUCAAAGCCCAUCUGACGUUCUCUCUAUUUCAUUUGGAUCAAACAAUGAUUUAGCCCUUCAAUCAACAUACAAUCAUCAAGCCAUAGUAAUUCUGGAACCGCAACACAUGAAUCACCCAGUUAUUUUACACUCUAAUGCAAACACAAAAGAGAGUGCAAUUGCCCUAUCUGCAAAAACAAGAAGGAAGUUGCGACGUACAAAGAUGAUUACAGCUGAUGGAAGUUUGAAUGAAACAGUUAAUAUGAGUGAGAUGGAUACUAAGGACUCAACAAUACAGAGGUGUAACAGGAGGAACUUGCUAGCUCAUGACGAAAACAAUAAGCCUUCUGAGGGUGAUGAGGUUUGUUUAAUGCUGGAAAUAGGAGAGGUUUUGCAGAUUGAAAAACCUCACAAUUUAGAUGACUUCACAUCCUAUAUAAAUCAGCAAAGGCGUAAAGAGAAGGCUGAUUGGGAAGCAUCCCAGUGAGUAGAUGUUCCUCUUUGUUCUGUAAGGAUUUUAAAUCUCUUUUCUUAUGCAGAUUCUUUCAUGGAAUUCUUGUGGUUUGGGGUUAGCUAGAAAGAAGAGGACAGUUUCAAAGUUAAUCAGGGAUUUUGAUAUAGAGGUUUGUUUUUUGUUUGAAACUAAGUUACAAAGUUACUCAGACAAAUUGGUUUUUCAAUUAUGGAGCGUCAGUAAUGUUUCUUGGUUUGGUAAUGAGGCUGAAGGUACUAAAGGGGGCAUUCUGGCUAUGUGGGAUAACUCUAAGUUUGCGGUAUCAUCAGUGGAGUAUGGUCAUGGUUGGAUCGGGUUAUUUGGGCAGAAUGUCUUGACAGGCUUCUCAAGGGCGGUGGUAGGUGUUUAUGCCCUUUGCAAUCAAGCUGACAGACUUCUUCUUUGGAAGGACCUUCGUAUUCUGAAGGCUGCUUUUGAGUGUCCUUGGUUUUUAGCAGGUGACUUCAAUGAAACUAUGUUGCGAAGUGACAGAAGCAGUGGCUUCAUUAACAAGGUGGGUUCAACGGCUUUUAGACUUUUUAUUGAUGAUUGCAACCUAAUCGAGUACAACAUGUCAGAGGGUCUGUACACCUGGUUUCGUGGGGGGUCCAUGAGUAAACUAGACCGUAUUUUUUCUAGUCCUUGUUGUCAUUUGCAAUUCCCCCUUUUGUCUCUUCGACGGCUUCCAAGAGGGUUCUCUGAUCAUUGCCCUUUAAUCCUAGGGGUUUCACCUGCAGAAAAAGGUUGGAUUCCUUUCAAAUUCAUGGAUUGUUGGCUCCAUCAUCCAAAUUUUAAAGAUAUCGUAAAGGGUAUAUGGGAUGAAGCUUGCAAUGAAUUUUCAGGUCAGUUCAAGCUCAUUAAGAAGCUCAGCUUUAUGGCAACUUGGCUCAGACAGUGGAAUAGGGUUGGUUUUGGGCAUCAGGAGACUGCUUUGUCAUUGAUCCAAAGCAAUAUUUCAGCUAUAGAAAAGAAAUCAGAGUAUGGGCAAUUAUCUACUGCAUAGCAGAACUCGCUUGAUUCAUUGAUUAAGAAGUAGUGGCAAUGUAACUUGCAUAUAGAAAGCAUGUGGCGUCAAAAGUCUCGCCAAAUUUGGUGUCGCCUGGGCGAUCGCAACACGCGUUUCUUCCAUCUAGUUGCUAACUUCAGGAGGGCUAAAAACCAUCUCCUGAAAGUGGUUCAUAAUGGUUCUGUUGUUGAAGGUUUACCGGUCAUAAAAGAUGCGGCAGUUAACUUCUUCUCCAACUUAUUCAGAAGUUUUGAUAGAUUCCGAAUUGGUUUAGGGCCUGUUGGUUUUAAAACACUAUCGGCUUCUUCUUCAGCUAGCUUGGAGCGAGAUAUCACUUUGGAAGAAUUAAAGCAGAGUGUUUGGGAUUUUGAUGGGAGCAAGAGUCCGGGUCCAGAUGGUUUCAAUUUCAAAUUCUACAGGCUUGCUUGGAAUUUCAUUGCAGAUGAUUUGUUAGACCUGGCCAAGAAUUUCUUCAAAACAGGUAGGCUUCCAAAAGGAGUCAAUCAUGCUUAUGUUCAUCUAAUUCCGAAGAUAGCUUCCCCAAUUGGCUUCAAAGAUUUCAGGCCUCUUAGUUUGAUUCAUGGCAUUUACAAGAUAAUGGCUAAGGUUCUUUCUAGCCGUCUGAAAGCGGUUAUGCAUGACCUUAUCAGUGAGAAUCAAACAGCUUUCUUGGCAGGGAGGCAAAUAAUUGAUGGGUUUGUGGUUGCCAAUGAAGCAGUUCAUUCCUUGAAAAGACACAGAGUGUCGAGCCUUAUCUUUAAGGUGGAUUUUCACAAGGCUUUCGAUAGUGUGCAGUGGGAUUAUUUAGAGCAGGUUAUGAGGCAUAUGGGUUUUGGUGAAAAAUGGAUUAAUUGGAUCAACACUUGCAUCUCCACUGCAAAAUUAUCAGUGCUGAUUAAUGGAUCUCCUUCUAAGGAAUUCUUGAUGGGUCGUGGGAUUCGCCAAGGUGACCCCCUUUCUCCAUUCCUUUUUCUAAUAGCAGCAGAGGGAUUAUCUGUUUUGUUUCAAAGAGCAGCUUCAAAUGAUCUUUUCAAAGGUAUCCCUUUUGGAGACAGCUUUUGCCUUAGUCACCUACAAUAUGCAGACGACACUUUGAUCUUCAUGCCUGCUAAUCUUCAUAUGGUCAAAACGGUUAAAAGGAUCCUGUUAUGGUUCGCUAUUUGUUCAGGUUUGCACAUUAACUUCCAUAAAAGCUCUUUAAUUGGCAUAAAUGUUGGGGAAGAUACUUGUGCUAGUAUGACAUAUUCAGUCUUUUGCAGAUUUGAUUCCUUGCCUUGCUCUUAUCUAGGCAUGCCUUUAGGAUCCAAUCCUAAAAGAUUGUCUACAUGGAAGCCUAUUAUUGAGAAUUUCAGACGGAAGUUGAGCAUGUGGAGAGGUCGUAUGCUUAGUAUGGCAGGACGUAUUUGCCUAAUCAAAAGUGUCUUGAGUUCAUUGCCAGUAUAUUAUAUGUCUUCUUUUCUUAUGCCGAAAGGUGUCUGUAAUAUACUACCAUCUAUUCAACGAAGAUUCUUGGGUCUGAGUGGCGAAGCAAAAGAAAAUCUGCAAGGUACAAUGGCGUAUUGUUGUGAAAGCUAGAAAAGAAGGAGGCCUCGGGUUGGGUUCUUUAAUGUCAAAAAAUAUAUCCAUGCUUUUCAAAUGGAUAUGGAGGCUAAACUUACCAGACCAUGCCUUAUGGAAACAGGUAACAACCCAUUUUUACUCCCCAACUUUCGAGAAUGGAAUCCCAAAAUUGCAUGGUCAUAUUUCCCCAUUUUGGAAAGACAUUUUGUCAAUCUUGGAUCCAAACAGUGUCAUCGGCUUAGUAUUGCGUGAAAACAUUAAAUUCAAGAUUGGAGAUGGAUCCUCCAUCCUUUUCUGGUCUGACGUGUGGAUAGGAUCAAAUGCUUUACGUUGCAUUUUCCCUAAGCUUUACCAAAUUUCUACUUUUCGGAAUGGUUUGGUUAAUGAGAUGGGUCAAUGGGUGAAUGAUCAAUGGCGAUGGAAUUUGGUUUGGCGUAGGAAGCUCUUAUCUUAUAAAGAGCAACAAUAUCAUCAUUUGCUCUCAAUGCUGGAGCCAACGAUAAUUCGGCAAGGAAAAGAUGACAAACUUAUAUGGCCAUGCAAUUCUGAUGGAAGCUUCUCAGUUAAAUCGUGUUGCACCCUGAUUGACAAUACCUCCUCUGCGACUGAUAGAGUCUUUGAAGCCAAUGUUUGGAUUAAAGGGGCCCCUCUGAAAGUUCAGGUGUUUCUCUGGUUGGCAGUACAAGACAAAGUUAGUACAAGAGCUUUUCUCCAUCAACGGACUAUUUUGUCUGCCACACAAGCUUCAUGUGUCUUUUGCAGCUCAAAUUUGGAAACCUCAGAGCAUCUUUUUAUACAUUGUAACUUUUCUAUGAGUGUUUGGAUGAAAGUUUUGGAUUGGUGGGGUAUCCAAUGUUGUUUACCGAGAACACUUGACUUGCUGCUUCUGCAGUGGCCCGAAAUGGUACAAGGCAAAUUCCAAAGAUCAGCUUGGAGAUUAAUUUCAAGUAGUACUAUUUGGGGUAUAUGGUUACUGAGGAACAAAAUUGUUUUUGAGGAGGGAACUAUAAACUUGUUUGAUUGUUUCUCCACCAUCCUUCAUCGGGUUGCUAUUUGGUUGCAUACUCAUGAUUCAAACUUCAAUUAUACAGGCAAUGACCUCUUAAGAUCUUCUGAUGGCAUCAAAUUAUGGUGUAAUAAGAAAUCUUAGGUAGUCUUCUUGUUGUUUGCUGUAGUAGAUCAGUUUUUUUCUUUUUUCUUUUUUUCUUUUUUAUAUCCCUUGUAUUUCUCUUUGGCUAUUCGCUUUAUGGCCUUCUCAAUAUACUCUCGAUGAUUAUAAAAAAAAAGAAGAAGAAACCCCAUUAGUUAAUAAGUUAAAACAGCAGCAGCAGCAAAAAGACUCAAAUUUUAGUUAUUUGGACUUGAGAAAAAGCAUUGAACCCUCUGUGAAAAUGCCAUGAAAGGGGUGCUUAGAAACCUGGAAAAUAAAAACUUUUAAAAGGGUGUUUUUACAAAGCAAGAAAGAAGCUUGGAAGCAAGGAAGCAAGCCAGCCUACCCUCACGAACUCUGUUUGUUAAUUGUUUUUUCUCCUUUAAAGUGAAAACAAAAAAAUAAAAAACAAAAACAAAGAGCACCCAGAAAAUCUAGUCAGAAAUAUUUUAUGUUGCUGUCUUGGAGAGACGCAUUAUAUUACAUAACAAAAUGAUAAAUUCAUUCAUUACAAAAAGAUACCCAACAAAAUAUAAGAAAACUAAUCUACUGUUCAACCCGAUAGGGGGAUGUACCUGAAAAUUGAUUUAAUACAAUAAUUCAAUUAGACAGAUGAAAAAAAGAUAUCCAUAAAAUUCUUUCUACUUUCUUUCUUUCUUCCUUUUUUUUUUUUUUGAAAAUUUAGUCAAAAGAUCAUUAAAUUAACUUGCUCAUCUAGUAUUGUAUAUAUAUAUCAAUUAAAUUUCAGAAUAAUCUAUGAGUUUGUUUUCUUUUUCUUUUUUCUUUUUUAAUAUCAACCAAAAAUAUAAUUAUUUCUAUCGCUCAAUUAACCCGGCAUUACUUUCACUAAUAGAUGAUUAAUUUUCCACCAGUCCAUUCAACAAACACUAUUGUCAUCAAUUCAAAAAUUAGUUUAAUGUUUCAUCCAUUCAUCAGGUAAAAAUCUCAUUAACCAGGGAAAUUAAUUCUUCAUCUUGCCCAUUUGUCAAGGCACUAAUUCCAUUAAAUCAGGAAUUAGUUCAAUGAUUUACCUAUUCACCAGGUUACUAAUCCCAUUAACCAGAGACUUAAUUCCUCAUCAUGCCUAUUCACCAGGACAUUAAUCCCAUUAAUUCAGGAAUUAGUUCAACGAUUUGCCCAUUCACCAGGGCAUCAUAAUUUCUUAUCACGCCCAUUCACCAGGGCAUUAAUUUCUUAUCACGCCCAUUCACUAGGGCAUUAAUCCCAUUAGUUCAAGAAUUAAUUCAUCACAUCGCAUAUCUUAUUUUCUAAAGUAAACAAUAUAAUAAUUUCAUAUUUAUCAACCACAAUUAAUCAAAUAAAAAUACAUAUUGACCAAUAAUAAAUUCGAGUACCGUGUAAUUACCUGAUGACUAAGCUCGAGUUGAAAUUUCCUGCUGUGGUGUCGGCCUGGCAGCCUCUCUUGAAUUGAAAAGUAUAUCACAUCAUUAUUCUACUUUCCAUAUUGAAACACUCAAUAAAUAAAAUCAUUCCAAUUAUCCUUUUAUUUGCCAAAAUAAAAUCAUUUCGUAAGUUUCCUUCCCUAUCUUUCAAUUUCCACAUUGUAACACAAUUCAUUUUAUCAUUCAAAUCAAUAUAUAUANNNNNNNNNNNNNNNNNNNNNNNNNNNNNNNNNNNNNNNNNNNNNNNNNNNNNNNNNNNNNNNNNNNNNNNNNNNNNNNNNNNNNNNNNNNNNNNNNNNNCUUUAAAUUCAUUUAUUUAAUUUUUACCAUAAUUUAAAUCAAAGAAAAACAUAAAACAAUUUCAUGAUCUAUUCACUCUUUAACAUUAAUAUCAUGCUCUUUCUUACACAAUCUCAUCAUCUUAUCAAAACUCUUAAAUUUUUAUUUUUCUUAUUAUUAUUUUUCCAAAAAUCCCUUCUUCAAGAACACCUAAAAUUUUGCUUUAAUUACCAUAAUUUCUUACUUUUUCUACUCAUUUCAAUAAUCUUAACACAAUUUCACAAUCAAUUGUAAUUUUCUCUAAAAUUUAUCAUGAACCCUAAUUCCUCAUUUCACAAAGUUCAAUCAAUUUAAAGCAUAAAUUCUUCAAGAAUCUUAUUUAAAAGUUUGAGUACAUCUUACCAAGCAAUAACCAAAGUUUUAACACUUUUAAAUUGAGAAAUUUUCCUUGCUUGAAUUUGUUUUUUCUCUCCUGGCCGAUUGCUUCCUUCUCUUUGAAAAAACAAGUUUGUUUUUUUUUUUUUUUUGUUUACUUAUAGCACACACUCACUUGCACUCAUAUAUAUAUAUAUAUAUAUAUAUAUAUAUAUAUAUAUAUAUAUUAACUCUCUUUUUUAAAUACCUUCCACGUCCCUCAAUUUGUUUCUUCCCCAUACACACAUAUAAUUACUUAACUUUUUAAAAAUACCUUCUAUAUUCCUCAAUAGUAAAUUUUAUGAUUUUUGGGUAAAAUUUCAUGAAUCCUAACACCUGUUUAUACCAAAUUUUAUCCAGAUUAUUUCAAAUUUCACUCAGUUACUCGUUAGUACUUUCAGUUUCAUGAAAUUCAUUUCCAUCAAAAUUUUAUUCACAUUUUCAUGUUUAUUUAUUUAUAUUUAUUUUUUAUAUAUAUUUUAACACCCGAACAAAACAUUUCAAUUCAGAUUCUCGAAUAUAUCAUCAUUCUUAUAAUUUAAUUUAUCACUUUCCCUCAUUUUUCGUAAUCUUGACUUUUAUUAAUAUUAAUAAUAUUACCCGGGGUUUUACAGUCUCAGUUGACACUGAUUUUCGCCAUAAAAAAUGGUCGAUUUUUGUUUUAAUGAGUUUCAUUUGAUGAAGAGAGUUCCAUUGAAAUGUUUUUUGCUCUUGAAAUUGCCAAAACAUUUAUAGUUUUUGGGCUGUUUUAUUGGUUUAUUACAUCAUAAAAACGAUUUUUAGGUGUUUUGGUGUGAACUUUGUUUAAAUUUGCAUUUUUUGGUCAAAAACCACCAUGCUUAAUUUUCUAGUCACCUCUCCAAUGGCCAAGAACUGAAAAGUCUCGGUAGGUGACAUGUCGCUUUUCUUUAUUUUUUUUUCAAAAACAUUUGGAGGAUUUUCAAAUAAAAAAGGCCCAUACGUACCAACCCUUUUUAAAAUGGGCUUGAUGUGUAGGCCCGACUUACUAGGCCCAAAAGCACUUGAUCUAUUUCUAUUUUUUUUUCUAAUUUUGUUUUCUUAAUUGAUAUUUUUUAUGUAUUUUUAAUGAAUUUUUGAAUUUAUAUUUAAAUUAAUACUUUUCUCUCUAAAUAUUUAGAUUGUUUAUUUAGUUUUUUCUAAAUAAUGGAUAUCUUUUACUUAUCUUUUAUGUAUUUAAUAUCUAGAAAAAAUUAUUUCAAUUCAUCUAUAUGUUUUUUUAUAUAUUUUAUAUAAAUAAACUUUAUUUUCAUGACGUGUUUAUAAAAAUAAGAAUUAUUUGUUCUUGGUAAGAAAAAGUGACCUUUAAGAUAAAAAAGAAGAAGAAGGAGAAAAGUGUGCAUGAAGAUGAAAGUUAAGGUUAAGUAUCAUAUUUAUGUAUCUUUUACUUUUAUGAAAAUGAUUAUCAUUUUAUUUUAUAAUUUGAUUGGCAUUAACAACUCUUUAUUAGUUUAUUAGUUCAUAUUUUUGUAAGAUUGUUUUUUACAUUUCUUAAUUAAGAGAAUCAUAAUACAAUGAAAUGCACUUGAAACAAUGUCCCAUUUUUCUACUACAUUAAAAAUUAACUUAAGAUCCUAUAUGUGGCACGAUGCGUUAACAACUAUUUUUUAUAUUUAUGAACACUUAUGGUCCUUACUUUAUUUUUAUUAUAUGUAAAUAUCAACUUUUUUAUUUACAAUUAUAAUUUUCUCUUGAUUUUUAAAAAUACGUUAACAACAUUUAUAUAUAUUUUUUUUUGCGUUCAAAAAAUUAUCUAACUCGUAGCAAAGUGAAUUAAAUAAAUGCAUCAACACUUUUUUUUUUGUAUUUAUGAUUAGGAUUUGUUUUUGUUAAAAAUGCAAUUGAAAAGCAUACAAAUUUAUUUUUUGCUAAAAACAAUUUUGUGAUCCAUACCGAAGUGCGAGUUAAAUAACUACGUAUAUGGCUAUAGUAAGUCUUUUAGUAUAUGUGGAUGUAGGAAGCAAUGCGUUAUAUUAUUAGUUAGAUAUAACUUACCUAUUCAUUAUUAAAAAAAACAUAAAAUAAAUAAAUAUAUUAAUAGAAACCUAAAAGAGGUCGGCUGAAAUAUAAUAUUUUUGUCCUUUUUUUUAUUUUGUUUCACAUUUCUCAAUUAAGAGAAUCAUGAUACAAUAAAAUGCAUUUGAAACACCAUCCUAUUUUUCUAUUAAAUUAAAAAUUAACUUCCUGAUGCAACCAUAUUAUUCGAUAGUUUCACCCACAUUUAACUAGUGUUUUGCCUAUGUUUUAUAUAUAAAAUGCCUUGAUAUUCUUUGUUUUAUGUUUUGAAGGCACUUUUGGAUGAAAGAUGCAAAAAGGAGUAAAUUGGAGAUAAUUGGCAGAUUUGACCUUCAGUCGAUGUUUUGUGCAGAGCGUGAGCUCUAGAGGUUGAAAUGAAGUGAUUCCAGUGGCAUUAAAAAGCUAACAUCCAUACCUUUCUGGAAAUCUAAGGCAAGAAAAUAAAAUAAGGAAGAGCAUGGAAAUCACAGCCUUCAAAGUCAAAACAGAUUUGCUUUCUUUUUCCCUUAUCUUUUAUUUUUCGCAUUUUACUUUAUUUUUGUCAUUCUUCAAUAUUCCUUUUCUUUUAUUUCAACAUUGAGGACAAUGUUGUGUUUUAAGUGUGGGGGUAUUGGGAGAAUGUUGGUUUUCUAAUUUUGGUUUUCUUUGUUAUUUUUCAAAAUAAAAAAAAAUUAUGUUUGAUCUUUUGAACUCCCAUUGGUUUUUGAGAAUAUGAGUAUUAUGUAUGAGAAUUAGUUGAGAUAGAUGAAGAUAUAAAUAAAAUGAAUGAGUGUGCAUGCAAGUUUUAAGGUUUAAUUGGUUUAGGGAUUGACUUUGAGAAUCUGUCAUGUUGACUUUAUAGUGUUAUACCAAUGCAAGCUUUUGAGCCUUCAACAUUAUAUUCUUUUAUUGUGCCUUCUUUCAAUGAUAUGUAUCUUUAGAACUUGUUUCAUAUCUUGUUGAGAUUACAUUCAUAUUACAUAUAUACAUGAAGAUAAUAAAGGCAUUAGGAAUUUUAACCACUUGAGCCAAAAAGCCAACCUAAAGCAUAUUAUCCUUAGUGAGCCCCUUUUGAGCUUGUUUAUCUUUUCUUUGCUUUAUCCAUGUAUAAGCCUUAACUUUUUAUAUGUUUUCCUUUUCCCCUGGCCAAGGAUUAGUAGAGCAUAUACUUAUGAUAUCUCAUGGAAUUAUGGUUGGAAAUUAUGCGAAAAGAAAGAAGAAGUGAUGCUUGAUGAAAAGAUGGGCAAAGUUGCCGAAGGUCAAAAAAAAAAAAGGAAAAAAAAAGAAAAAAAAGAAAAGAAAAAGAAAAAGAAAAAAGUGUUCCUUUAUGUUCUUAAUAUUUUAUAUUGAAAAAGCUUGAAAUCAAAAGAAGUUAAGCAUUGGUGAUUAAAGAUGGAAAAUUUAUGUGCUUUGAUGGAAUAUCUUGUUUGAAAUAUCAUUUUUCAGAAUGCUCUACUUUCUUUGGUUUGAACCUUUUGUUUUACUCUCUUUUACCUCACCUUAACCUUAGCCCCAUUACAACCAGAAAAUAAGACCUUUUGAUUCAUGCAUUGUUUGUAAUAUGUUAUUAAUGGGGAUGAGAUUGAAGAGCAAGCUUAUGGUAGAACAUAUUCAUUGAUUGAAUUUGAGAGAUUUAAACACAUAAGCCCUAAACACGUGAGUGUUGGAGUAUAUAUCAAUGAGAGGACCUAUCACUUUGGCAUGGCAUAGAUUUCAUUUAAAUCUCGACGAUUAAUUGACUUUUGAAGUUUGCAUGUAAAUAAAUUCAUGAAAAUUUAUACUCUUUAUCCUUCUUAAUUGUGUUCUUGUUUAUAAUGCAUAUAUUCUUGGAUAUUGAUGGGAGAUUAGAAGAUUAGUCAUAGUGAUUUCAUUUAAUUUAACUUCAAUUUGAUUUUACCUAUCCUUUCUCGAGGACGAGCAAGAGCUAAGUGUGGGGGUAUUUGAUGCAACCAUAUUAUUCUAUAGUUUCACCCACAUUUAACUAGUGUUUUGCCUAUGUUUUAUAUAUAAAAUGCCUUGAUAUUCUUUGUUUUAUGUUUUGAAGGCACUUUUGGAUGAAAGAUGCAAAAAGGAGUAAAUUGGAGAUAAUUGGCAGAUUUGACCUUCAGUCGAUGUUUUGUGCAGAGCGUGAGCUCUAGAGGUUGAAAUGAAGUGAUUCCAGUGGCAUUAAAAAGCUAACAUCCAUACCUUUCUGGACAUCUAAGGCAAGAAAAUAAAAUAAGGAAGAGCAUGGAAAUCGCAGCCUUCAAAGUCAAAUCUCGCAAUCUGCCAGUGUUGACCUUCGGCCAUUCCGACUUGAAUAUCUGGAGCUACAGAAGUCCAAUUGAUGCAAACUCAAUUGUUUUGGAUUCAUGUCUCAAAGGUCUAUAAACGCUCCACAUUUCAGCCCAAACCGAUUUCAUAUGAGGGAGAUAUGAUUUUUCAAAGAUGACAACUGAAUUCUGCCAGCAAACAGGUUUCGUGAAGAAACGAGUCCAAAUUACGUUCCGAAGCAUCUAAACCGAUAUCCAAGUUUGUAUUUCAGCAAUUUAGCUCCUCUAAGUCAAAGCUUGAAGAUUUCAUGCAAGGCUAUUUCUCCUUUUUUAGGAAAAUAGUUAUUGAAGUACUUAAAUGUAAACAGUCUACUUAAUGGAGGACUAUUUUGUAAAAUAGAGACCUAGGGUUUCCUAGGAUAUAAAAAGAAUGAGAGAAGAGAAGGGGGGAGGCAGCCAAGAAGAGAAAAACGCCCCCUUCCUCUAAGAAACCCUAAAUUAUGCAUUCUUCCUUCUUUUUGAUUAGUUGUUCAACAAACAUGCAAGGCUAAACACUUUUUCUUGGUUGCAAGAACACGGAAACCUUCGGAUUUCAAGAACUGUGAGAUUUAUUUUACCUUUUCUUUUCAGUUUAUAUGAUGAAUAUGUUUGUUCUCCUAUGCUUAUUUUUCCUAUGAUUGUUUAUUUUAAUUGCUAGAGCGGACUCUAAGUUAUUAUUGUAGACAAUCUAUUGUUAAUUUUGAUAUCAAAACCGGAGUUGUGGUAUAUGAACUUGUGAAGCAACUGAGUUUAAUAAUUGUGGCGGAUCUACGUUAUUAAUCUUAGGGAGAACAUUCAAUCAAAUCAAACAUAGACUGCGGACAGUUAUGUUUUCUUGAUUAAUCAACUUAUCUAGUUCUUAAGGCUGCCAUUGAAUUAAAUUACUAGUGCGGACACUGUGGUUGUUUGAUGGUUAGGGCUAGUUAUACGGCGGAUCCGUUAACUAACCAAUGUUAAGAAGAGAUAAAUAUUCAGAAUAUAAAUUGAUGUUUCGUUUCCAUGAUCAGUUCUGAUUUUUGUAGGUGGAUGUGUGCUUCUGACCAAGGUUUGUUCUCUUGAUAAUUUUCUGAUUUUAUUAAAUUUAGUUUGAUAGUUUUCUGUUUUCUUUUGCUUUAGCCUAGAUAAUGUCCAAACCCCCCCAAAUUGCAUAUCAUCUAGCAUAAAAAUCUGACUUGAAUCUUCCUCGUGGGAUCGACCCCUUGCUUGCUCUAUACUAUCUUGUGUGUUGUGUUUGAAGCUAGGGUAAUUAAUUUGUGCGACCGCGACAUCGCAACACUUCCUACAUGGGGUGCGUUGCGUUAACAAUUGUUUUUGUAUUUAUUAACAUAUAUGAUCCUCAAUUGAUUUUAUUAUAUGUAAACAUCAACUUUUUUUAUUCACAAUUAUAUUUUUUUCUCUCGAUAUCUAAAAAUACAUCAACAACACAUAUACAUCCAUUCUUUUGUGUUGGAAAAUAUUAUCUGACCCAUAGCGAAGCGAGUUAAAUAAACACGUCAAUACCUUUUUUUUGUAUUUAUUAUUAGGGUUUUUUUUUGUUAAAAAUACAUUUGAAAAGCAUUCAUAUUUAUUUAUUUUGCUAAAAAACAUUUCUGAUCUAUAGUAAAGUGCGAGUCAAAUAACUACUAAUAUGGCUAUAGUGAGUGUUUUUUUAGUAUAUGUGGAUGUAGGUAGCAAUGUGUUAUAUUAUUAGUUAGAUAUAACUUACCUAUUCAUUAUAAAAAUAAAUAAAUAAAUAUGCUGAAACAAUAUAGUCCCCGAGAGGAAAUAUUGUGAAUUCACACAAUGUUUACUUUCUCUUUUUUUGUCCUUUUUUUAUUUAGUGAUCUUUGAUGAUGAAUUGAUUAAGAUUUGAGAUGGGUACUGUAUUUUUAUUUACCUUUUUUAUAGUUAUCUUGCUCUCAAUAAAACAUCUUGAUAUUAGAACAAUGCUCAAUUUCACAAAAAAAAAAUUAAUGUUUGUAAGAAAUUGAAAAUGAAAAGAUCAAAAUUGAAACAAAUAAAAAACUAUUUAAAAAAAAAAUGGUGUCAACUUUGCCUUUUGUUUUUUGCUUUUGAUCAUCUACUUUUUUUAUAAAAAAAAAAUUAAUAUUUCAAUGCUGUGUUAAUUGGAAUUUGAAGUUGGUAAUUUGAUAUAAGUUGGUAAUUUUAUAUGAGCAUCUAGAACUAAAUAAAAAGCCGCACCAUUGGUUUGGUGCUCGACUUUACAAAAAAAAAAUCGAUUAUAUUGUUUGAGAAAAAAUAAAAAAUAAAAAAUAAAAAUUAAAACAUGAAAAAAAAAAUAAGGGGCCUUAAAAAAACAAAUUGUGUCAACGCCUCCAUGCCUUGUAAUUUUAAUAAAUCUUCUUUUUGGUAAUGAAACUUUUUGAUACAAAACUUUAUUUUACUUGUAUUUUAAUUCUUGAGGUUGAGAAAGAAAAAAGAAAUUCAUCAAAAAAUUAGAAAGAAAAGAGAAAAUUAGCGAAAGCCAGCAAGGUAUCUGCUCGAAAAAACCAUUCAACAUAAGAUUGCUCUGCUAGGAAAACAUGAUAUCAGUAUCAAACUUUUGAACAAAGAGUUCAGCAUCAAGUCUCAGUCAUCUUGAGAUUUGAAUUGCUCAUACAACAACAUUUUUAAUAAUGCAUUAGAAACAGAACAUCAAACAAAGAGUUCAGCAUCAAGGAGAACGCAUGAAAGUCCACACAUUAAACCAAAAGAAACACAAAUGGCCAAGCAAACAUACGCCCUUACUUCUGGAGGCUUGUACGAUAAUGGGCAAGCAUCAUUGUUUUUUUUACUAUUAACCAUCACCAUCACCAUCACCAUCUUCUUCUUCUUAUACUUCUUUCCACCCUUUAUUUCUGGUCCACUCUCUAUUAAUGCUUGAAUCUUCAGCUACUUCAGAUACCUGUAAACCAAUCCAAGCAUGGCAUGCUCAUUUAACUUGUAAAUCUUAUUAUUGAGAGAAACAAGAAACAAACACACUAAAAGAGAGGCAAGAAAUAAAGUUAAAUCAUCAGCAGCACCUCUGAGCGAGCACUCAUUGAACCAUCUGGUGUAGUAGCAAAUUUUGUGGUCAGCUUUGGACAUUGAUGGACCUUCAACUUCUCCAAACGAGGGAAUAAGAAAUAAUCACACCAUCCGAAACUAAAACAGACAAUACUUGAUAAUUGUUGUAGCGACAACUCCUUUAGAUUAGGAAGCACUAUCUCCUUCUCAACGUUGAUAGGUGAAGCUUGAUCAUCCUGCCCAGGAGACUCUGGAAUUAUUUCCCUUUUACCAUCCUCUUCUCUGAUUAUAUGCUUCAAUUGACCGCAUUUACUUAUGGAAAGCCUUUCUAGCUUUGGCAGACUUUGUGUGAGGGACGGUGUGAAGAUAAAUGGCAGUUUGUCGAGAGAAUCCAAACUCAGAAUAUUAAGACUUUGGAGGCUGACAUGUCCGGUGGGCCCCUUCCAUAUGCAUUUGACCUCAGGUAACCUUCGCAGCUCUAACUUUGUUAAAGAUGACAGCAGCUCCUUCUCCUCACUGCUUCCUUCAUCAGCCUCACCUAAUUCAAAUACCUCUUCCAAUGAUUUGCAGCCGCCAACAAUCACCUCCUUUAGAUUGUUCAAAGCUCGCAGCAAUUUUGCUGGAAACGGAGCGCGAACAUCCCCACAAUCGUCCACUUGUACAAUUUCUAAUCUUUGUACGGAGCCGUUUUGCUGCACAUGGCCGGCCAUCUUAUCAGAGAACAAUAUUAUAUUUUUUCACUCUCAUAAAAACAAUUUAUAUGAUGUAUAAAUAGGAGAAAAAAGAAGAAAAAACAGGAUUACAUACUUUUUAGAGGUUACAUAUUAUUGUUUCAGUUUUUUUCUUAAUUAGAGAUAAGUUAAAUAAUAAUUAGAUUUUUUGCGAAAAAAGGUUACUACAACUCCUAAUAAUUAGUUUCAUGUAAAAAAUAAAAAUAAAAAUAGUAACUAAUAUUUUUACUUUAGUUAAAAAGUUAAUAAAUUUUUAAAGAUAUUUUAACUGAAUUAAAUAUUUGAACACAAAAUAAGCUAAUAAUAAUUAGUUUCAUGAGGCAGUUAAAUCUAACAGAUAAUAUGUUCUUUCAUAUGAUUAAUUUUUAAUAACGCAGACAACAAUGAGGCAGUUAAGUUCUUAUAUUUAUAUAUGUUUAGAUAAAAAUAAAAAUGAGCAUUUAUCAAUUACUUUACUUUUAGAAAUUGGGAGGAAGAGAGAAUAAAUUAUCGCAAUUGACAAUUUAAAUUAAGUGGAGAAAUAUAAAUUACGUACUUGUAGCUGUGCCAACCAAUUACCCACUCCUUCGUGGCCUCCAAUGGUUAAGUCUUGCAAAGGCAAUUGAGCAUCAAAAUUCCUUGGACCUAAAAAGCUGUAAUUUGAUCUGAGCCGAAGAGACACUUGUCUUAGGUGAGGGAACUUGAUGAUGCCAUCUCUGUUACGAGACAAAGAGACUGGGAAGACAUAUUCCAGUUUACCACAGUGAGAUAUGAAGAGAGUUUUUAAUAGUGGGAAGCAAGGAGACUCUGGAAUUAUUUCCCUUUCACCAUCCUCUUCUCUGAUAAUAUGCUUCAAUUUACCGCAUUCAUUUAUGUAAAGCCUUUCUAGCUUUGGCAGACUUCGAGCGAGGGACGGUGUGAAGAU